CGACAAAAUCGAUCUGUGCCCUUGAAGUUAGCCGUGAAGCAGGCCUUGGAUGUGGCAAGGGGUAUGGAAUAUGUGCAUGGCCUGAAUCUGAUACAUCGUGACCUGAAAUCUGACAAUUUAUUAAUUUCUGCUGAUAAAUCAAUCAAGAUUGCGGACUUUGGGGUUGCUCGUAUUGAGGUGCAGACAGAAGGAAUGACACCAGAGACUGGAACAUACCGCUGGAUGGCCCCGUAAGCCUCUAACCCUUUAGCAACUUUAUUAGAUAUGAUUUUCUUAUUUACUGUUACCUUUCUCAAAAAAAAUAAGAAGUGAUUUUCUUAGUCUAGCCUGUUCUUUUGGCAAAACCAUAAUACAAAGCUUUUGCUUUUAUUUUUCUUUUCAAAAUAAUAAAUAUCAGCCAUAACACAGAGCUGCUUCGGCUGUUCCAUAGAUUCUUUCAUGGUUUCAGUUCAUUCUUUUUGUAAAACAUUCAAAUGUUUUGUAUACAGUACGCUUCUUAUCAUUCGUUCUGCUGAGGGUCUAUUAGAAACCACCUAUCUACCUUCUCAAGGUAGGGGUAAGGUCCACAUACACUCAACCCUCUUAGACCCCCCCCCCCCCCCCCCCCACAAAAAAAAAAAAAAACAAAAAAAAACACACCUGUGAGAUCACACUGGGUUCAUUGUUGUUUUACAUACUUGUGGUUGCAAUGCAAUUGCCUUCAAAUUAUCAAAGAAAAUAGAGAAAUGGCAGCAAUAAGAUAUGUUUAUUUUCCAACAUGAUAUUUGGCUGAACAUUUCUUUGCACUAUAUCUUCUGUUUAAUGAUAUAAAUAUACUACCACUGCAUUGCCUAAAGAUAGAUUUACAGUGAAAAAGUGAUGGGUUUAAUUGUUUUCUUGAUGAUCGAGAAACCUGUCGGGAACCAACUGAAGCUCUUGAAACUUGGGGAUCGUGGACUCGCCCCGCCUCGCGCCUCUUCCCUCAAACCUUUGGACCGAUGGAGCUUGCGAAACUUGGGAAUGAUGGGCCCAUCCUCCACCCUCCUCUUAAAAUUUUCCAGGAGCCAACCGGAGCUUUUGAAACUUAGGGAUGAUGGACUCAUGGACCCAUCCUUUUACCAGUUUACCUUCCUCCACCUUGUAUCGGCCUUAAUUCACUUAGCGAAGUGUUCAUAUUGUGACCUAAGAUGCAAAUUCCUCACCCUUUGCCAAUUGAGCUAACCCCUCGGGCAAAAUAUGAUGGGUUUAAGUACUCUAUAACCUUUUGAAAACCCAGAUUGAUUGUGUCUAAUAUUCCUUUUGUAUGCCUGUUAUUGCUAAGAGAGAGAGAGAGAAGUUGUUUCUUCUGGUCAAUCCUUAAACUUAGUUAUUUGUGCCUCUUGCUAGAAGUAUCAAAAAACUCCUCCUUUGUGGGUUUUAGUGUGCUUAAUUCAGUCUAACUCAUGAAAUUUGUUUUCAGGAUGUGUAGGAUGAACCGUAGUUCACUCUCAUGUGCUUUUAAGGAAUGUUCUAGUUAGAUCAGUAUACAGAAACUCAUCAUCUGUCACCUUGGUUUUAAACUUUUUAAGGGUUAAAGUUAAUUAAAUAUUUUUUGGCUUCAUCAUAUAUUUGUCUCUCAUCUUCUAUUCCCUUGUCUGCCAUUCUAGGAUCUCACUGGUAAUAAAUUGUUCAUGACGCUCGUUCCAAGUAACAGUAAUCAUACUGAGAAGUGUUAACUAUUUCUGUUUGAUAGUUGUAGGCACUUCAGAUUAAGUGGUUCAACUUAUUUUUUGGGAGUGUCAUCUCUUAUUCUUAACUUAAAUUCAACAGAAUUAGCUCCUAGAUUAGUCUUUCUUCUUAUAAUGUUGUUUCCAGGCCAACUAGUGCGCACCUCGGGUAUUCACGAGGCACUUGCUACUACCGCCAACAUGGGUACCAGAUAACUUGGUCUACCAAGGCUUGGACAGAUAUGAUUUUGUCUAAACCAUGGUCGCGCCUCUUCAUUGACCACUAGGCCACACCUUGUGCUCCAAUAUUAGUCUUUUCUCCUUGCCUUAUUUCAAAGGAUAAAAGUAAGAAGAGUUGUUAUUCUAAUAGAAAUCAUUUUUUAAAUCCUUUGAAAUGAAGAUUGGUGUAAGUUAUAGAGCAUUGGGUAGUAAUAUAGCUUUGGAUUGCAUAGUUGUUAUCCUAAUUGAAAUCAUUUUUUAUAAAUCCUUUGAAAUGAAAGUAAAGGCACCCUUCUCCUAGUAGAAGGGUUGUUAUCUUGCCCUUUUAUCCCCAGAACUCAGGAAUACCUUUUUCUAUGCCCCUCUCACAUUUAUCAGAAAAUUCUUUUUUUUUUGUGCAGUUCAGUUAAGGUAACCCACCUUGACAAACAUUGUAAUUGCACCACAUGAGUGUUAUUUAUUUUUUUUUGGAGGGAGGGGGGAAUGAGUUUUAUUUGAAUAUAAAAGAAUGUGUUUGAAACUUCCUGACUUAAAGGAGACAUCUGCAGACUGCACUACAAGGUCUUCCUCCUCUUGCUUUGGUGCCCUGCUACUUUUUGAACAGUUCCUGAAGUGUUGCCUCUUGGCUCUUAGUAAUGGGCUCAAAUCUUAUUGUUGGAUAAGUAUCCUGCUCUUUGUGAGGUCCCUUGGUUAAGUUUCUUAGGUUUGGUACGUUUUUGUGAUCUCAUUAUAGUAGUACAUUUAAUGAGGAGAAUAAUGAAAGAUCUUUUCUUCAAAGAAGUGUCAGGUUUUUAGAUCUCUCUUGGAGAAGUAUGAAAGAAAAGUGCAUGCGUUAAAUUUUCUAAAGGAUUUAGAUAGGCUGAUAUAGCAUGUGUACAGUCACAUGAAAAACAAACAAGAAUAUUGAAGGUACAAAUUCACAUAUGUAAGAAUAUCAUAACUUUGUCUACUAAGAAGUUAUACUUCUGUAUGUAUGGGUAAACUGUAGGUCAUUGUGCCAAUCAUUGCAUUUGCAUACUUGAUAGCUUAAGCAGUUGUCAGAUAAACUUUAUAAUCAUGUGAUUAAAACAGAAAGAACAAGCAAAAUUACCAAUGCCCCAUUGAUAAUUACAGCAAUAGUUCUAAUGACAAAAACAAAAUGUUCAUUUCAAUUUAGGCCUGAAUAGAGCAUGGUGGUUGCAAAUCCAUAUAGCCGGACCCAACUUUUGGUUGUGGUCAAGCUAGUUGUUUGAUUGAUUAUUUAUUGCAUCACUACUACUUGGGUGCCUUUUCAAUCGGAAACUUGAUCAACAUGUUGCUACAUUUUAACAAACCAGAAGAUAUCUGAACUUAUCAAUGGUUUAGAGCCCUUAGCAAUUAUUCAUGUUAGCCUUUACAAAAGUUCUUUUAAAAAGGUGUUCCUUAUUAUUAUUUUCUUUCUUGGGCUUGAUAUGGCAGUUAGGAUGUGUACCUUGAGUUAGAUGAGCAAUCCAGGAUGAAAAGAAAUUGAAAGAUAGAGUUAUAUCCAUUUCCAUCGGCUGGAGAUCCAUUACAUAAUUAAGCUUCAAGAAGAGUAUCGGUGGAUAUAUCUCUAGGAUACAAUUGUUUUAGUUAGUUUCCACGGUCUAGCUUUCAACACAAUAUUAGAGAUGAAACUUGUCUUGGGAGAUGAAAUUACAUUUUUUUUAAACGAUAAGGGGAUUGGAGAUUAAUUGUGCAGUUGUUAGAGAAGUAUGAGAAAUGAAGCUUUUUAUUUCCAAUUGGACAACCUUUUUCUGACAUUUAGUCGAAGAAGAUUGUGUUUAUCGGUGCCUAUAAGACACUGUCCAAAUGCCUGUAUUGUGUUUGCAUUUGUCAAAGAAAUAUGACAGAUGAAAUUUUUCAUUUUCAAUUGGACAAUCUUUUCCAACAUUUAGUUGAAGAAGAUAGUAUUUGUGGGUGAAUAUAAGACACUGUCAGAAUGCUUGUAAUAGGUAUGGACGUAUCUAGUGGCUCUGGUGAUUUUUAAGUGUGCUGUUACAGUUGAGAUGGACCACUUUGCUGUGAUGGCACAAGAUUUUUGAAUGCAAUUCAUCCCAGUGCGAGGAAUGAGUAGUGUGUUGAUGAGUAGCAUGAAUGACUUGAGGAAAAUAGAUGGGAACUUGCCUAGUACCAAAGUUGAUGCAAUAGAAGUUGUCCCAGUUGCAAUCUUCAUGUCAAACAAGGCUUGUAGCUUGGCAUGUGCAGCAACUCUUAGAAAUCAUAUCCAAUUAUAAUAUAUUCACAAAUUGAUUUUAGUUAGGUUAUUUAGAAAGGGAAACAACCUGUCACAUUUCCCCGGAAAAUCUAUCUAUUCACAUUUUAGCAAAAAAAAAUUGGCUGUAUUGAUAUCUUAGCAAUACUUUCUGAAUGGCAUGUGUGUUGCUUCUUCUUGCAAUAUGUAUUUAUUAUUCCCGUUGCAAAAGAGCAAUACACUGCUCCUCGUGGUUUUGCAUGUGUGGGGUGUUGUGGGCUACUUGAGAGCAUUUUUACUGUGUUUUGCAGGGAGAUGAUCCAGCACCGACCCUACACACAGAAAGUUGAUGUUUAUAGUUUUGGCAUUGUUCUGUGGGAGCUUCUAACGGGGAUGCUUCCCUUCCAGAACAUGACUGCUGUGCAGGCAGCUUUUGCAGUCGUCAACAAAGGUGUCCGUCCAACCAUCCCCAAUGAUUGUUUACCUGUACUAGGUGAAAUCAUGACUCGCUGCUGGGAUGGGAACCCUGACAAUAGACCACCCUUCUCCCAGGUGGUCAGAAUGCUCGAGGCUGCAGAAAUAGAAAUCCUGACAACAGUCAGAAAGGCCCGCUUCAGGUGCUGCAUCAGUCAACCCAUGACUACAGAUUGAUAUGGAAACAGAAACUGUAGGCAGUAAAGGAUUUGGGAACGAGUGAUUCCAAAGUCUGGCAUGUGUAUGUAUCUAUGAGGCAUAAUUUCUUUAUUCAGAUAGAAAAAAGGGGAGAAAGUUGUGACAAGGAACUGUUUGAUUUUGUGUUGUAUCUUCUUUUGUUUUCCUUUUCUUCUUGAAUUUAAGAUUCUGAUUAGUGAUAAUAGAAUAGUAAGUGUAUUUAUACAUAUCUCUGUAUUUUAUUGUACUUUAUCAGGUGCAUGCAGAUCCACCUUUUGUAUCUCUGAUGCUUUAUUUUAUUAUUAUGCAGAUUGCAGAAAAUGUGGUGGGGUAGGUUUCUUCUAAACCUAAUAAUAUAUAGAAAUGAGAUAAAUUGACCUUCAGGAAGACGUGUGUGUGGGGUAUACUAUUACCAAACAUCAUGCUUUCAACUGUUUUUGGUUGAAUCUUAAAUGAUUUAGCUGCAUAUGAGAGGAUGUUUCAUAAAAUCCAAUCUUACACAGGUAACUGAAAGUGAUACAAACAUAUUUAUCAUUUCCAAUGUGGAGAGAAAACUUCUAUACAAGUAGAAUGAAAGAAGUCCAAACUUUAGACAUCCUGAGUAUCAAUUAGUUCCCUACCCUUUGUCUCUACUGAUAAGAGCAUAACACUGACUGCUGAUAAAGCUAGAACUGCUUCGAAACAUGCGAUUGCAGCCGUCUGAUGACACCCUCUUAGCAGAUGCACCACAACUAUAGGAGAAAUCAUAGGCCCUAUUCUUCCCACAGAAUUUGCAACUCCAAUACCAGUUGACCUUACAGACGUUGGGUAUAUCUGCAUACAAGACAUCAAAAUGAGAUAGUUGUUUGCUAACAUUUCCACUCUUAUUUCAAAUUCAAUACAUGCAUCUAGCUUGAGAAUCAGGUGGUUCCACUCUACCUGUUGAACGCCUAAGAAAGACUGGAAAGCUUUAAACUUCUUCAAAGAAAUGGAACAUAAUAUUCAAGUCUAACUUUCUUAUCUAUGCAUCAAGUUUGACUGGAUGGAAACAGGAAUGAGUAUUCACGAUAGUUACCUCUCGACAAUAGACACCCACAAUGACGAAGCUUCCAGAAAUGAAAGUACGAGCACCAAAUAAUAAGCCAGUAGUCAAAGCAGGGAGUUGAGGUGCAAGAAGCGGUAAAAGGAACAGGAAGCUUAAACCGCACAUAAGUGCCACACUGAAUUUUCGACCAAUUGUAUCCACCAUUAUAGCUGCUAAAAUAGUUCCAGGGAUCUCUGAGAGACCAAAAUAGAACGACUUUUAGAUUUUAGAACAUGUAACCUGUUGACUAGAAGUAAAGAGAAAAUUGUUUUACCGGCAAGACUGUUUAUGAGCACAUUAGUGUAAAGGCUCUGAUCAUCAUUCAGGUUCAAAGCAAUUGACGAAUGUUGACAUUGUCCACUGCUAAACAGUGAGGUCAGCAAUAUAAUGCCAUAGUAUGAGAAGGCAUUUCCAAUAUAAACCACCCAUAUGAGGAGGGUAUUUCUAAGUAACGCGGGGGACAAAAGCAUUAGUAGUGAUGAGAAGCCUGAUUUAAGAAUCGAGAUUCUGCUUUUCCCAGGAGAAAGCAAUUCCUCAUGCUCCUCAGUCACUUGAGAAGAUACGAGCUUUCCAGGGGGAAGUUGUGUCUUAUUGACAACAGCUAUUUUCUUCAGAAUAUCAUAGGCGUCUCUCGUCCUACCUAUGGCACAUAGAUAUCUAGGAGAUUCUACUGUAAAUACAAAUAACAGAAGUCCUGCAAAUGAUGGUAUGGACGAUAAAGCCAGUAACCAUCUCCAACCCAAUCUUGGCAUAAUCAUCUGCAACAUAAACAAAGAGAAUGUCAUAUGUUUUCGAUGUUCCUGAUCCACCUACCUUAGUGAAAUUCUUAAUUUAAUCAUAUGAACAUGUAUAACUUAGCAGCAACUUACAAAGUAGUUAUACAAUUUCAAAAAAGAAGAGUAUCCAGAUAUUAUGCUGAGUCACUUUCUUCCACAAACACAUUGGGCUCAAUAUUUCUUAGUUAUAACUGCAUUUUUUUGUUAACAUAAAUUUCAAGAUCUUGAACAUGAGAAUCCUACAUUACAUUGUCAUUAGAAGCAUACCUGAUACAGAAAACAUUCUUGCAGUAGAAAUGAAAAAGGAUUACUUUCAACAAAUUAAUUCCUUUUGCAUUGGGGCAGCAGGGAUGAAGUGGAGACUUACCUCUAGAGUCUUGUGUGAUAAGAAGGUACCAUCUAAACUUAAAGGUUAAGUUCUAUAGAGUGGGGUGGAGUGCUGACAAUUCAAGAACUCAUAAUCUUUGAAAAAUGCAUGUUGUGGAGAUGCGGAUAUUGAGAUGGAUGUGUGGGCAUAUUAGGCUUGUUAGUAACUGUCGUAGUAUCAGUAGUUCUGGCCAUAUGUUGUUUAUUGUGUUCCAAUUAUCACACUACUUUCCUUAUUAACUACUAUGCUCUCUUCAUUCUUUCGGAAACAGCACGGAAUUUCAGUGGGUAUGUUGUUAUUAUUUCCCUUUCUCACAUCUGAUAAAACAUCAUAUUGAAGAACAUUCAUAUUAGUAAAGCAAAAGAAAAGGAUAUACCAGUGCUAAUAGAGCCUCAAGUAUUGUUCCCAUUGUCCAAAAACCUGCAUACAUCAUCAUCCACAUUCCCCUAUAUUCUGAAGGAACAAAUUCAAGAAACCAAGAUCCAUACACAAGUCCACCCCCAGCUCCAAAUCCAACCAUCAUACGCACAGCAAGCAACCAAUCAUAAUUCGGAGAAAAGAUACUCAGUAUUGCACAUACAGCCGUCACUAACGCUAUACUCAAAAGCCCCUUUCUGUUCAUUAACAAACAAACAACACAUAAAUCAAAACCAAAUUCUUCCCAAACAUCGAAACACCAUAAAAUUAUACAUUACUUGCCUUCUUCCAUAAGAAUCAGUGAUAAACCCCCAAAAUAAAGCUCCGAUUAACAUGCCAACGAAAACGACAGUACUCAUAAGACUUUCUUGAGUAGGAGAAAGAGCCCAUUGGGACCUUAAAGCAGGUCCAAUAAAAGAGAGAAUCAUAGUCUCUACUGCUUCUGAAACAGAACCAAGACCUGCAUAACACAAUACCAUAUACUGAAAUUUACCAAUUCCAACUGAUGUCAGAGCUUCUUCCAUUGUGUACACAGAAUCAUCUUCAACUUGCUUUGUUGCCAUUUUCAAGUGAAGUCAAAUUGGCCAAAGUGAGAGGAAAAUGUUAAUCAUCAACACUUCCCUUUUUUAUAUAAAAAUAUAGAUAUAGACAAGUGGAGUACCUAACAUGGCUUACAAAAUUAUUAAUUUUUUUGUUUGUUUGAUAAUAAUUAAAAGAAAUUCUAUCAUAAUUAUCACAUUUUCUAUUUAAUUAGCAUGUCUCAUUUAACUCAUUUCUACCUAAUUUUUAUAAUUUACGAAGCUGUUGGAUGCUCAUUUUCUUUUUAUAAAUUGUGUUUAAUCAUUAAAGAGAGGAUAUAGAAAAGGUUAUAGUGAUAAUUGAUAAUAUUAGUACUAUUAAACAAUUAAGGGUAAAAGGAUAAAUAUAUCCUCAACUAUCGUAAAUGAUAUGUGUAUAUUCUCCAUCAUAUUUUAGAGGGAUAUUGGUGCCUCUAUCGUCCAAAAAUUAUACACUUUAUACUAACGAACUUAUACGUGUCAUAAUUUUAUCCGCUGAUCCGACAUCGGAUCGAUAAAUAAGAUUAUGUCACAUGCCCUAUUUAGUCUUCUGUUAGACUGAAGGGCAUAUAUGUUCUAGUUUUUGGACGGCAUGGUCACAAUGUUCCUAAAGUAUGACAAGGUGUAUAUGCAUACCAUUUACGUUAUCUUUUUUCUUAACAAUUAAUUAUGAAAUUGUCAAGUAUCUCGAGUUUUAAUAUGUAAUUUUGUUUUAAAUAUAUAAUAAUUUUUAAAUUUUCGCCAUUUUCACACAAGUUAGUAACAGCGGACGAUAUCAUAAAACUUUUGAUGAUAUUCAUCAUUAAGAAAUAGAUACGCAAAUAAUAAUAAAUAUUUAUUGUUUGCCUGGCCAAUCACGUUUCAUUUUCUUUUUUUUGGAUCUACUCGAAUAGACUUUCUAAGAAAAGCUUCGUGUUUUUUUUUAUAAUGAUUAUAUUAUGAUAUAUGGUAUAUAUUUGGAAACUCAUUAUUAUUCUUUGUACUACAAAAACACUAUAGAAUACUUUGGACACAUUAUUAUAGAACCUGGAUUAAUGAGUAGGUAUUUUUGGACGUGAAUGCGAAUUAGACCUUGGAAUAAUAUUAGGUUAGCCUCUGUUUCAAAAAGUAAUUUAUUUUUCAUAUCAUUAUUAUUCGCUUCCUUUCAUUUUAUAUGAGUUAAUUUGAUUAGAACAAUAAGUUAAAGAAAAAAACAAAUAAUUUUAAAACUUGUAAUCUAAAAUAAACUAACACAUAUGUGUAUAAUUAUAAAUCAUUUCAUUAAAUAUAAAAUUUGACAUUUUAAAAUUAAUUUAAAAAUAUGUCAUUCUUUUUUCAAUAAGCUAAAAAGAAAAAAUAAACCAAUGGUCUUUAUGAUUCAUAAUUUGAACAAAGACGUGUUUAGGGGUGUACAUGCUUUGUCUUGUUGGUUUUUAUCUAAAUUAAUCUACACCAAAUUAAAUUAAUUGAUUUAUUUUGACAUGAUAUUAAUUUUUUAGAAAAUAAAAAAUACUUUUGAAUUAUGUGGUUUUAAAAUAAAAAUAUAUCAAAAUGUUCUAUAAUAUUGUAAUUUUAAAUAUGUCAAGUCAAACGUUAAAAUUAAAUAGUUGCUGAAAGGAAAUUAGUCAUUCUUUAAAAUGGAACAAAAAAAGAAAAUAGUCAAACAAUUUGAAAUAAAGAGAGUAUAUUGAUUUGAUCCUUUGAUUUUUUGGGUUCUUUUAAUCACGUGAAUACUAUUUAGAGUUAUGUAUAAAGUUUUAAGAGAUAACUAUCAAUAAUAUACCUAAAGUUAUCAUUUUUUUGAGUUUCAUACUUCAAUUAUUGAGACUGAGAGGUUCACACCUAAAUAAUCACUUAUUGGUUUGAGAAACAUAUUUCUCUCUUUUGUCUCACCGUGGUAUGUGUAAUACACUCUUUCUUUUAUUUUAAAAAAUUGUCACAUCACACUCCACAUAGACAUCCACUUUGACAAAAAACUAAAUGAAUUAUUAAAUAUUAGUUAAAAUUAAAGAUUGAAAAUUAUUAUCCCAAUUUAAUUUAUUUAUUUUUAUUUAAAACUAGAAAAUUAACUACAAUAUUAAAAAGUAUUACAAUAUAAUUUUUUAAACUCUAUAUUAAUCAAAAUCAGAUAAAUAAUAUAAAACUCAAUUACUUGUUUUCAUUUUGUAUUAUUAUUAUUAUUAUUAUUAUCAUUAUUGUUAUUAUUAUUAUUAUUAUUUUGGAAUUGGUAACUUCAGGUGGAUUCAAUAGUAUUUUCAAGGUGAAUUAUAUAUAAAAUAUCUUUUAUUACCAAAAAAAUAAAAUAAAAUAAUAAUAAUAAUAAUAAUACUAUAUAAUAUUUUUUAUUUUUAACCCACUCCGUUCCGUAAAAACCCGCCCCUUCCUCCUAUGCUUAAAUAGUACAUUAAUAUAACGUUAAACCAAAUAACACAAAUAUAACAGCUAAUCCAAUCAAUAAUUUAUAUUUUGAUUAAUGAUUACACGGAAAAAGUGAAAGAAAUCUGAGCUUGUUUGAAAACCUUUGAAAGAAGUGAAAAGAUGAUAAAAAUUAAGAGUUUCAUCUCUUAACGGAUUUGAGAUUACAUUGGAAAGUGUUCGCUUCGCUUAAUUUAAUUAUUUCAACUUGUCCUGUCCCGCAAUGCCCUGUAUAUAAUUAUACCUGUCUCGCACCGCGGUCGACCUGCCUCAUUGCCGUCCCUAAUGCCAAGACAAUUGAGGAUCCAAGAUAAGCUAACUUUUCAUGUAAUAUAUUUAAUAUUACAAAAUCAAAAACUAAUUUAGCAUAUUUUUUAUAUCAAAUCAUAAAAUUCAGAAAAAUUCUUUUUAGGGUCUGUUUGGAAAGUCAUUCGGUAAUUGAAAUUGGUGUAAUUACUACGAUAAUAAUUAUCAGCCUAAUAAUUACACAAUUUAGUAAUUACACUAACAUGUUUGAUUAUCACAGUGUAAUUCCCUUUGUCAUGUUUGAUUAGAUUAAUGUAAUUACACAACUAAAUUUUAAAAUAAAUCAAAUUUUAAAUAAAUAAUAUUACAGCUUCAUUAAUUAAUGUAUACAAAGUUUUCUUCUGGCCACAAUGACAAACAAUCAAACUCAUCAUGCCAAAAUAUUAUUGAACUUAUCAUGCCAACUUUGUAACUUCAAAUCUUAUGUGCGUCAUUUUCCAUAUAGCUGCGAGCGAUGUUCUUAGAGAAUAAGAUGAAUGAGCCACUAAAUUUUAAAGAAAGCACGUGAGAUAUCCAAACAAAUCAGUUUUUUUGACAUAAAUCUCAAGGUACCUCAAGUGAGUUAGAGAUUGUAUCGCACUAAGCCAAGAAUUUGAGAGGUUUGCAUCUAGAAAAUGUAACAAGUAACUCCUGAACAAGCUAAGUCUUAGUUUUACAAGUAAAUGUAAAACAUUUGAUUUGUUUCAUAUGUUGAAUUUUGGAUAAGCAGCGAAUACCAAAGACGACAGAGGACAUUCACCAAAACACUUUCUUCUUUAAAUAGAAUACUUGUUAGGUAAAACUAGAAGAUAUGUUUGAUAAACUCUGUGUAAUCUAAUUUUCUUUCUUUCUUUUUUUCCUAACUAAAACAUUAUUUGUUUCUUAGGGCAUCUCCAACCCAAACAUCAAAUUUUACAUUAAAUUUGAUGUCAAUACUAUUUUAGUAUAAAUCAACUUCAAUCCACUACACCAACUUUUACAUCCAAAAGUCUCUCUCCAUUAUUAUUUCUUAUUUCAUAAAGCAUUCACCAUAGAUAAUUCAUAGUAUUUUCUUUUAUAGUUGUUUAAUCUAAAAAUUAUUUUAUUACCAUAAUUUUUUACAAUAAUAUAAUUUGCUAGAAAGUAUUAUCUAUUAUAUAUAAUAAUGGAUAAUACAAAUAUAAGUAUUUUCAUUAAUGAACUACAAUUAAAUAAACAUUACAUAAUUAAAAAUUAUUUUAAAUUCUACAUAAAUAUUCAACUUUCAAGAUCAUUACGGCGCUCUCAUAAAUGCUCUAUUAAUGCAUUACGUAGUUCAAAAUGAGUUUUUUUUGUCCUUUAUUUUUUUUAUGUCGAGCUAGGAAUUGUCGAAAUCGAUUAUUUUUGUGAAAGUUAAUUGUAGUUAUAACCAAUUUUAAUUUAUAGUAGAAUUAACAUAAUUUUUUUUUAAAAAAAAGUCAUAUAGAAAAAUUAAUUUAUAAAAUAAACUAACUUUUAUAUCUAAAAUUAAUAAUAUAAAAGUAUUAAAUAAAAAAUAAUUUAAUAUAUAAGAUAUUUAAUUAAAACGUAUAAUAUAUAUAAUGUUUAAUUAAAAGUUUUGCAUAAUCAAAUAACAUUAAAAUAUUCAAUAAAGUGAAAUGAUGUGAUGAAUAUUGGUGUGAUUCACGCAUCAAAAUGAUGCAAAAUUUGUAUUGGGUUGAAGCCUCAAAACACCAAUUUUACACCGAAUAAAGAUUUGGUGUAAAAUUUGGUGUUGGGUUGGAGAUGGCUAUAUUACAUAUUUCGAGCUUGUUUGGUAUUACUCUUAAAAAUUGUUACAAUUUUUUUAUGAAAAUACUUUUGAAAAAAAUAAUUCGUAUUUGGUUAAUUCUUUUGAAAAGUGUUUUGGAUAAACUAUUUGUGUAUGUCAAUUCUCUUUUUUUAAAAAGGUACUUUUGAGUUUUGAGAAUCAAAUUAAGAAAAAACUGUUUUUGCUUCUAUUUAAGAGCAGUUUUGAUGAUUAGCCAAACAUCUGUAUUUUCAAAAUAGUGAUUUUUAUUCAAAAUAAAUAUUUUUAACCUCUUAAUAGGAAUGCAAAAGCUCUUAAUCAAUUAACGCAUCUUUGACGCCGAGAACACAAAAAGAUUGUCUCGUAAGAACCACUUCAUCCAAAAAAUUGUAUUGGCAAAAUUCCAAAAUUCUUGAGAAAUUAUAAUAAUAAAACCUAAUAAUUGUGAUUUAGAACGUUUACAGUCCAUUCUGUGAUAAUAAAAAUUUGAUAAUUAUCGUUAGGAAUCAUACAUUUAACACCAACAAAUAAUAGAGUAAUCGGCUUUGUCAUCAGAAGAAUCCACCAUGAUCAAGUGGAUAACAAAACUUACACUUCUAUAUAAAGUUGAAGCGGUAAACACAUGAUCCUACAUUACAUAAUAUGCAUCCUACCAUGGAUAGUACAAAUCAAUUAGAGUAUAUUACACACGAUUUAUCAUGUUGAAUACAUGCAUCUACUUGUUUAAUUUAAUACAAGUUAAGCUUAAUUGUAUACAUCCAAAGUUGGAGAACGUAGAUGUAAAAUGAACUAAAAUAUAAUGACACGUUCAUGUAUGUUAAGAAAAGUAAAGAUAAGAAACGACAAAAUUGAGGGGAAAAUGCAUUUGUUUUGGUUGCGUGGGCAGUUAAGGUUGUGCUUAACAAUACCAAUUUUCUGGUAUUCAAAUUCAAAGCAUAUUCAGAUACAUGAAGCUAUUCUGAAGUAUCCACUACUUCUUCUCAUUAGUCUUCUUCUUGAAUGACCCACUUAGUGCUGCUUUUGUUUUCGUCCACUCCUUCAUUGAAGCAGCACUCUUCAUGAAAGAACAAGUUUCGCUGUAGUUAGUAUCUCCUACAAGUGCUUGUUUUGAUGCAGAUACAUGUUCCUUUUCGGGGGUUGGAGCACUGGCUUCAUUCUUCUUUGUUUCUUUCUGCUGAUAGUUGUCCAACACUGGAAGCUCUUUACUGAAAUGAACAUUAUUCUGCUCCUCAACAGAAACAUCUUGCGAAUCACUUUUAUCCAUGCUGUUAGAUUUUUGUGCUUUUACGGUCUCUCCUAUCACUGGCAACUCUGGUUUUGGAAGACUUAGACCAGGCAAAAUUUGUGAAAUGCUAAAAGAACUUCUAGUGGCAUCACGAACCAAUUCUGUCCAUGAAGAUUUUUGUCGCCAUGCAGCACCUCUGACAUAAAUAUCUACAGGGCUAUUGUCAGUGGCAAUUUUAUCCAGCUCCUCGUGCUGAUCUGAUACUUUCUCUUCAUAUUCAACUUUAUCCAGCUCUUCAUGCUGGUCUGAUGCUUUCUCGUCAUUUGAUAAUUCAUCUUCAGAUUCAGCUUUAUCUAGCUCUUCAUGCUGAUCAAAUACCUUCUCAUCGUUUGAUACUUCAUCUUCAGAUUCAACUUUAUCCAGCUCUUCAUGCUGAUCUAAUACUUCCUCGUCGUUUGAUACUUCAUCUUCAGAUUCAACUUUAUCCAGCUCUUCAUGCUGAUCUGAUACUUCAUCUUCAGAUUCAACUUUAUCCGGCUCUUCAAGGUGAUCGGAUACUUUCUCAUGGUUUGCUACUUCAUCUUUUUCGUCGGAGGAGAACUCACUAACACCAUUAGAGCCAGACUGCAUCUCUGUACCAGGAAUAGCACUCGGCAAAAUAUCCAAUACACUGAAUGAAGCACCACUACUAGCACUAACAAGAUCUUUCCAUGGAGACUUCUUUGGCAAUUUGGCACUUCUAUUUAAUAGUUGGCUAUCUCGUGUGACUUCCAAACUCUGCUUUGCUUCAGCUUUAGACAACAACGUAUGUGCCUCACCAUCUUUUACCUCUGAAGGUGCUUUACGCUUUCUGUUUGAGGGCAUCGUCUUUCCUUGCUUUUGUUUAUCCGUAGCAAGUCGUGAUUCCUUGGAUAGCGAAUUCUGUUCGCACGACACCCAUAAAAAGGAAAAAGUAAACUAAGAUGCUUAUACCAUGAGCAGGGAAAAUGAAAAAUAGAACAUAACAGAAUAUGAACCUGAAUAGCUACAAUUGCUUCCAGGGUUGGAUCUUUGAACAUAGUGUUUCUAUCCUUUGCACCGGCCACUACAUUGAUAAUAAGGUUGUCAUCAUCGUCAUCCAUUUCUUGGUCAACAAAAUCUUCAUUAGCCUGAAUAGCUGUCAUUGCUUCCUGGAUUGGAUCUUUUACCAUAAUCAUUCUAUCGUUUGCACCAGCCACCACAUUGAGAAUGAGGUUAUCAUCAUUUACCAUUUCUUGGUUGACUAAAUUCUUGUCAUUCUGCAAAUGAUCAACUGUACCAUUUGAGCUUUGAACUUUCUUAGAUAAUUUAAAAUCCCUAGGGGUUUCCUCAGAAUAGUUCUCCCUCUCAAAAAUUCUGUUCAACACUGAAUUCAUAAUGUUCAGCUCUUUCUCAUCCAUUCCACCAUCCUUUGAGUCAUAAUUACAAAGUGAUUUUUGCUUGUCCAUAUGAGUAGUACCAGAGUGCUCUUCACAAUCACAAAAAUGGAUAGGUAAGGAAGGAACUUCCACUCGCUGAAAACUGUAUUUAUGCUUGCCAGUUCCUCUAAGAGACACUGGUUUAAUCUGCACAAAGAGAUUCCAGAAGCAUGAUUCUUGACGUAAUAAAAAACAUAGGUCUUACUAAAAGAGAUUGCAUUCAAAUGUAAACCAUGCAGUCACCUUUCCCGCCAUAAGUCAUCUAAGAAUAAUUGUAUCAAGAGAAGGACGUCAUAACCAAGCACAGGGAAAAAUGCUUUACCUUUCCUAAUUUUGGGAAGUAAAUCCGAAUUUGCGCUUCAUCCAAUUUGGAAUCUUUCUUCUGACUUUUCAGGGAGUCCAUCCUUUCAGCUUCACUAACAGGAAGAUGGGUCGAAGUAGUGGCAAGUGUAGCAUCUUCUUCCCACUCACGUUUCAUAUGAAGAAAAAAGUGUUCCUUUGCCUUCUCUAUUCUAAGCCUCCCACCUUUCCACAUGCAUCCAUUAUACUGCAGAUCAAAAUUGGAUUAGCACCACUAAGCAUCAAGGUGAUACCUUAGGAGUAGAUUUUAAAAGGAAAGACUCCAUUCACUUGCUGCAAAUUGAUUAAGUUAUCCUAAUAACCAGUGUUUUGGACGGCAAAAGGUGACAAGGGUCUGCCUCGUCAUAAGGCGAGGCGAGGUGCUCGCCUCACGGCCUCACCGCUCUCCUUUUGAAAGUGCGGCAUCAAUUAAUACCAAAAGUUAAAAUAUGUAAUUGCAUAUGUAAAUAAUCAAAAUCUCAAAAGCAAUAAAACAUUACCAAAUAUUUCAAUUCAAAAAAUGAAAAUAGAUAGUACUUACUAAAAGUCUAUAACUUGAAUGAGGAAAAAAAAACAUAACAAAAUCAAAACAAAGGUAGAAGUGAUUUUAAAGUCUGAAGAAGGAAAAAGAAAAAGAGGAAGAAGAAAUAUAUAUUGGUUAGACUUUGGAGUCGCCGGAAAAGCCUGGCUAGUUGCCAGAGGAGUCUAGUCGAAAAUCCUAAAAUUACCUGUUAACUUUUAAAAUCCUAAAUUGGUCGCUUCUUUUUUUAAGAAAAUACAAAAGGUGAUGCCUUUCUUGCCUCUUGCCUCUCGCCUUUUGUUAUCAUGGCGUCGCCUUUUGAAGAUCACCACAAAGCUAAAUGGUGAUGAAGGGUCAUCUCGCCUCUCGCCAUUGACGACAAGGUGAUCGCCUUACACAACACUGCUAAUAACGAAGAGACACUUUGAUAUUAUGUGAUACUAAUGGUUACAAGGCCGAACGAUGGCCACCACAGAUAAACAACAUACAGUAAUGUCUUGCAGCACCCAAGGGAAGGGUGCAAAUGUAAUGAACACCUAAUGAGAUACUGCACUCACUGACAAGAGUUGGGCUGUUUGCUUCACAAAAACUCUAAAAUACACUAGCAUUCCUACACUCCAAACCUCUCUAAUAUGCUUAAGGUAUUCUUUCACCUCAACUUCCAUACAUGACUAAAUAAAUUAGGAGCCUUUAUCCAGGUUCUUAACCUCCUUCUCCAACUAAGGUGCCGGCUACCAUUCUUUAUGUUAUUCAUCUUUUAUCCUAGACUAGAAAUGCUACGCUAUUUGCACCAAUUCUUAUAUCUAUGCAAUGAAAACAGACAAUUUAGCAUAGUACGCACGCAUAAUUAAAGUGAGAUACGGAAAGCUUUAUAGUUUAUACCGUGCUGAAAAGUUUGGGUAGGGAUUUGUCGGAAGAAGGAAGUAAAUCCAAGUAAGCAAAGCUGCGGCCUUUGGUUCGAACGAUGUCCAUAGAUUCCACUUUUCCGAGUUGUGGUGUUGAGAAUGUCUUCUUCAAAUCCUCAGCCGUCACACUUUCGCCUAAACCACCAACAUAUAUCCUUACACUUUUCUUCGUUGCUUCAUUGCCUCCUUCGCCCGUUACCAUCUCUGCCGGUGCCGCCAUAUCCAACGCAAUCAAGCUCCUUGGUCUGAAACCUAAUGCGCUUUGUUGAGGAAAACGAAGGUGUAAAUUACACUUCUGACACUACUAGAGUAUAUUAAAGAAUGAAACUUUUUUUUUUUUAACAAUAGAGCUGUAUUUUGUUUUACUCUAGGGUUAGGGGCAUUUUAGGGUUUUCAUUUAUUUUUAGUAUUAUUAUUCUUUUACAAUAAUGAUUUAUCAGGCUGUACUUUUUUUAAAAGUAAAAAAAAACUUGAGCUAAAUCUGAAUAUUUUUGGCAUUUACAUAUUUUUAUCUGUUGUUGCCUUUUGUAAUUUGUGAAUAAAAAGUUGAACUAUCUCUUUAAUGCCCUCACGUCUUCAAGAAGAGUCUUUUCUCCAUAAACUAUACUGCUCUUUCUUGCCCAGUUUACAGGUAAGUUUCCCCUCUGCUUUUUCCGUUUUUUUUUUUAAUUAGUUGGUUUUUUCCCUUAUGGAUUUGAAUAUGGCCAAAAGAGAAGUAAUGAUGAUGGUGACUUUUAAUUAGUUGGUUUUUUUUUUCAUUUGUUUGAUUUUACGAGAUGUACAACUUUAAUGUUGUGCUGACCUUUUUCUGCUUGAUUUUUCUUUGCAGUUGUAAUUGCUACUAUUAAGUUUUUCUUUUUGUUUUGGUGAGAUGGAUUAUUGUAUUUCUUGAAAGUUAAAACACCUGAGACUAAAGCAUUAUCUUUUGGCUUUUACCUAGAAAGAAGACAGGAUCUUCUUGAUUGUGAAGAUAUGAGUUCGUUAUGCUACCCUGUUGUAUUACUACCCAAUUAAUUAUUUCCAUUUCUUUGUGUAGAUGUGGAUAAAUCAUACACUGUUGUAUUACUACCCAAUAGUUAGUGAAUUUACCAUUUCAUGUCUUUUACUAUAGUAUGUGGAUCAUGUCAGUAAAGAUUCUCAAGCAAACCACUGCCAAGUUCAUAUAAAUAGUCAAGACAUGCAUAGGUAUCAAGGUUUUGGUUAAUAGUUAUGGUUCUGCAAAGUUGCAGAUGCAAAAUAACCAUUGAAGGAAGGGAUUUGGUGUCUUAAACUUCUAUCAUGAGCAGUAGAGCAAAUAUAUUUUUUUCAGUGCCAUAAUCUCUCUCCAAUUUCUGCAGGAGCAUGAAUGUGUUAUAAUUUUUUUUUAGUUUUGUUUUGGUGGAGGGAGAACGGAGCUCGUGGGGGAGUGAAUUAACUAGAGAAGUAGCAAAUAUAGUAUUUGACAUUUUUCUUGGGUAUAAGAUAGUUGCUGUUCGUUGUGCUUUCCGGUUGGCUUGUUGAGCAUGUAGAGAAAAUUGGGACACCAUAUAGCUAUGACCUGCUUCUACCAGGGAAACUCUCAAGGCAUGGAGUUGCAAGGUGGAAAAAGCGUAUUAGUUCCCACGGUAGUGUUCUGAGAUUUAUGGCAUAGUUGUAUAAUUAUUUCUAAAUACUUCCUCCUCUCUGUAAUGAAAAAUGUGAACUGGAGGACUUGGAUUCCGGGUUACAACCUCUUUUAAGUGUGUAGUAUACAUUAUCGGUUGUUUCAUAAGCUUUGUAUCUCGCUAUUUUUUAUACACUUCUCUUGCAAUAGUUCUGCUUUAAAAAUAUUUCUUUUGACCUGAAGGUCUAUCGAAGAAACAACCUUUCUACUCCACAAAGGUACAAAGAUAGAGGUAAAGUAAUCCCAUGAUUAGAAAAAUUUGGAGUUGUUUUUGUGCCCAAGUUCAGUGAAUUUCUUUUCUGUGGUGGUUUACCUCGUCUUUAUCUACUCUGGGAUGGAAUAUUUGUUUUGGGUUGUGUUCCAAAUACUAGAAUUAGACGUAUCUUAGAAAGAUAUUUUUGUCAAAUUGAACAUGUGAGAUGAGCCUAACAUUUGUAAAAAGACAGUGGUCAAAGAAAGUUUGAGUAUAUGUGUAAUAAUGUUGCAGAUUUGCAUUAGCAUUUUUGUAAAUUUGAUCCAAAUUCAGGUUUACUUGGCAGUAUUCUUUGGGUUUUACAACUUUGUUAUACUGAUCUUGCGCUAUUGCUGAUUUUAAAACUUCUGGUAGUUUUUUUCUUCUUCUUUUGCUGGCUGCACCAAUUGCGCCUUACUAUGUUCUCUUUAUUUGGUGUCCUUGUGUAGUGCAAUAAAGAGAUUCUUGGUGAGGAUUAGUUUGAAUUUUUCCCCUGUAAUUGUUCUUCUCUCUGUAAAGGAAGGUGCAUGAAGUUUUAUCUUAUUGUUAAAGAAUGAUGGGUUGGCGGUGCCUAAAUGUAGGCAAUUCAUAUCUUUGUUUAUCUUCUUUUAUAGUAAGUGUAAGUCUACAGGUCCUCCGUCCAUGUCUAUUCUAAUGUAUUUAUCUGUUUUAGCCUACGAAAAACUUCUUUUGAUUCACAAUGAUCUUUUAGCCUUCUACAGUAUUUCACUUGCUUACUGGAAUCCUGACAUUUCCUAAUAUUUCUGAUUUCCCUUCAGAAAACAGUGAUAGUGCUGAUGAUAACAUUCAGCUCUCACGUUAUUGAAAAACGACUACUCAUCCCUCUCCUUUCAGUCAAGUGAGCUGAUUUUUUUUAAACUUAACAUUCCAAAAACUUUCAGAAAAAGAAACUCACGUCAACAUGAUUAAAAUCGUGAUCAUGAUUGUAUGUUGUCCCUAUGAAGUUUAUGAAUGUAAUUAUGGUAUGUUAAGUAGACUGGUUCCAUCCAGCUGAAAGCAAUCAUCAGUGUAGAAUUGACAAAAUAUUAUAUAAUGUCUCACUUGGAACAAAUGAUUCAUAACAUGCACAAAGAGUUGGAUUGUUCGAGUGAUUUUUCAUUUUGCCGCUUUUGAUGAUACAAAAUUCUUGUUACAGAAGAUAUACUCAACUACGACUCCCACCACAUACAUCAAUCAGCAAACAACAGAAUCCUUUGAUCUCCUACACACACUAUAUGGUAAGUUAUUCUAAUACAGAACCUCUAAGCUAUUUGAAAAUCAAGCUCGCGUGACUGCUGAAAAGACUGAACAAUUAAAGACAAAAGAAGCUAUCUCAGAAGUGAACAUUAUUAAUCUGCUAUCUUUGUGUUAUGGUUGUUAAAAAAAAGGGUGUUCUUUAUAGUGUUGCUUUUAAUUAUCUAAACACUGUCUACCUUGUUUUAUUUUUUUUUAUGGCAAGGGAAACCCGUAGCCUCUACUCUUUGGGUGCGCACAGGGUAAAAAUCCCGCUCCUAUGCAAUAGCUCACAAACCCUGUCUACCUUGUACUGAUCAAUACUUUUUAUGCACAAGAUUGUUGCUGCCAAUAUAUAUACCAUGUAUAAUAAAAUAAUGGCAAAGAAGGCUAAGUUAAAGAACACAUUUAUAUAUUAUGCUUAAAAUAGAUUUUUCACAUUGGCCCGGGCAAUGCCCGCCUACCUCCACUAGUAGAGAAUAUAAUUUUUUUUCAGAUACUAAGGAAAAUCUAUUUAAUUACCGCUGUACUGUUUCGGCAAUUGAAAACCCUAAAACCCUCAUUUCAUAUUUUCCAAAUUCUCUCUUCUACUCAAUUGUUAGAUGCACUAUCUACGUUACCCACUUGAUAAUUGAUUCAAUUUUCUCAGUAAAUCAUGCUGGGUAUUCACAAAUUCUAUAGACAAGUUCACACAUUGUCUCGUGAAUAUGGCCCUAGCGAGACGUUGAAGAGAAAGGUUGCUGAAUUGAAGGUAAAGAGGAAACGAAAAGAUCCUCGAAAGAAUCAGUUAUUUGUUCAGGUUCCUGAUUCAAGAUCGUUCCUUGAUACUGCUACUAUGCCCAUGAUACUCACUGUUGUUGGGACUGCACUUUUCGCAAAGCUCCUCAUGAUGGUAUGAUGCUCCAUUGCAGUUUAUGUAAAGUCCUAUUUAAUAGUUGGAUGAAAUUUGAAUGAUUUUAAAAUUGGACAAACCCCUAAUAAAUAUAUUCAUUUGUUGGUUGUGAUUUUGGUGGAUUGUUAUGGUAAAUAGAAGAGAAGCUUGGGAAAUUGAUACUUGAGAAGGUUUAAAUGAUGCUUCUUAGGUGUAGUGACAUGAUGGUUCAUUAAUAUUCAUAAUCUUAAUAGGAGAACAACUUUAGUGUUGUAAUGUACCAAAGAAAUGGUAUCUCGAUAUAGAACUGCUUAUAGACUGUAGAAUAUCGUCGUUUUUCUUGGUUUGAAUUAAUGACACUUAUUUCAAUUUACAUUCAAUAAUGUUAAAGGAACUAAAGUUGAAUCUUGUUGAUAUUCAUUGAGGAGGUUGAUGGAAUUUAGCUGACUUAAUAUACAAACCCCAAAGUCUCCAUCAUAGGUACUUCUUAAAUUUUUUUUUUGGUAAUUAGGAUUUUUUUUUUCACCAAAGUAGGUACUCACAAAGCUAAACAAGUUCUACUCGACUGGUUAUCACAAAAUCUGCAGUCUGCUUACAAACUUAGAGAAUUAAAACCUGGCUCAGGCAGUAGCUCUAAAACAACAAAAACAAGCAAUUCUACAAGCAAUAUCCUCCAUUGUAGUCUCUGUCUUCUCAAAAACUCUAUUUUUCCUCUCCUUCCAAAUGGCAUGAAUAAUAUCUGUGUAUACUAGUUGUAGUAGCUGGGCCUGGUGGCUUUUUCCCUUAGUCUUCUGGAUGAUUCACUGUUGCAUUGCAUUCCAAGAAUUGCUUGGAGGAUGUCUGAUAGUAGUCCAUUGAAGUAAUCUUCUCCAUAAGGAGUUGGCAAAUGCACACUCAAAAAAUAAGUGGUCUCUUGCUCCAUCUUCCUGCUUACACAUAACACAUUUAGGAUCUACUUGCAUUCUCCAUUUCAGCAACCUAUCUGUUGUAAGAAGUCUGUUCUGGAUUUGCAGCCAUAAGAUAAAAAUGGCUUUAGGUCUUGCGAAGUUGCGGCAUAUGAGACCUCUCCAAUCAACCUUUUGGGUAAUCACCUAGCAUUUGAUUUUAGGCUUGCCUUAUCUUGCAAUCAAUACCAUGAUGCAAUACAUGUAGGUGAUACUUUGCUCCAAGAACUUUUCUAACUAUUCAACAAGCUUGAGCGGGAACCCUGAGAGCUUCCAUAUUUUGGCCUUCGAUGUAAUAACUGUGUAUGCAUUUGAUCCAAAGUCUAUCCUGCUUCUUCUCUAUAUCCCAACACAUCUUUAGAACUGCUGCUUUGUUCCAUACCUUUAGAUUCACCAAGUUUAAUCCUCCCGCCACCUUUGGUGUACACAUCUUCUCCUCAGAGACUAGGGCCUUCUUAGUUAUGCUGUUGACUCCAGACCAUUUAAAACUCCUACAGUAGGAUUGGAUUGCUUUCAUCACCUUAGUUGGUAUCAUAAAAUGUUGUGUCCAGUAUGCUUGAAUACCAAAAAAUCAAUGUCUUAACAAGCUGAACUCUCCCUGCAUAGGAUACUUUUUUAGCUGUCCAGAAAGAUAUUUUUGCUACUAUUUGAUCAAUCAAUGGCUGCCACUGAAUAAGAUUGAGUUUCUUAGUGGACAAAGGUAUACCAAGGUAUCGAAAAGGUAAGGCCCCAUGACUGUAUCCCAGAGUUUGUUGGAUGUGACACAUUACAGUACCAAAUACUCCUCCAAAAUAUAUAGCACUUUUAGACAAGUUAGCUUCCAAUACGGAAGCUACUGUGAACACAGUGAACUUGACGUGGAGUAGUUGAACUGAUAUUUGGUCACCUCUUUUAAACAUGAGGAGGUCAUCUGCAAAGCUUAAAGGUGUAUUCUUAAGCCUACUGCACAUAGGGUGGUAUUUGAAUAUCUUGUGAUUGGAUUAGUCAUUCAAGUUCCUACUUAGAUAUUCCAUGAACAUAGCAAACAAAAAGGGGGACAUUGGAUCCCUUGUCGUAGUCCUCGAGCUGCCUCAAAAGGUUUUGUUAGUUCCCAAUUGAUCAAGAAAGAGUAGGAGACAGUAGUUACACAUUGCAUCACCCCGCCUAUGAACUUGAGAGGAAACCCCAAUGUUGACAUCAUUUGUUCUAAAUAUUUCCAAUCAAUAAUAUCAUAUGCUUUUUGGAUAUCCACCUUCAUCAUACAUCUGGGUGAGAUAUUCUUCCUGUUAUAGGCCUUGACUAGUUCAUGUGCAAGAAUAAUGUUAUUUGCCACUUUUCUCCUGGGUACAAAUCCAGGUUGUGUUUCUGAGAUCACAGUUUCUAUCACCUGGUGGAUUCUAUUUGCCAACAAUUUUUCUAUGAGUUUGUAUAGGAUUGUACAACAUGCUAUGGGCUUAUACUCCUUCAUAUUGGAGGGAUUGGGAACUUUGGGUAACAGUGUAACUGCAGUACUAGUCACUGCUUUGUGUAACUUUCCAGUAGAAAGAACUCCUUAACUGCUCCCCUGUUUAAUCACAGGCAAGGUUUUUUGAAGAACAUAGCAUUGUAGCCAUCAACUCCUGGAGCCUUAUCAUCACCAAUAGAACAUAGUCCAUCAUAAGCUUCCAUCUCAGUAACCUCUACACACAAGGCCAUUUGUUGAGAUUGAUUCAGUGUUGGCCCCUGCUUCAAAAUACUCUCACUGACUGCAGUUGCUUACUUGAGCAGUUACCAUUAAAGACUUGUAAAAUGUUAUAAUCUCAUUUUGAAUUUCAUCCGGAUCCACAAAUCUUUUCUCCAUUUGCUGAAGUAAGUUUGAUAAUCUGUUUCUUGUGGUGUCUUUCUUUCAUUAUUGCUGCAAAAUACUUAGUAUUUGAGUCCCCCAAUUUAAUCCACAUAGAUCUGGAUUUUUUUUUGGAAGCUCUCCUUUAUAUUGCUCCAUUUCUCUAGUUGGAUCAAAAGAUCCUUUUCUUCCAGUGCUAUAGCAUCGGUAUACUGUGAAGAGAGUUUCAGCUGCGUAGAGUUGUAAUGUAUUCCUGAGGUGAUGGAUCUUCUUUGUAAUUUGUAUUGUUCAACUGGGUAAGAUGAGGUUUCAACUCCUUCAACUUUUGCCAAACACAUUUAAAUUUUCUAUCUUGGAACCUACCAGUCCAACUUCUUUACACAAUAAAGAACCUGAAUGGAGCUUUAAUGCUGAGUGUAGUCAUUUUCAUCUCCAGGACCAUAGGUGUGUGAUCUGGAAUGUUUGGCAAUUUGUAGUCCAGCACCAAUUGGCCAUACUAUAGCAUCCAUUCAUCAUUCCCCAUUGUCCUGUCCAGUACUAAAUAUUCUAGCUGAUCCAAGUUGUUUGUUUGACCAUGAACAAAAUUCUCCUUUCCACAUCACCUCAUUUAAUAAUAGGUCUUGCACACAUUCAUCUCUUGUUACACUGGGGCACCAUACAAUCUAUCUUGACUUUGUAGAAGAGCGUUGAAGUCUCCCCAUACAAGCCUAGGUUUAUUUUAUUGAGUCGCUACUUUUAAAGUUUAUUCGACAGGUAUGGAUGUGUUGGACUUGAGGUGAACACUAAGAUAUUUUCAAUUCUUUGGUGUAGUAAACUUGCUUGUAUGUUUUACAAUCUAUAAAUCAGCUGAGUAGCUUAUAAGUUACAGUUGUGUUUGCAUGCAGUAUGAUGACUCAAAGUCGCAAGAUAUGAUUGAGCGAAAAAUAAAGAAUGCGCCUGCUGGUCAAGGAACAGUUAGGAUGCUUACCCGCGAGGAAUGGGAAUCAGUUCAGGAAGUGCGACCAAGAACUCCGUUUGAAUCUAAACUAGCUCGUCCAAAUGCAAAGCUUAGGACAGGGGAGCCUUUGAAGAUGGUAAAUGCAUACUUCUUUAACCUUUCAUUUAUCUGGUGAUAGGUAUUUUUCCUGCUAACAUUCUAGAGAACAAACAAAGUGGGUUAGAAAGCUUCCUAUAGUUGUAAGACAUUCAGGCUACUAGUGGGAAUGCUUUUUAGCAGAAUAUCAAUAAUGACAAAUGAUGUUGUAGGGUCUAGAGGUUUAUUGGUAUGCUCACAUUGUUUGCCUUUUGGCCUAGAACUAGGCAUGCCAACCUUAGUGCAAAAUUAAGGUGGUGUUAGAUAGCUAGUCAAGUUUCUAUACUAGUGAUAUUCUACUUUUCGAAUGGGUUAGAUGCAAGAUCUUUUGUUUUUCACCUAAAGUAAAAGUGUGUAUUGUAUUAAUUAUCGAAAAGUAGUUAAUACAUAUUUUCUCUCCUCUUAGUUCCUCACAUGCUAUCAGAAUCUUGUAUGAUCUUAGUAGAAUCUAAAACCCUCAUUCCGAUGGGCAUUACUCUUAUUUACCGUGCCCGUUUCGUAAUAUCAUGGCUAAUGUCAGUGAUUGUUGUGAUGGCAUCGGGACUAAUCUUGGUGAUCGUUAUGUAGCAUCGAGCGUGUUUCUGGAUACCUUUUCAGUGACACCUCACAUUUUUUCCGUGGCUUUUUUGGUGGAGCUGCACAUCUUUCCAGCAACACCACACGCCUUUUUGGUGACCAUUCCUGCAGUUACCUGCUUUUUUUUCUUCAGGAGUUAUUCUGGCAGCACGAGUGUUUGUCCACUAUUCCUGCAACUACAAUGACGAUCUCCUGGCAGUCAAAACUAAUCUUUUCCCAUGACUUUUUGGGCGAUGUAAAACAAAUUUAAUCCAUUUCUCUUCUUUCCAUUAGCUGCAAACCUAUCAUCUAAGUUAUUAUUUCAAGAAAAUGAAAUCUUAUGAGAUCUAGCACUUUUUGGUAUAAGCUGGUCCAUGCCCCUUUAAUAUCAGAGAUGCCUACACUAGUUGGAGCUCUAUGGAAGUUAGAAAAUCUAUCAGGAAAAUCUGGAUCAUGAUUCAUGACCUAGCUUAUAUUUUUUGGGUUAUUUGGAAUGAAAGAAACAGGAGAUAUUUGGUGGAGUUUUAAUUCCAAUUUGUAAACUUAAGGCUAGUCCUUUGGUUAGCUUUUUUAGUUGGGCCAAUAUUUCCCCUGUAAAUAACUUAGAUUAUUACCUGGAUUUUGUCAGCUCCUUAGCCUCUGUAAGGGGUCGUUUGGUGGGAAGGAUAAUAUCAAAUAGUCCUGGGAUUAAGUUAUAGUAUCACUUAAUUUGUUGUUUGGUUGACAAGUCCGAAAUAACUUAUUCCGGGAUUAAAAUUAGUACCCGGAUAAGUUAUCCCUCCCUUUGGGUGGUAUAGUAAUCUCGGGAUAAAAUAAGUAAAUGACAAAAAUGUCUCUUUCAACCCUUUUGUUACAUCAUUUUUUACAUUUAUGAAGGAUAUUUUUGUAAACAAAUAAAUUAUUCUUAAAAUUUAUUUAUUUUGAAUGCAAUAAACCAACACUCAAUAAAAAAUAAUCCCAUCAUAACUUGAAUUCAAACAAAACGACCCUUAAGUUCUUUGUCUUACUGAGCUGACAGAUCCCCCACUUUUUGUAUCCUUACUUCUACUAGAUGCCUUAAUGAAAUCUCACUUCAUAAAAAAUAAAAAAAUAAAAUGAAAUCUUGUGAUUCAUUGGAGUGUAAUCCACUCAUUGGAGUCAAGAGAAGGUAGAGUUUGCGCAGACCUUACCCCUACCUAAGAGGUAGUGUGGUUGCUUCCAAUAGACCCUUGGCUCAAGGAACAAUCGUCCAAAGCAGUCCAAAAAAAGUAAUGGAAGUACAAAUAGUAACAGAAUCAAAGGACAAGAAACUAUAGGAGCAAUACUAUGACUACUAACUAGUAUGGACGGAUAUUUAGACGACACACUCUAUUAUAAGAUUCUUGUUUCACUUUAUGUUUUAAUCCCAUAGUCGCCCCUAUAUUCCUGUUAGUUGUAUACCUUCCAUUUAUCAUUUGCACUACCUUUCAGGAUCCUAUCAGUACUUCUCCUCCAUCUCCUUCUGCAAACAGCUUACUCUUGACUAGUCAUAGUCGUUACCGACGCAACAUUUUCAAUGGUUCAUGCCUGCACCAAAUCCUUCUUUUAUCGUGGUAUCUGCUCCCUCCCGAUAUUUCCUAGUGGCUUCUCAAUUUUACUCCAACCCAUCUAGACCUUAUCCGUGUUUGUCGUAACCCCAUUAUUCCUCUGUUGCCCUAUUAUCUCCUUCUACCAGUGAAUUUAGAGGUGAAGCCCUUUGUCACUGUUAUUGUGAAUAUGGACUUACACUGAUAUUUAUGACAAGGUCAAAAUCUGAAACCACGUUAGUGCUUUUGUAAGGUCUCUUGCUAAUUGUAAUAGAGCUAUCAUAAGGUCUUUGCAUAGAUAAAUCCAAGGGACCCAGAUAAAAUUUUAACUAAAUCCUCAAGUCCUCGUGUAGUUUAUAGUUGGUAAGAGGAGAGGUAGAGUUAGGCCGAAGAUGUAUUGGGUACAAGUGAUUAGACAGAACAUGACACGACUUCAGGUUACCAAAGACAUGACCUUAGAUAGGAGGGUGUAGAGGCAGUGGUGUACAGAAGAAUUUUUCUAAGUGUCACCAUUUAAUGGACAAGAAUGGCUCAAGAGGGAAAUCAAUGAAGCUUUUGCUUUAGACCUCCAAAAAUUUAAGGCCCCAUAAAUAUUGAACUUUAUGAAAUAACAUUUUAGUGAAAAUUAGUGAUAAUUGAAAUUAACGGAAACGAUAAUUGAUAAAAAUUAUCAUAUUUCCAUAAAGAAGGAUUGAUUAUCAACAAAUUUGUGUCAAAAAUGGUUAAACAUGUGUAAAAAAUGUACUUUGUGCUAUUCAACGAAUAAGAAGCCUAAAAAUAAUUACUUUGACAAAUAUUAUUUCAAAAUUGCGUAAUUUUCAACAAUCAUCCACACUUAGUAUCAUGCAUUUAACAUGAAAUCGAGCACAGUCAAGUUUGAACUUAUUCAAAAUUGAACUUCUUGGUAUUUGACAUCCCAUUUCCUUUGAAAGAGGAAAAAACAAAAAUUGAACUUCUUGGUAUUUGACAUCCCAUUUCCUUUGAAAGAGGAAAAAACAAAAAUUGUAGUUCUUGGUAUUUGCAUCCCAUUAUUUGGGUGCCAAGGGCAUGUCAUAGUGUCAACGAAGUGGUUGAGAACCAUGAGGUCUCAAGUUUAAAAUCCUAGUAGAGGCAAAAAUAACACUAGGUGGUUUCUUCACAUUUGUCCAACCCUUGGUGGAUAGAGUUACCUGUUACUUGUGUUGGUGGGAGGAAGUAAGUACCUCGUGCAAUUAUUGAGGUGUGACCAAAUUGAUCCGGACACUACGGUUAUCAAAAAAAGAAAUUGCCUUUUUUGUGGAUUUUGUGUUCUUGUUCUCAUGGACUGACAUGAGGAAACUUUGUCCUGAGUUUUCUUUCUAAAUUGAACUUGCCUCAUUCGAUGCCCUAAAGUUUCUUCCUUUUCCUUCUUUCCAGUUAAGAACGUCAAUAUUAUGAAAUACUAAAUAUUGCAAGAAUAGGUACCUUGUAAUAUGGGAAAGAUUUGGAGUCCCUGUAAUUGUGUAAUUAGGAACAAGAAAUAGUUUCUUUCCUUUUUCUGUAUUACUUGUAAAUGCUUAUUUAAAUCUCAACAUGCUUGAGAAAUCAAGAAAUUCAUUCUUCUUUCUUUUAAUGAUGUCGGAGCCGAGGGUUUGGGUCCCCGGACUGUUAAACAGUUAUUCCCUAUUUUAAUCCCAAAAAGAAUGUGAGGAAGAAAGGAAGUUGCAAAUCUGGUUCACUGACAGUAGUGUACUGACAAGUUUCAAGUCUCACGUCCCUCUUAGAAAGGCUUCCCAGUCUCCAGCAACCCCAACCCCAAAACCCUGGCACCGGAAGCCAUGAUUUGUGUCUUACGUGGCAUCCAUCAUCUUCGGCAGAGUUUCAUCACAGGCUCAUGGGUCUUUUUCCCACAACAUUCCUACCGCGAUCUCUCUAUCAAGGUCAAUCAAGUCCCCUGCUUCAUCUUCUAUUUCACUUCCUAUCGGGUUCGAUUUUCUUUCCGGAACCAGUUUGUUGUUGUUGACCUGACCUUGAGUGUUUUCUCCCAUAUGAUGAAUUGCUUCUUUCCUUUCUACUUUUUAUCCUCGAUGUUUAGAUCUUCCUUUUAGUUUUUCAUAUUCACAAUUUCCUAAUAUUGACACGUUUAAUGUCUCCAACCCUCGCAUAAUAUGUGAUUGGAAUGGUUCAAGAUCAGCUCUUCUCAAAUUUAGGCCAAAAGCGUAAAAAUGAUGAAUAUCUAUGUUGGAAGUAGUCGAUCGUCUAAAGGCAACCAGCUAUAUGACGGCCAAUGGGGAACUGUUAGCUAAUAUUUUUAACGGGAAAGUUCCAAUGCCUGGUGAAAUAUUACAAAUUAGUUUGAAAGAAAUUGUCUAUCCAAAUAACGGAAGAAGCCUGUAGAAAAUGGGACUAUGGGAGUACGACGUAGUCUUCGAACUUUCUCUACUUGAGUUUUGGUUUCAGGAUUCUGUUGGGUUAGGAGCAGUGCAAUUCUUUUCGUAUGUUUUAUUUGGAAAGUUGUUCCUGAGAUCAUGCAAGAUCAUCGUGUCUUAAACGUCUUAGUUAUCUUAUAAAGUGGUACCAUUUAUGCUUUCUUGUUCUGAUACCUUAACUAUUUCCCUCAAUAAUCUUCCUGGUUCAGCUGCAUGACAACAAUGGAAUGACUAUGUUGUUUCAUUUGAUUGCUUAUAUGCAGGAAGAUGUCAAGGAUUGGACAAUAGAUGUUAUAACUGACGCACUAACACGAGCUGAAGAAUGUGCUAAACGAGGAUCGAACUAAGCUUUUAAGUCGAUAAUAGUGGUAACCUAGUUUAACAAUUGCUUCUUAUGUGUACCAGAAAGGCUCUUCAACCUCAGCUGCAAAUUACAACAUACCAUCUUCUACUAUCAAAAGUGGAGAAAUGCUGUUUUUCUCACUAUCCAGCAAUGUCAAAAUUUAUGCUUAGCAGUAUUUACUGUGAAUUAAAGUGUGUAUAUAUACUUUAAUUCACAAAGAUAAUAUUUUCAUUGAAAUUAGAGGCUGUAUGGACUGAAUUUUUCAAUAAAAGAAGAGAAUUUUUAUGGUAAACUUUCUUCUUGUUUAAUCGAUAUCUCGAUUUGUGCUUCAGCACGUGAGUCUUUAAUUUGUACGCAUUUUAGACUUCUAAAUUAAUAAGUAGUAACAAAGAAUAGGUAAUUAAAGAUUACUAUGUCACAAGCAAAGUAUAUGGAUUUAAUUUUUCUUUUGUUAGUUUGGAUUUGCAUGUUUGUGUUGAUGUUCAAUGAGAUCUCAUUUGUGACUGUAAAGUGAUUCGUUUAACUCAAAUCCUUCUAAUAGAGUGUAAAGGGUGUAUUGCUUUCUUGAUUUUGCUUCUGAUGGGGAUGUAGGGUACUGUUACUGGUUAAUUAGCAAUCUGUGUCUGUCUUACAGUGAGUCUUCAGUUUACAAAUGGAGUAAUGUUUACCAGAUGUAGAAAUUGAGGCUUCUGUGGCUUUGUCUGCAAGAGUUAGAUUUUUUGAUUCAGUACUCUUCAAUCAGUAGGACUGACUUGCUCUCUCUCCAGAUCUUUGCAGGAUGAUAAAGAACUCAUUUUUGAAUUGUUUUUAUAUCUUUUUGUGGUUAGGAAUGGGGAUUUGAUCAUCUCGUGUUCGUGGUUGUAUGAACAAGAUUGAUGUUAAAGGUUGCGCUUUUGGGUUUUGAAUUGGGUUCUAUUGUAUUUGACUAUGUUAUUUUACAGUCUUACAUAUGCAGAUUCCAGUAAAAUAUCGAAAAUCAACACAUGUGAGUGUUUCCAUUUGGGACUUCCUUUUGGACAUGAAAUUGUACCUCUUCUCCCCAAUCAACCUGUCUGUUAGCGGUUUUGGCUUGUUACUACAAAAAUGCUUGAAAGAGAAGUUGCUGCAACCGUGCCAGCAAAUUCAUGCAUUAAUGUUAACAUCACACACUGACAUGAAUGCUUUGUCAUUGAAUUCAAAGCUCAUCGGUGCCUAUGCAAGUUGCGGGGAUCUAAGUUCUGCUGAGCUUGUGUUCCAAAGAACAACAAACCUGAAUAUUUUUGCAUUUAAUUGGAUGAUUUCAGCUGAGAAAUCCAUUGGGUACUUCUCUCUUCUUCAUCAAUCAAGAACUAUUCCGAACACGUACACAUUUGCUGUAGUGUUAAAAGUAUGUGUUGGUCUAAUGGAUCUGAACAAAGGAAAGGAAGUGGAGAGUAUGAUAUAUAGAAUGGGAUUUGAGUCAGAGCUAUCGGUUGCCAAUGUCUUGAUUAAUAUGUAUGGCAAAUGUGGCAGUACGGAAUAUGCUCGUUUAGUUUUUAAUCUAAUGGUCGAGAGAGAUAUUGUAUCCUGGACAUCAAUGAUAUAUUCAUAUGCUAACGUAGGGAAAAUUGAAGAAUCCUUUAUUUUGUUUGAAAAAAAUGAGGUUAGAAGGCCUAAAGCCUAAUGAUUUUACAUGGAAUGUAAUGAUCGCUGGAUAUGCUAGGAGAGGAGACUGUGACACAGCUUUUAUGUUACUCUCAAAAAUGAGUGAAGAGGGGUUGACUCCAGAUUUGGUUACCUGGAAUGCAAUGGUCUCAGGGUAUGUUCAGAGCCGCAGAUCAACUGAAGCUGUAGCAUUAUUGCAGGAAAUGUUGGAUGCUGGAGUGAAGCCUAAUGAAAUCACGCUCACUGGGCUUCUGCCAGUCUGUGGGUUGAUUGACUCUGCAUAUACAGGGAAAGAAAUCCAUGGCUUAGCAUAUAGAUUAGAGCUUUUUGCUAACGUCUUUGUUGCUAGUGCUCUCAUUGACAUGUACAGUCGAUGUGUGAGUGUAGAAGAUGCUUGGAAUGUUUUCAGUUCUAUUCCUUUCAAGAAUGUUGCAUCAUGAAAUGCUAUGAUAAGUUGUUAUGGGAAGCAUGGCAGAAUAGAACAUGCAAUCAAACUUUUUGAGAAGAUGCAGUAUGAAGGAGUGCUGCCAAAUGAAGUAACCUUAACUUGUCUUCUUUCUGCAUGUAGUCAUGGUGGUUUAGUUGAGAAGGGUUUGAAGAUCUUUUGGUCCAUGGAGGAGUCUUAUGGCAUUAGAGCAAGGAAAGAGCAUUAUGCUUGUGUUAUUGAUCUUUUGUGUCGUGUCGGGAGGCUUACAAUAUAGUCAAAGAUAUGGCAAUAGAAGUUACAGAUUCAAUUGUUGGUGCUUUCUUCAGUGGCUGUAAGGUCUAUGCAAGGAGAGAUCUUGCUGAAAAGAUGGCUAAGGAUAUAUUACAGAUGGACCUGAAGAAGCCUGAAGGUCUUGUAGCCCUUUCAAACAUUUAUGCUGCUGAGGGAGAGUGGGAUAAUGUUGAGAAUGUGAGGAACAUGAUGAAGGACAAGGGAUUCAAUAAGAUGCCUGGUUCCAGUUGGUUGUAGAGGAGCAUGAUACACAGAAAUAGAUCUAGGAAUGUGACGCAACAUUUGCUUUUAAACUAUUAGAUAAUGGUAAGAACGUAUAAGAUAUACUUGCGUUGCUUUUUGCAAUAGUGUUGAAAAAUGAUUCAUCAAGGUUUCACUUCCUUUUCAAAAGAACCUAUGUUUCAGGAAUGAGGAAACAUGAUAUAAAUAUACUUCCGCCCUUAACCAUAUGAUCUGAGUUCAAUGCUUUGUGCCUUUACACUUCAUAAGUUGGAAAUGUUGUUCAUCUUGAUGGCAGCUUCAGCUACAUUAAGUGCAAAUCUGUGAAUUCUUCAUCCAUGCCCCUUUGUUUUUAAAAAACAAGUAGAUUCUUACUUGAAUUUCUUCCUUAUUUUGUGCUCCUUGGCUCAAAAAAGAAGUAUACUGUCACUUUGAAGUGGCCUUUUAGUUUGGUCACUUUUAAGUUAUGAUAUUACGCUAUGAAGUCCAAUUUUGGGGAUUGAGGUUUAGUUUGAUCGAUUGACUCUGUUGUCCAUAACUCAAUUAGUAUUUUACUGGUUGUUAGGUUUGGUUGUAUUCUUUGUUCAAUUUUUUCUCUCUCUUUCUUUUCUUGGAUGCAAUCUUGUCCCCGGAACUAGCUGUACAUUGUAUUGUAGAAGUAGCUUAUACUGUUGAAGUGUGAUCAUCUCAUCUAUAAGCUAAAAGUUACGUGGUUAGAGAAGGCAUACUUUUAAUUAUUUAAUUAUAUCAUAUCUCAAUACGCCCCCUUACAUGUGAUUCUUUUUAUUGGGCUAAAUACCUGAAAAUUCCUUACACUGUGCGACUAUCUCACUGUUAGACUGAGCACAUUUUUAAUUAUUUGAUCGUAUUAUAUCUCAAUAAAUUCACUGAGCAGUUGAUUUCAGUUUGCGUUACUAGUUUCCUUUUUUUGGAUCUACUCGAAUAGACUUUCUAAGAAAAGCUUCGUUUUUUUUUAAAAAUAAUGUCAAGACAAUUGAGGAUCCAAAAUAAGCUAACUUUUCAGGUAAUAUAUUUAAUAUUACAAAAUCAAAAACUAAUUUAGCAUAUUUUUUAUUUAAAAUCAUAAAAUUCAAGAAAAAACAAUUUUAGAGUCUGUUUGGAAAGUCAUCCGAUAAUUGAAAUUGAUGUAAUUAUUAUGAUAGUAAUUACCAAUCUAGUAAUUACACUAACCUGUUUGAUUGCCACAGUAUAAUUACCUUUGUCAUGUUUGAUUGGAUUAAUGUAAUUACACAACUAAGUUUUAAAAGAGUUUAACUACUAUCCACCGACGGUGGACAAAAAAUUACACGGGCAUAUUAUUUUUGGAAAUAUUUAAUUUUUUUAAUUAAUAUAUUUUAAUAUUAUUAAUAUUAAAAUAAAAAUAAUAACAGAGUGUUAUAUGGUAACUUGAAUUAUAAAUUAAUUGUACAAAUUUAAUUAGGAUUCUUAUUUGUCUUACCAAAAAUAAAAAAUACAUAAUUUCUUGUGUUUUCUUAUUGGAAAGCACUUCAAUCCUUCAAAGAAAAUCAUUGCCAACAUAUUAUUUUUUUUAUAAGAACCGGUACUUGUUGCCAUUGAAGCAAUGCUAGCAAAAUAUUAAUAUGAAACUAUUCCAGAAACAUAAAGUGCAACAAAAUCAACAUACAAACUUAUAAGAGUAAGCAAACAAAAUCAAACACUAUUAAAUACGGCCCAUGAUUUAAUCACAAUUGCAUGCUUGGUUACAAAUUUUAUUCUUUCGGUGAAAAUUUUUUGUUGCUAUACGUUGUUAUUGCUGCUGCUAUGUAUCAGAGAGUGGAGUAUCCUUGCUAACAUAUAUGAAGGCAUAAAAGAGUAACUAAUUCACUAUGAAUAAAAACACAAUCAACAAAAAAAACUAAAGCUAAAACUCUGAGUUAUUGUAUGUAAACUUAAAAGAAAAAAAAGUCUUGAACAAAAAAUAUCCCUAGAUUUAUAUUCUGCCAAAGAAAGAAAACAGAACAAAAUGAAUUUUGAAUAAUUGUCUCUCUAGACAUCCUUUAUAGUUUUAAAUUCCACAAACUCCAAGUCACCUUGUAGAUUAGAAACCUCUUUGAUAUGGAUACGAAGUUGCUCUCAUCAAAUCCUGAAACAGUAAUUGUUUACAAAUGCAUAUAUGCUAUAAAUAAAAUACAUACAAGCGCAGUAAAAUAAACCCACCAUAAAUGAGGUUGGAUAUGAAUCAGCACGACUACUUUGCCCUUCAAAAGGUUCUGAAUAUGCUGAGAAUUCCUUUAAAAAUGAUUAAAUAAAAGAAAAAUUUGUUAGCUAAAAAGAGAAUGAUACAUAAGAAUAAGUCUUAGUCAAAAUUCACAUAAUUUAUCAAAAUAAAACCUUACCAUUGUAGGAUCUGCAUUAAUGAUUGUUUCCCUGCUAUUGAAUUCCUUUUCAACAUUAAUGUGCGAACUGAAAAUUAAGCAAAUAAUUGAAAUAUGUGAUUUAUUCAAUGAAUUCACAUUAAAUUAAAGAUCAAACUAUAAAAUUACCUUACUCCUUUGCCUUUUUUUCUGAUUUUGGUUUCUCUUUUUGAUUUCAGCGAAGAGCUUCUUUUAACCUUCUGAGAACUUUCUAAACCACUUUUCAUUCUCAAAGAACGAGGACGUCCUUUAGUAGCCACGCAUGGAGGGUCAAGCAAACUAAAUUUUUCUCUUUGUUCACUUGAGUUCAAAUCAUUAUUUGACUCGUUAACUUGAUCAUCACAAACAUUAUCAUUAUCCUCAUAUGGAAGUUCAUCAAGUUCUUUACUUAGUUGCAACAAUUUCUGAUAUGUAAAUUUAUAAUGCUUUUCUGAACGAGUAGCUCGUUCAGAGAGCCCAAGAGAAUGUGUCAUAAUGUUAUUAAACCAUAUAGUAGAAGACUUCAAAUUAUACGCAAGUGAUCCUGCACUUGAAAUGUCAUUAGCUUUUUCUGUAGUUGCAUACCUUGUCCAUCGAUCCAAUAAAUAACAUGGUGGAAGCGAGUGAAUCUGUUUCUUUAUAAAUAUCAUAAGCACAUGUCUACACAAAAUUCCCAUGAACUCAAACUUAUGACAAGAACAAGUAGCAUUCUUUAAUUCAAGAUUCAACCUAACAAUAUAUGUCGGUGUUUCUCUCUGAAACAAAUGCACUUUAUAAAUAUGUAUCCCAUCCUGAACCUCAAUUUUUUCUGAAAUAAAUUUUUGAGAUUGAAUUAACUCUUCUUGAAAUUUUUGAAAUAUUUUUCUGGUAUAUAUUUUGGCUGCUUCAUCCUCCGUUGGAUAUAAUGUUUUCAAGAUAGCCUUUGAAUGCUUUGUCUUAUAAUCCUUCUCCCUUACUUUGUCAUACCUAGCGUCAACAACUUUAUCAUAUUGCGUCACAAAUACACUCAUUGGCGUACUAGAGUUAAGAUAAUCUUUAAAGUAUUUAUUCAUACUUUCACUUCUUUGAGUUGUUGACAUUCCAGCACAAAAAGUAGUUCGCACAUAUGCUGGAAUCCAUUUCUCGCGAAUGGUGUAUAUCUUACGCAACCAAAUAUGCUCUUCUAAAUUGUACAUUUUCAUUAUAUCGAUCCAAGCAAUUUCAAAUUCCUCAGGAGUUGUUGUACAAUGUAAACACUUACUAAACUUAUUUUUAAAAUCAUCAAAUGCAUGAAAAACAUGACUUAGAUAUUCAGGAAUCUUCUUCUCAAUGUGCCACAUACAAAAAUGGUGUGCACUAUUCGGGAACACCUUUGCAACUGCAUUUGUUAUUGCAGCAUCUUGAUCUGUGAUUAUUGUACGAGGGGAAAUACCAAACAUUGCCUCUUGCCAAGUAUGAAGUAACCACUGAAAAGUUUCUUCCGUUUCAUCCCAAAGAAGAGAACAUCCAAAUAAAAUGGAUUGGUGAUGGUUAUUAACUCCGGUAAAUGGAACAAAAGACAUCUUAUAUUUAUUUGUCAAGUAUGUAGGAUCAAAUAGGACAACAUCUCCAAAAUUCUUGUAAGCUAUCCUAGACCUAGCAUCUACCCAAAAACAAUUAGCUAAAUGACCCUCCACAUCCAUUUGUAUUGCAUAAAAGAAUCCUGGGCUAUCAGAUUGUCGCUUUUGAAAGUAUUUCAACAUCAAUUGUGCAUCUCCUUUCUCAAGACAAUUUUGCCUUUUAGUGCUCAAAUAAUUCUGAAUAUCUCGUCCAGUUAUAUUGAGAUUCUCUAUGCCUCCCGCCUGAGUAGUUAAUACUGAUGCGAUUUUACUUGGACGAAUACCAGAAUUAUUUAAGAGAUCAAUAAGAUUUUUUUGAGCCUCUGAUUUUUUUCUUUUUGAUCGCAAGAAUUUCUGACUAUUAGGAGAAGCAAGUUCAUGAUUAUGAUUCAAGACAAGCCUAGCUAUAACCCACUUUUCUUCUUCUUUCUUUGACAUAUAUAUCAUCACUUUGCACCCCUCUCUAGUCUCAUCUCGUUGCUUAUUACUCUCAAGACAUUUUUUUGAACGAAAUCCUUCUUUUGAACAAACAAACUCUUGACCAAUAAUGGAUUUAUCUUUUCUUGAUCUACUAAUUCGAUUUUUUGCCCACACUAAAACCAUUACGAUGAGCAUAAUCAAGAUAAAAUUUAAAUCCAGUAUCAAGUGAUUGAAAUUCCAUACCGAUGUAAGGCUCUCUUAAUUCUUGCUCACCUAGUUGAGGAACAAAAGAUACAACUGCAUUCAUGUUGCUUUCUAUAUCCUCCAAGGAAUCUUCAAUUCCUUCUGCAUUUUGCUCUUCUAAAUUAGAGAUUUCAAAAGUUUCCUGCAAUACACAAUUAUUAGAUAUUAGACUGAUAGGGUAAGUUAGCUUUAAAAUUUUAAAUAUUUUUCAUGGCUAAUGUAUUGAACUUCUUCAAUUUGCUAAAAAGUUCUUAAACGUAUUCUUUAAAUAUCUUCAUCACUACAAAACAUAAAUUUCCUCAUACAUUAAAACAAGAAUAUUUCUUUGAAACGUUUAUUCAUGUUGCGAAAAAGACUUAAUAAGUUAUGUAAAAAAAGAUAUACGAGGAAAACGCUACCAUGAUAAUUGUUUCAAAUUGCUUCAAUGGUGGAUAGUUGGUUGCUUCAAUGGUUUAUGUAGAAAAAGAAGAACGUUAAUACAACUAAGAAAACACAAGAAAUUAUGUAUUUUUUAUUUUUGGUAAGACAAAUAAGAAUCCUAAUUAAAUUUGUACAAUUAAUUUAUAAUUCAAGUUACCAUAUAACACUAUGUUAUUAUUUUUAUUUUAAUAUUAAUAAUAUUAAAAUAUAUUAAUUAAAAAAAUUAAAUAUUUCCAAAAAUAAAAUGUCCGUGUAAUUUUUUUGUCCACCAUCGGUGGAUAGCAGUUAAACUCGUUUUAAAAUAAAUCAGAUUUUGAAUAAAUAAUAUUACAGCUUCAUUAAUUAAUGUAUACAAAGUUUUCUUCUAGCCACAAUGACAAACAAAAUAAUGAAACUCAUCAUGCCAAAAUAUUAUUGAACUUAUCAUGCCAGCUUUGUAACUUCAUAUUUUAUGUGCAUCAUUUUCCAUAUAUAGCUGCAAGCGAUGUUUUUAGAGAAUAAGAUAAAUGAGCCACAAAAGUUUAAAGAAAGCACGUGAGAUAUCCAUAAAAAUCAAUUUUUUUUACAUAAAUCUCAAGGUACCUCAAGUGAGUUAGAAAUUGUAUCGCACUACGCCAAGAAUUUGAGGUUUGCAUCUAGAAAAUGUAACAAGUAACUUCUGAACAAGCUAAGUCUUAGUUUUACAAGUAAAUGUAAAACAUUUGUUACAACUUUGCAAGUAAGCCUGCCACCUUACAACACAGGGCUAAAAACAGAAGGAUGUCCAUGUAUAAUCUUCAAAUGAAGAAAUACAGAUUCAAGAAUGGCACAACUGAUUACGAAAUGAGAAUUAUGCACCUAAAUGAAAAGGGAAUUGGAUCGUCUAUGUAACUUGAAGCCGUCAUAUCUUACAUGAAGCUAUUCUGAAGUAUCCACUACUUCUUCUCAUUAGUCUUCUUCUUGAAUGACCCACUUCGUGCUGCUUUUGUUUUCGUCCACUCCUUCAUUAAAGCAGCACUCUUCAUGAAAGAACAAGUUUCGUUGUAGUUAGUAUCUCCUACAAGUGCUUGUUUUGAUGCAGAUACAUGUUCCUUUUCGGGGGUUGGAGCACUGGCUUCAUUCUUCUUUGUUUCUUUCUGCUGAUAGUUGUUCAACACUGGAAGCUCUUUACUGAAAUGAACAUUAUUCUGCUUCUCAACAGAAACAUCUUGCGAAACACUUUUAUCCAUGCUGUAGAUUUUUGUGCUUUUCCGGUCUCUCCUAUCACUGGCAACUCUGGUUUUGGAAGACAUAGACCAGGCAAAAUUUGCGAAAUGCUGAAAGAACUUCUGGUGGCAUCACGAACCAAUUCUGUCCAUGAAGAUUUUUGUCGCCAUGCAGCACCUCUGACAUAAAUAUCUACAGGGCUAUUGUCAGUGGCAAUUUUAUCCAGCUCCUCGUGCUGAUCUGAUACUUUCUCUUCAUAUUCAACUUUAUCCAGCUCUUCGUGCUGAUCUGAUGCUUUCUCGUCAUUUGAUAAUUCAUCUUCAGAUUCAACUUUAUCCAGCUCUUCAUGCUGAUCAAAUACUUUCUCAUCGUUUGAUACUUCAUCUUCAGAUUCAACUUUAUCCAGCUCUUCAUGCUGAUCUGAUACUUCCUCAUCGUUUGAUACUUCAUCUUCAGAUUCAACUUUAUCCAGCUCUUCAUGCUGAUCUGAUACUUCCUCAUCGUUUGAUACUUCAUCUUCAGAUUCAACUUUAUCCGGCUCUUCAAGGUGAUCUGAUACUUUCUCAUCGUUUGUUACUUCAUGUUUUUCGUCGGAGGAGAACUCACUAACACCAUCAGAACCAGACUGCAUCUCUUUAACGGGAAUAGCACUCGGCAAAAUAUCCAAUACACUGAAUGAAGCACCACUAUUAGCACUAACAAGAUCUUUCCAUGGAGACUUCUUUGGCAAUUUGGCACUUCUAUUUAAUAGUUGGCUAUCUCGUGUGACUUCCAAACUCUGCUUUGCUUCAGCUUUAGACAACAACGUAUGUGCCUCACCAUCUUUAACCUCUGAAGGUGCUUUACGCUUUCUGUUUGAGGGCAUCGUCUUUCCUUGCUUUUGUUUAUCCGUAGCAAGUCGUGAUUCCUUGGAUAGCAAAUUCUGUUCACACGACACCCAUAAAAAGGAAAAAGUAAACUAAGAUGCUUAUACCAUGAGCAGGGAAAAUAAAAAAUAGAACAUAACAGAAUAUGAACCUGAAUAGCUGCAACUGCUUCCAGGGUUGGAUCUUUGAACAUAGUGUUUCUAUCCUGCCACUACAUUGAUAAUAAGGUUGUCAUCAUCGUUAUCCAUUUCUUGGUCAACAAAAUCUUCAUUAGCCUGAAUAGCUGUCAUUGCUUCCUGGAUUGGAUCUUUUACCAUAAUCAUUCUAUCGUUUGCACCAGCCACCAUAUUGAGAAUGAGGUUAUCAUCAUCUACCAUUUCUUGGUUGACUAGAUUCUUGUCAUUCUGCAAAUGAUCAACUGUACCAUUUGAGCUUUGAACUUUCUUAGAUAAUUUAAAAUCCCUAGGGGUUUCCUCAGAAUAGUUCUCCCUCUCAAAAAUUCUGUUCAACACUGAAUUCAUAAUGUUCAGCUCUUUCUCAUCCAUUCCACCAUCCUUUGAGUCAUAAUUACAAAGUGAUUUUUGCUUGUCCGUAUGAGUAGUAUCAGAGUGCUCUUCACAAUCACAAAAAUGGAUAGAUAAGGAAGGAACUUCCACUCGCUGAAAACUGCAUUUAUGCUUGCCAGUUCCUCUAAGAGACACUGGUUUAAUCUGCACAAAGAGAUUCCAGAAGCAUGAUUCUUGACGUAAUAAAAAACAUAGGCCUUACUAAAAGAGAUUGAAUUCAAAUGUAAACCAUGCAGUCACCUUUCCCGCCAUACGUCAUCUAAGAAUAAUUGUAUCAAGAGAAGCACGUCAUAACCAAGCACACGGAAAAAAUGCUUUACCUUUCCUAAUUUUGGGAAGUAAAUCCGAAUUUGCGCUUCAUCCAAUUUGGAGCCUUUCUUCUGACUUUUCAGGGAGUCCGUCCUUUCAGCUUCAGUAACAGGAAGAUGGGUCGAAGUAGUGGCAAGUGUAGCAUCUUCUUCCCACUCACGUUUCAUACGAAGAAAAAAGUGUUCCUUUGCCUUCUCUAUUCUAAGCCUCCCACCUUUCCACAUGCAUCAAUUAUACUGCAGAUCAAAAUUGGAUUAGCACCACUAAGCAUCAAGGUGAUACCUUAGGAGUAGAUUUUAAAAGGAAAGACUCCAUUCACUUGCUGCAAAUUGAUUAAGUUAUCCUAAUAACAAAUGUUUUGGACGGCAAAAGGUGACAAGGGUCUGCCUCGUCAUAAGGCGAGGCGAGGUGCUCGCCUCGCCGCUCUCCUUUUGAAAGUGCGGCAUCAAUUAAUACCAAAAGUUAAAAUAUGUAAUUGCAUAUGUAAAUAAUCAAAAUCUCAAAAGCAAUAACAUAUUAGCAAAUAUUUCAAUUCAAAAACUGAAAAUAGAUAGUACUUACUAAAAGUCUAUAACUUGAAUGAGAGAAAAAAAACAUAACAAAAGUCAAAACAAAGGUAGAAGUGAUUUUAAAGUCUGAAGAAGGAAAAAGAAAAAGAGGAAGAAGAAAUAUAUAUUGGUUAGACUUUGGAGUCGCCGGAAAAGCCUGGCUAAUUGCCAGAGGAGUCUAGUCGAAAAUCCCACAAUUACCUUUUAACUUUUAAAAUCCUAAAUUGAUCGCUUCUUUUUUUAAGAAAAUACAAAAGGUGACGCCUUUCUUGCCUCUUGCCUCUCGCCUUUUGUCAUCAUGGCAUCGCCUUUUGAAGAUCGCCACAAAGCUAAAAGGUGAUGAAGGGUCGUCUUGCCUCUCGCCAUUGACAACAAGGUGAUCGCCUUACACAACACUGCUAAUAACGAAGAGACACUUUGAUAUUAUGUGAUACUAAUGGUUACAAGGCCGAACGAUCCACCACAGAUAAACAACAUACAGUAAUGUCUUGCAGCACCCAAGGGAAGGGUGCAAAUGUAAUGAACACCUAAUGAGAUACUGCACUCACUGACAAGAGUUGGGCUGUUUGCUUCACAAAAACUCUAAAAUACACUAGCAUUCCUACACUCCAAACCUCUCUAAUAUGCUUAAGGAAUUCUGUCACCUCAACUUCCAUACAUGACUAAAUAAGUUAGGAGUCUUUAUCCAGGUUCUUAACCUCCUUCUCCAACUAAGGUGCCGGCUACCAUUCUUUAUGUUAUUCAUCUUUUAUCCUAGACUAGAAAUGCUACGCUAUUUGCACCAAUUCUUAUAUCUAUGCAAUGAAAACAGACAAUUUAGCAUAGUACGCACGCACAACUAAAGUGAGAUACGGAAAGCUUUAAGUUUAUACCGUGCUGGAAAGUUUGGGUAGGGAUUUGUCGGAAGAAGGAAGUAAAUCCAAGUAAGCAAAGCUGCGGCCUUUGGUUCGAACGAUGUCCAUAGAUUCCACUUUUCCGAGUUGUGGUGUUGAGAAUGUCUUCUUCAAAUCCUCAGCCGUCACACUUUCGCCUAAACCACCAACAUAAAUCUUACACUUUUCUUCGUUAAUUCAUUGCCUCCUUCGCCCGUCACCAUCUCUGCCUGUGCCGCCAUGUGCAACGCAAUCAAGCUCCUUGGUCUGAAACCUAAUGCGCUUUGUUGAGGAAAACGAAGGUGUAAAUUACACUUCUGACACUACUACAGUAUAUUAAAGAAUGAACCUUUUUUUUUUAACAAUGGAGCUGUAUUUUGUUUACUCUAGGGUUAGGGGCAUUUUAGGGUUUUCAAUUAUUUUUAGUAUUAUUAUUCUUUUACAAUAAUGAUUUAUCAGGCUGUACUUUUUUUAAAAGUCAAAAAAAACUUGAGCUAAAUCUGAAUAUUUUUGGCAUUUACAUAUUUUUAUCUGUUGUUGCCUUUUGUAAUUUGUGAAUAAAAAGUUGAACGAUCUCUUUAAUGCCCUCACGUCUUCAAGAAGAGUCUUUUCUCCAUAAACUAUACUGCUCUUUCUUGCCCAGUUUACAGGUAAGUUCCCCCUCUGUUUUUUCCGUUUUUUUUUAAUUAGUUGGUUUUUUCCCUUAUGGAUUUGAAUAUGGCCAAAAGAGAAGUAAUGAUGAUGGUGAUAGGCUGCUUGUAAGCAUUUCAUUUGUUUGAUUUUACGAGAUGUACAACUUUAAUGUUGUGCUGACCUUUUUCUGCUUGAUUUUUGUUUGCAGUUGUAAUUGCUACUAUUAAGUUUUUCUUUUUGUUUUGGUGAGAUGGAUUAUUGUAUUUCUUGAAAGUUAAACACUUGAGAUUAAACCAUUAUCUUUUGGCUUUUCUUGAUUGUGAAGAUAUGAGUUCCUUAUGCUAAGCAAACCUUUUGAAUUACAAUUUCAGGUAACCACUUUUAACCAAAGACCUUGUACACAUUCUCGAGGGCAGUAUUCAUGUCAAAGAAUUCUUGGUAUAAUAUAGAUACAAAAUAGUUCUACAAUGUUGAAUUGAUACUCAAUAAAGUUAGAGUGUUUUUUAUUAUUUACUAUGCUGGCAGGAGUUAAUAAUACUUGAUGAAAUAGUCGAGGGGUGUGCAAGUUGGUCCAAACAGCACCAUCAAUACCUCAUAUAAAAAGAAGUUACAUUUAUAGAAGCACAACCCAGAAGGUGAACUUCUCAUAUUUUCAUGUAGGACAAAUCUCAAUUGAUUAUUUCCAUUUCUUUGUGUAGAUGUGGAUAAAUCAUACACUGUUGUAUUACUACCCAAUAGUUAGUGAAUUUACCAUUUCAUGUAUUUUAGUAUAGUAUGUGGAUCAUGUCAGUAAAGAUUCUCAAGCAAUCCACUGCCAAGUUCAUAUAAAUAGUCAAGACAUGCAUAGGUAUCAAUGUUUUGGUUAAUAGUUAUGGUUCUGCACAGUUGCAGAUGCAAAAUAAACAUUGAAGGAAGGGAUUUAGUGUCUUAAACUUCUAUCAUGAGUAGUUGAGCAAAUAUAUUUUUUCAGUGCCAUAAUCUCUCUCCAAUUUCUGCAGGAGCAUGAAUGUGUUAUAAAUUUUUUUUAGUUUUGUUUUGGUGGAGGGGGAACGGAGCUCGUGGGGGAGUGAAUUAACUAGAGAAGUAGCAAAUAUAGUAUUUGACAUUUUUCUUGGGUAUAAGAUAGUUGCUGUUCGUUGAGCUGUCUGGUUGGCUUGUUGAGCAUGUAGAGAAAAUUGGGACCCCAUAUAGCUAUUACCUGCUUCUACCAGGAAAACUCUCCAAGGCAUGGAGUUGCAAGGUGGAAAAAGCGUAUUAGUUCCCACGGAAGUGUUCUGAGAUUUAUGGCAUAGUUGUAUAAUUGUUUCUAAAUACUUGGUGCCACCCCCAGCUUUACUAUGCUUUGAAUUGGGUGUCCCGCUCAGUAUUUUAACCAUGAUAACUGUGUGUCUUGUUUCUGUUUGUCCACAUCCCUUUGGUUUUCAUGUAGUUGUUCUACUUCUUCUUGUCUGGAUUAACUCAAUGUUCUUAUAAUCCAGAUGCUAAGGUCUAGGAUGUGAUGAGGUGGAACAAAGAUGAAAGUCGUUGCUUACUAUUUCUGGUCAGGCGCUUUUCUAGAUCUGUGGGCCAUUCUGCACAAGCAUAUCGUUGUGAACCUGUGAUUCGAGUGUCAAACAAUAUUACACAUUUAGGCCGUCAAAAGGAUGGUGUAAAACCUAGCCAGCUAUUGUCUUUACCUCCAUUUCCUGGCUGUCCUUUGCCAGGAAAGAAAGUGGCCACCGGUCCUGACCAACCAUCUUGUCAUGUUACUGCCAUUAGCUGGAUCAAAUACUACUUUGAUGAGAUACCAGGCUCGGUCAUCCAAUCCCAUUUUAAUAAGGGCCUCGUAAGUAUUCUUAUAUGUAUUCCUUCCCCUAUAUGAGUUAUUGUGAUGUUUCUUCAAUUAAAUCUCCACCUAGUCAAUGCAUGGUAGUUCCGUUUUCUGUGUUUAUUAAAUUACAUUCCUCUCCUAGGGAUUCCUGCAACAACUAGUAAGGGUUCAAAUCCCAACAGAGAUAAACUACUAAGUGAUUUAAUCACUAGAUGGAAAGAAAUCACCUAGAAAUCACAGGUCUUGUUGGGACAGAGUUACCGGUACUUGUGCUGGUGGGAGGUAGCAGCCUAGCAGGUAUCUUAUAAAAUAGUCGAGGUGCAUGCAAACUGGCCUGGACACCACUGUUAUUACUGUUACCAAAAAAUGUUGCUACGUGUUUAAUGUUAGCAUAGUGCUUGUGACGAAGUGUUAUGUAGAGAGACUUAAACAACAUGCAAGUCACAAGGGUCAGUUUUUGGAUAACUAAUGACAAUUUCAUUUGAACACUGAUCAAUGACAUAUUAUUCAUCAUCCUAUAGUAUGUCAACUUGCAAUUUUCUUGUUCUUAGUCUUUAUAUGUGCUGAUGGCUAGUUCGGAAAUAGUAUCUAACUUAAUCUGGUCUGAUUUUACUAUAUCGUUUUAUCACCACAACAUCAAGAAGAGAUAUAUUAUUUCAUAAGGUAGAGUAAAUCUGUUACAUGUGCAUCUGUUUGGUCCUCUUCUCCUACGGCUAAAAUAUGAUCUUUAUCUUACCCUUUUGAAGGGUCUAAUGGCUAUACUGUCUUGAGUUUGCUGUAAUGAAUAUGAAUAUAGCAGCAGUAAUCUUAUUUCUCUUUAUUUACAGGUGCAGUUAGAGUUAAAUGAGUUAUUUACAAGCAAGGAAGGACAAACUAGAUUGUUGAGGAAGGUAUUGAUACUUGUAUGAGUCUAGCAGUAUAAACUUCAUUUUGAUGUUAAAAGUAUACAAACAUCAAGAGACAAGGGGCUUUUUCAAUUUGUUUUUGGACCCUGUGCUACAAGCCUCCAACUCCCAAUGGAUUCCCCUAUCUUAUAAUUUCAGAAUGAAUUUACAGAUUAAGCAUUCCGAGGUCAUGGAAGUUGGUGCAAGAAUUCAUGUGCCCAUAUCUGUUGCUGAAACAAGAAUAUCAAAACGAUAUGAUGUUAUACCUAGUGGCACUUUGUAUCCUAAUGCUGAUGAAAUAGCAUACUUGCAAAGGCUUGUAUUUUACAAGGUAUAUGUUCAUUUAUUUGAUUCUUCUCUGUAAAUUUUACAUUUGAUUUCUACUAUUUCUGGUGAUAAAAGAUUACACAGCUACUGUGGUUGCUUUUUCUGCUUCUUAAGUUCAUUUGGUGGAGCUAUGCACCAAAGGUUAUUCGUGUUUCCUGUAGUUUAUUGAUUGUUCAAAUUGUAGGAUCCCGCCAUACUUGUUCUAAACAAGCCCCCUAAGCUGCCUGUAAAGGUUUGUUUCUAGGUGUUCUUUAUUGCAUGAUCUUGACUAGCACAUUCUUCAGCCCUUUUUUCAUUUCUGAUUAUUAGACUGAUUACAGGGAAACCUUCACGUGCAUAAUAGCAUGGAUGCCUUGGCAGCCGCAGCAUUGUCUUAUGAAUAUGAUGAGGGUCCUAGGCUGGUAAGUAAGCAUAGCGAAUAUGCUAUUAAAUAAACGUUGAAGAUCUCUUCUAAUUUUUCUGAAGAUAUCCUGGUGCAUUUAGUCAAAAAUAGGAGUUAUAUUUGCUGGUGAAGAAGCAAUUGUGGUGGUUGGACAUUUAAGCUGUUGACGUUAAUUUGGAAUUAUGUUCAGCUUUGGUGAUUACUGCAUAUAUUGUCAAGGUACAUCGUCUUGAUAGAGAGAGCAGUGGCCUUCAUUUAAUGGGAAGAACGGAAGAAAGUAUCUCCCAUCUUCAUUUAUUGUUCAGCAACACAAAAAGGUCCAAGUCCCUAUCUAAGGUACUUAAUCUACAACCUAUGCACCAUCUUCAUUUUUCGUUUGGCUUUUCUUUCAUUCCCUCUUCAAGGGAGAGAGGGUUGGUAUGUUGUUGUGGGUGAGAAUACCUGUUUUGACUUCACUAGUUAAGUUUUUUUUGAUGCAUAAAGCUCUGACUGUCAUCAGGCAUGGAAUGAUGCAUGUGGGUCAACAUAUCAGAGGUAUUGGGCAUUGGUAAUAGGUUCCCCCAAGGUGAAGGAAGGCGUGAUCUCUGCACCACUUACAAAGGUUUUCCACUUCUGUUUCUUACAUUUGCAGGCUUUGGUCAAGUAGAAUGACUGUUCAUUGUGCUUGUUCGUUGAUUUCAGGUGCUUCUUGAUGAUGGUAGAACUGAGAGAGUCAUGUUGGCUCAACAGUCGGGAUUAGAAGCUUCUGAUGAGGCUGUUACCGAAUAUCGACUGCUUGGUCCAAUGAUCAAUGGAUGCUCAUGGAUUGAGUUGCGCCCUCAUACAAGUAGAAAACAUCAGGUUCCUUGGACCUUUUCCUUUUAUGAUCCCUGUAAAAAAACAGUUGAGCUUUUAAAUUGUGGAGAGAUGCAUAUCGGCAUUUAAGUUGCGAUCCCUAUGAAACCAGUGGUUCUUCUAAGUUGUGGUUAUGUAAGUUGUGGAAAGAUGCAUAAAGUUUUUUUCUGAAUGUAGUCCCUAAGUUAGGACCAUUAGUAGGUCCAAGUAGAAAAACUUGUUUGAUGAAACCCAAAAUGAGAGCAAGAGGAACUGAUGAAGAUGCUUCCAUAAAUCAGUAUUAAUGAAUUAUGAUGAGUAUAUGUCUAGCAUGUUGUUUUUUCCACUAUUAUAAGCAUCUCAACUAGUGAGGAUAGCCAAUACAAACGACAGCAUUAAGUGUGAGGAAGAUGCUGCUUUACUACUGGAGAUUUCGUGUGCGCCUAUCCAGUGUUGGAUGCCCAACUCAACUGUAACUGAGAAGACCAUAUUUUUCUUUCUGCUUGUUAAAAGUUGGCAAGGGAAGAGAAUAGGGAAAAAUUAUACUGUUUUCUGUUACUUUGCAGCUUCGAGUUCAUUGUGCUGAAGCCCUUGGAACUCCAAUUGUGGGCGACUACAAGUAUGGUUGGUUUGUCCAUCGCAAAUGGAAGCAGAUGCCGAGAGUAGAUGUUGAGCCGAUAACAGGUAAACCCUACAGAUUAAAGAGGCCGGAAGGUUUGGAUGUUCAGAAAGGAAGUGUCUUGUCUAAGGUCCCUUUGUUACAUCUGCAUUGUAGGGAGCUUGUGCUCCCAAAUAUUGCCAAAUUUAUUGAGCUUCACAGUCGAAAAACAAGAAAAAACACAGAUUAUAGCUCAAAACCAGAUCUCCUCCGGUUUGUAGCACCGAUGCCAUCUCCCAUGAAAAUUAGUUGGAAGCUUAUGUCCUCUUGCUUGAUAUGAACAUAACAAGUAAUAGCAAUAAAAAGCUACUACUUGUUAUGUUGUUGUUCUACUUGAUUAUUUCCUCAAGCUAAUAUUGGAGGUUUAAUGUGUACAUAUUCUAUAUUUUUUGGAAGAAGCUAUUUCAUAUAUAUUUCUAGUGAUGGAUCUAUCUUAUGAUACAAUUCAAUUCAUCUUCUUAGAUAUUUUGAUUAAAAUUAUAUUCAAACAAAAGAAUAUCACUUUAUAGAUUGAAUUAAAUUAAUAUAUUGUAUACAUCUGGAAAUCUCAAAUAGGAAAGAUAAAUGAAUAAAGAAUAGAAAAGACAUAAAAGCACCAUUGAAGUUAUUUCGAAUUUUUAAAAAGACUCCUUAACUUUGCGGACAUCCUAUUACCCCUUAAACAAUUUCAAAGUAUUGUAAAUAUCUCAUUUUGUGUAAUACAUUCUCUCUUUUGUUAGUUGUAGAAAGUUAUUGCUUUAAAAUAGAAAAAUAUAUGAAUGACCCGAUAUCAAAAAAAUAAAUGAAAUCUCACACACUUUUUGUUGAUAGGACAUUUAUCAUAAUAAAAAAAAAAAUUCUUACGAAUAAAGCGAGAAUUCAAAGUCAACCAACUAAACUAAUUAAAUUCUCCCGUUAAGAUUUAUUCAUUUCAAUAUUUGAAAUGUUUAUAAUAAAUACUUUUGAUUCAAAUUAGUUCAAGUAAGCCUUAAAACUUCAUUCAUGUAACAACUGAGAUGAUGUAUAUAAUUAAAAGUGAUGUACAUUUCAACUGAUUAAUUUAUCCACUCCAUACAUUUUAGAAUUUUAGAUUAUGCCCAAACUGUUCUUUUACAAAAUUUAGCUCAAAAGUUAUCAUGGCAUUUUAGACUAAGGUCUAAGGUGAACUGAAAAUGGCCAAAUCAUAAAAUGGGAAAAAGAAUCAAAAGGUUCAUAUCAACUUUAUCAUCACCAUUUUCAGAAGUUCACAACACAAUCAAACAGUUGGUUGUGAAGGGAAAAUAUGAUCAAGCCCUUGAGCUCUACACUGCAAAAGUUCACUGCUCUCAUACAAGUAGCACCUUCCUUCUUCCUUCAAUCAUCAAAGCUUGUGUUCAUGAUCAAUUAUUUGGUUUUCAGCUUCAUAGCUAUGUCCUCAAAAAUGGGUAUUCAUCAGAAUCUGCAAUAUCUAAUUCUCUUAUAUCAAUGUAUGCGAAAUUCUUCGAAACAAAAACUGCGUACCAACUGUUUGAUACAAUGCCGGAUAGAGAUAUCAUCUCCUGGAAUUCAAUGAUAAAUUGCUAUUAUAUGAAUGGAUAUUUGUUAGAAUCAUUGGAGUUGUUUAAGGAGAUGUAUAAUGUACAUGGUUUUGUGCCAAAACCUGAGUUAAUUGCUAGUGUUGUACCUGCUUGUGUUCAGACCAAGAAUUUUAAACUAGGAAGAGCUAUCCAUGCUCUUACAAUAGUUGAUGAAAGAAUGGAAACUUCGAUUCUCUUGACAACUGCUUUGGUAGAUUUUUAUUGGAAAUGCUGUGAGCCAGAUUUGGCUUUUCUUGUUUUUCAGAGAAUGGAAGUGAAAAAUGAAGUCUCCUGGACUGCCAUGAUAUCUGGAUGUGUAGCUGAAAAGUUGCAUAUAGAAGCGGUUGAAUUAUUUCGUUCAAUGCAGUUUGAAAAUGUUAAACCAAAUAGAGUUACAUUGACUAGUCUAUUACCAGCUUGUGCUGAGUUGAAGUAUGGAAAAGAGAUUCAUGGAUAUGCAUUUCGUCAUGGGUUUGACUCGGAUGCUAAAUUUUCAUCUGCUGUUGUACACAUGUAUUCUGGAUGUGGGGGAGCACUGCAGACUAUAAAGAAUGUAUUCGAUCGGUCAACUAAAAAAGAUGUGGUAAUGUGGACUGCUCUCAUAACGAGCUAUACUCGAAAUAAAUCUAGUUGUCGAGAAGCUAUAAAGCUUUUCAAUGAGAUGUUGCUGAGUGGAAUUCAACCAAAUGAUGUUACUUUAUUAGCACUAAUUUGUGCUUGUACUAAUCUACUAUCGGUAUGCCAUGGGCGAGGAAUGCAUGGAUAUGCUUUUACAAGUGGUCUUAGUUCACAUUUGUUCAUUGGUAACUCCCUCAUAAACAUGUAUUCAAAAUGUGGUUUUUUGAAGGACUCCGCUCAAGCUUUCCAGGAGAUGUCUAUAAGAGAUUCUGCGUCAUGGAGUGCCUUAAUCAAUGCUUAUGGGACUCAUGGUUUUGGAGAUAAAGCGUUGGAACUUUUUAAUGAAAUGAAAGAGAGUGGGAUAAAGACUGAUUCAAUUGCAUUACUUGCUAUUCUAUCAGCAUGUAAUCACUGCGGUCUUUUUGAGGAAGGAAAGGAGAUCUUUGAUGAAGCAUCAAAGGAUAGAAGUUGCUCAAUUACUGUGGAGCUCUAUGCUUGCUACAUUGAUCUCCUGGGAAGGGCAGGUAAGCUAGAAGAUGCCAGUGAGGUCAUUAGCAGAAUGCCUAUUAAACCUACCAACAGAAUUUGGAGCUCCCUGAUUUCUUCUUGUAAAUUACAUGGAAGACUUGAAGUUGCAGAGCGUUUGGCUCAUAAACUCGCCAAAUCUGAACCUGAAAAUGCUGCUAAUUAUGCUUUGUUAAGCUUGGUAUAUGCUGAAUCUGGAAACUGGCCUGGGGUGGAAGAUGUAAGGCGAGACAUGAAAGAAAGAAAACUGAGGAAAAGCUACGGGUUCAGCAGAAUCGAGCUAGAUGACAAAAUUUUGUAAUCCUUCUGUGCAGAUAACUCUAAGAAAGACAAUUAUUCUUCCUUUGUGCCAUGGCAUUCAGUGGAAGGGAAGAAUAUUGAGAAAUGGCUAAAACUAGUGAUAGGUAAAUAGAACUAGAUGCUCCUUCAUAAGCAGGUUGAAGCUUAUAAUCUAUGAGUUUAAUUUUCAUCGCGGAGCAUGUUUAUUUAAAAUGAUAAUAUAAACUUAUGAUUAUGUACUUUAAUAGUUUAUAGAACUUAUGAGUAUAAUUUAAGAUUUAGUUGGAAUAUCAGGCUACACGCAUUAUGUCAUCUGUAGUUCUUUUUUCUUCUUGGCUUCAAACAACAAUCUUGCUUUGUAGUUUAAUGCCCUUAAGUCCAGCUAGUAGAAAGAAAGGAAGAAGAGAACUUUCUUUAGUUCUUUAAUCUGUUAUAUCUAUCAGGGCAACUGGGAACAUGGGAUUUUUUCCUUUUUCCAAGUCAUUUGGAGCACUCAUGUCAUGUCUUGUAAAAAUCCUUUACAACAUUAGUGUAUUUUAAGAGGUAAUAGCAAGUUAAUUAUUUUUACAAAUGUACUGGGAUUGUUGUGCUACAACUCAAACUUAAAUCAAGUCAUUUCUCUCUAAAAGAUGUGUUCUUGUAUAUUAUCCUAUCCUUUUAUGGAUAUGGACCAACUGCAAAUCAAGAAACGUUACUACUAGGGUGUCAAAACUGAGUCCAACUAUAGGUAACCCGUUCAUAAUUUUAAAGAUUUUGGCUCAUAAUUUGAAGUUGAUUGAAUCUCAACUCUUUCAAACUUUAACCCAUUUUAAGAGAAUUUUCAAUUGAAUUCAAUUUAACCUUCAACCCAUUUUAAGACUCUUUGUAUGCAUUGAUGUAAUGUAUAUUGCUAUAUUGAAGAUAUACGUUACUAUCUCUUUAUAUUUUUUAGGAUUUAUCUAUCCAUAUGUAACUUCUGUUUAAAAAAUUUCUUAAAGUUUGAACUUCAAAAUGUGGUUAUAGAACUUAAAUAACGAUAUAAUGAUUGAGAUUAAGCGAGUGAUCCAAUCCCGUUUUUAAGCUCAUUUGAGCUCAAAUCUAUUUUUUUGAGUCCAAAAUAAACUUGAGUAGGUCAAGAUUCAACCCAAUUUCUAUUUCAACACAAUUGACUCAUUUGACACCUCUAGUUACUUUUUUCGAAAUGCACAAUCAUUUUUUCGAAAUGCACAAUCAUCAAGGUUUCACGUGUAUAAAGAUUUACAAAUUUUCAAAAUAUCCUUUCGGUCUCAAUUUACAUGAUUGAUAUUUUGAGAUUCAAAUUAUAAUUUGUUCUUUUCGUUUGUAAUAGAAGAUUAUAUGAGAUAUAAAAGACAAUGACAUAUUUUGAGGUACACUAUUCAUUUAAAAUUAAUUAAAAGUUAUAACAUUUAUUUUGAUGCCAGUUACUACUUUAAUAUUAUUGUUCUUGGGUAUGUGAUUUUAUGAAUUCGACUCCUCUCCAUUUUUUCAAGUUUCUAAUUGGAUUUGUAGCACAUCACGUAAGUUAAACUAAAUGGCUAAAAUUUAAUUGUCCAAAGUAAAUUUCUAAUCAUAAUUUAGUUAAUAAAUAUAUUAUAUAUUUAAUUUCAGAUAUUAUUAUAAUUCUACUAUCUUAACAACAUAUUAUAUUAAAAGUAUUCUUUCAAAAAAAAAUUUAAUGCAUGAUCUUUCUUUUAUUUCCCUUUUAAAUUAGGUGAAAUAAAAUAGGAAAAUAUGUGCUAUUUUUUUGCUCACUAGUUAAUUUAGUCUUUUAAAAUACUGAAACUUUUGUAUAAUUUAUAUCAAAGUGAUAUUGUAGUUACAAUAUUCUUUUUCUUUCUUUAUGUUAAAGAAUGAUAAAAGUCCCACAUCGGUGAUUAAUGAGAUGGGUGGACUCCUUAUAAGGCUUGGGCAAUCCUCCUCCCUUUGAGGUAGCUUUCUUCUUUUGCACUCCAUUCUCACCUUCCUUUGUGUGUAUCAACUGUCAUAGCUUUUUUCCACUUCCAACAAUGGCAUCAGCCAUGGUUCUCGAUCCAAAACCCUCACCGAAGCUACCGGCAACUCGACCUGACUUAUCGUCACACGACGUUCCUUUCGAAAAUGGCGAAUAUGAUCUCUACGCUCGCCUGAAAUCUCUACAGCGACAGCUAGAGUUCAUCGAGAUCCAAGAGGAAUACGUGAAAGACGAACUGAAGAACCUUCGCCGUGAACAUUACGGGCACAGGAUGAGGUAAAACGGAUCCAAUCGGUGCCGUUAGUAAUUGGCCAUUCAUGGAGAUGAUUGACCAGAAUAACGCCAUAGUUGGUUCAACUACGGGAUCUAAUUACUACGCCAGGGUACUCAGCACGAUUAAUCGGGAGCUACUUAAGCCUUCGGCUUCUGUGGCUUUGCAUCUUCACUCGAAUGAGCUAGCUUUUGAGGUGUGAGUUAGGCCAAGACCUAAUUUCUACAUGGUACAAGAGCAGGGCCCGUCUCACCCAAUGUUGGGACCCCCAAAAUUAAAAUUGUCCACGCACCAGAUGCUAAGCACUGGGCGUAAGGUGGGGUGUUAAAGAAUGACAAAAAUCUCACAUCGGUGAUUAAUGAGAUGGGUGGACUCCUUAGAAGACUUGGACAAUCCUCCCUUUGAGCUAGCUUUUGGGGUGUGAGUUAGGUCUAAAACCUAAUUUCACACUUAAGAAACAUCAAUUUCAAUAAAGAUUUAUCACAAAAAAUUAUUUACUUGCUGUUUAAAAAAAAGAUAAAGUUCGCUCGUUAUUUUAAAUAGUUUUGAUAUUUUUCAUAAUUUAUAGAUAAUAUGUAUAUGUUACAUAAUUAUGUAUAUAAUUAGUAUAUUUUAUGAUUAUUCAAAAAUCAUCUCAAAAAGAAUUUAGUUUUAGUAAAGUAUUUAGACAAUUAGUGUGGUUUAAAUAAUAAUUUAUAUUUUUAGGUUAAUUAGUUUAUAAUUGAUAUAAUUAUUUUAUUUCAUCAGAAUUAUGAAACUCAUUAAUUAAUUAUAUCUUUAUUCAUCCUAUAUUUACUAAUUAAGCUCAAUUUGGCUAUAAUUGUAAUCAAAUGGGACAAUAUCUCAAUCUCAAUUCAAUCAUUUUCUUCAAUUCCUCUAAAGGCUAAUUUUAAGCCUUUUACAACUUUUUCCAGUAGCCUAUUUUCCAAUUUUCAAUUCAAUUUUGGGUAACUUUCACAUAUUGUAGACAUAAAAUUCAUAUUUGUAUGUUAUAGCAAAGUUUGCAUAAUUGUACUCCAUGGCAAACGUAUAUAUGUAUAAUUUGCUAUAUAUAUACAAUUGAAGCGAAUUGUAUAAAACGAAGUGUAUAAAAUGAGAAAGAGAAGGAUAUUUGAGCAGAAAAUUGUAUAAACGAAGUGUAUAAAAUGAAUUGUAUAAUAAUAAAUGUAUAGAACAAUUAUAUACAAUAUGAAUUUGUAUAAAAUGAGAAAGUGAGAAAGACAAAAGAGACUUGGGAAAGGAAUAUACAAUUGAAUCGAAUUGUAUAAAACGCAAAAAAAAGAGAAAUUAUAUACAAUUUGUAUAAAAUGAGAAAGUGAGAAAGGCAAAAGAGACUUGGAAAAGGAAUAUACAAUUGAAACGAAUUGUAUAAAACGAGAAAGAGUUAUAUACAAUUUGUAUAAAAUGAGAAAGUGAGAAAGGCAAAAGAGACUUGGGAAAGGAAUAUACAAUUGAAUCGAAUUGUAUAAAACGAGAAAGAGAGAAAUUAUAUACAAUUUGAUUUUGUAUAAAACGAGAAAGAGAGAAAGGCAAAAGAGACUUGGGAAAGGAAUAUACAAUUGAAUCGAAUUGUAUAAAACGAGAAAGAGAGAAAUUAUAUACAAUUUGAAUUUGUAUAAAACGAGAAAGAGAGAAAGGCAAAAAAAACUGGGCACGGAAGUAUUUUUAUUGUAUAAUUAUAAAGUGUAUAGGAUGAAAAUAUAUGUAUUAGCAUGUGUAUAUAUAAUUUUCUCUCGCUUUAUACAAAUCGAAACACAAUUUAUACAUUUCGUUUAUGUUUGUAUAAGCGAAAGAGGCGAGGGUGGCGAGCGAGAUCUGGGAGAGGGGAGAGAGGGGAACAAAAAUAUAUGUAUUUAUACAAUUUCCUCUCGCUUUAUACAAAUAGAAACAGAUUUAAUACACUUGUUUUUGUAUAAAAGUGAGAGAAAGCGAGCGAGAGAUGGAGCGAGAAAGGAGAGUGGCGAACUAGAGUUUGAGGGAGAGAGGUGACUGACAAACAAUUUGCACAAUUAAAUUAAAGGGUGGUUAUAGCAAUUAAUUUGAUUUAUUAGUUUACCAUUAUAUACAAUUUUUCCUUCAAUUUUCCAGCAGCCUAACCCAAGUCCAUCUCCACAAAAACCAUCCCACUAAAUGUAAUACAACAUUCAGAAACAAUUUGACGUAAAUUGAUUUUCAACAUCUCUUUAUGCAGCCCCUACUGUUCUAGCACGGUGCUUUUGGCCAUGGCAGACUGGGUUUUUUCUGUUACAGCUGCUUCUCAUCCUUGCUCGCCUUGAGAUCGAGACACUUUUAGUAGCAAGGACGUUGGGAUUGAUCCUAGCCAUCCAUUCCCCUUUCCCUUUCCGGAAUAGGGUUAAGGCUUCAGAAAAAGAGGUUCCUUCAAAAAUGGAAUUUUUCAGAGUUUUGAAUUUCGAAUUGGGCUUGGUCUCAUUCGAAUUUUGAUGGUUUUCUUGUUAAAUUUGACAAGAUUCAAAAAUGGAUUAAUGAGAAGAUAUGGUAGUUAGGAGGAUAAUUCUUCAUUGGUAGAAAAGUCAAGAUAGCAACUUUUGUAGGUGAAAUUUAGGUGAACCAUAAAUUGAUUUCACAAGGUAAAUGUUGACAUUUUGACAUAUUGUGAUGUCAUGGAUGACAUCAAUAGGAAGAAUUCACUACUAUAAAUAGGUAGCUCCUAAUUCAUUUGUAACAUACCUCUCACUUGUCUUAUCAUCUCCUAAGGCAUUUGUUCUUCCUUCUCUCUUGUAGUAUUUCACUUGUACUCUUUUGGAGUGAAAUAAAUAUUGGUUGUUUGUGUCUGAGGAGUAGGCAAAAGAAAACAAAAGUUUGCCGAACCUCGUUAAUUCCUGGUGUUCUUUUUUUUGUUGUCUCAUUUACUAUUUAUUAUCUACCUUUAGAUAUAGUAGUUGUGAUUCCAUCACUCUCUAUAUAUUUAGCUUUCGCAACAAUUGGUAUCAGAGCCAAGGUAUUAUCUAAGUAUGCUCUGUGGUUGCAGCAUAGUCUGAACUUCCACAUCAGAAAAAGAUUUACUUUGGUCUUUGCAUUGUUAGCUAGUAAAUAGUAUUUGUAGUAAAAUGGGAGACAAGAAAAAUGAUGAGUCCACAUCAAGUGUCAAUAAUACGUCAUCAUUAGCAUCUUCGCUUAUGACAAGAAUUGUGUCAAAUGCGAAAUUUGCAGUUGAAAUUUUUGACGGGUUAGGACAUUUCGGAAUGUGGCAAGGCGAAGUCCUUGAUGUUCUUUUUCAACAAGGGCUAGAUAUUGCCAUUGAAGAAAAGAAACCAGACGGUGUAGGAGAAGAAGAUUGAAAGAUUAUCAACCGUGUUGCUUGCGGUACCAUUCGAUCUUACCUUGCAAGAGAACAAAAGUAUCCAUACACGAAAGAAACAUCUGUAAAUAAAUUAUGAAAUUCAUUGGAGGAGAAAUUCUUGAUGAAAAACAGUCAAAAUAAACUUUACAUGAAAAGAAGACUGUUACGCUUCACUUAUGUUCUCAGUAGCACAAUGAAUGAUCAUAUCACCAGCUUUAAUAAGUUGGCGACAGAUUUGCGAAAUAUGGACGUGACUUUUACGGAUGGAGAUAUGGCCUUAAUGUUGUUAAGUUCACUUCCCGAUGAGUUUGAGCAUCUUGAAAUGACUCUACUGCAUGGGAAUGAUGAAGUAUCUCUCGAAGAAGUUUGUUCUGUCUUAUACAGUUAUGAACAAAGGAAGAGAGAAAAACAAAAAGGCGGAGAAGCAGAAGCACUAGUUCCGAGAGGUCGUUCUCAAAAUCAUAUGAGAACGAAGAAAGGGAGAUCCAAGUCAAGGUCGAGACUCAGCAAAGAUGAAUGUGCCUUUUGCCGAGAAAAAGUUCAUUGGAAGAAUGACUGUCUAAAGUUGAAUAGCAAAGCCAAAUCAAAUAAUGGGAAGGCUGUCAUGGAUUCAAAUGUGGUUGAUUGUGAUGAUUCCGAUUACUCACUAGUUACAACAGAUCCAUCCAAAUCAUCUGAUGUAUGGUUGAUGGAUUCAGCUUGUAGUUAUCAUACGUGUCCCAAUCGGGACUGGUUUAUUGAUUUACAAGAAGGAGAAUGUGGAGUCAUUCACACUGCAAACAAUAAUCCUCUUACCGCAUACAGUGUUGGUUCAAUCCAAUUAAGGAACCAUGAUGGAUUAAGUAGAACAUUAAUAGAUGUUCGAUAUGUACCAGAUUUGAAGAAAAAUCUCAUUUCUGUAGGAGCCCUAGAAUCAAAGGGGUUCAAAGUCAUUGCAGAUAAUGGCGUGAUGAGAAUAUGUUCUGGUGCACUGGUGGUAAUGAAGGCAAUUCGAAGAAAUAAUAACAUGUACCACUAUCAAGGUAGUACAAUUAUUGGGACAGCGGCAACAACAUCCAAUGACAAGAAGGAGGAAGAAAUGACCAAGCUAUGGCAUAUGCGCUUGGGGCAUGCUGGAGGGAAAUCCUUGAAAACUUUAUCAGAUCAAGGAUUGCUAAAAGGAGUAAAAACUUGCAACUUGGAGUUUUGUGAGCAUUGUAUCAAGGGAUAGAAAACAAGGGUUAAAUUUGGAACAGCUAUCCAUAAUACUAAAGGUAUUUUGGAUUAUGUUCAUUUGGAUGUUUGGGGUGCUUCCAAAACACCUUCAUUAGGUAGGAAACACUAUUUUGUAACCUUUGUUGAUGACUUUUCUCGAAGAUUGUGGGUGUAUACGAUGAAAACAAAAAAUGAAGUAUUGGGAAUUUUUCUCAAAUGGAAGGCGAUGAUAGAAACUCAAAGUGGCAAAAAGAUCAAGUGUCUUCGCACAGACAAUGGUGGCGAAUAUAAAAAUGAUUUAUUUCAGAAAAUUUGUGAGGAAAAUGGCAUCGUUAGACAUUUCACUGUAAAAAAUACACCACAACAGAAUGAAGUGGCAGAACGCAUGAACCGAACUUUGCUGGAGAAAGUUCAAUGUAUGUUGUCCAAUGCUGGCUUGGGCAAAGAAUUUUGGGCUGAGGCAAUAACAUAUGCGUGCCACCUCAUUAAUCUUCUACCAUCUGCUGCUAUUGGUGGAAAGACACCAUUUGAAAAAUGGUAUGGAAAACCUGCUGAAGAUUAUGGUUCUUUAUAUGUAUUUAGCUCAUAUUAUCAUGUAAGAGAGUCAAAAUUGGACCCAAGAGCAAAGAAAGCUUUAUUUAUGAGAAUUACUUCUGGAGUCAAAGGAUACCGUUUAUGGUGUCCAAAGACAAGAAAAGUUAUUUUCAGCAGAGAUGUUACUUUUGAUGAAUCUGCCUUGACAAAUAAGGUAUCACUUGAAGAAGCCAAACAAAUUGAUGGUACUUCAAAGCAGGUGGAGUUUGAGGGAAAGAUAAUUUUCCAACACAGGGAUCAAAUGAGGAAACAACAGAAAAUUUUCCUCUUGAAGGAGAGCCAGUCGUAGAGGAGGUUCCAUCUCAGGAACCUCAACCACAACUUGAAUCAAUAGCAACCGGCAAGCCAAAAAGGAUAUUAAGAAAACCUGCUCGACUCAUAGAUAUGGUGGCUUGUGCGGACUCAAUUGCAUCUGAUGAUAUUCCUACCACUUAUAAAGACGCAGUCCAAAGUUCAUAAGAAGAUAAGUAGAGGAUUGCCAUGGAUGAAGAAAUGCAGUCCCUUCAUCAGAAUAAUACAUGGAGAUUGGCCAAUCUCCUAGAGGGCAAGAAAGCAAUUGGGUGCAAAUGGGUAUUUGCAAAGAAAGAAGGAUUUCCUAACCAAGAAGAUAUUCGCUACAAAGCAAUAUUGGUGGCCAAAGGAUAUGCUCAAAAGGAGGGAAUUGAUUAUAAUGAGGUGUUUUCUCCAGUCGUGAAACAUUCCUCCAUUAGAGUUUUGUUGGCUUUGAUAGCAUAGUUAAAUUUGGAACUAGUUCAGUUGGAUGUAAAAACUGCAUUUUUACAUGGAGACUUGGAAGAGGAAAUCUACAUGACUCAGCCAGAAGGAUUCAAAGUUGAUGGAAAAGAAAAUAUGGUGUGCAAACUUGAAAAAUCAUUGUACGGAUUGAAACAAUCUUCUAGACAAUGGUACAAACGAUUUGACAAGUUUAUGUUGCAGCAAAGGUACAUAAGAAGCAAAUACGAUCAUUGUGUGUAUUUGCACAAGCUUGAAGAUAAUUCCUUUAUAUACCUUCUCCUAUAUGUUGAUGAUAUGUUGAUAGCUUCUAAGAGUCAAGAGGAAAUUGAGAAGCUAAAGAAUCAACUAAGAAAGGAGUUUGAGAUGAAGGAUUUGGGUGAGGCAAAGAAGAUAUUUGGCGUGGAGAUAAAAAGAGAUAGACAUUCAAAGAAACUCUAUUUAUCUCAAAAGGAAUAUUUGAAGAGAGUACUAAAGCGAUUCGGUAUGAAUAAAAAAACGAAGUCGGUUAGCACUCCGCUUGCUCCUCAUUUUAAUCUUAGUGAUGCUAUGUCACCUAAUAAUGAAGCUGAUCGAGAAUAUAUGUCAAGAGUACCAUACGCUAAUGCUAUUGGUAGCUUGAUGUAUGCAAUGGUUUGCACAAGGCCAGAUAUUUCACACGUUGUUGGAGUUGUAAGCAGGUACAUGCACAAUCCUGGAAAGGAUCAUUGGCAGGCUGUAAAAUGGAUUCUACGGUAUUUCAUAAUACUGUAGAUGUUGGUUUGGUUUUCGAGCAGAAAGAUAGUCCAUAUCUUGUUGGAUAUUGUGACUCAAAUUAUGCAGGUGAUUUGGACAAACGAAGAUCAACUACUAGUUAUGUUUUCACUAUUGCAAAUUCACCAGUUAGUUGGAAGUCUACUUUGCAGUCAACAAUUGAUUUGUCUACCAUUGAGGCAGAGUACAUGGCAAUUACAGAGGCUGCGAAGGAAGCGAUUUGGCUUCAAGGAUUGCUUAGAGAGCUUGGUAUUGGACAAGAAGAAAUCACAAUAUUUUGUAAUAGUCAGAGUGCUAUUCAAUUAGCAAAGAACUAAGUUUAUUAUUGUCACGACCGGAAUCUAGACCCCAGACGAGAUCGGCGUCUUUGACCUCUCAGAGGUCGCAAACAAGCCUACUUACGUCAUUCUUACUUUACAUAUAUUAAUUUUAGCGGAAAAUUUGGACUUUUUGGAUUUCCUUAAUCAUACUUGUUAAACAUUCUUUAUACUUCGUAAUCGUUCAUCAUCAACCAUCUAACAUUUAAGAGAUAAGCAACUGAAAGAAAUAAUUCAUUAAAUAUUAAUUGUAUAUCGGCCAAAAUAGCACCAAUACAAAGUCUGUACUAAAACAGGAAAGAAACGCUAGUGGAACAUGCUCCACUAGCUCAACUCUAAAACUACGCUAGAAUGUAAAACAGUAGCAUCCUCGAAAGCAUAAGGACCUACCAAACUCCGGAUGAAUGCUGACGUCCAGAUAGCUGCAACAACGAACCUGUAGCUCUACCGUCCACCUGUGCCUGCACCUAAAAGUAGAUGUUUGUAUAGAAUUAUUACACACUUGUACUAAGUAUGGGUAUAUGCAAGCAUACACCAGGGACAUGCAUGAGGGAGAAGAGUUCUUUCCUAACAACAUGAUGUUUGGAAGUCAAGUCAGUGGACUUGAUAAAAUGAGAUUAGGAAAGUUAUGCCAUGAGAGUGACAUGCAUCAUUAUAAUUAUCGUAUGGCACACAACACAUAACAUAUUCAUAUAGCACAUAACAUAUAACACAUACUUUCUUUCAUAUUAUUCAUUCAUAUACCAUGAGACCUUAUUAUCAUAGACUUAACUUUAAGACUUUCCAAAAUGAGGGCUCAACAUAUGAGACCUCAACUAGGGAGCCUUCUUUAGCAAACACAGAGUCUGCUUCAUUCAUUCAUGCGUAUUUCAUUUCAAUUCAUUCAUAGGCCAAUGCGAACACCAGCUAUACCUAGGAUGUAGUUUAAGACUUUCAUCGGGUUUGCUGUGCAAUGAUCAAGAAUAACCUAAUGUCAUUACCUGAAUCUAGCUCACCUCUUGAUUAUCCUAUCCUAACACCUUCGGUAUCAUUCAUUUCUUUAUAUGAUUCAUUUGAGGCUGGCCUCAUUCAUUCAUUGGGAACUUUAACUUUAACCGACAUAGAUCAUGUGAACAGCAUGAAAUCCAGUGUCUCCCCCACACAGAAAAGAGGUGGAAUCACCGGCCAAAGCGAUUCAAUAACAUACUAGCGUAUAUGGGAAUUUAACCCCGCCAGAUCCCUAUAGUGGCAAUAUAGGUUCAAAGACUAGGAGAUGUAUAGAGACCCAUACCCGGCAAGCCGGACAGUCUCAUCUCAUGAGAAUUACGUGAACCUCCGCCCUUCCCGAAAGAAGGCAUCACCGCUCAUAGCUAGCCUAUCGGUGCUCGGUAUAAAGUUCCAUUACAUUCAACUCAUACAUCAUGGAAGUUGGCUUCUAGUAUGAGGACAUCAUAGCUCAAUAGAUGAUUUCUCAUCUCAUCAUUAGUAUUAAGUGUUUUAAACUCAAUGUUUUCAUUAGAGUGUUCAUCGAGACUGAUCUCUUCAUUAUCUUACACUCUCAUUGGUGAGUACGUAUUGGUGACAUUUACUUAGGCUCAUUUGAGAUUGCUCUCAUCAUAUACAUUAGCCUCACAUCAUGGUUGUCACCACAUUCUUCAUUUCAUUACGUAUAUCUUAGGUUCACUUAUUUUUGAACGUAUGUUAAACUUAUGUGUCUAUACAUACAAGCCAUGGGGCUUCAUUUAUAGUUCAUUAAGUGAUUCUUAUUUUCCUAAGAUUAUGUAUUACAAGACUUAUGUAUCUUGUAUAAUGCCAAGAUCUUUGAUUUUUGAUCUAAGUAGAUGACAUUAUUCUUGAAUAUUUUACUCACGUAUGACUUAUGUAUCAAUACGGAGGUUUGGACACGGGAACCCAAAUCUUGAAUUAUUUGGAUAUCAUUUAUAUUUUUCAUUGAUUUUAGUUCUAAUAUUCAUAAAUUUAGAACUCUAAAUUAAAUCUCAACAUUUUCAUGACAUAAUAAAUUUCUAUUUUAAUUAGAAUUCUAAAGUAAAUUCCAAUCAUUUACAUGAAAAAAUUAAUUUUCUAAUUUGAUUAGAAUUCUAAUUUAAAUCUCAAUAUUUACAUAAAAGAAUUAAUAUUCUAUUUUUAAUUAAAAUUCUAAAUUAAAUCUCAAUAUUUACAUAAGAGAAUUAAUUUUCCAAAUUUAAUUAGAAUUUUAAUUUAUUAUUAUUAUUAUUAUUUUUAAUUAAAUUCGCUUGAAUAGGGAGGUUGUGGGUUCGAACCCCCACAGCCCCCGUUAUUUUUCAAUUUUUUUCGCUAGGAAUGGAGGUUGUGAGGUGGUGGGUUCGACCCCCACAGCCUCACCUUUAUUCCCUUAAUAUUUUAGCCCCCUUCAGCCCUGAGGUCGUGGGUUCGAUACCCACGCCUCGCAUCCCCCUUUUUAUUUAUUUUUUUUGUUGCGAACGGGGGUCGUGGGUUCGAUCCCCGCCCCCAGCAUUCCCCUUUUCUUUUUUUUAUCUUUUUCGCGAAUGGGGGUCGUGGGUUUGAUCCCCGCCCCCAGCAUCUCUUUUUAUUAUUUUUUUUUCUUUUUCGCGAAUGGGGGUCGUGGGUUCGAUCCCCGCCCCCAGCAUCCCUUUUUAUUAUUUUUUUUCUUAAGGCAGCUACAGGGAGGUCCUGGGUUCGAUCCCUGCAGGCCUCAAAACUAUUUUUUUUAUUAUUUUUUUGACGCUUAAAAGUUUCCAGAUUCUUUUAAAGCCUAUUUCUAAGUUCUGGAAAUUUAUUCCAAGAUAUUUUUCUGCACUUUUUCAUCACAUUUCACAUUAGUUCUUAGAGAGAUUUCAUGGUUCACUCAUUUCACUAUACUUUAUCAUAAUGAACAUCACAUUGUACACACAUUACACACACAAAAUACAUGAUAAUUACAUAAUUUAUACACCCCAAAACAGUGCCUAAAACACUGCCCUAUACACAUCCAUGCAUCAACUUUUCCGGUCAUAUUUUAAUGAUCAUUAUCGUGAUUUUUCGCACAUAAACACAUUCAUAUUUAAUUUAAGCACAUCAUUCAUGUAAAAAUCUAGCAGCACAACAUACCCAUCCUACAAAUUUGUUAGGGAGCUAAGGACAAGGACAUACGAAGGGGAACAACCUUAGUUUCAAGAGUUUAAGAAACGUUCGAAAGAAAGUACUCUUGGAGAAAGAAUUUCAUGAGAGAAACACAUACCUUUAUUGAUGUUCAAACGAAGAAUUCGCUACCCAAAAUUCUCUCCAAAAGUCAGUGCAAGUUACUUCAACGUCCACACCACUCAACGAACAACUCCUCUUCGCCUUAAUAUUUUUUUGAUUGCUUUGUUUUUCUUAAAAUUUUAUGUGAGUUCUUCAAGCAUGAAGAACUGUUGAUAUUUGGCAGAAAUAAUGUGAGGAAGAUGGAGAACGUGAGAGAGAGAGUUAAGAAACGUGAAAAAGAGAGAACUAUUAGGAUUAGGAGACUAAUUAAAGAAUUAGUCAAAUAAAAUUUAAAAUAAAUAAAUACAAAUCUGUUUUUUUGAUUUAUUUAUUUAUUUAUUCAUUUAAAACGUGAAAGGACCAUUAUGACCUUAAAUACCUAUUUAUUCUUAUUUAUAUAAUUUAUUUAUUUUUUGAAUCGUUACAAUCAUGCAAGGACGAAGCACAUUGACGUCCGAUAUCAUUUCAUACAAAUCAUAGAAGAUGGUGGAGUCAUAAUGCAGAAAAUUCAUACUACAGAUAAUCCUGCCGAUAUGUUGACAAAAGUGGUGACUGCGGUCAAGUUUCAACAUUGUUUGAACUUGAUCAACAUUGUUAAACGUUGAAGAUUAAGGUUGAGGACACAAUCAAAAUUAUUGUUGAGAGAAAGUUGAAAAUGAAGAAUCUUGCCAAGGUGGAGAUUUGUUAAAUUUGACAAGAUUCAAAAAUUGAUUAAUGAGAAGAUAUGGUAGUUAGGAGAAUAAUUCUUCAUUGGUAGAAAAGUCAAGAUAGCAACUUUUGUAGGUGAAAUUUAGGUGAACCAUAAAUUGAAUUCACAAGGUAAAUGUUGACAUUUUGACAUAUUGUGAUGUCAUGGAUGACAUCAAUAGGAAGAAUUCACUACUAUAAAUAGGUAGCUCCUAAUUCAUUUGUAACAUACCUCUCACUUGUCUUCUCAUCUCCUAAGGCAUUUGUUCUUCUUUCUCUCUUGUAGUAUUUCACUUGUACUCUUUUGGAGUGAAAUAAAUAUUGGUUGUUUGUGUCCGAGGAGUAUGCAAAAGAAAACAAAAGUUUACCGAACCUCGUUAAUUCUUGCUGUUCUUUUUUUUGUUGUCUCAUUUACUAUUUAUUAGCUACCUUUAGAUAUAGUAGUUGUGAUUCCAUCACUCUCUAUAUAUUUGGCUUUCGCAACAUUUCCCCCUCUUUUCCAAAAUCCGAGCCCCCUUUCUAUAUAAUCGUUAUUGUUUCAUUGUUUUGGAGGAGAAAUAUAUAUAUAUAUAUAUAUAUAUAUGUAUGUAUAUAUACACACACACAGAACCAGUAAGAUGGAAAGAAAAAGGACAUUAAAAUCAAAGUCCUGAAGUCGCAUAGAGAUUGAAAACAAGUUUUUCUUUCAAUUUUGCUCUCGCCGACUUCUAUUUUAUUCAUCCAGGCUCAUUGGGUUUGUUUGUGGUCAUAGAAGCUCUAUCUUUUCUGUUCGUACUUGUCUCCAGUCGCUGCAUCUCGAAAGGUAAUACUCAUUUUUGUUUUAAACAUACUUUUAUUCUUAAUGCAUCGUUUGCUCGGUUCUCAGAUGUAUAGAUUGCUUAUUUGCUAGUGUUUUUGUUUUUUCUUUUUUUUUUUUUGAAAUUCCCUUUUAAAUCUCAUUUGUCUAAAAACCAGUGAUGGAGUUUAUUUGAAAACCCUUGGUUGUUAUUUGUUUUAGUUUUCAAUGAAGUUUUGACGUCUUCCCCUCCCAAAUUCUUAUUUUCACUGUUAAAAUUUUCUUAUUUCACUGAUGUUCCUACUGGUAUGGUAUGAAAGUUGUGGUUUAGUCAUAGAGCUCGAAAUUACCUUCUGUGUGUGAUUUCGACUUCCAUAUCUGUUGCUUACUGCAUCUUUCGUGUCUCUUGCCUAGUAGAAUCGACAAUCUGAUUCAUAUGCACAAACAAGUUAUUUCAAAUUAAUGAAAUGUCUGUUUAAAUUGAUUGUGUUUUGUCAUCCCUUUUAUUGUUUCUCUAUGUUCCUGACUACCCUUUGGUUUAGUUAUCGAAAUAUUCUGCUCGUCUUAAGGUUCUUUUGGCUGUUGAGAAUUCGUAUUAUCAUGUAGUAUCAGAUUUCACUUUUUUUUACCGCAAGUCGGAGGGGAUGAAGUCUUAAGGUUUGAGUUUGUUAGUUUUCAAUGUAUGCCCAGGGGUAUAAAAAUUUUAUGCUAAGUUCAUUGUAGUAUUUUGUCGCCUAUGUAUGUCUCCCCUCUUUACUUAAAAUUCGUGAAAAUAUGUCAAAAAUCUCCCUUUAUUUCACAUUUGAAAUUGCCACAAGGCAAUAGUAUUGUUUUGUUAAUUAGGUUUACUGUUUUGCUCAUGUACAAAAUUCUCAAAUUAGUUAUUAAAUAUGUGGGUAUAUAACUGUCUUUGCAUAAGUCACAUAUUUUAUUUUUUUGUUUAAAAAAAAAAAGGAAAGAAAGCCUAAUCACUACUUCAAUAGUUUGCUUCUUUCAUUCAUUGGUAAUUGCUUCCUUGUUAUUAUAAUUAGGCUUAAGUCUACUCUAUUUGAUCACUGUUAGUGCUGGCAAUUUAAGUUCACUUUUCAAUGACCCGCCCAAAUAGCCCAUUAAAUAUGGGUUAAAAGAGUGAUUUUAAAUAGGAAAAAUAAUUUAAAUACACAACUUUAAGUUUCUUAUUGUCUACUUUUCCCUACUUUUUUACAAAAUUACUUUAAUCCCUUAUUUAACUUGUAAUUGAAAUCUGGUAUAUACAUAAUACACUCUUUCCUCCUACAUUCAUCAUUCCUUAUACUCCUUGUUUUUUUUCCUAAUUUCACUCAAUUCUCUUUUCAAUUACAAAGCAUUAUGCCAAAUUGAUUUUCAAAUAUUUUCUCUCUCAAUCAAACAAAUUUCAAACAUCAAUCUUCACUUUUGUAUCUUACGUUUUCUCUCACAAAGUUUGUCAAAUAUACUUCAGUCGGUUUUUGUUUCAGUUGUUUCUUAUUGAUACAUAUCAUACUUCGUCUUCUCUGUCUCUCUCUCUCAGAGUUUGUCAUCUUUUUACUUUAAUUUUUACUUUGUCUCAUUAUGUUCACAUGAAUCCAGAUACUAAUUGAAUAAUAUACGAUUUUGAUGACGAAAAUUGUGCAAAAAAAAAAAUCCAGAUGCAUGACCAGGACAAAAUUUGUAUGCAAAUAGAGAAGGUGUUGACUUCAGUUGCAGAUCCAUUAAAAAAAUUUGCACAUCAUGAUUGAAAAACGAUUAUAUCUGUUGUUGAGGUUGAAGAUCAGAUCUAUGGCUGUAGAGAUAUAUUAUAGAUAAUAGUGUUUAUAGCUCAUUAUAUAUCUUAUACAUAUUUUCUUGAAUAUAAUUAAAUGUAUCAUUAACAUAUUUGUUAAUAAUUGUUUGUUCUAAAACUACAAAUACAGACCGAUGAUACUAUUAAGAAUAAGAAAUGACGGAUGUUUCAGAAGUCUAACCGACAGAUGAAAAUAUUCAUGAUACUAUCAAAAAUCAACAAGAAAUAGAGAAUUUUUCAGAACUCUAAUCCGCAUAUGAAAAUAUUCAUGUGUUAUUACAGAAGCAAGUGAACAUAAGAAUAUAUUAGAAUGAUUAGAAAAUUUAGUAUAUAAUACAUUAUCAGAUGUGGUUGAUAAGUCAAAAUAAAGUUUGUAUAUGAAACAUUAUUAAUUUAAUGUAUCCUGACUUAUACUACAUGCGCCUAUUUUAGGAUGACGAACCAGAUCAAGGCCCCCAAGAUCUUAAUAAAGCAGCAACGAAUGAAGAUACAUAAACAAUAUUAUAUCAUGUAUAAUGUAUCUUUUGAUAAAUUAAAGUAUUACUCAAACAAAUUAAGAAACAUAAAUAGUAAUAUAUCACACACUAAUUUUUUAGGCAUGAUACAAAAAUCAAUUUUUUACUAAAUAUAUCUCAUAUUUUUUUUUGUAUAUGAUAGAUAGCUACGUCGGAUUAUAUGGGCAUGAUUCAUAAAUACUAAUUUAUAAUGUAUCAAUCUCAAGGCAAACAACUUAUGAGCAACAAUUGCAUGCUUAAUGUAUCCCAUAACAAUACAACACUUAUCAAUUUACACAAAUAGUAAUGUAUCAUGCACUAAUCUUUUAGAUAUGAUACGUAAAUUCGAAUUUAAACUAAAUGUAUUAAUUAUUUAACAACUACCACAUGAUAAUGUCUCAAUCUCAAAUCUAACAUCUUAUGAGCAACAAUAACUUCUUUAAUGUAUCUAGUAUAAAUACAAUAUUUAUCAAUUUAAACGACAAUAAUAAAUAGUAAUAAUGUAUCAUGCACUAAUUUUUUAGAUAUGAUACGUAAAUUCGAAUAUAUACUAAAUGCAUCAAUUACAUAACAAUUAUCGUGAUACAUAGCAAUUAUCACACGGUAAUGUAUCGAUUUCAAAUCUAACAUCUUAUGACAACAAUUACUUAUUUAAUGCAUCUAGUGUAAUAUACAAUACUUAUCAAUUUAAAUAACAUACAUAAAUAGUAAAAUGCUAAGUUGCACAGAUGUAUCUUCUAAAUUUUUUUGAUAAUUUUAUAUCAAAAUUGAAAAGACCUUAAUGAAUUAGAAGAAGAAUUUUGCAUCUCAAAAUUUUCAAUGAUUUAGAAUUAAAAUUUAAAGGAUCUUCAAUUAAGUGGGAGAAACAUAUCCCACAUACAAAAUACAAUAUUAACAGACACUCGAAAACAAUACUUGGUAGAGUAAUAUUUCGGUGCACUGUCUCAACAAUAUCAAUGAACCCAUGUGCCAAGAUCAAUCAUGAUGUGUUAAAUUCUUUAAUGCAUCUGCAACUGAAACCAGCACCUCGUCAUAUGCAUACAAGUUUCGUCCUAGUCAUGGACACCACCAUCAAUCUUUUCACUUGUGUCAAUGCAUAAUGAAUACAUUGCAAAUCGUGAUUCAUUUUUUUCACUUUUAAAUAUAAUUUAACAACCAUGUCGCUCUUAAUUUUCCAAAAAUGAUUAUGUCACUUUUGUAACUUUCAUAUUACACUUUGUUGACCCAAAUUUCUGAACGCCUCGGUAAAAUUGAUACAAUCAUCUUCUAUCAACAAAAAAUCAAUAUUUCUCACUUUUUCUCAAUGGAUGGAUGUUCACAAACUGUUAUUCAACGUAGAAGAUGUAAUUUUGAAUUUUGAAAGGUCUGAGUAGAUUAUCUGUUAAGAUAGGGAUUUGUUUUGUUUCAGUUACGCUUAAAUUAAGCUAAUUAAAUUAACAAAAUUAAUUAUUACAGUUUUUUUCCUUUUUAUGCUCAACAAUAAUUUAUUUACCUUAUAUCAAUUAUAUUGUAUUAGAUUGCUAGUUAUGUAUCAAAGUCACCUUUUUAAGGGAUUUUUCGUAGAAUGUAAAUUAAUUGGGAUAGGAUGUAAUUUAUAUCUUACACUAUGAGAUUCCUUUAAUUUUUACUUUUAAAUAUGGGUUAUAUUUGGACUUAUAUCCAUAUUUUAUCCAUUAAAAUAUGGCUAUAUUAUGGUAAACUACGAGUCAUAUAUGGGUAUUCCAAGUUUUUUUCAAAUUUUCAAAAAACCUUCUGUUGCCUAGUUUUAGAAGUGAUUUUUUAAAACUUUCAUAUAUACGUCCCUAUUAGUAUUUCAACUAUCGACCUCCCACCCCCACCCCCACCACGCCCAAAAAAAAUUAAUAUUUAUGUUUAAAAAAUAUUUUGACUUCAAAAUUUCAUUUUUCACUACUACCCUCGAAUCCCCCCCCCCCCAACCCGCCCACCCCCUACUAGCCCCCUCACCCCACCCCCAUCCCCCCAAAAAAUUCAGUUUAUUUUUAAAAAAACCCACCCCCUACCAAGCCCCUACCCCCAACCAAUCCCCAGCUUCAAAUUUAUUAAGUAUGUUUUUAAAAAAUAUUUUUAAAUUUUAAAUAUUUAUUUUUUUCACCCUACCCUAGAACACCCCCUAUUGGCCCCCCCACACACACACAAACACCGAUUUUUUUUUUAAGUUUUUUUUUUUAAUUUUAUAAUAAAAUAAAACUAAAUGAAGCAUUUUCAACAGAUUUCAUCUAAGAAAAUACUAAAAUAUUUUCUCCAUAUUGAAUUCUUAAGUAAAGAACUAUUUCUUCAUGAAAUAUCGGUAAAAUAUAGGUAAACUAGUAUUUUACCCAACCCAUUUUUAUCCAUAUCAAAUAUGGGUUGGUUGAAUGAUUACCUAUUUAAUGUUUAACCACUUUCAACCGACUCAUAUUUGACCCAAUCCGCCCAUUUGCCAUCACUAAUCACCGUUAACUUAAUAGUUUAGCCAUCAUCUCCUUUUGGUGUUUUUACUAAAUUACAUGGAGACUAUAAUCUACUCUUAAAGUCAUACAUAUCCCAUUGUGUGAGUUCGAAACCUUUCUCUUUGUCAAGGCUUUUUUAUUCUUGAGUUUGUUUCCUAAAGUGGAAGUGCUUCUAAUGCUAGUAUGUGACAUCUAAGUUUCCAUUUUCUUUGUGUAUUUUAUGAUGAAUAGAAAUGACAACUUGAAGCAACUUAAUAAUUUAUUUGGAAGUAGAAAAUUGAAGUUAUAUGUGUCUUUAAUUUGUUAAAACAUUUGUAGAGAUCGUUGUUUACAUAUCGUAUACAUAUGCUUAUCUUAUUCAAAGCUUGUGUUAAUAUGGUAUUUGUAUGUUUCUUCUAUGGAACAAGUCCAAUACUCAUGCCAACUUUACUUCUUCAUUUGUGUUUUCUAUCAUCUUAUUUUUAUGUCUUAUCUUCCUUAGCUAAUAUAAUUGUUUUAUGUGCAUGUGAAAUUCCCCUCGAAUCCAUUUGGACUCCAUUUCCUCUCCUUGUGUCCUCUUGUCGGAGCCAUGAAGGCUCAAUCCUUCAUUCUCGAAGUAGGCUAGCCCCUCUAAAACUGACGUACAGGUUUUGAAAGCAGCAAAUAUCGUUGGAAGUUAAAUUUGUAGGCCUCCAAAAGCUAAGAAAGGUGGCUGAUAUACUUCUGUAUACAUUAAUAUAUCGUCAAAAAACACGAUAUACAGGUCACAAAAAUAUAAAGGUGCUUGAGGAGAUUAACUAGGAUUCAUACUUCCAGUAUACAAUCCAAUAUACAAGAGAAAAGAAUAUAAUACAGCCUAUAUACAGUGGUAUACGAAAAUCGUAUACACAUAUUUUUUGGGGAAAAAAUAGGGCCAGAAGUCCAAAGGGAAUUCCAGCAGGCCCAACAGGUCCAAAAUGGGGCAAGAUCCAUUUUUGGGUGACUUUAGAUUUAGGACGGGUUAUAAAGAUUUGGGCCGAAGGCCCAAAUUUAAUACUCUCUUCCUUUUUACUUCUAUUUGUAUUACUUUGACUAACUUUACUUAUUCUAUGAUUUAAUUUAAUUAAAUUCCCGAGAUAACCAUUUUUCUUUAUAUUCAAAAAUACAAAUACUUAUUUUAUAUAUGUUUAUUACUCAGCCUUUUAUUUUUAAUAUUGGUUUUGUCAACACUUACAAAUUACUUCCCUUUAAGAAAUUCCCCAAGAUGAUAUUAAUAAUAAGUAAGUAAAUAAAUAAAAAUGAAUUUUCUAUACUUGGUUAAAAUUUGGAAAUAUUUGUACAAGAUUAUUUUUAGUCAAAUCGCCGGUCGGUCAACUGCAAGUAAGGGGACACUCCGAGGGCCUAACGCCUUCUCGGAAUGUAUAUUUGAACUUCAAAUUAUUUUUUUUCAAUUGAUUUUAUCUGUUUAAAUCUUUUGAAAAUAAUUAUAAGUUUUUUCUUGAUUUUUACUAAAAAUUAAUUGACAACUCUGUCAAUUCGAAAAAUUAAUUUCUCUUAAAUCAUAAAAUUAAUUGAUUUUUCAAAACAUAACCAUUAUUUUUAUCCUUAUUUUAUUUUUGAGUAAAACACUUGCAACAGAAAUAAUGAAAUUCCUCUUCCUUUGUGAUUAAGAAAAUACUUUUUUACUUUCAUUUCCCAUUCAAACAAAUAUAUGCACAAAAUAAUCUUUCACUUUCCUUUAUUUUUCUUUACUUCAUUAUUUGCAAUCAAUUUUAAUUACUUGCCUUUUUACUUUCCUCCUUUAGUUCUUCAAACUUCCUGUCCACAAUUAAUCUAAAUCAUAUUGUCAGGAUACUUGAUAAAUGUUUUAAUUUGAAUGAUUCAAAUUAUAUAGCGUAUUGUAUAUAUAUAUAUUUAUUUAUUUUGAUUUGAAUAGGUUUUGAUCAAUAUAUAAAAUUUUGAACAAAGUUUUAAUAUAAGAGGUAUUUUUGUUGCUAAUUUUUGUAAGUACUCACAUGUGACACCACUAAUCACCUAUGUAAUUAUAAUCAUUAUCAAUCAAUUUUUGUUGUCAAUUACCAUCAUCAAUUAUUUCUGUUAUUAUCAUUGUUACUGGAAAGUCAUCCUAAUUGUUCGUUAUCAUAUAUAUCACCUUUUUGGCUCUGUCAUUAUAUUGUAUCUCGUCGCCAUUUUCGCCAUCACUCAACAACUAUCACCAUUAUGGUCAAUCUAUAGUUUCAUUGUUAUAACUAGUACCACUCGACUGCCCACCACACAUGCUUCAUUCGCUAUCACCAUUAUUACAUGCAUCCCCAUCUCAUCAUUAUAACCACCAUCACUAUUAUCGAUCACCACUAUUGCAUCAGUCACUAUAACACUAACAAUUUUUACAUCACAACUCUUACCAUCACUAUCGAUCAUAAGUAAUCAGUUUUUUUAAUCAAACAAUAGUUUUAUUUUAAUGAAUAUAUAUAUAUUUUUUCUAUUUAAAUAACAACUUAAUUAUUUAAAUAUGUAUUAAAAUUCAAAUAUCUUAAUCCCAAAAAACAAACAAAACCUUAGGGGAAUGUAAUUUAAGGAAGUAACUUAGCUUAUCUAUUGUGUAUGUAUAGAUACCUGUAGAAAAAUAUUAUCCCAAAAUAUUAAAUUAAUAACUAAAGAUUACAUUGUUAAGGAUAUUCAAAAUUUAUGCUUGACUAAUUAGAUGAAUGCAUUUUCUCUUAUAUUAAUAAUUUUAUUUGUCAAUUAAGCAAGUAUUGGAUAAAAGUUCUAUCAAAAUUAUAGUUGAAAUUCCUUGUUGAGAAUUAUCAAAUCAAAUUUAUUUGAUUAAUUAGAUAAUUUUGUUUUCUAAUACGUUAAAAGCUAUGUAAAGUAAAUAUUGUAUAACAACAAAAUCUAAUGAAAACUUACAUAUUUUAUAUUAAUAUUAAGAAAAUAUUUAUAAUUUAUAAUAUUAACAAUUUCUUUAUCGAAUACUUAUAGUAUAUUUAUAAUAUAAUUUUAGUACAUAUUAUAGAGAAUAAUAUAUAAAUUACAUAUAGUAUAUAUUCAUGGAUACACAUUUAUCACUUUAUUAUACAUAUAAUAUUGUGUCAAUUUCUUACCAAUCAAUCAUAUACAUCAUUAGCGCACUUAUAAUAAUUUGUAUUACAUGCAUAAUUUACUUUUAAUAUAUAUGACAAAUUUAUUAUAAUAUCGUUAUCUAUUACCACGAUGAUAGCAAAUAAAAUAAUGUCUAUAAUUAUUUAUUAAAACAUACUUAUUCAAAUUAUUUUGAGAAAAUGCAUAAGUACCCCCUCAACCUAUGCCCGAAAUUCCAGAGACACACUUAUACUAUACUAAGGUCCUAUUACCCUCUGAACUUAUUUUAAAGUAAUUUUCUACCCCUUUUUAGCUUACGUGGCACUAGUUUGGGAAAAAAAUCAACCAUCGUUGGGCCCACAAGAUAGUGCCACGUAGGCUAAAAAGGGGUAAAAAAUUAUUAAUAAAAUAAGUUCAGGGGGGUAAUAGGACCUUAGUAUAGUAUAAGUGUGUCUCUGAGAUAUCGGGCAUAGGUUGAGGGGGUACUUGGGCAUUAUCCCAAUUAUUUUUCCUUUUAAUAAAAAGAAAAAGUAUUAUAAAUUAAAAUACAACUGAAUUAGUGGAAUAUUCAUAAAAAAAAGUCAGCAAUCCUAUUAAAUUUGGUUAAUGUAGUUUAUGUAUCUCCUUAUCAUAUCAUAUAUUAUUAUAAGCACGAACUUCUUAACCCCAAAGUUGAUUUACCGUUUUAACCCUACAAUAUCAUUUAUAUAUUAAUUUAUUAAAUAUAUUAGUUAAACCUAUUAACCCCAAAGUUGAUUUACCGUUUUAACCCUACAAUAUCAUUUAUAUAUUAAUUUAUUAAAUAUAUUAGUUAAAUAUUAAUUAUUAUAAAUUUAAUUUCCUAACAGCCCUAAUUUAAUUAUUCAGAAACGCCCAUCGUUUGCUGCUCCACUUCUCUUCUGCAACUGUUAUGAAGUUUCAUUAUCCUUCUUCCAAAAACCUUUUCAGCUACUCUCAUCAUCUGUAUAAAUGUCUCAAAUCACAUGUUAUUGUCCAUUAAAUUGUUUCUCUUUUCUGUGCCUGGACGAUAUACAGGUAAAUAUUUUUGGUGCUCUGUUUUUGUUGCCUAAUAGUUACAGUCAAUUUUUAACAUAAGUGGGAUUAUUGUUCAUUGAAUUGCGUUUUUCAUCACAACAUAUAAUAGAAUAUCAUUUGUCAAUGGAUUUCCAGUCAAUUAGUCCACAUCAUUCUGUGCCUUUUUUUUUUACUUUUAAUCAUUCAGUUUUGUUAAAUGUUGUUUGUGGUUUUAAAACACUGCAAGUGUUUAACUUUGUUUUAGGGGACAAUAUGCGAGGUCGCUUUGUUAAGGUUAAUCUACUUUUGCUGAUGUUAAUGCUUUAGUUUUGCUCUGUUUUGCUGCUAAUUGAAAUAUAUGUACACCCUUAGCCUGAGGAUAAUCUGAAGGUAACUUCUGAUGAACAUGAAGUAUCAUGUUGGGAAAGUCUGUUUGUUGCACGAAGGAACAUGGAUUGGACUAACUAUAUUGUUUUCUGUAAUUUAAAGGUGAAAAAAGAAAAGAAAAAAUCUCUUUUAUUAAGGACUGAAUUUGAUUUCUGACGGUAAAUCAACCAAUUCCUUGAAAUUCAGAUAGCUAUGGAUACUUCGUGUUACUAAAGUCUAGAAGUAGUACCAUUAAAGUAAGAUGUCAUCCAACUAUAAGUUGUUAGUAUCUGCAUCUAUCUGGUGAGGAACAUUUGGUUUGAAAAUGGGACACUCUUCUCUUUAGUCUUGAGGUCUCUAUAAAUUGGUAAACUUUAGUGGUUGGUGAAAGUGACUGACUAUACUCCACACAACAACUGUCUGUGUAUAUAUACAAUGCUCUGAAUAAUUUGAAUUUGCGUUGUAAAGCCUCUGCACCAACUUUGAAACGUUUUGUUUCAUGUGGAUUAACUUUUACCAUGUGACAUCCCUUUGAUGGUUCAACUUAAACUUAUCACGUGAGAAGACAUGAUAAUCUAUAUAUAUAUAUAUAUAUAUAUAUAUAUAUAUGUUUGCUAAAGUGUGUGAUUCCUAUCUGAAUAGGUCAUUCUGUUUUCAUGUGUAAUAUGACGUCCCUGCUUGUUCAUUUCUUUCGGUACGCCCAACUUCUUAACAAAGGAAGUUGCAACUGCAAGUGGAUUGUCAUAAGGUUCAGUGGAGUUGCACAUUGCGAGUUUAAUUGAUAGCUUUUACAUUGUCUUAUAUGAACUCGCACAUUACGAUUACUUUUACUUGAUAGCUUUUAGUUUUGCAUACCUCACAAUAUUACGCGGAUAAGGAUACUUUGUAGAUCAUCCUAGGAUUGGCCUGACAUAAGUUGAAUCCUUUUCAGGUUCUCCAAGGUCAUUGUAAUAAGCAUAGUCAAAACCCUGUCCCACUCCUCAAGCUUUCCAAUUUCAUUUCCUCUCAAGUUCAACAAUUCAUUUUUCCUAUACCAGUGCAAUUUUACUGGAGUUUCACUUGGAAGCCAAGCCUGCAUCAUGUAAAAAAAGUGCUCUGUCAUAAACUACAUAGGCAUAUGGAUAUACAUAUUAUUUGAAAAACAAAGUGCUCACCUGAUUCACAAAGGUUGAGUUUGAUUGCCUACUUGUAAGUUGUAAUUAAUAUCUGUCACGACCCAAACCGGGUUGCGACUGGCACCCACACUUACCCUCCUAUGUGAGCGAACCAACCAAUCUAACCUUGACAUUUCAAUAUAAUAUCAACAGAAAGUAAUGCAGAAGACUUAAACUCAUUAAAUAAAGACCAAUUCAUUAACUUCUAAAAUUCAACAUCUAUUAUUCCCCAAAAUCUGGAAGUCAUCAUCACAAGAACAUCUACGAUCAAAUGACUAACUAAGAGUAUUCUAAAAGCUAAAAAUACAUAAGAAGCUAGUCCAUGCCGGAAGUUCAAGGCAUCAAGACUUGAAGAAGAAGAUCCAGUCCAAGCUAGAAGCAUUAGCUCACCCCGAAGAUCCGAUGUGACGAAGACUAGCUAGAGUUACUGUUGAGUCGAAGAUGACGGCACGUUUGCUGCACUCCACAAUUAAACAAGAAGAAAACAUAAAAGUAGGGGUCAGUACAAAACACGGGUACUGAGUAGAUAUCAUCGGCCAACUCAAAAUAGAAAUCAAUAUAUACCGAUAAUAUCAUAAAAUCAACCAUGAUACUCAACAUGUAGCAACAACAAGUACUAUAUCAUUAACAAUUACCGUCAAGUUCACACAUGAGGACUCAAGCCUCAAUACCAUACUCAUUUGGGGAUUAUGUCCAUUAGAUUGAGUAUAUUAACAUCUUUCAAGAUUCAUUAUCUUUAUUUCUCUUGUGUCGGUACGUGACACUCCGCUCCCUCAUAUUCAUUAAUCCUCUUGUGUCGGUACGUGACACUCCGAUCCCUCAAUGCUCAUUAAUCCUCUUGUGUCGGUACGUGACACUCCGAUCCCCUAAAUCUAUGUGUUGGUUCGUGACACCCGAUCCCCUAAAUCUACGUGUCGGUUUGUGACACCCGAUCCCCUAAUACUACGUGUCGGUUCGUGACACCCGAUCCCCUAAAACUAUGUGUCGGUUCGUGACACCCGAUCUCCUAAUUCUACGUGUCGGUUCGUGACACCCGAUCCCCUAAAUCUACGUGUCGGUUCGUGACACCCGAUCCCCUAAUACUACGUGUCGGUUCGUGACACCCGAUCCCCUAAUUCUACGUGUCGGCUCGUGACACCCGAUCCCUAAUCUUCUUCCAUCAAUUCAUUAAGCCUUCUUUCUUACCAAGGCAUCAUCAAUCUCAUUACUUUAGUUCAUCAAGCCUUCUCUCUUACCAAGGCAUCAUCAUUAAAAAGAGAUUAGGUUUUUAUCAAGAUUUGGGAUUCAAUAACUUCAUCAUGCUUAAUAUAAUCACAAUUAUAUAAUCACGUUCAUGCAUGCAUACAAUUAAGCACAUAGCAGGGUUUACAAUACUACCAAUACAUAUCAUUCUCUAUUAAGAGUUUACUAUGAAAGCAUGAAAACCAUAACCUACCUCUACCGAAGAUUCGUGAUCAAGCAAGCAAUUUCCCAAGCUUUGUGUUUUUCCUCUCGUUCGAUCCUCUCUCUCGUUCAACUUUCUCUCUCUUUCUCUUGCUCUUUCUAUUUUCUUUAUUCAAACCCUCUUUCUUUUACUCUAAUUAGUAUAUAAUUAAGGAUAAAAGAUGGCAAUAAUGCCCCACUAAUUAACUUAAGGUUACCUCUUUUAACCCCCAAGUAAUUAGACUUAUUAACAUUAACCCACAAAUCUUAUAAUUAAAGCAGGAAUAGUCAAAAACGUCCCUUAAAACGUAUAAAGAAAUCCGACCCGGACUGGGAUUGCAACCUGUGACGGGCCGUCGUGCCUACGACGGUCCGUCCUGCAGGUCGUCGCAAAGUUCAGAGACCCAAAUUUCCACCAAGGGUCUGUGACGGUCCGUCCUGCCAUUUCGUUACAAAGUUCAGAGAGUCGAUUUCAGCACCCAAAUUUCAGAAUUUCUAAGUGUUUUGGGACGAGACACCCUCGACGGUCCGUCGUGCCCAUGACGUUCCGUCGUGGGUUCCUUCGUCUCAGCCUGUUUUUCCAGAAAUAAAAUCUGCUGCUCAAAACGACUAAACAGGUCGUUACAUUAGAUACCAAUUUACCCAUCGUUCGUCCCCGAACGAUCACAAGAAGGAAAACAAGGGCGAAAAGGAGUACCUGAAUUUGUAAACAGAUAUGGGUAUUUUUCUCGCAUAUCCGCCUCCUUCUCCCAAGUGGCUUCUUCAACCGGUCGAUUCUUCCAUUGCACCUUGAUGGAUGCAAUCUCUCUUGACCUCAACUUGCGAACUUCUCUAUCUAAAAUAGCAACAGGUUCCUCCUCAUAAGACAAAUUCUCAUCAAGCAAAACUGAAUCCCAACGGAUAAUGUAAUUUCCAUCCCUAUGAUAUCUUUUCAACAUAGACACAUGGAAUACCGGAUGCACUCCGGACAGCCCUAGAGGCAAGGCUAACUCAUAAGCCACCUCCCCUACUCGCUUAAGUACUUCAAAUGGACCAAUAUACCUUGGGCUAAGUUUACCUCGCUUACCAAAUCGCAUCACCCCUUUCAUUGGCGAAACCUUCAACAAGACUUGUUCACCUUCCAUGAACUCUAAGUCUCUAACCUUUCGAUCUGCAUAUUCUUUUUGUCUACUUUGCGCCGCUAGAAGAUUUUCUUGAAUAGACUUCACUUUCUCUAUCGAAUCCCUUAAAAGGUCAGUACCCCAAGGUCUAACCUCGAAUGCAUCAAACCAACCAAUGGGAGACCUACAUCUCCUCCCAUACAAUGCUUCAAAUGGGGCCAUAUCAAUACUUGAGUGAUAGCUAUUAUUGUAUGAAAACUCCGCUAAGGGUAGGAAGCUAUCCCAAUGGCCACCAAACUCUAUCACACAUGCACGAAGCAUAUCCUCCAACACUUGAAUCGUCCUUUCAGACUGACUGUCGGUCUGAGGAUGGAACGCAGUACUAAGGUCCAACCUAGUACCCAAUUCCGCAUGCAAUGUUUUCCAAAACAUAGAAGUAAACUGCGUACCUCUAUCUGAUAUGAUGGAUAGUGGAACCCCAUGCAAUCGAACGAUUUCUGAGAUAUAGAUUUUGGCUAACUUCUCUGCAUUGUAAGUCACCUUUACCGGAAUGAAAUGAGCAGAUUUAGUUAACCUAUCAACAAUCACCCAAAUGGAGUCAUACUUACCCAUUGUCCUUGGAAGACCAACCACAAAGUCCAUUGCAAUUCUUUCCCACUUCCAUUCCGGAAUGGGCAUUCUCUGAAGUGUUCCUCCGGGCCUUUGGUGUUCACACUUUACUUGUUGACAGUUUGGAAACUUGGCAAUAAAGUCAACAAUAUCACGCUUCAUUCUACUCCACCAAAAGUGUUGUUUUAGGUCGCGAUACAUCUUGGUUGCACCCGGAUGUAUAGAAUACCUUGAACUAUGAGCUUCUGUCAGAAUAGUGUUGAUCAAAUCAUCAACACGGGGCACACAUACCCUUCCCUUGAUUCUCAAAACACCUUCCUCAUCGAUUUGUGCUUCCUUAGCCUCUCCUCGCAAUACCUUAUCUUGGAUUCUUCUUAGUUUCUCAUCAUCAAACUGUUUUCCCUUAAUCUUGUCAAGAAAGGAAGAUCUUGCUUCCACACAAGCCAACAAUCCUCCCUUCUCAUUUACUUCUAAUCUCAUCAAGUCGUUAGCUAGAGUCUGAACCUCUCUAGCCAAUGGACGUCUAGAAGCUUGCAAGUGAGCUAGACUUCCCAUGCUUACCGCCUUUCUUCUUAAAGCAUCCGCUACAACAUUCGCCUUCCCGGAUGAUACAAAAUAGUGAUGUCGUAGUCCUUCAGUAGUUCCAUCCAUCUCCUCUGUCUCAAGUUCAAAUCUUUCUGAGUAAAGACAUACUGAAGGCUACGAUGAUCCGUAUAGAUCUCACACUUAACCCCAUAUAAAUAGUGUCUCCAUUGCUUUAAUGCAAACACCACCACAACCAAUUCCAAAUCGUGGGUCGGAUAGUUACGUUCAUGCACCUUUAGUUGCCUUGAAGCAUAAGCAAUAAGAUUCUUCUCUUGCAUUAGCACUGCACCCAAACCCGAAUAAGAUGCAUCACAAUAGACAAUGAAAUUCUUACCUUCCACUGGCAAGGUGAGAAUGGGUGCGGUAGUCAACAAAGUCUUGAGCUUCUGAAAGCUUUCCUCACACUCAUCCGACCAUACAAAUGGAACAUUUUGCUUAGUCAAGUUCGUCAGUUGGGAAGCAAUAGAAGAGAAUCCCUUGACAAAUCAGCGAUAGUAGCUAGCUAACCCAACAAAGCUCCUUAUUUCUGACACAUUAGUAGGUCUUACCCAAUUCUUCACUGUCUCAAUCUUAGAAGGAUCGACCAUCACUCCAUCCUUAGAAACCACGUGCCCCAAGAAGGACACUGCAUCUAGCCAAAACUCACACUUAGAGAACUUGGCAUAAAGCUUUUUCUCCCUCAACAUUUCCAAUACCAUUCUCAAAUGCUCCUCAUGUUCCUCCUUACUUUUAGAGUAUAUCAGUAUAUCAUCAAUAAAUACGAUCACGAAGAGGUCCAAAUAUGGCUUAAAAAUCCCGUUCAUUAAGCUCAUGAAUGCAGCAGGGGCAUUCGUAAGACCAAAAGACAUCACUACAAAUUCGUAAUGCCCAUACCUCAUUCGAAAAACAGUCUUUGGCACAUCCGUUGCCCGUAUUUUCAAUUGAUGAUAACCGGAUCUCAAGUCAAUCUUAGAGAAGACACAAGCACCUUGUAACUGAUCGAACAAGUCAUCAAUGCGGGGAAGAGGAUACUUGUUCUUUAUGGUUACCUUGUUUAGUUGUCUGUAGUCUAUACACAUUCGAAAACUCUCAUCCUUCUUCUUCACAAACAAAACCGGAGCACCCCAAGGAGAUGCACUUGGUCUAAUAAAGCCUUUGUUUCACAACUCUUGAAGUUGGGCUUUUAACUCUCUUAACUCCGCGGGAGCCAUUCUAUAAGGGGGUAUCGAAAUGGGGCGAGUACCCGGUUCAAGGUCAAUACAAAAAUCAAUAUCCCUAUCUGGUGGCAUACCAAGAAGAUCUGCAGGGAACACAUCCAGAAACUCACGGACCACCGAAACUGACUUAAUCAAAGGUACUUGGGUAGUGUCAUCCUUGAGAUGUGCCAAGAAAGCUAAACACCCUUUACUAACCAUUUUCUUAGCACGAAGAAAGGAGAUGAUACGCAUCGGAUUGGAAGUGUAGUCGCCCUCCCAAACUAACGGAUCUGUCCCAGGCUUGGCUAACAUCACCGUUUUAGCAUUACAAUCCAAAAUCGCAAAUUGCGGAGAAAGCCAAGUCAUACCCAGAAUUACAUCAAAAUCAUCCAUUUCUAAGAUAACCAAAUCUACAUAAGUGUUGCUCCCCACAAAGUUCACCAAACAAGACCUAUACACCUUUUCAACUACCACAGACUCACCCACCGGAGUAGAAACACGAACAGGCACAUCAAGUAAUUCACAAUGUAAAUUUAUACCAUUAGCAAAUGAGGAAGAUACAUAAGAAAAUGUGGAUCCAGGAUCAAACAAUACAGAAGCCAUGCAAUCACAAACCAGAAGAUUACCUGUGAUGACAGCAUCAGAUGCCUCCGCUUCAGACCGCCUAGGGAAAGCGUAACAAUGGGCCCUAUCGUUCGUCUGUCCGUUGCCCCUACCAUGUUGUGAUGUAGUGGCUCUAGUUUGCCCAUCACCUCGGCCGUUUUGGUGACCACCAUUACCUCGACCACCACGUCCUCCAGAAUGACGGCCUCUACCAUGACCACCUCUACCUCUAGUCAUUGGGGGUCUAUAACUCUGUUUUGGACAAUUCCUCCUAAUAUGUCCAGUCUCUCCACAUCCAUAACACUCUCUGGAGUCAAGCAUAGGUCUCUCAGAGAAGUGUUGACCGGUCUGAGGUGGACCCCCAACUACAGUCUGUAGUGAAGACUGAAUGGGUCGAACUGAGUAACCUCCGGAACCUUUUCCUCUAGAGUAAGAACCGUUAAACUCACAUCCCUUUCGAAAUCUUUUUGAUGUCGAUGUCGUGGUGAAGUCAUCUGGCUUCACUCCUUCCACCUCUAUCAUGAAGUCUACCACCUCUUGGAAGGAUUUUGCCGUAGCCGCUACCUGUAAGGCUGAAAUCCGCAACUCUGACCUCAACCCCUUCACAAAACAGCGAAUCCGCUCUUGUGGACUGAAACAUAGUUGGGUGGCAUACCGGGAUAAUGCACGAAACUUAGCCUCAUAUGCAUUGACCGACAUCCUGCCUUGCUCUAGGCUCAAGAACUCAUCCCUUUUCCUAUCCCUCAAUGUCCGAGGGAUAUACUUUUCCAUAAACAAGCUAGAGAAUGAGGCCCAAGUCAUAGGUGGUGCCUCUGUUGGUUGACACUCAAUAUGUGACCGCCACCACAUUUUGGCGUUCCCUUGAAACUGAUAAGUCACGAACUCAACACCAAACCGUUCUACUAUACCCAUCUUGUGUAGUAGCUCAUGACAGUCAACCAGAAAAUCGUAAGCAUCCUCAGAUUCAGCACCCUUGAAGAUUGGAGGUUUCAAUUUCAAGAACUUACUGAAAAGUUCAUGCUGAUCAUUUGUCAUUACAGGCCCUGUAGUCAGACGAGGAAAUGUGCUUAUUUCCAAUGGAACAUCCAUGCGGGGAGCCAUAGUAGCCGCAUGUUGUACCUCCGGAGCCUGAGGUGUUGGUGCGGAAAACACUGGAGGUGCCUGACCUUGAUCAGACAACCCACUGAGAUAGGCGAGAACCUGAUUGAUCAUUUCUGGGGUAGGUUGGGGUGGCAAUCCCUCAUUCUGCACUUGUUCAGUUUCCCCAUCCUCCCCUUCUCUUAUUACUUCCUCAGUCGGUGGAGGAGUCACUACCCUAGUAUCAGAUGGGCUAGGUGCUCGUCCUCUUCCCUUAGAGGAUGUCCUCUCACGACCUCUACCACGGCCUCUUGCCGCUGCUCUUCCACGAGCUACAGCCCAGUGGCUUGCUCAGACGCACCCUGUCCCGCCAGUGCUGGUGUUGGUGUUGGCGUAGUCGUUGCUCUAGUUCUAACCAUCUGCGAAAGAGAGUGAAGAUGGUCGAUACCAAUUUGUAUCACCUAGAUACCAAUUGGAUUCAAGUAGUAGCACGAAAGAAAGAAAGAAAGAAUGGAAUUUUUCUAAAGUCUUAUAGCCUCUCAAAGAAAAGUAAAGGCGUCCCCCUACCGUUCCUUAAGACUCUACUAGACUCGUUCUUGUGUGAUGAGACCAACGAACCUAAUGCUUUGAUACCAAGUUUGUCACGACCCAAACCGGGUUGCGACUGGCACCCACACUUACCCUCCUAUGUGAGCGAACCAACCAAUCUAACCUUAACAUUUCAAUAUAAUAUCAAAAGAAAGUAAUGCGGAAGACUUAAACUCAUUAAAUAAAGACCAAUUCAUUAACUUCUAAAAUUCAACAUCUAUUAUUCCCCAAAAUCUGGAAGUCAUCAUCACAAGAACAUCUACGAUCAAACGACUAACUAAGAGUAUUCUAAAAGCUAAAAAUACAUAAGAAGCUAGUCCAUGCCGGAAGUUCAAGGCAUCAAGACUUGAAGAAGAAGAUCCAGUCCAAGCUAGAAGCAUUAGCUCACCCUGAAGAUCCGAUGUGACGAAGACUGGCUAGAGUUACUGCUGAGUCGAAGAUGACGGCACGUUUGCUGCACUCCAUAAUUAAACAAGAAGAAAACAUAAAAGUAGGGGUCAGUACAAAACACGGGUACUGAGUAGAUAUCAUCGGCCAACUCAAAAUAGAAAUCAAUAUAUACCGAUAAUAUCAUAAAAUCAACCAUGAUACUCAACAUGUAGCAACAACAAGUACUAUAUCAUUAACAAUUACCGUCAAGUUCACAUAUGAGGACUCAAGCCUCAAUACCAUACUCAUUUGGGGAUUAUGUCCAUUAGAUUGAGUAUAUUAACAUCUUUCAAGAUUCAUUAUCUUUAUUUCUCUUGUGUCGGUACGUGACACUCCGCUCCUUCAUAUUCAUUAAUCCUCUUGUGUCGGUACGUGACACUCCGAUCCCUCAAUGCUCAUUAAUCCUCUUGUGUCGGUACGUGACACUCCGAUCCCCUAAAUCUAUGUGUCGGUUCGUGACACCCGAUCCCCUAAAUCUACGUGUCGGUUCGUGACACCCGAUCCCCUAAUACUACGUGUCGGUUCGUGACACCCGAUCCCCUAAUACUAUGUGUCGGUUCGUGACACCCGAUCCCCUAAUUCUACGUGUCGGUUCGUGACACCCGAUCCCCUAAAUCUACGUGUCGGUUCGUGACACCCGAUCCCCUAAUACUACGUGUCGGUUCGUGAUACCCAAUCCCCUAAUUCUACGUGUCGGUUCGUGACACCCGAUCCCCUAAUCUCCUUCCAUCAAUUCAUUAAGCCUUCUUUCUUACCAAGGCAUCAUCAAUCUCAUUACUUUAGUUCGUCAAGCCUUCUCCCUUACCAAGCCAUCAUCAUUAAAAAGAGAUUAGGUUUUUAUCAAGAUUUGGGAUUCAAUAACUUCAUCAUGCUUAAUAUAAUCACAAUUAUAUAAUCACGUUCAUGCAUGCAUACAAUUAAGCACAUAGCAGGGUUUACAAUACUGCCAAUACAUAUCAUUCUCUAUUAAGAGUUUACUAUGAAAGCAUGAAAACCAUAACUUACCUCCACCGAAGAUUCGUGAUCAAGCAAGCAAUUUCCCAAGCUUUGUGUUUUUCCUAUCGUUCGAUCCUCUCUCUCGUUCAACUUUCUCUCUCUUUCUCUUGUUCUUUCUAUUUUCUUUAUUCAAACCCUCUUUCUUUUACUCUAAUUAGUAUAUAAUUAAGGAUAAAAGAUGGCAAUAAUGCUCCACUAAUUAACUUAAGGUUACCUCUUUUAACCCCCAUGUAAUUAAACUUAUUAACAUUAACCCACAAAUCUUAUAAUUAAAGCAGGAAUAGUCAAAAACGUCCCUUAAAACGUAUAAAGAAAUCCGACCCGGACUGGGAUUGCGCAACCUGUGACGGGCCGUCGUGCCUACGACGGUCCGUCCUGCAGGUCAUCGCAAAGUUCAGAGACCCAAAUUUCCACCAAGGGUCUGUGACAGUCUGUCACACCUGUGACGGUCCGUCCUGCCAUUUCGUUACAAAGUUCAGAUAGUCGAUUUCAGCACCCAAAUUUCAGAAUUUCUAAGUAUUUUGGGACGAGACACCCUCGACGGUCCGUCGUGCCCAUGACGUUCCGUCGUGGGUUCUGUCGUCUCAGCCUGUUUUUCCAGAAAUAAAAUCUGCUGCUCAAAACGACUAAACAGGUCGUUACAAUAUCUCUCUGAAGCAGGUUCUCGCGCGUUCAAAAUAAUUGAACUUGCUGCAAUAGAUUUGAGAGUAGGAAUCAAUUAUAUUCUGAAGGAGUUUCUUUUAGAUCCAAGGUAAUUUCCUACUCUGCAACUUGAAAGUAAAUAACACGAAUUUGCGUAAGAUUGUACAUGUUUCACUUACUAAAGAAGUGAAGAAUAAAGGAAAUAAAAUUUACAAUAAUAAGCAUUAGUCUACGUGAGGGAAUUAUUUAUUGAUUUUUGCAGAAAAAAUUGAGCUAUGCAGGUGAUUACUGCAAAUUUGGAGCUUUGUUGACAGCUUAUAGAGCUUUUUCAUCAGUUUGUGUAUUCAUGAUUUUUACAGGACAUAAGGAGUUGGAUUGCUAGGAAGAAAAAUACUUUACAAAAGCACAGUUUCCAACACUAUGCCUCAUGGUGAGUUAUGAUUUGCUUACUGAUCCUGCUUCAGACGUUAAGCAGACAAGCGAAAAUAAACAUGUAAUGUGAACAGAUCAAGAUUGUUAUCAUCAUUAUCAUAUGUUGGAGCAUUAGAUAGCAAAAUGAAUAUCCAUUACUUCUUUUAGUUAGGCUCUUUUGGAUAAUUGCAAGAGGUAAAGUGAGUAUACAAGAAUUAAUUUCUUGCAUUUCCCUUGUAUUUGGAUGGUAAAUUUUGAUGUAAACUUGAUGCAUACAAUAGUAUGCCAUGCUUUAGGAUUUGGAAGGACUUUAUCAAUAACUCCAUUUAUCAUCUUAGAUAGGGAAAUAUAUUUUUUCAUUUGAUGGGUACUUUGCCUUGAUUUGUAGAAACUAAAUUUUGCACGUCUUCUUUAGUCUACAUCUUAGGAUAUUGUAAAAAUGGGAAUUGGAGUCAGUUACUCCCUUUAAUUUUCAAAAGCAUGACUUUAUCAGUGUUUAGGUUUUGAUUUCUUGCCUGACUUUGGUUAUGUCAUGUUAUAGGACAUUGAUUCUAAUUGUUCAGUGAGUACAAAAGAUCUUAGGUUUUGUCUUACUUAAACAUUUAUAGCUGCUGAAGCUGAAUCAUAAUAUUUGCAUCCAGUUAAGAUAUUAUAGAAUAAAGUUAUUAUCAUAACAUGCAAACAGAUUUUCCACCAUGUACUUUUCCAUUUUGAAUUCUAUACGUUUGCAAUAUUUCCGUUAUAGUAACUUGUUACAUUUUUAUUGAUUUACUUCUAUUUGAAUCUACGUUUAUCAUCUCUUCAUGUUCUAAUAAUGUUAGCAGGUUUCUUGCUAUUGGAAACACUAGAAUAUAUAUUAUUUCUCCACCCUGGAACUUGCUUCAAUUAAUGUGAUAUUUAUACUAUUGUUAGUUGAAGUUGUUCGCUUUUAAAAUUUAAAAAGAAAAAUAGUUUAUGUUUCGUGAAUAUUACAUUCUUGAUCAUUUUUAUUAUUAGACCAAAAGAAAACUAAUUAUAUAAAAACAAAUAGCAUUUACGUCACAAAUAUAUAUUGUAUUAGCACAUCCUAGAUAUUACAACAAUACAACGACAAGUCUAGAAGAGCUCGAGAACCAGUGCCUACCAAUUAGCAAGUUGAAUAAAUAUGCAACAGAAUGGGUUAUUAAAGUCUUAGUCAUUCGUCGGAGUUUAACAAAAGAGUAUAAAAAUACAAAUGGUGAAGGUAUUCGUUGGCAACUGAUAUUAGUCGAUGAAGAGGUAACUCUAUUUUAAUAUUUUGUUAUAUACAUUAUUUAAUAUGUUAACUUCUUUUGGAAUUCUAAUGAUUAUGCUCCUAACCACAGGGUACAAAAAUACAAACCACUCUUUUCAACAAAGAUGUUCAUGCAUGGAACAAGUCUUUUCAACUUAGUCAAAGUUACUACAUAAUAAAUGGAAAAUUAAAUGGACCUAAACCAAACUUCUUAUCCGUACAUAAGGAGCUCGAACUAGCAUUUAUGAACAACACCGAGGUCGUUAAGGACAAAAGUCAUUUUAAGACUGAACAAUUUUCAAAUGAAUUUAUUACAUUUGAUGAAGCUGAAAAAAUCAAUAAUGAAAGUUUGUUUGGUAAAUUUCACAAAAUGUUUAUUAUUUGUUCCAUACAUUAAGAAAAUAUGUUUUUUAACACAUUAUUUUUUAUAGAUGUGGUGUGUAUUUUACUCAAAGUAAAAGCACUAACUGGAGAAAGGACGAAGCAUUAGACGCGAAGUAAUCGUUACAAACGAAAGGUAACAUAUACUUUUUAUGCAUCCUACAUAUAAAUAUUUCACGUUAAUAAGCAUUUAUCAUAAAAAAAAUUGUUACUUGUAUAGGUAUGAUCGAAAAGUCAUGACUUUAUGGGGAGACUUUGCUGAAAUCAAAGGUCAAAUGUUACAAAGUCUUGAAAGUGACAAACCAGUUCUUGCCUUUUGUGAUGUAAAAUCAUCAAUUUAUCAAGGUAUACAUCUCCACACUUGAUAUAUUUGAGUCAAUUUUCAAAGUACAUAAAAGUAUCACUGAAUUAAUUACUUCUGUUGAAAUAGGGAAUUCUGUCCUUUUCACAACUCCUGUUAGUAGUUUGCUUAUAAAUUCACAAUUUGAAAAAGCAAACAAUCUCCAAAAAUGGUAAGUAAUACAUGUUUCAUCACACUUAUUUAGAGGCUACCCACAUGCCACAUCAUUAAUAUUUUUUAUUCAUUUCUUAAAAAUUUCAGGAAUGACAACAUGAAGGCAGAAAAGAUUGACGUAAAUCUAAUGCCAAGCAAACUAAUGCAAACUGCCCGUCAAGUGAAAAUUAGUAAUAUUUUAAAUGGUUCACUUGCCAUUGUGAAGGUACUUUCCUAUACAACACUCAUCUUUUACUCUAAUUAUAUAUUACAAAUGUAAUUACGUGAUUUACUGAAUUUACGUAUAGGACAUGUACUAUAAGUUCAAUGCUACGGUUACUGACAUUGACAGUAACACCGACCCAUGGUAUCCUAGUUGCAACAAAUGCUACAAGCGAGUUACUGUUAUGAAUAGUAUUGCAACUUGUACCUACUGUAGAGCUGAAGAUGUUGAUUAUGAGACGAGGUAAACUUUACUCCAAAUGCAUGAAAAAAAUAUUAUUAACUAAUGAGCUUACUAUGUCGCUAUCAAAUAAUUAGCACCACACUGAUUAAAACAUCCAAUUUGAUUUAGAUAUCGGUUAAAGAUUGAUGUAACUGCCGAGGAUCAAUUUCUAAGCAUUACAAUGUUUGAUGCUGCAAAAUACUAUUUUGGUUGUAACGUAAAAGAGUAUGUUCUCUCUACAUCUGAAAAGGUAAAUCACUUACUCUAUGAAAUAUUGGCUUGUAUAAAUAACUUUACCCUAUUUCAAUUGUAAGGCUAAUAUAUACGUUUUCAUAUUUCACAGAAAGAACAAUCACCAUACUAUCGCAAGAUGGUAUUGAGUAAAGGGAAAGAAUUCAGUAUCCUUGUUAAGAUUGAUCGUAAAUUCCCAGAUGUUGACACAAACAUGAAUGUGAUAGCUAUGGAGAUACAUGAGGUUUCCAAAAAAUUACCACCAGAUCAAACCAAAGUUAAAAUGCCAAUUACAAAACAAAGAAGCAAGAUGACGAAGAUACUAAGUGAUGAUGAAAAAAUGAAAGGAACAGUUGCAGGCAUACCUCAUGUUGAAAAAGAUAUUGCAGCAGUUGAAACUGACAUUGAAAAUGCACACAAAAAAAUACAUGCAAGAGGACUAACGACAUUAAACAAGUCAUUGCAGAUGAUAAUUCACAUAAAUUGAGAAUACAUGAGGUAGAAAAACAGAUUGUACUAGAUGAAAGUGAUGACGAAGCCCCACUAAUUCAACUACAAAGAAAAAGGACCAGGAAGGUUAAAGGAAAAAACAUCAUGCCCUAUCCGAUGGAAAAGAAGAUCAAAGAGGAAAAAAAAUAAUAUAUAAUUGAUUUAAAAUUUCCUUAUUUUUAUCUACCAAUGCUUAUUAUCUCCCUAAUAUUUAAAAAUAACUUACCUUUUUUCACCAAGCAACUUUACCUAACAUCGCUUUUAUUUUUAACUAACUUUCCUAUAUCAAUGAAUUUUGUUAACUGUUUCACUAAACAUUCAAUGUAUGCAAUUUAUUACUUCAAAACAUAUCAACAACAAUCUUCUGUUGCAAUGUGUAUCCUCAUACAUAAAAAAAGGUUUGCGUACAUCCUACCCUAUAAUAGAUGUUUUUUCCUAUAUAUGUCAAAUAUGUGACUACAAUUGCCAUUAAUGAUUCCGUUAUAUUUUAGAUCAAUGCUAAAUUACAUAUACUAAAUAGGAAGAGAUAAGAGAAGUGUCACACCAACAAUCCAAAUUUUAUCACCAUCAGAUCAACAAUGACACACAACCAACAUCAAGGUAAAUCUAAUAUGUUAAGUACUUAUCACAAUUCAAAAUUAAAUUUAACCCUUCUAUUCACUUCACUUCACAGUUGAUACAAAUAUAACCACUCCUUUCAUGCCAAAUCAAGCAGGUGAUAAAGAACAAAACAUUCCUUCUACCAGUAAAACUCAUCAGCAUGACAACUAUAUAAAAAAAAAUUCCACCAACACAGGUAAGAACUUACAUAAUCAUGUAAAAUUCAACAUACAUGAGUACUUAGUACAAUGCAAACAUAUCCGCAUAUACACAUACAAAAAUAUUACAUCCUUUGUCUAAAUGUACCAAAAAAUGUUCCCCUUAUAGAGAAAAGUUAAUUGCAAAACACAUUGUGAAGAGUGGAUAAGUAUAUAUUAGCAACCCAAACAAUAUCACAUCUCGAAGAUGAACAUCCACGUUUGAAAAAGCAGCAUAAAAUCAAUUGGCUAUUUAGAGCAUUAUCUCAAGAGUCUGAAGUUAGAGGUACAUCGGAAAAACCUAUUCAUAUCUUACAUAACUUGAACGUUCAAUAAUUUUAUCAAAUUACAUUUCUAACAUAUCGCUAAAAAUAUUUCUAUAUAUAGGAAUUCUUGCUUAUAACUUAUCUUUAUCAUAUCUGCACGUGCUGAAAGGCGUCCCAGAAUGUAUUUAUUGUGCUGCAAAAAGAUUGGAACAUGAACCUCCAGCAUUCUGUUGUGCAAGCAGAUAUAUCAAAUUAACAAACACUGAAGCACCAACAGAACUAUAUGAAAUGUUUGUGGCAUCUACUCCAGAUGCGGUAGAGUUUUGCAAAAAUAUUCGUGCAUAUAAUAGUAUCUUUGCUUUACAUCUUUUGGUGUUAACCUGGAUAAGGAACUAGCAUUUGCAAAAAAAGGAGUAUACACAUUCAGGGCACAAGGUCAAAUUUAUCACGAUCUACCAUCGUUGCUACCACGUGAUAACAAUCCAUGUUACUUCCAACUAUACUUCUUUGAUACAGACAACGAAUUGACCAACAGGCUAUCGAAGGUGAAUGAAGGAAUUCUUUCAGACCAUAUUGCAACAAAAAUCAAACAGGUAAUGGAGAGUAACCCAUAUGCACAAAUAUUUUUCCAAUUAAAAAACCAAACAGGUAAUGGAGAGUAACCCAUAUGCACAAAUAUUUUGCCAAUUAAAAAACCAAACAAGUUUCCACAAUUUUCAACUUCUUAUUGCUGCAAAUGCCUCUUUGGAUCAACGAGUGUACAACAGACCCUCGGUAAGUCAAGUAGCAGCAAUUUGGAUCGAUGGAAACAAUCCAAAUAUACCUUUUGAUCGAGAAAUAAUUGUUCAUGAGCACUCAGGGUAUAAACAUAGAGUAAAACACUAUUUUGGUUGUUAUGACCCUCUUCAAUAUCCUUUGUUAUUCCCAAGAGGUGAAGGUGGAUGGCAUCAAGGAAUAAGAAAACAGAGCAAAAGGCUGCCUCACAGAAGAAGUGCUCACUCACCACCUAUACUCAAUGAUAUUCCAACAUUCAUAUCAGCUGAUGCAAUAUUAGCCAACGAGGAUCAAGGUAAAAUAUAUUACAUUAUGGUCUCUUAUAGAAAAAAUAUAGUCAUGUUCUUCACAAGUUAGCAACUGAUAAAAAACACAUAUACUAUAUAUAAGAAUACUACCAAAGGCGUACACAAUACAAUUAUAAGAAAAUACAUUUUUCUACUAUACGAAUAUGAUAACCAACAUAAAAUAAAAAUAAUGUUAAUAUGAUUCCUUUCCCUUGUAGAUGUCCGUCGUGAGACAAAGGGAAAUAUUUCUUGCAGAGAGUACUAUUGUUAUAAGCUAUAACUAUGAGAAACAGAGAGGUCAGUAUUAUUACUAUGUGGAAGAUUACUACAACAAUUUGUGGUUGACAUGUACAUAAAAUUGAAAACAACAAGGCUAGAAUAUUUCAGAAAGGAACAAUCAAAUUUUAGAAGAGAGGUUUAUCAAGGUAUUGUUGAUGGUGUCAGCUCGGGAGAAUGCAAUGGAGAUAGAAUUGGGCAAAGAAUACUACUUCCAUCAUCUUUUAUUGGGGGGCCACGAGAUAUGAAAAAACGCUAUAUGGAUGCAAUGGCUUUGGUACAACAUUUUGGUAGACCAGAUCUGUUUAUAACAAUGACGUGCAAUCUUGACUGGAUUGAAAUCCAACAAGAAUUGCGCCUUGGACAAACUCCUCAAGAUAGACCUGACUUGGUAACAAGAGUAUUCAGAGCUAAGUUGCAGGAUCUAAAAGAACAAAUUUUCAAGAAAGAAAUAUUUGAAAUUGUUGUUGCUCAUGUAUUCAUGGUAGAAUUUCAAAAACGAGGACUACCACACAUACACAUACUUCUCAUAUUAAAAGAAGGGCACAACAUCAAAUCAGGAGAUCAGUACGAUAAGGUUAUCUCAGCAGAGAUUCCAGAUAAAUAUGAGUAUCCUAUAUUGCAUAAAUUAGUGCUCAAACAUAUGAUGCAUGGUCCAUGUGAAAACAAACGUCCAACAAACACAUGCAUGCAAAAUGGACAGUGUAAAUAUCAUUACCCAAGGCCCUACAACAACAAAUCAAUCCAAGCAAAGGAUGGAUAUCCAAUUUAUAAAAGAAGAAUGGAUUGAAGAAUAGAGAUUGUUCGUGGAAUGCAUAUGACAAAUCAAUGGGUAGUACCUUAUAGCCCUUAUCUGCUUACAAGAUACAAUUGUCACAUUAAUGUUGAGGUUUUCUCAGGAGUCAAAGCAAUAAAGUAUCUAUACAAGUAUAUAUAUAAAGGACAUGAUCGGUGUGCAGUUUAUGUUCAGUCUGAUGAUGGUGAAAAUGUUAUUGACGAAAUACAAACAUUUCAAGAUGCGCGAUGGGUCUCACCGCCUGAAGCACUAUGGAGAAUGUAUGAAUUCAACUUGACUGAAAUGCAACCUGCAGUCAUCAACCUUCAACUACAUUUGCCAGAAAAACAUUCAGGUACAGAUAUUAAUGCAUUAUAAUACACAUUUACUUAAAGAAAUAAUUAAAUUAUCAAAUACAAAUACUAACUCAAAACAAAAUCACAGUGUUUUACUGGAAAAAUCAAAAUUUAAAAAAUGUCAUCGCCUGGGAUGGUGUCAAGCAAACAAUGUUGACCGAAUAUUUCAGAAUGUGCUCAAUUGACUCUGAAGCAAAAACAUAUCUUUAUAGAGAAUUUCCAAAGUAUUAUGUUUGGAAUUCAAAGGUAAAGACUUGGACAAAAAGAAAAACAAGAUCUGUAAUUGGUCGCAUUGCAAUCGGUAAGCUGAAUGAAGUAAGCUAUAAAAUCAUACACAUUGAUAAUUUUUAAACUUACUAAUUAGUACAUAUUGAUUAUAUUGCAGCUAAUCCUCGAGAAGGGGAAAGAUAUUAUGAGCGGUUGUUACUAAACCAUGUAAGGGGACCAUUGUCAUUCAACGACCUACUCACGGUCAAUGGCAAGCAAUGUCAAACCUUCAAAGAAGGAGCCAAAGAAAGAGGGUUACUUGAGUCUGUCAACAACAUAUCAGAAUGUAUGAGAGAGGCUGUUGUUUUCAAAAUGCCAUUCGCUCUUAGAAGUUUGUUUGCUACAAUUUUGGUUCAUUGUAACCCAACGGAUAUUAGAAAACUAUAGGAUACUUAUUAUGAGGAUAUGUCAGAGGACUUCAACAGGCUAUAUGACAACUCACACAAUACUAUACUACAGUCUACUCUGAAUAGCAUUAAUAAUUGCUUGCAAAGUAUGGGCAAAAGCAUAGACAUAUAUGACAUUCCUUAACUAUAUCACAAUUUCCUCGAAGUUGGUUCAUCAGAAUGUAGAGAAAUAAAUGAAGAAAUGUCCGUGCAAAUACCACCAGAAGAUAUUGAUGCACAGUCACAGUUAAAUCCAGAACAACAUCAUGCUUUUACAAAAAUAAUGCAAACAAUCAAUGCUGGAACAAUUGCAAUAUUCUUUGUGGAUGGACCCGGGGGUACUGGAAAAACAUACCUAUAUCGUGCAUUACUUGCCAAUGUUAGAUCAAGAGGUAUGAUAGGUUUGACAACAGCAACCGGUGGUGUAGCUGCUUCAAUCUUACCAGGAGGACAUACAUCACACUCAAGGUUCGAGAUCCCUCUUCAAACAAGUGAAUCAACUAUGACAAACAUGUCAAAGCAAAGUGGUGUUGCCAAAUUGAUUAGAAAAGCAAAAGUGAUUAUAUGGGAUGAAGCACCAAUGGCCAAACGACAAAUAAUAGAAACAGUCGAUAGGAGCUUCAGAGACAUAAUGGACAUCGAUAAACCAUUCGGUGGAAAAGUCAUGAUUUUUGGAGGAGAUUUUCGACAAGUGUUACCAGUAGUUCCAAAAUCAACUCGAGCAAAAAUUGUAAAUGCAAGUUUGGUCAAAUCAUAUCUCUGGCCUUUGAUGGAGAAGAUUCAAUUUACUAGAAAUAUGAGAGCAAGAACAGAUCCAACAUUCAGUGAGUUCUUACUUCAAGUGGGUAACGAUGAUGAACCAACAAUAAGAGAAAAUUUAAUCCUCCUCCCAUAACAAUUAACAAUCAAACAUUCCAAGGAUGAAAUUCCAGAAGAAUCCAUAAUAAAAAGAGAUAUUUCAAAACCUGCAAGAAAAUGUUGCAACAACAAAAUAUGUCACUGAAAGAGCUAUUUUAGCAAGCAGAAAUGACCAUGUGGAUAAAAUUAACAACAAGUUAAUAUCUCAAUUCCCAGGUGAAAGCAAGAUAUUCAAUAGCUUUGACUCAGCAGAAGAUGACACCAACAACUAUUACCAAGAAGAAUAUCUAAAUACUUUAACACCAAAUGGUCUCCCACCACAUAGGUAUUGAACAUAAUGCAUUACAACUUACAAGAGGCGGAAAAAAUAAAAAAAUGGAUAGAUUUUUACAUAUCUUAUUUAAUGCAGGUUAGAAUUGAAGGAAAAUGCACCUAUCAUGUUGCUAAGGAAUUUGGACCCUUCAAGUGGCUUAUGCAACGGCACACGAAUGAUAUGUCGAGGUUUCUCACAAAAUGUCCUACAUGCAGAAAUAUCAAGUGGUCAUUCUGCAACAAAAUAUGUGUUUCUUCCAAGAAUACAACUAUUACCACCAGAAAAUGAAGGAUAUCCAUUUAAAUUCAUUCGAAAGCAAUUCCCCAUACGCCUUUGUUUUGCAAUGACUAUAAAUAAAGCUCAAGGUCAAACAAUUCACAAUGUUGGUUUGUAUUUGCCCCAACAUGUUUUCUCACAUGGUCAAUUGUAUGUGGCACUAUCAAGAGGGAUAUCUAUGUCCACAACAAAAGUACUUGUCCUAAUAGAGCAACCCAAAUGUCAAAAAGGAACGUACACAAAGAACAUCGUCUAUAAGGAAGUUUUAGGUAUGAUAACCUUAUAUACAUAUAUGGUCAUUCUAACACAUAUAAUUAAAUAUUUACAAAUACUAUAUACUAACAACAUUACAUUGCUUCAAAUCACAGGUUUAGAAGACGCAAGUAAACCUAUACAAGCAUAAUGGAUUCUUCAACAACCCACACUCUACAAUGAAUUAGAGCCAUUUUCAAAAUACUUCUUUCAUUACUAUUAUCAGCUUUAUUAACAUUAUAUUCUAUUAUAAUGUUUAAAUAUUAGUAUUAUUAACAAAUAACCGUACUUUCGUACUUCUGUUUAAACACUUCAUAUUAACUGCAUAUUAUUGUUACUGAUUAUUAUUAAAUGCAUCAAAUUUUUUUCACUAUACAACAUCACUAAUACCUCAUGUAAUCAUCAAAAGAAUAAUAAACACAAUGUACGCUUCUACUACAUCAAUAACAAUUCACCCAAUCAUUAAAACACAGAUUUACAAGAAAAAAAUUCACAUAGAAUGAUAUUACUUACCAUAGCUCACAUGUGCAACACACGUGUCCCUGACUAGUAUUAUUAUAAGUGGGAAGCUCUAAAGUGAAAAGUUGAAUUACUAUUUUGUCCUUCUACUAAAUUAAAACUUUUAUAAUUUUUAUAUAUAUAUAUAUAUAUUAAAUAUUCUUAUUCUCAUUUCAAAAUCUUGACCUUUCAAAUUUCUCACACAAUUUUUUAAAAAUAAAAAUGAGUAAUUAUUCCUUAAAGAUAAGAAAUUAAAUGAGAUUCAUGUAUCUUUUAAAGUUAAAUUUCAUUGAGUUACUAUUUUGCCCUUCUACUAAAUUAAAACUUUUAUAAUUUUUUUUUAAUAUAUAUAUUUAAUCUUCUUAUUCUCAUUUCAAAAUCUUGACUUUUUAAAUUUCUCACACAAUUUUAAAAAAAUAAAAAUGAGUAAUUAUUUCUUAAAGACAAGAAAUUAAAUAAGAUGCAUGUAUCUUUUAAAGUUAAAUUCAUCUCUAUUUUUUUAUAUUUAUUAUAAGCAAGCAAGUGAACGAAUUUAUUUGGUGUCUACCCAAUAGAUAGCUGUGGAUUUUGUAGAUAUUUUUUUUUUGGAAUAAAUCUACAAUUGUGUAUAGGAAUAAAGUAAAAAGAUGUUGGAAAUUAGAGAGGAAAGGCUCAAAGUAGUCACUUAUUUUGGGUUAAGGCUCAAAGUGAUCCUUAAUUUUUUAUAUAGAGUAUUAAUAGUCCCCCAUAUUUGUAAUAUUGGUGCACUUUUGAUCCUCCCUUAAAAUUUUGACUCCCAAAAUUUUAUAUAAGAAAUGUCCGAUUGUCUUUUUUAUAUAUUUAGUAGAAAUAACAACUCUAUCCGAAAGAAGAUCAUAAGAAAAAUACCUUAUUUUGUUCACUAGAAAUAUUAAUGCAGCUAAACUAAGAACAUCUUAACAUAUGACUUUGCAGAAAAAGAAAAAAAUUAUACUACUGCACGUGAAAUUAUCGUGAUGAACCUCUUGAUUACCUGCAAUAUGAUUUCUAUUAAAUAAAAUAACGUAUUUUUCUUCUCACAUACUUUCAUAUGGAAUUGUUAUUUCUACUAAAUAUAUGAAAUGACGAUUGCACAUAUCAUAUGUAGAUUAUAGAUAAAAUCAUGGUAAAAAAAUAAAUAAAAUUUUGGAUGAAAAUCAAAAGUGCAAGGAACUAUUAAUGUUUUAUGUGAAAUUAAAAAAAAAGACUAAUCCUUUCCUCUAGAUUAUAUUAUAUUAUAGAUAGACAAAAUUCCGUUAUCGCUAUUCCCUCUUCGCUUCACUCCAAUUGGCCCCAUUCAUCCUAAAUACUGACAAUUUCACCUUCAAAUUAUCAGAUAAACAAUAGCUGAGCAGGUUGGGUGUUACAUUUUCUUUAUAUUUUUGUGUUUGCUGUUAAAUUCUCUCUUGGUUAGCUCAUUUAAGUAUUUUCCCAGCUCUUCAAUGAUGUAUUUUUGGGUGCUAUUCCUCUGAAUGCUUCUUGGAGCUACAUCUUUACUACUGCCAUAUGAGUCUGAAAAAUGUUGUCUACCAUACAUGUCCUUAAUGAGCACUUCAAUAGUCUUAGGUCAAAAUUUGAUAUCUUUCAACAAAAGUAGUUCGGUAUUUGCGCAUAAUAGUUGCAUUACUGAGGUUCGCUGUAGUUGGGGGAGGAGGAAAUCUUUUGGGUCGAUUCCAAAUGCAAAGAAAAAGUAUCCAAAGAAGAAAAGCUGGUGGAGAGAGUUGUUUUUUGUUGAAAAUGGGAAUUGGCUGGGUCUGAGGGAGGAUGAUAUGCUUGAUGGACUUGAAUCUGAAGGUUUAGGUAGUGAUGAUGAUGAUGAGUUAUCAGAGAAUGAAAAGUUUGAAGCUUGGAAGAGACGAGCCGAGGCUAUCAUGGAGUUAAGGGAAGCACAAGUAGAUAUAAAGAAUGAGGAGAAUCGGAAGUGGGAUGAUUGGCUUGUUGAUGGAAAUGUUGUAUUAGGUAAUGAUUCAUCAUGGGUUCAGGAGUCCAUUAGAGUACCUGAAGAUAACAAGCUGGAAGAUCCUACUGAAUUAAUACCUGGGAGGGGUUUGGUUAAAUCCGUGAGGGAUAUGAUUUUCGGCAGGGAAGAAGAUGAUAUGCUAUAUGAAGAUCGUAUUUUUCAGUAUGCUUCAUUUAAUUCUGUAAGUGCAUUUAUUCUCAUUCUCAUCUUGAUUCCCCCCCUCAAAUUAGUCCGUAAUCUUUAGUGUCUCUAUGUUUCAAUUGGUGAACUUUUUGGGAAACCUAUUACAAUGUGGAAUAGUUAGGUAACUGCAUAUGCAAAAGCUCCUUGCAAUUCACUGCCAAAAUGGUGCACUGAACAUAUGGUAAUUUGAGUAUGUUCAAUACCUCAAGAAGGGUUUAUCUAAUAGCUAAAGCUGCCAAAAUGAAGGUAACAAAGCUGAGGAGCUUCUGCACGACAAUUUAUUUUCCUUGGAUUUAUUCUAAAGAUUAUGAAUGUAGAAACAUCUAAGACAUCUCGUGUUGUCAUGUCCCGAGCACUUAAAAUUCCCUUGGUAUUGUUGUUGAGCACUGAGAAUUGCCAAACGUUGCAUCUGGAAUGUAUUUUAUUAGGAGUCAUUUUUCUCUUCCUGUUGCAGGCUAAGUUCUUCGCAUUGCUGAUAAUUGUCCCAUGGGCUUUGGAUUUUGUAGUUCAUGACUAUGUUCUUAUGCCUUUUCUUGACAGGUAACUUCUGCUUGGAUUUAUUUACAUGCCUUUUAUUACAUUUUUGAAGUGGUUGAUGUUUGAUCUUAUGUACCUAACUUUAUUUUACCAUCAAAUGUUUUCCUACAUUUCUUUUGGUAAGACCUGAUAUUAUUGACGGUAAGCACUAGAACCUCUGUAGGUAACUAAACCAUUCUCUGUUACAUAAAUGAUUGAUUUAGUGUGCCAAGGAGGUGUUACCAUUUUCUAAGGAUCUGCCGUGGAAUCUAAUAGCCCCAUAACACGUCAUUUAAAUUGUUCAAACUCUAGAAGUCCAAUGGAAACAAGUGCAGGAUGAAAAUGUUUAAUCAUCAGUUUCUGUUAAAUCUUAGAUAUUUUAUAUUCAUUUCCUUACACAAAUGUGUCACAAAAGCGGUAAAUGUCUGUUCUUCAUGGCAGCAUUUGACUGUCCAUGUAGCAUAAGUUAGGUCUUAUAUAGGAUUUAUGUAACAAGAUUUUAUAAUUGGUCUUUUUCUGAGUAUCCUCAGCUGGAAUGCAUAGUGUUAUUAUCAGAAUGAAAAUUGUGCUGGUGUAUCUUCUCAAAAAGAAAACUGUGCUGGUUUAUUUGGCGUUGGAGUAUUUUAUUUGGUAGAUAUCGUCAGAUAAAGGAUAAGGGGAGCUAGUUGAAUAUUUAAAUUGUUAUAUAAAUGACUUCUGUCUCCUAACUCUAUAUUCAUAUACACCAGUCUGCCGUUUCCAUCUUCCAGUUAACACUAGUCCCCUUUGCUUUUCUGGUAGAUGCUAGUACAAACACAAAGCCUAAUUCUAAACUACACUAUCUGUUAACUCCUGCCUUUUCUUUUUUUACCAUUUAUUUAGCUUAUUGAGUUUGUGUGAAUUUGCGCCGUUCCCAAGCUCGGAUAAAGGAGGAGGGUUGCGAUAGGUUGAUAACCAGCAUAAAACUAGUAACAUAUAUGGGAGUGAUGUUAAACAGUUAGUGUAAUAUUCACAAGAUGAGUGUUGUUGAAUGUGCAUGCAAAGAUGGACGUGCAAACAUACAAGAUUAGAAAUGACUACAUCCAGCUGAAGAUGCAAGUAGCAUAAAUCAAGGAUAAACUGAAAGAAAGUUGCUUGAGAGAUCAUUUUUUGUUUCAUGUCCUUUGUCGACCUCCAAAUGCACCGGGCUAUAGGUGUGGAACUCUGACUGAACACGUUAAAAAGGAGACGAGGUAGACCUAAAAUCACCGGAAUUGUCAAAAGACCUAUAAUUUGUUGGAAUCAGCGGAGACCUAGCAAAAAGUAGCAGACAAUGGAAGAAAAAGUUGUAUAUAAGAUUCGUAGCAGACAAUGGAAGAAAAAGUUGUAUAUAAGAUUCGUAUAUUUGGACUUUAUUUUAGUCACAUUAGUAUGUUUACUUUAGUUUUUAUGUAUUCUAGGAGUCUUUUAGUCCUAUCUAAGAUUUAUUUACUAGUAAAAGAUAUGGAAAACUUCUAGUACUACUACUACUAAUUAUUAUUUUUUGAAACUAGUAAUUUGUGUUCUUCAGCAUUAAGAGAUACACUGACCACCUCCAACAAAAGUUUACAGUAAAGAAAAUAAGAGAUACUUACAAAGAUUCGAUGAAUUCCACUUAGUAGAUUUCCUCUUCUAUGUUCUGUUCUUUACGCCAAAAACAUAGUGAAGUAAUAACUUUCCACUUAAUCUUCUGUAUAGUGCAUUCUUUUCCUUCAAAGAUCCUCUGGUUCCUCUCAUUCCAAAUGUUUUCCCAGAUGCAAGCUGGGACUUCCCUCCACCAUUCCUUUCUGGCUCUUGCUUCCUCCUCUCCUGAUCCAACAGCUAAGCAAAUCAACAGUAUGUUCAGACCAGUGUUGUGGACGGCGAGAGGCGACAAAAAGCGACAAGGGCCUGCCUCGCCACGCGGCGAGGCGAGCGGCGAGGCGCUUGCCUUUUUGAAUAAAGGCGCCAAUUAAUACCAAAAAUUAAAAAUAUUUAAUUGCAUAUUUUAUCCAAAGUCUUAAUAGCAAUAACACAUAUAAGCCCUUAUUUCUUCUCUAAUUUCCGACGGACAAGCGACACAUUGUUUAACAUUUUUGAAACCACCCACUAAAUGUUGUUUGUGUCGAGUUAUUCCACCAUUGAAAGUACUCCCACAAAAGUUACAAGUGACCGAAUCUUUCGUCGCUCCUUGAGUGCCAUAAUUCCAUCCAAUGUCCCUCUUUUUGCUAGCAUCCGCCAUUGAUUAUUAAAUUCAAUUAAUUCACUGUUUAGAAAAAUUGGAAUAAAUAAUUAGGAAAAGAAUUUUUUUUAAAAAAUUAACACUUUUGUUACACUUACACAAAGCAGUAAGCACUGCCUGACUGCUGCUUACCAAAAAAAAAUAAAAUGAAGAAGAAGAACAGAAAAAAUAAGAACAGAAGAAGAAGAAGAACAGAAAAAAUAAGAACAGAAGAAGAAGUGAGAAAACAUUACCUGAAAACCUGAAAACAGAGAGUGAGAGUCGCGAGGGUCGUCGGCGAGGGAGAAGAGACGCGAGAGCGAGGGAGAGCGAGGGAGCAGAGACGCGACAGCGAGGAACAGCGAGGGAGCAGCGACGCGAUGGAGGAGAAGAGAAGAGUCAAUCGAUCGAUCGAGAGAGUCGCGAUGUGGAGGAUUUCAGAAAUUUUCAAAAGUAAAAAAAAAAACCCUAAUUUUGACUAAUAUUAUUAAGUCAAAAUUUUUUAAUCAAAAAGGCGGUGCCUUUCGCUCGCCAUUUCAGCGCCAUAGAUCGCCAAGAGCUCGCCUUUUUCUCCUCGCCUCGCCUCGCCAGAGAAUGGCGAGCCACCCUCGCCUCGCCUCGCCUCGCCAGAGAAUGGCGAGCCACCCUCGCCUCGCCUCGCCUCUCGCCUUUUAUAACACUGGUUCAGACAUGAUCCAAUAAACUUCAGCGAUGGUAGUGAACAAGGCCCAUGUUUGUUCUGUUACUUUACAAUGCAGGAAGAGGUGUUGUUCGUUCCUAGUGCCUCCUUGCAUAGAAGGAACCUAGACGCGAUGCUGAUCUCCCUCUUUUGCAAUGCCUCAUAUGUCAAACAGGCUUUUCUAGCUACCAACCAAGUGAAGUACUUCACUUGUGUAUGAGCAACACUCGUCCAAAUAGCAAUCCAAGGUCCUGUUUACCUGCCUGCAGCUUCACUCAGACCCCUAUUGUAUACCCUGUUAUCCGUGAAAUACCAUCAUUGUGGUGCCCCCAAAUGAGAUUGUCCGUUUCCAUGUUAGUACCUGGGAAGUUUCCUGUCAAAUUCAGAAGUUCUGAUCAUUUAAGAACCUUCUUAAGGUCACAUUCCAUCCUUGGGGAGACUACACUUCUUGUAUAUUGCAAUCAGGUUUCAAGCAUAUUAAAGCCAUACCAAGGAACAAAGAUUGAAGAGUUCUAUCACCAUUCUAGUCCUCUUUCCAGAAAAGUACCGUAGCUCCCCUUCCAAUUCUACGUUAGUGUCAGGUUCGAAUAACAGCCAGAGAUUCUUCAUUUACUUCCAAACCCCAACCCCAUCAGUGCCAGACUGCCAGUCACCUCAUUUGUGCAUCACUGACCCUCUUGGCCGUAUUUAUGCAAAAUUAUCUCCUUCCAAGGAUUCAGGCCUGUUGGGUAAAUCUCCAUAGCACUUUCAUAAGCAAACUCUUAUUGUGCAGCUUCAUGUUUCUCACUCCCGAUCCUCCAAAACUCUUGUUUUGCUGGAUUCUGAUCCAUUUUACAAGGUUAAGACUCUUAUCAAUCUUGUUCCUUGCCACUGGAAAUUCCUCCUCAGAUUGUCCAAGAUUGUCACCACCUUGCCAGGAAGAGGAACAAGGACAUCACAUAGGUUGACAAUGAGUAAAGGACUGCAUUUAUCAAUAUGACUUUACCACCUAGGAAAAGGUACUGUGACUACCAAAGAGCUAGGUUCUUUUUAUGAUUUCUCUAUUAUUCCAUUCCACAUAUUCACUGCUUUGUGUUUUAGCACCCAAUGGCAUUCUCGAAUAGACUGGGCAUCUCUUCUAUCCUGUAUUUCAGAAUAUCUGCAAGUGUCUAAAUUUGUUUAACCUCUUUAACCGGAAAAAUGUUGGUUUUCCUCCGGUUAACUUUCAGACCAGAACAAGCUUCAAAGAUUACCAGGAUCACCCUCAAGUAGCAACUUUGUUCCUGUUCAGCUUCACAAAAAAACCAUUGUGUCAUCAACAAACAAUAGGUGAGUCACCACCAUAGUUUCAUUGUUUAUGUUCUUAAUGUUGAGGUCACUUAUCCAGUUAUUUGCUAUAUCCUUUCUCAUUAUAUUGUCCAGUCCUUCCAUAGCUAUUGAUCAAAAAUCUCAUUUUGUUUCUAUAGGAGAAGAGACUACCUCAUCAACAUAAAAUAUCAUUCUGCUCCCUCUUGUUGAAUUCUGCUCCUUUCUAAUUCUCUUUUCUCCUCCCUGUUUAACCCCCUAACAUUCUAACAUUUUAGGCUAGUAUCUUCAACUUCGUAACAACCGAGUAGUCUUUUUCCUCCCUCUAUAUCUUGAGUCGCUCAUUGGCUCUGUAUCCUUGAAUUUCACAUCAAGGAUAAGGUUCUUCAACUCCUUUGGAAUUAAUUGUAAAUAGAAAUUCUCUGAUAAGGUCAUAAUUGGGGAAACUUCCUUCUCUCUUCUUUUAUCAAUUUUUAACCGUAAAAUUAUGACACCUGGACCUAACUCAACCCCAAAUUCUUUACUGAGUCUGAUUAUGUUCUAUUGUACCCAAGAACGAAUUUCAUUCUCCACUACUGUACCAGUUCCAUGCUCAUCAGCGUCAGUGAUAGAAUAUCUAUCUUCAAUUGUAUCUUCCCUCCACCUCCUUCUGUCCUAAUUGCAUGCCUCUUUUUGUUUGUGUCUUUAGAUGUGUUCUUUCCUCGGUUUGGACGAUGGACAUAUUGUCAUCGUCCCUCAAAGCUGCGACGAAUUCUAAUUUCUUACCCUCUUCUCCAUGUUCUAGUGGAGUUAGAACACAUUCUCUGCCUUGCUUCAUUAGAUUUAUGCAGUUUGCUUCUAUUUCAUCGAGUAAAGGUUCAAAAAACCUUUCACUAUUGUUGGAAUUCUUUUCAUUUAAAUGAGCAGCAUGUUGGACCAGUGGGUCUGGGCCCAUGGUUUUAAUUUCUUUUCCUUUCUGUUGCUCCAGGUCACGUGCACACUAAGGCCUCAUUUGUUUGCACUUAAUGAAGGUCUUAAUCUUAUUCAUUCAGAUUUAGUCCAUUAAGUGCAUUUGGUUUAGUCUGAAUUUUAAUCAUUCAUAUUCAGCCCAUUAAGUCAAUUUGUUUCUUUUUUAAAAAAACCUCUUCAUGGGUCUUAAUGAGUCUGAAUGGAUCAGAUCUAUAAUAGAGUCUUAAUACCAUUCAGAUUCCAUUAAAACAGUAAAUGUUCUUUCAUAAACAAAUUCUAUGCUUCCUUUCUUAUCUUUUGAGCAAGUCUCAAGUUUCUUCCUCUCCUUUUCCAAUCAAAUACCAUUUUUUUUCUUUUGAAUAGGUAAGUUUUCAUAAUCUUUUACAAGUAUUUAUCUUAUAUUUUUAAUCUAUACAAUAUUCUUUGGUGAAUCGAUAUUUAUGAAGAAAUCUUUUUGUCACAAUUCGUUUGUUGCCAAAACUUCUUUGAAAGAAGUUAUCGUUGUUUCUUGAGAAAAAAAAUUGUCUGAGAAAACAAAUAAAUCAUUUUUUUUUGUGGUGGGUUAUAGUCUUAUUCUUGAAACAACUUUUUGGAGAAAUCAUCGUGGGUUUGAAUUAUAAAUUUUAUUGAUAUAGUGUUUAAUUCCUAAUUUUAAAAUAAAUAAAUUAUGCGCUAUGAUAUUGAAAACAGACAAUCUUAAUAAUUAAAUUACAUCUUACUAUUCAGAUGUGCAUUCAGAUUCUGAUACUUUAAUCGUAAUGCACACCUUAAUAUUCAGAUGUGCAUUCAGAUUCAGACAUCUUAAUCUUAAUGAAAACAAAUAAGGCCUUAAUGAAUUCAAGAACUUUUGAAUACUCCACAUGGCAACUCCUGUCACCAGUUGCCACGGGUGUAGAUUUCGCUGCUCCACCUCUGUGUAUUACCUGUUGGGUCAAAAUAUGAAACCUUUUGUCACCUACAGCAUAAAAGCCUUCUUCUCCGAUGGAGAACCUCGUCGGUGUCUCAUCCUAUACUUAACUAAUAUACCAAAACCACCGCUUAUGAGUUUGGAUCUGUCACAUCCGGGUUUACCCCUAGACGUAACCGGCGUCGUCGUCCUUUUGAAGGACUAAGACUAGCCUCUUAGUUUCAUGUCAUUACAUUCAUAGGUUGAAAAACGGAAAAAUUUAAAACUUUCAUUAUCACUACUUGGAGGUUUACAUAGACCUCUACAUACACAUAAUAGAUAUUCAUAUCGAGUAUACAUAGACCCUUCAUAUAGAAAGGUUACAUAUCCUUCUACUUUUAUUGCACAUACAUGUAUAAGAAUAUAAAAUUAGUCUCAAUAAUUGUCUCAUCUCAUACCAUCAAAACGAAUAUCACAAUAUGGGCAUAACCCUUACAUCGAUUCAACAAGACCAUGUAUAGGUCAUACAAAAGUACAAUAUUCAAAUAACAAGGAAAGGAAUGAUAGAGUCAAUAAGCUCAUAACAAAAUCCAAAGUUAGAGGAUGACACUGCCCUCGAGAGUUGAGGACCUACCCUACUUGGAUGAAAGGAAGAAUCCAAGCCUUCAACAAUGACACCUCCCAAAACUCUUCAACAAUCGGAACCUAAAAUGUUUGGGGAAAAGGGAAGAAAAUGGGGUUAGUACUCCAGAUAUACUAAGUAUGAGAUCUUAUGCACAUACUCAAGCAAAACAUGCUAAAAGGGACUUUUUAUCAAAACAUGUCAUUUUACCCCUUUAGGGACUUAAUGCAAAGUCAAGUAAGUCAUAUCAAUCAAUCAACAUGCUUGCUAUCAUACAAGUAAUACUUAUCCCAACAUAUUGAAACUAUGAUUUACUACAACCCUAACAUCAAGAAAUAAUAUCACAAGAAUAAAUAAGAGUUAAACAUAUCAUAAUAAGCAAGACAACUACUCACAAGUCCUUAUCAAGUCAACUAGUGCAAUGACCAAACAAAGCCCCAUAACCUCACUCAAUUAAGUAUCCUCAACAAGAAAACAUGACCAAUGUCCAACUUUACAUAUCAUGGCUUUUAGACUUGCAUUUCAUCAUAUACUCAUUAUCAUACAAGGCAUAUUUAUAAAUGAACUAAUCAAAAUAUAUUAUCAACAAUGUGCCAUGGUCAUUAUAUAUAUACAUCAUAUAUUAUCAUAGCAUAAACAUACAUAAGAACCUCCUCCUAAGACUCCCCUUAAAGCUAGCUAGUGCAAUGUCUAGGUAAAGUCCCAAACCCUUACCUGGACUAAGCUAGACCCCUUAGGUUAUCCAAGUUAGAGUUCAAGUCUUUUAUUCGUUUUACCUUUUCAGGAACAUCUUGCCCUAGCCGACAUAGAUCACAUGAGCUAGUGUGGAAUCCGGUGUCAUAAAACCCUAUACCGAAAAGAAGGCGGACUACUUGCCAAGGUAGUACCCAAACAUGAAACAUAACAACUACGUGGAUCCACUAGCUAGUAUUCCUAUCGGGGCAACAUAGUUCAAGAACUAGGAGAUUUAGUUGGGACCCUCUUUAUGCGCCAUGCAUUAUAGUCUCCAAUCUCAAGAGUAAUGUAGUGUUCCUACCUUCCCUAUGUGGGAAGGGACACUUCUCUAUCUAGUUCACUCGGUGCUAAGCUAGAGUCCCUUUUUGAAAUAUCUUUAAGCCUUUAAUUAUCAAUCAUAACUUAAUUAGGCCAUAGGGUCUAUCCCUUGUAUAAUCAUCAUCAUCAAUAGCUCAAUAAGAAUUGUAUGAGUAUAAGUCCUUUCAUCACAAUUCCUAUAAGUGAGGUUAAAUCUUUAGCAUUUCAUAACAUAUUAAGGCACAUUGAUAGUUUUCACCAUCCUUAUAGCAGAUACACCUUAAUCAACCUCACAACGUAGUCAAGACAUUUCAAUUCAACAUCAUACCACCCUAUAAUCCUAGUAUAAGACACACUCCAAUGUAAUAUCAUGACUUAACAACAAUUAAUCACAAUUGGAAGUAAAGAUAGAGAUUCUAAGAAUUACCAAGUCUUCCUCAUAGUCUAUCAUCAAUGUCUUACCAUCAACCCAUAAAUCAACCUAACUUGGGGAGUAACAUCAUCAGACAAUGAUAACCAAUAAGAUUACAAGGCCAAUUGCAUCUCUAUAACACAAUUCAUCUUCAGAUCACAACUUGAGACAAGGUACAUAGGCUAAUUUCACAUUAUAAUUCAUAACCUAAAUCACAUCUCAAGAACUAGCAUGAUAGGCCUAUAAUUCAUCUUAAUUUAAUCAUAAUAGCACCAUAGGAUAGUAACCAAAUCAACAACUAACUCGAUUGAAUGAUCCCAAUACAAUAUAGGUCAACAUCACUACCUAGGGUUAGGGAUAUCGGAUCAUACUAUUCAAUUUAGACCAAACCAUCAAAAGUUACCAUAAAUAAGUUGAAUUACAUGUUAAUCUACUCAAUAUAACCCUAAGAAUUCAUUAACAACUCAAUGCAUAACUUCAAUUUCGUAAUUGAAUGAGAUCCAUAAGAAAACUCAACUUUUUGAAAUCUAUUUUGAAGGAACCCUUUUAGGAAAGAAUCUCAAAGGUGAAUAGAACCCAUACCUUAAUGAUUUCUCAACAAUUUGAUUGUGAAUUCGUCCCUUUCCAGCCCUCAAACCCUAGUUCUUGCUAGCCUUCAAUGGUGAGUUCAUGUAGAGAGAAUAAGAGAGAAGGAAGAGAGUUUAUUUUGAGAGUUGUCUUUAGGUUAAUGAGGGUUGAGGGUACUUACAGUAGGACUUAAUCAACUUAAUUAGUUUCCCUUUAAUCCCCAACUAACCCCUAAAACACUUAUUUAAUUAAAUAAAAUCAUAAACUCGACCCUCACAGAAGAGACCCCGAUCGACGGUGCGUUUGUGAGUCGACGGAAAACUCCCCCUCCGUCCUGCACUCUGUCGUCUCGGUCAGAGACUUUGUAGGCGAGGGCUUCCUCCAAUUUGUCUAAGUGUGGGACGACAGUGGCAUCGACGCCCCGUUGAUCCACACACGGACCGUAGCUUGCACCUUUGCACUCCGUCGAGGAGUCCAGAGAAUGUGCAGGUGAAGGGACCUUCUCCACCAGUCUAAGUAUGGGAUGACGGUGGCAUCGACGCCCCGUCGAUCCAGACACGGGCCAUUUUCUGUCCCGUCGAUGUAAACUGUCAGGCAGUGCUGCAUCAAACUACAUGGGUCCUCCUCAAGGGCCCUUGGUUGGUCCUUGGGGAGUCGUACCCGAACGUUUCAACCAUGGAACAACUCAAACACCCAUUAGUUACCUUUUUACCAAUUUUCGUACAUUUUCGAUUCCUAAAAGUUAGUCAAAAAGGCUAAAUCCCUUUGAACCAACUUCCCGAAUGUUUUGGACGUUUUGGUUCUUAAACCUCCUAAAUGACCUAUAUUCAUUAAAAAUGGACUUAGAAACAAUGUUUAGACUUUAUGACACCUAUGUUAGGCUUUACAAUGAGUUUUGGAUUUUCAAGGUGUUACAGUAUCAGCUCAUAACCUCUAUACCUGGUACCUUACUGGAGUGUAUGCUCUGCAUACCAGAGGAAUGAGAAGUUACUUUGCGUGGAGGAACUUGCUGCAGUUGUAACCAUUUGUGAUGGUCCUUGGGUCAUCUGUGGAGACUUAAACACCAACAAUACUAUGAAAUAAAGAAAAGGAUGUAACAAAAUUUCUUUUGUUAUGUCUGACUUCUUAACGUGGAUACAAGAGAUGGAAUUACAUGAACCCCAUCUACAUGGUGGAAUCUUUUCUUGGUUUAGAGGCAUUAAUCAUCCAAGUGCAGCUAAGCUAGAUAGAUUAUUCUCUAUGGAAUGGGAAGAAAAAUUCAAAAAUAUCAAGCAAAAGUUGCUACCUAGAGUGCUCUCUGACCAUUGCCCUAUCGUAUUAGAAUGUGGAAACCGGGAGAAGAAAAGGUCAAAUUCAAGUUCGAGAACUAGUGGUUCAAGGUUGAAGGCUUCACUGAUUUGAACAAGCAUGGUGGAAAUGAAUUCUUGGAGGAAGGAUGCCCAGACUACAAACUCAAUUAAACUAAAAAUGCUUAAAGGAAAAACUUAAAGAAUGAAGUAAAGCAAAUUUUGGGAAGCUAGUAAAUAAGAAUAAUAGUUUACUUGAAGAAUUGGCUGAAAUUGAUGAGUUACAGGGAACAAGAGAUUUGACUGAAGAUGAAAUGAUGGUAAGAGCCACCAUAGUAGUGGAGUUGGAAGAAGUGGCAAAAUAUGAAGAAUCAAAGUGGAGAUAGAAAUCCAGAGUAUUAUGGCUGAAACAAGGGGACAAUAACACAAAGUUUUUUCAAAGAAUGGUAACAUCAGACAGGAGGACCAACACCGUUGAUAGUCUGAUAGACAAAGGAGAAAUUGUAGAAGAUCCUAUGGAGAUCGUAAACACUAUGAUUGAUUUCUAUAGGAAAUUUACACUAAACCUGAGAAUUAGCGACCUAGAUUUGACCUCCUAGAUUGCCCAACUAUAAAUAGGAGGAACAAACUUGGAUGCAGAGACCUUUUACUGUGGCAUUGAAGAGGUCCUGAAAUGCUUAUAACACUGUGAUGGAGACAGCUCCAGGCCCAGGUGGCUUCAGAAUGAGUUUCUUUAAGUCAUGCUAGGUAACAUUAAAGGAAAAUCUAUGUUGACAAUUCAUAACUUUCACCAAAAGAAAUUUUUUGAAAAAUCUUUCAAUGCCACUUUCAUAGCAUUGAUUCCUAAAAAAGCUAAAGUAGAGGAAUUAAAGAUAUGAGAUCUAUUAGCUUGAUAGAGGGAAUAUAUAAGAUUAUUUCCGAACUGAUCGCUGAGAGGUUGAAGACAGUAAUGGGAAACUGGUUGAUGUACACCAAAUGACUCCCUAAAAGGAAGGCAAAUUAUGGAUGCUUCACUAAUUGCUAAUGAAUUGGUGGACUCCAGAGUUAAACAAAAGAAGGCUGGAAUCUUAUGCAAGCCGGAUACAGAAAAGAUAUAUGAUUAUAUCAAUUGGUCUUUUCUGCUUAUGAUUUUGAAGGACAUGGGAUUUGGGUGGAAGUGGCUUAACUGGAUAAGAUUCUACAUAUCCACUGUUAAGUUUUCCCUAAUUAUAAAUGGAAAUUCUGAAGGUUUCUUCCCGUCUCUAAUGGGGCUAAGACAAGGGGACCAUCUCUCACCCUUUCUAUAAAUCUAGCCAUGGAAGGUCUCAAUCACAUGAUCAUGAGAGCAAAUUGGAGGGUUAAAUAAGUUUUAAAGCUCAGAUGUAGGGCAGUAGGACAAUGACUCUAUGAAUCUUUGAUUUUGGGCUCCAUGUUAAAUGGCAAAAGAGUUUCCUGUACCCAGUUAACCAAGUAAGCAAUAUGGAACUGUUAGCUCCCAAUCUUGGUUGCCAAAUAGAAACUCUACCUACAAAGUACUUGGAUAUGCCUUUUGGGAGCACAAAACAAGGACAUAAAAGUGUGGAAUGUACUAGAGAGAUGUUACAGGAAACUAGCAAGCUAGAAAGGUCAAUACCCUCUUUGGGAGGGAGAUUGACCCUGGUCAAGUUAGUCCCAAAUGCACUCCCAUCUUAUAUAAUGAGUCAUUUUUCUAUUCCAAAGAGCAUUGUGAGAAAGAUCAACAAACUUAGAAGAUCUUUUCUUUGGAAUGGAAACAGAGAAAAUAGAGGUUACAAACUAGUCAAGUGGGACAUUGUAACACUUAGCAGGAAACAUGGGGGACUGAGUAUAAAAAAGCUAAGCCUUUAGAAUUCCUGUCUUCUAUGGAAAUGGUUGUAGAGAUUUUGCAAAGCCAUUGGUCUAUUGUGGAGUUAAUGGGAACAUUUGGGUCUAGUGUUUGGAAGACCAUCAAGAGACUAUGACCAUAAUUCAAAGGUAACAUCUCACUUAAGGUGGGAAAUGACAGGAUAACUUCUGGAAUGAUCUAUGAUUUGGGGAAAAAUAGCUAGCAACAUUAUUUCCAUACCUGUUUAUGCUCAGCCAGCAGAACAAGGACAUAAUUAUUCAAAUGUGGAGCCCUCAGGGAUGGAAUUUCUUGUUUAGAAGAGCCCUUAAUGAUCAGGAGAUAGCGAGAAUCACUACUCUAUUUUGGAUCCUAAAUGCCUUUCCAGGCACUUCCACUAAGCCUGGUAAGCCUCUGUGGAAAUUACAAAGGAAAGGAGUGUUCACAGUGAAGUCUGGUCAAAGACAAAAUAGAAUUUGGCCUUGGAAACUUAUCUGGAAGAUAAAAAUACCUCUAAGGUCUCAUGUUUUGCUUGGUUAGUGUGUAGAUGGGCAUGCUUAACACAUAAAGUGCUUUAGAAAAAAGGAAGACAACUUUGCUCGAAGUGCUUUAUGUGUGAUCAAGAUGGUGAAGUCAAUGGACAUUAGUUCCUCUACUGCAAGGUAGUUGCUACCGACCUAUAGAACAUGUUUUUUUUUCAUCCUUGGUGUGUGUUGGGUUAUUCCACGGACCACUAAGGUCCUACUAGACAUCAGUGUUAUCAAAAGCGAAAAGUGCAAAAAAGCUCUAAGGUCCAUGGGGGCUUUAAGCGCAAAUAAAGCUUGUGCUUUAAUGAAAUAAGGCGCAAAGACAGAAUAUAAUACAAAUAUAUAUGUUUAGUCCAAGAUUAAUAAUUAUAAACAUGAAUGACACAUUUAUGACCAAAGAAAUUGAAAAAAAUUUAAUAAUGUAAUGAAAUAUCAAUUGUUUGGUGUCACUUCUCAUAAGAGGCUCAUUGACAAGGAAAAAUUUGCCUUAGAAUCUUGAGGACGACACUGAAGCGCACAUAAAGUGAUGCGAAGCGCUCAACAUGUUUUGAGCCUCGCUUCAGGGCUUAAGCGCGCCUUUGGUAACAUUGCUAGACAUCUGAAAGGAGAUAGGAAGAAGACACUUUACCGAAGACUGGUGGGAGUUAAUCCCAACUUGCAAUUGGUGGACAUCGUGGAAAGAAAAAAAUGCUAGAUGUUUUAAGGAUAGAACUAAAAUAUUGAGAGAAUUAGAAUGAAUGACCUUAGCCUUUUGUAUUUUUGGUGUAAAUAAGAUAUGAGGGGGAUAUAAAACUUUUUGUUGAUUUCAUAGGCAAUUUGUGACCUCCCUAAAUUCAUAUGCUCUGAUGAGAUUGUAAGUGGCCAAUGCUCAUCAUUAUUUGAUAAUGAGACUUUUGUGAAUACACAAUUACCCUUCUCUCAAAAACAAAUUACCCAACUCAUGGUUGUGAUUAGUGGUUUUUGAAUUGACAAGUUGAAACAGUUUUUCUUUUGACAUGUUGAAUGGAGGAAAAAAGUACAAGAAAGCCAUAGUUUUGUUUCAAUUUUUUUUGUGAAGAUCCAAAAUUAGACUUCCAAGGAAUUGACGAAGUCCCACAGGGAUGAAAUUUGUCAUGGAGAAGAAGAUACAACAACGGAUAUGGAUUUUCUAGUUUUAUAGGUAGUUCCCGAAGAGACGUGAUAGAAACCGAGGUUUUAUACAGAAUAAAAACAACAGAAAAUACAAAAAGAGACUCAAGUAUUUCGUUUGUCGAAGAACAAUAGAAAAUACAAAGAGAGACAAGUAUCUCGUAUCUCUUAGAACAACCUUUUCUGCAUUUAAAUAAUAUAUUACCAUCUUUCUACUUAUUUACUAGAUCUCUUAUUAUAUAAUACAUAAUUGAUAACUACUUUAUAACUAUUUAAGAGUAACUUCUAGUAACCAUUAGAAACUGCCAAAUAACGGUAAGAAACUGCUCAUUGCUCCAUGGGUGAAACCUCCAGUAAUUUGAGAAGAUGCAAAUCAGUAUCUUCUCCUAUCUUUCUUCGCUUCUUCGUCCUUGAAUAAGUAUGGAAGAUUCGUGCCUUAUAAGUACACCCUCAUGGAAAGACGACUUGUCGUUAAGUCAAAAAUCUGGAAACUUUGUAGCUGACCAAGAUUUUUGGCCAUAUGGCUGAAGACGUAAAACAGAAGCAUCACCAACAUUAGAAGAGAGGUCUAUGUGCUUAUAAUUUGCCUUCAUAAGGUUUAACAUUGCAUCUCUAGGCAACAUCUGUUCUUCAAGGUCUGCUUGGAAAGAUGCUGGUGCGAGUGUUUUCUGUGGAACACCUUGUAGUUUAUAAGUUUUCUCAUUCAAUUGGAAAAUUAGGAACAUCUCGUUCCAAUUGGCUUUUAUUGUGUUCAAGGAUGCUAGCCAUUGUAUACCCAACACCAUGUCUGUGCCACUAAAGGAAAAAGGGAAAAAUGUGUUUUAUGACCAAGUUAGAAACCUGUGCUGACAGGUCAUGACAAACUUUGUUGCAUUUGAUAAUUUCACCAUUGCCUAUCUGGCCACCAAAAGUAGGGACAUAUUUGACUGCCAACCCAAGUUCCGUUACAAUUUCUUUUGCUACAAAAUUAUGUGUCGAACCACUAUCUACCAACAUCAACACUUUAUGCGCGCAAAGAGUGCCUUGAAGUUUCAAAGUUGAAGCAGAUUGUUUGCCCAAAAUUGCAUGAAAAGAGAUUUUCUCCAAAUCAGUAGGGGGUAUGUCUUCAUUCUUAUUACCGUCAACACUUUGCACAUGGUUUUCCUCUUGCACUAACUCCAAUUGUGCAAAAGUCCCAGGUUUGCAGCGAUGGCCAGGGGUAAACUUGUCUCUAUAACGGUAGCAUAGGCCUUUUUCUUGCCGAAUUUGUUGUUCAAAAUUCAAUAGCGAGUGUUUGGAAGAGAUGACUGUUGAAAACGCCGUGUAACUAGUUGGCGGGAUGAUUGGAAAUUAAAGGAUUCUCGAGUCGUUGGAGAGGAAGUCCUAAUUGAUGAAGGUCUUGAUACAGAAGGCCAAGCAGACACCUUACUGGAUUGAUUUAGUCCAUGUUUUCCUUCAUAUUCUAAGGCCAAACUCAUCCCUUAUACAUAGAUCGAGGCUUAUGAAUUCUAACAUCCACACGAAGGUCUUCUUUGAGUCCGCUAAGGAAAACUCCAAGCAAACAAUGUUUUGGCCAAGUUUGCACACGGGCGGCCCGUUUUGCAAAUUCCCGCCUAUACUCGAAAACUGAUCCAGUCUGUUGGGAUACUACACAAAUGUUCAUUUGGAUAUUGAAAUUCAACAGGUCCAUAAUUUUCCUGCAUAACUUUCACCAACUCCAUCCCAGUAAUAAAUUGUUCUUCCACUGUUGAUCCAAGCAAAAAGAUCCAAUACAUCUCUUUCCAAAUACAUUGAAGCCACAUCAACCUUGCAAUCAUUAGGUGAUUGAUAAUUUUGAAAAUACUUCUCUGCUUUCAAAAUCCAACCUCGAAGAUCUCCUCCUUCAUACUUUAGGAAAUUCCAUCUUUGUGUGCGAACGUCGAUAAGUUUCUUGAUCCAAGUUCUAUCAACCUCACCCUCUUCCAGUAAAACUUGUGAUUUUCCAUGUUUAUUUAGCAUGUUUUGUGCUUUUAAUGCAGCCACAUCAGCAGCCAAAGCACUCCCAAUUUCGCUGCUAUAGUGGUUAAUUGCUGGCCAAUCUGAUCAGGAGUCGUCAUGAUAGGUUCGCUGUGGGAGCGUUGGUUCGUGUGCUAACCAUGAGAGAUCUGACUACUCUGAUACCAAUGAUAGAAACCGAGGUUUUAUACUUAAUAAAAACAACCAAAAUACAAAAAGAGACGCAAGUAUCUCGUAUCUCGUAUCUCGAAGAACAAUAGAAAAUACAAAGAGAGACAAGUAUCUCGUAUCUCUUAAAACAACCUUUUCUGCAUUUAAAAGAUAUAUUACUAUCUGUCUACUUAUUUACUAGAUCUCUUAUUAUAUAAUACAUAAUUGAUAAGUACUUUAUAACUAUUUAGGAUAAGGAUAGAUAACUUCUAGUAACCAUAAGAAACUGCCAAAUGACUUCUAAUAACGGUAAGAAACUGCUCAUUGCUCCAUGGGUGAAAAUCUCCAGUAAUUUGAGAAGAUGCAAAUCAAUAAAUCAAUAUCUUCUCCUAUCUUUCUUUGCUUCUUCCUCCUUGAAUAAGUACGGAAGAUACGUGCCUUAUCAAGACGCAAUUGGAGAAACACAACAGUCUGAAGGGACACACUAGAGUUGAAUAAGCGGGCUUAAAGGUAAAAACAAAAUAGAGGUAAAAAAAACUAAAAGUACGAAGAAAACAUAAAAGUAAAUUCAUGAAUUCUAAGGGUGCCAUGUAGGUUGGCCUAGGAUUCUCUUUUGUAUGUAUAUAAGAUAAGAUAAGAUUCUUUUUUGGUAGAUGUAUCUCUUUUAAUGAAGGCAUUGAUUUUUGUCCGCAAGUUUUCUCCACCAAUCAGUAAAAGCGUUUUCUGGAAUACUAAUAAUUGCCCUGUCUGCCCCCUUAACUGUAAUCAAAGAUAGAAACCUUCCAUACUUGUUGGAAUUUCGGAGAAAGAAAUAUAUUUGUGAAAUAAUAUUUGCAUUUCCAUGUUUUAAAAGAAUUCCCUUUCACUUCUGAUGCUUCGUAAAAUCUCUUGUAAAUCCAGAGGAGAAAGCCUCUGUUCAACACCAUCAUCCUUAUGUGGUAUCUCCACUUUCCACUUAGUUGUACUAGACCUCUUCUCUAACCUUGGCUUCAGUGAUGUCAUAGGACUUCCCCCCUGAACAAAAGUAGAUCCUAUUGUUCAUCCUUUCAAGUGAACAGGAUGGUAGAGGUAAAGAAAGUGGAAGGAGAUUGAGAGAAGUGAAAAGAGAAGAGAAGAAAGUAAUAUUCCAGUGGAACAAGGUUCUCGGGGGGAAGAAACAUGGGGUCUUGGAGUAAGGAAUUUGAAAAAGCAUAGUAAAUCCCUUAGACUAAAGUGAUUAUGGAGGUAUUCUCAAGAGCCUCAACCAUAUUGGGGAAAAGUAAUUCAAGCAAAAUAUGAAGAGGAAAACAAGUGGAUGACAAAGGAGGUCCUUACACCAUAUGGGGUAAGCCUAUGGAAUCCAUCUGAAUCUUGUGGCCUCUCUUGAAGAUCAAUACGACCAACAGUGUAGGAAAUGACAUCAAGACUUCAUUUUGGGAGGAUAAAUGGUUGGACAACUUUAGAUUGAAAAGUAUCUUUCCAGAGAUGCAUGACUUGGCAGUGAAUAAACAAGUGACUGUAGCUGAGAUUUGGACACAGCAUGGAUGGAAUUUCCAGUUUAGAAGGAAUUUCAAUCAUUGGGAAAUCAAGACCGUGACUGAUUUUUUUGGAAGUCUGGAAACUUUUACAGAACAAGGGAUGAACAUGAUAGAUUAUGGUAGAGAAGAAAUAACAAAAUCACAUUCAAGGUAAACUCUGCAUAUAAGUUGCUAAAUCAAGAUGGACAACAACCUUCCCUUUGGCCUUGGAAGCAGAUUUGGAAACCUAAAAUCCCUUUCAAGAUGUCAUGUUUCACUUGGCUUCUGGCAAGAGAAGCAAUUUUAACACAUGAAAAUCUCAAGAAAAGGAAGUUCUCCAUGUGUUCUAGAUGCUAUUUAUGUGGGGAAGAGGUUGAGACAGGCAAUCAACUGUUUCUCCAGUGCAGAAUAAGUGAAUAACAUCCCAGCUAUGGAGGUUUUUCAUUAGGCUCAGGGGUUUUGCUUGGGCUAUGCCUAACGGAAUCACACAUCUUUUAUACAGUUGGGGAGAAGUAGGGGUGGGAGCUGCAGAUAGAGAUAGAUGGAAGAUUGUCCUGUAUCUGGUGGACUAUUUAGAAGGAAAGAAAUGCUAAAUGUUUUGAGAGCAAGAGUUGUGAUCUUCGAACGAUCAAACUAAAUUGUAUCAGGCUUUUGUUUCUGGUGCAAGCAAAUGCAUUUAGAGGACAGUGAAUCCAUUAUAGAUAUCCUAGGUUCCUGUUAGGAUUCAGAUUCAGUUUUCUUACUUUUUGAAAAGCUGUAAAUAUGGUUUAGUGCAACCCAAGCCUGGUUUCAAUGAAUAUACACAAUGUUACCUUCUCAAAAAAAAACAACACUUUUCCGGUGGAAUAAGUUCACCGGAGUCUGGAUCCCAAAGCCCAGAAGGGACUUCAGGAAAAAGCCUCGGAAAAGGUGCCUGAGAGCAAACAAUCCUUUUAAAUAUUUUAUUAUUAUAGUUUCUACUAUUAUUAGAAUUUUCUGAAAUGAACUUGUUUGGGAUUGAGGUGUUUUAUUAAGUUUGUAAUUCUCAUUCAGACAGCCUGAUGAAUUCCCUGAUGCUCUUUCUUAUGAGCUUUUGUUGUAUACUUUGCUUACUCCAUCAUUAUCCCCAGAAAAGAGAGGUUUGCUUGACUUCAUCUAUUAAUUGUUCCAAUGGUUCGAAGCCUACUCAAGUGUCAUUUUCCUAAUUAAAACUACUUGAAAUUUUUUCUUCCUUGUUUCUGCGUCACAGUGCGACAAAUUCUUCAUGGACAGUAGACUAGUAAUACAGGUAUUUGAGCUUAUUUCUUGAUAUUGUGAACAUACAUCCCUGCACUACCAUCGCUGACUUCUAAAUUUUUGAGAACAUAUUACUUUUUGGAUGAGUAAAAACAAUACAACAAUAUUGUUCUAAGGAAAUAUUACACCUCUUGCUUGCUUAUUUCCUAUUCAGGUACAUUUCCUGCUGAUGGUUGCUAGUGUGAAUGGAACACCCAUUUAAGCUUUGUGUUGACUGUCUUAUUUGUCAUGGUCAGAUAUGUUAAGACUGUACCUUUAGCAGCACAGAUGCUUGAUGUCAGAAGAAACCAAAAGCUUGAAAUGGUUAAGGAAUUGAAGGCUGAGCAGGCACGCUACCGCCUUGAGGUUGAGAUUGGUAAAUCUCCACCUUUGUCUGAAAAGGAGCUGCAUCUGGAGCUACGACACAAAGCGUAAGUUUUACCACAGCUGAUGCCCGUUCUUGUUAUGUUAAUCUGAAGUGUUCUGAGAAAUUUAGUUCACACCUUGUUUUCAAAUACGUGUCGUCCUUUCCUUUCUUUACCCACUUAUCCGCCUGAUGUUAAAAGAGUUGGUAUGAAGGAAGCAACUGAUUUUUGAAGGAAAACAAGUUUUUGCACUCACAUUGGAUAAUCUUGUCUUGAAUAACCUAAUUCCUUGUGUAAAAAGGGAAAAAAGGGGGCUGCAGAAGACAUCUACCACUUCGUCUGUUCUCUUGUUUGAGCUGAUAAAUGCAUUAAUAGACUAUAUUUGUAUUUUACAAUAUAUUUAUUUUUAUUGUACUAACUGACUCGGACGAUUCAUGUGAAUACAUGCAUAAUUCAAUUUAUUUGCUUGAGAGCACUUUUAUAUUGUUCUUUUCAGCUUGAUAUCAGAACCAAUGGUAUAUCCUUCUUCUUCCUCCUCUACUGAAAUGCCUUUACUUCUUUUUGUACCUCUGUAAUCCUCAAAAUUAUUCUAUCCUCAAAGGGGGGUUCUCCCAUUGAACUACCCUCUUCACUCGGAAUAAUGAUCCUUAGUAUUAAAUUUACUGAUAAUGGUUAUUUUGGUCAAGUGCUAGAAGAUAAAUCAAGUGUUGCGCCACUGCAGAUACUCGGAUGCUCUCUAUUCUCUUCUUGUUGCCAAGAACUCAUCUCCUCUUGCAUUAUCUAGCAAAACCUCUUCAUUACAUCCGCACAACCAUUUAGUAGGGAACACUUGCAAGUUAUCAUAUUGAUAAUAAUAAUAAAGGAUAAUUUCUUGCAGUUCUGCUUUUUCAAAUAAUAUUUUCAAGGUCUAUCAAUUUGGCAAACAAUCCAGACUAUCUUUUCAGUCUUCUAAUGAUAUUGCUAGUGUUUCAUUCAUUUGAUCUAUUCUGAUGUUUGGCAGACACCUUUGAUAAGAAUCAGGUUACUUGAAGUCUUGAAUAAACAAGAAACUAUUGCAGAAGCAAAAAUAAAUAGAUUAAAGACAGGAAUUGAAAGAUAUGCAAAAUUUGAGAAUAAAAUCCUCAAAUUCAAAAAAAUGUGCUAAGCCCUAAUUGAUCUUAGUAGUCAAAAGUUAGUGAAUUAAAUACUGAUAGAGCUAAUUCAAAAACAUAGAUCAAAGAGUGAUCUUAGACCCCUAUUUCAAAGAAAUUAGAGACAAUAGUGUGGUUAUUGGCUAAAGAAGCAGUAUUGACACAGGAGAAUUCAAUGAAGAGGGGAAUUACACUUUGCUCUGAUGUUUUUUCUGUGGGAAAACUGCAGAAACAGUCAAUCAUUUGUUUAUCCAAUGCGAAGUCACUGGCCAGUUGUGGAAUCUGUUCCUUAGACAUAAAAGCAUCUCCUGGUCCAUGCCUGGGAGAAUUUCAGAGGCUCUAUUUAGCUCUAUUUAGCUGGGAAGAAGCAGGGACACAAGCAAAAAACAGAACUGGAGAAUUGUCCCUGCCACUAUUUGGUGGACAAUAUGGAAAGAGAGGAAUCUUUGAGUUUUUGAGAAUAGGGAGAGUAGUAUGCAACAAGUUAAACUGAAUUGCAUUUUGACUGUGUUUUUGGUGUAAUCAAAUUUACUCUAAUGAUACCGUCUCUAUCAUUGAUGUCUUAGACUCAUUAUAGGGAUAGGUCGAUAUUAUUAGGGUUUCCUUAUGUAAAUAAGCGUUCAGUACAACCUAUGUACUGGUCUGCAGAAAUAGAAACAAUUACCAUUUUCAAAAAAUAAAUAAAUGUAAGACUAAGUAUUUUUUUAAAGGGAAAAGGCUCAAAUAUGCCAUCGAACUUUCAAAAAAGGCUCAUUUAUGCCAUCCGUUAAAAGUUUGGCUCAUUCAUGCCACUACCGUUUAAAAAAAGGCUCAUUCAUGUCAUUUUUAACGGUAUUUUUACAAAACCACUUUUUACAUGUGUCAGAUUUAAAUUCGUCUACGUCAUUUUUUAUUUAUAAUAAAUCAAAAAUCUGAAAAAUUAUUAAAUAAAAAACUCACCCAAACAAAAAUUCACCCAAAUAAAGAUCCACCCAAGUAAAGACCAACACAAAUUAAAAAAAUAUCCCAAACAACCCAUUAGUAACCCAAUUUUUCAAUUCACUUUUACCCUAGAAACCCAAUUCUUUUGAAAUAUGAAAGUUGUUUUGUUUUUCUUUUGUGAUGCCUAGACAUUUUAAAGGUUAAGUCUUUCAUUUUGUGAUGCUUAGACAUUUUAAAGGUCAAAGCAGUUAACAUGUGAUUUUUGUUAUUACAAUUAUUUUAACCUUAAAAAAUGACAAUUACCUAUUCUGUAAUAGAGUGACAAUUGAUGCUAGAUUUGUUGAAAUAUUAGGUUAUGCACUAUGUUGAUGUUGAAGUUUUGUGUUAUGGAGUGUAUUUCCUUAGUGCAUGUUGACAUCACAGUUCUUUUCAAUGGACUUUUUUAUUGCUGCUGCUUGGAAUUUGUUUGUGCAUUGUGAUUAUUAAUGAUAUUAUCUUUCUAUAGUUGGUCAAGUGCAACUCUGAAAUUUAUACAACAUGUUAUAAGUUUUUUGUGUCAUAUGUGCUAGUGUGCAGCUGUAUUAUUUGUGUCAUAUGAGCUAGUGUGCAGCUGUGUCAUAUGCCCCCGUUUGAUAAGUUAUUUGAGUUCUUUGUAGUUUUGUCAAAUAAAAAAAACUUCUUGGUAAAUAAUUGACUUUGAAGGCACAUAUAUGUUGGAAAAAAUGGUUGACAAAGUACUAAAACAACAAAAUUAUAUUAAAAAUAACUUUCAGUGAUUAACAAUGUACAAUGUACCAAGAUAAAAAUAAGCAACAAAAUUACAUUAAAAAUUACUUGACAAAGUACCUAAAUAACAUAAGCUAGCUUUCAAUGGUUGUCAGAUAUAUAUAUAUAUAUAUAUAUAUAUAUCCAUAAAAUUCGUUCUAAAUUUUGAGUUGACGCUUCUUCAUUCAACAAUGAAUAAAUAAUAUUCACUGGAAUUCAACACUGACCCCUUCAAAUUAUAGCAUCCACUGUCAUACUCGACACAAUGCUCCUAUUCUUAGAUUGGGUUUCUAGGGUAAAAGUGAAUUGAAAAAUUGGGUUACUAAUGGGUUAUAUGGGAUAUUUUUUUUAAUUUGGGUGGGUCUUUACUUGGGUGGAUCUUUAUUUGGGUGGAUUUUUGAUUGGGUGGAUUUUUAUUUAAUAAUUUUUCAGAUUUUUGAUUUUUUAUUAUAAAUAAAAAAUGACGUGGACGAAUUUAAAUCUGACACGUGUAAAAAGUGGUUUUGUAAAACCACCGUUAAAAAAAAUGGCAUGAAUGAGCCUUUUUUUAAACGGUACUGGCAUGGAUGAGACAAACUUUUAACGGAUGGCAUAAAUGAGCUUUUUUUGAAAGUUCGAUGGCAUAUUUGAGCCUUUUCCCUUUUUUUAAUUUAUGAAUAAGAACCAAAGAUAUCAAGUUAAGAAUUAAUCUUAUCUCUUGAGAAUCGUUCUUAUAAGGUUGUAAGAUAAAUCCAAUCACCACACGCAAAGGUGUAAAGAAGAGAAACCUCUCAAAUAAUAUUAAUCAUGUCUUGUCUUGUCUAAUUAAAAUAAUAAAAUCUACCCCUAUAUAUAGGGAAAAUAUAUCCCAAAUAGAAUGAGAUUUGAGUGCUACUUCUAUGGAAGUAAUAACUAGGAAACAUUAAAUUAGGAAACUUUCAGAAUAGGAAAUAUUUAUGCUCCUAUUGGGCUUCAUUGUGGCUCUCCUCUUGGCCUUCAUGUUGUCCAGUCUUUCAGCCCUUGGACUCGAACUUGGACCAUGAAAUAUAUGUAGCACUUGAUCCACUUCUUGUUAUAAUCCUUGGGUCAAUCUUGACUUUUCUUGCACAAUAAACAUCUUCUUCAUUUCUCAUUGAAGUCCAUCAACUUUAGUUCAAGUAGACCGACAUGGAUGCUAUCAACCUUCUAAUUCUUUUUCCUUACUAUUUUUUUUUAUGGAAGACUAUACCAAGUUCUGUUUAAUGCGUUAAAAUUGGAGUUAUUUGAUAAAUUCAAGGAGUGCCAUUCAUUGGUUCAAAAUGUUUGCUCAAAUCAUUGUCUUUUAGUGAUGAUACAUUGUAAUUUAGCUGGUUUUCUUUCCUAGUUCAGUAAUAUCAUAGGACACAUGAGUUAUGCUCUCCAGAUUGUUUAGUUUUGAGCAGGUAGAAAUAAGUGUUCAGUCAUUGUGUAGCGGAGUGGAUAGUCAUAGUCUGCUCCUGAACUUUCAUUGUACAUAAUUUUUGGAAUCAAUAGAGUAUACUGUUCAACCAAAAAAAAUUGUGUGCUCAAUUUCAUUUUUUCAAUCAGAUGCGGGAAAACAGACCAAUAAUCCAACAUCCUCUCUGUUUUUCUUUUCCUUACAUUUGGACUCAAAUAUGCUGACUGAGAGUAUCGUCACAUUGCAAAUAGUAUUUUAUGUCUUUUAUUUCAAGCCUCCAUUCCUUCUGUAAUUUUGGGCUGUGGAACCUCUACACGAUAAUAUUACUCCCUUGGGUAGAUUGGGAUUUCUUUACCAUAUGAAAAAUUGGAUAACAAGUUUCCUUUUGAUAGUCAAGUGGCAACAGUUUUGCAUAGAAAAGAUAAAGGUGGCUUGGGCAUUAGGAUUUGAGGAAGCAUAACAAUAGUCUUUUGAUUAAAUGGUUGUGGAGAUACACAGAGGUGAGGUAAGCUUUGUGGAAAGAUUUGAUUAAAUGUAAAUAUGGGGUGGAUGGAUUUUGGUGUAGUAACAUAAGCACAGAUGCUUAUGGAGGGGGGGGGGGGGUUUGGAAAGCUAUUAGAAACUUAUGGCCCAAGUUAGAAGCAAAUUUACAUAUCAAGGUUGGGGAUGGAAGGAGAACUAGAUUCUGGUGGGAUGUAUGGAUCAAACAAACCCCCCUAAAAGACUUGUUUCCUGAUCUAUUUAUUUUGUGCACCAAUUCUGAGGCAAUGAUGAGUGAUUGCUAUACAGUACAAUAUUGGGAUCUCUAUUUCAGAAGACUUCUAAAUGAUUGGGAAAUAGAUAGAGUAGCCAAAUUGUUGGAGGAACUGGGGGAUUUUGCAGGCACCAAUACUGACAAUGAUGUUGUUAGAUGGUCACACAGUAAGGAUGGGAUCUUCACAGUUGUCAGGGCAUAUAAAAAGGAGUGCAACUCGCAAAGUAGCAGAUACCAGAGUUCAUGAAAAAAUAUCUGGAGGGCUGCAGCACCAACAAAAGUUAAAUGCUUUACUUGGCUGGUCAUUAGAAAGGCAUGCUUGACACAUGAAGUCUUGAGGAAGAAAAAGAAGAUCAUAAUUCCGUGGUGCUCUUUAUGUGGGAAGACAGGAGAAACUAACAGUCACCUCACCUAUUCUUACAUUGUACUUUCACAGCACAAAUAUGUUCCAUGUUUCUCAACUAUUCAGAAGUGAAAUGGAGUAUGCCCGAACAUACAACUGAUUUACUUAGUUGUUGGAUCAGGAGAGGAGCUAGCAAGAGACAAAAGACCUGGUGGAAUUUGUUCCACAUUGCAUUUGGUGGACAGUUGGAAGGAGAGGAAUAGUAGGAAUUUUGCAGAUGUAUCCAAUUUCAUUCACAAGGUUAAGUGGAAUUGCAUUGUAUCUCUAUAUUUUUGGUGUAAAGAGAUAGGAUUAGAGGAUUCAGAUCAACUUUUUGAUCAACUCUUAGAAUUCUUGGGAUCCUUGUAAGUAUUAUGCUUUUUUUUUUUCUGAUUUUCUAAAGGUCCCCAACAUAUCGUUAAUGCUGAAGAAUACAAUGUUUACCAAUUCUAAAAAAAAGAGGAUUAGGAAAUGAAUUCCAUAUUUAAUCUUUCAAAAGGCAGGGGUUUAAAUAGUGUUUGCAAGCAAUUCAGAAAAAGGAAAACCUAUAAUUUUGUAUUCUUAGAUGUUCACUAAUUACAUAAACACAGUGAUAGGGAUCAAGUCUUUCUAUAUUUUCAUUCUUAACUCUUCCUCUGAAGCUGGAGUGUAUAUGUUGUAUUCCUAUCUUGCCACAAAUAUAAUCAGUUCUUGUCCCUCUAAGUGAUUUGUACGGACACCUGCUAACUGAUUAGUAUAGUUAGCAAAAUUUCUGGCAAUGCAUAUUAAGAAAAGGACAUUUUACCUUGAUGUGCUUGGUUCUUUCACACAAGAUUUGAGACAAUUUGCAGUGUGGCCUGGUUAUCACAAAUUAGUUAAUAUCCUAUUUUGUUCCCUAUAAAUUUAGUGUUGGAUGCUCUUCCCACCUACAUGGUGUCCAUCUUCCCAGUCCCAGAUGGUAUCAUACGGAGAUUUGGACAAGGUUAGGAGAGUUUUUCUUUAAAAAGGAAAUAAGAAAACUGAUUCAACAGUUCUUCGUCUAGUCAAAUGGGACAAAGUGCUUUGGGGGAAAAAAAACAAGGGGGGUUUGACAUAGAAAUCUCAAGCCACAGAGUAAGGCUCUCCGAUUGAAAUGGCUCUGGAGAUAUUCACAAGAGGCACAAUGUUACAGAGGCGAAAAGCGCAAAAAAGCUCUAAGGAACUUUAUUCUGGAGUUUCUUUUGGAGUUUUUUCCCACACUUUAUUUGCGCUUUUUCAAACAUGAUUCUCUACAAACUCCACCCUAUCAUCUAUAAAACAAGGAACUUUAAGGGUGCCCCAAAAGAAAAUAAGUGAUAGGAGACUACUCAAAAACUCUCCUAUUUUUGUGUCUUUCCAAACAACCCACAUCAACGAGAGAGGAACCACGUUUCAUGCCCUAUGUCUUAUCCUCCUUCACCCGCACCUCCAACGCAACAUCGGAAACUGCAUUGGCUGACUGGUGCCAUGGCAGAGUUAUCAUUCUGUAGUGAAGAAUUGGAGUUGGUGGAUCCUCCUUUAUUUUGAAGGAUUCUUUACUUGGACAAUUGUGCUUCUUUACGAUUGACAGAUUUUCCUCUGUGAAGAGUGGAGGGAAAAUUUCUCUAAUCAAAUAUAGUUGUCUUCCCAAAAUAGCUUUUGGUUCCAAAUCCUGUUGUUCUGACCUGUGGAGAUGAAGAGUGGAGAAUGUCUUACUUCUUAAUUUGAAACAUGAUGGUUAGAAAUGGUGGGUUUAAAGAGAGUGUAACAAAAUGUUGGGAGUCCUUUUUUGUGAAUGGCAGACCAGGUUACAUUUUUGUUGAGAAGCUUAAAAUGCUUAAAGUUAAGUUAAAGGAGUGGAGUAAAAACAAAAGAGGGAAUUGGAAACAAGGGAAGGAGGAUACCCUCAAACAAUAUCAAAUGGGAACAAUAAAGGAACAUAGAGCCACUCACUAAUGAUGAACUGAUGCAAAAGGCCCACCUGGGCAUGGAGUUUGAAGUGGUAGCUAAGAAGGAAGAGUUAGCCUAGUAGCAGAGGUCAAGAGUCCAAUGGCUAACACAGGGGGACAAAAACACAAAUUUUCCAUGGAAUUACAACAUCUCAUAAGAGGUUCAUUUCUAUGGAUCAAUUGGAGAUGGAUGGAGCUACCAUUAAGGAUCAUGAGAUGGUUAAGGAGGCUGUGCAAAAGUUUUACAAAAAUCUCUAGAAAGAGACUGAACAAUAGAGGCCUGACUUCAGACUGCAGAAUGUUACAAGGAUCACUAAAGAAGAAGAUAUUUGGUUGUAGAGACUUUAUGAGGAAGAAGAAAUAUUGGAAUGUUUAAACUUGUGUGCAAAGGAAAAGCACGGAUCUGAUGGCUUACCAAUGGUGUUUUUUGAGACAUUUUGGUUCUGCUAAAGGGAGAUAUUAUUAAUACUUUUUUAUUAUGACGAGGAAAACCUGCAGCCGCUAUCCUUUGGGUGCACACAGGGUAAAACCCUCGCUCCUAUCCAAUAGCUCGCAGAUCACAUAGGAGAGUUACCCCGCACUAGGCAAACCUGGUGCGACAAGCUCGACCCAGAAGGCAAACCCCUUGCUUUCGCUGGCAAGGGGUUUCGAACUUGAGACCUCCAACAUGGAAGUCCCAAGCUCAAACCAAUGGCCAUCCCGAAGGGUGGGAGAUAUUAUUAAUACUAUUCAAAAAAAUUUCACUCCAAUUAGGCUUUUAAGGAGAGCUUUAUUGCCUUAAUCCCAAAGUAAUCAUGAGCUUCAGAACUGAAGGACUUCAUACCAAUUAACUUGGUAGGGGGGAGUUUACAACAAUAUUGCUAGACUGAUGGCAGAAAGGUUAAAAAUGGUCGUGAUUUGUGAAUAAAUUGAUCAACAAGCAUCAAAUGACAUUUGUAAAGGGGAGGCAGAUCAUGUAUGCAACACUCAUAAUCAAUGAAUGCAUUUACUCCAGAAUGAAAAAGGAGAGCUCCUGCAUAAUGUGCAAACUGGAUGUUCAGAAAGCUUAUGACCAAGUGAAUUGGUCCUUUCUUCUGAAUACUCAGUCAGAUGUGAUUUGGUAGCAGAUUGCUGAAGUAGAUUGAGUUUCUUUAUAAAAACAGUUGGGUUCUUUUUUCUUAUGAAUGAAUAUGCGAGUUUUCUUGCAUCAAAAAAGGGGGGGGGGGGUGUUGAGACCCGGUGAUCGGCUCUCUUUUUUUUGUUCUUGCUAAUGGAAGGUUUUGCUAGUAUGAUGAAGAUUGCACCACAUAAUAGGUGUAUCACAGGUUUUCAAGUUGGAGAAAGAGUAGGGGAAAGAAGUCUGUCAUAUGCUCUAUGCUUUAUGCAUAUGACACUAUCAUCUUCGGUGAGCCUAUAGCAAAACAGAUCAGCUACACUAGAGUGAUCCUGGUUUUGUUUGAAGUUGUUUAGGGCUGAGAGUAAAUUGGGGAAAUAACAGUCUUUUCCCUAAAAAUGAGGUUCCCGGAUUCAGGAAUUGACAAGCAUGUUGGGAUGUAGAGUUGAUCAAAUGUCUGAGCAUGCCUUUGAGCAACAAACAUAAGACAAUGAAAAUAUGGGAUGAUAUUCUGGAGAAAACUGAAAAGAAGCUUAUUAGAUAGAAGGCACAAUACCUGUCUCUAGGUGGAAGAUUGAUCCUUAUCAAUUCUGUAGUAGAUUACCUACUUAUGUGAUGUCCUUAUUCCCAAUCCCAAAGAAAGUGGUGAAAAAACUAGGCAAGCUUAAGGAAGAAUUUCUAAUGGAAAGAAAGUAAGAGGGAAAGGUUACAACCUGGUAAAUUGGAACAUUUUUAUUCUCAAAAAAGAAAAGGGAUUCUUGGGAUUUAGAAACCUGAUAUUACAAAAUGGGAGCCCACUAAUGAAGUGACAAUGGAGAUACCCUUGGGUGGGGGUCAGUGGCUGAUCCAGAAUUUUCAUUCAGGGGUUCGAAUAAUAAAAUUAUAAACGUGUGAAUAAGCCAACAAAACACAAUCCUAAGAAGCAGUAGUAUAUAGUUUAUAGGUAGAAAAAGUUUAGUUCCAUUACAAGAGACCUUUUAGCACGUUUGGAUUUUCUUUAAUGUUUAGAUUUUUUUAGGUUUAAAUCUACUCUUUUAGCACAUUAUGUGAAAGAUUGGCCCCAAAACUAAAUGAAGAGAAGCUAAAAAUAAAAUGUUCACAAUGGAGUUUUUGGGUUCAAAUCUACUCUUUUAGCACAGUUUUCUUAAAAAAAACAAAAAAACGUGAAACUAAAUGUUGAGAAGCUAAAAAAAUAAAAUGUUCACAAUGGGAUUCGAUCCCGGACAUGAGAUUCAAUUUAAAAGGAGAUCUACCACUAUGCUACAACUUGCUUCUUGUUAUGAGGGGGUUCAAAAUUAAUAUAUCUACAUAAAUACAUAAAAGUAACAUUAUAUAUUUAGAACAUGAAUAUGUUUAUACAAUCCUAUUAGAAUAGGAAUAUGUUUAUACAAUUCUAUUAGAAUAUGAAUAGGUUUAUACAAUCAUAUUUAGAAUAGGAAUAGGAAUACAAAUAGAAAAGGAAUAGUAAAUAUUAUCCUACUUGGUAAAGGAUUAUAUUCUAAUGUCUAUAAAUAGGGUCUCAAUGUAAUAAUGUAGACACAACAACAAUUCAAUAAUAUUCUUUUCUUAUAUUUCUCACAUAUGUAGUGUAAUUUUUUGUCUAGUGGAUUCGGGUGAACCCCCUGAAAUCCAUGUGGGUCUGCCCCUGGUGGGGGUAGCUCUUUGGAAGGAGGUUAUAUUAGUAAAAUAUGGUAAGCUAAGUCCGUGGUGUACAGAAAAUGCCUGUAACAACCAUUAAUUUCUAGGUGCUUCUUCUGCCAUGAAAAGGAGGAAACAAACAACCACUUGUUCCUUCACUGUAGAGAGACUGCCCAGAUAUGGUAUAUGUUUCAAAGCCUUAUCCAAGAUCCUUGAGUGGUACCUGAGCAUACUUCAGACCUACUAAGCUGUUCGAUGAGAAGAGGAGGGAGUAAAACACAGAAAAAAUGGUGGGAUCUAGUCCCAUCUUGCAUAUGAUGGUCAAUUUGAAAGGAAAGAGACAAUAGGUUUUUUAAGAAUAUUACUAACCCAAUGCAGAGCGUAAAAGAAAACUGCAUUUAUACUGGUGUAAAGAAGAGGCCAAGAGGGUAUAUAUGAAGUCGAUCAAUUAGUAGUUUUCCUAGGCUCUUUGUAAUCAUGAAUACUUUGCCUUGGAAUUUUUUGUUUGGUAGCCACCAUACCCUCAUUGCUGAUGAAUACAACUUUACCAUUCUAAAAAUAAAAAAUCCUCUGUAACCAUAUGGUGUGGGGUGUGUGGAGGACAAUCAGAAACUUUUGUCCACAGAUGGAAGAAAAUUAAUUUGUAAAAGUGCAAAAUGGUAACAAAACUAGAUUUUGCAAGGAUGGUUGGAUAGAUCAAACCUCUCUCAGAGAUCUUUUUCUAGAUCUAUUCCUAAUCUGUGAAAAUCCUGAUGCUAGAGUAUGUGAUUUUUGGAAAAAACAAGGCCGGGACUUAUCAUUUAGAAGAUAACUAAAUAUUGGGAGGGGGAGAGGGCGACAGCUUUACUUGGAAUACUAGGUGGAGCGAACAUAAUCACAAUAGCCACAAUAGGGUCUUGUGGAAGCAUAUCAAUUAUCAAGGAUGAAAUUUUUUAGGUAAGUAAUGCACACAAAAGAGGCUUGUAGGUGAUAGCUGGGGGUCCAAAAUGUCAUUAGAACUAUUUAUGGAAGAGUGACAUCCCCACAAAAGUGAAGUUCAUUUGGUAGUGAUGAAGAGAGCAUGACUAACACAAGAAGUCCUACAGAAGAGGGCAGACAACUGGUUCCUAGGUAUUUUCAGUAACAUGAGAUCAAAUAAAAACCUACUUUUACACUGCAAAUUCACUGCUCGACUAUGGAAUCUGUUCCUCAAUAUUACAUGCAUGAGUUGGACAAUGCCAGAACGCACAUCAGAUCUCUUGAGCAGUUGGAUGAGGAGGGGAGGCAAUAAAAGCCAAAAGAGAUGGUAAAGGUUAAUACCAUCAUGUAUAUAGUGGUUACUGUGGAGGGAAAUAAAUGAAAGAUGUUUUGAAGAUAGGUCCAAUUCCAUACACAGAGUUGAAUGAAUUUUUAUUAUAUCUGUACUUUUUUGGGGUAAACAACUUUGUAUAGAAGAUAUAGAUCAGAUUAUAGAUUUGAUAGGAAGCAUGUAUUGCUACUCUAUUUCGGAGGUGGCCAACAUAUCCUUAACGCCGAGGAAUAUAAUCUUACCAUGUUCAAAAAAUAAAAAGUAUUUCAUAGUUUGUGGCAUAGCCCAAGAAAUUCCAAACCAUCUAAGCAUAUCCCGCCAUAUCCUCAUGAUAAAAAUCACUAUAUAGAAAAAGAUGAUCCACAUCCUCUCCCCCUCCUUGCACAUAUAACACCAGUUGACACAGACAACUUUCCACUUUCUAAGAUUUUUAGCCAUAUCACCCCUUUUUGCAGCUAGCCAAGAGAAGAAACACACCUUUCUCGGCACUUGUGGUAUCCAAAUUGCAUUACACGGAAACAACCUCCUCCUUAACAAACAGUCUCUUGCAAAAAGGUCUUGACAGAGAAAAAACCAUUGUUCCAAUAACAUGAACAGUUUUUUUAGAAAAACCAUUGUUCCCCAAACUCCAUCAGACAUUGGGGUUAUCAACCGGAGUGACUUUUGAAACUCUGCUACCUCUCAAUUUUGGAAAUUUGUCCUAAAUUUCAAAUCUUAAAAAUUCUCUCCACCUUGUGUCCCCCUAAUAUGUUGGGAUCGUCGAGUCUCCUUGGCAUGAAACUCGGGACCAAAUCUGAAACUCAUCUUUCAGAAGAUUGUACUUGCACCAUAUGUGUACCCAAAAAAAAGACUCUCCACCCAUCUCCCAAAAGGCAUAAUGACAUCUCUAGUUCUCCCUCUCCCUUCCAUCACCCCAUACUUAUCAACUAUCACCUCUCCCCAAAAAGCUUGUACCUCCACCCCAGAUCUCCAAAGCCAUUUGCUCAACAAAGCUUUGUUAAACACCAAUAAAACUUUAAUAUCGAGAUCUCCCCAUUUUUUAGGAGAUGUGAUAAAUCUCCCACCACAAAAAAUGGAACUUCUUUGCCCUAUCUGCCGCAUCCCAAAGAUAUUCUCUUUGAUACUUUUGCUACUUGUGAUUGAAGCUGGAGCACGAAGCAAAGACAGGGAACAAGUGGAAAUGUUCGAUAAGGUGCUCUUAAUAAGCACUCUCUUCCCUCUUUUAGACAAAUAGCUUUCUACCAUCCUUCCAUCUAACUAACCUCUUCUCAACCCUCUGAAGAACUGGAUUCCACAACCUCUGCCCUAUAUUUUUGUCAUGACAAGUCACGAGACAAUGCUUUUUUUAUGAGGCAAUCUAAGAGAUUCUAUCAUUUGAAAUUUUUAACACUCAACUCAAGCAUGGUUUCAUUAUCUUGGAACUUUUUUUCUCAACUAAACAAUCUCAUGAUUGCAACUCGUUUAUCUUUCAUGAAGGUCCUGAUCUCUUGAUUCUUCUCGUCUAUGUCAAUGACCUAACACUUUUUGGAUCAGCCAAAUGGUUGAUUUCUUACUUUGUCUCAUUAAUUCAAUCCAAAUUUUCUAUUGAAGACUUUGAGUUCCCUUUGUUACACUUGGAAUCAAGUUAUUAUUCAACUUGUUGGUCCAACACAAAUACGUUACUGAUAUCCUUGAGUGGUUAACUUGGUAAAUCUAUCCAAACUCUCACUCACAGUAAGUUAGAUUGAUAUAUUCUCCUUUGCCUGAAAUAUUUCCUUUUAUUGUAACAUGGAUGGGUUCUAUAUCUUUCUUUCACGGCCUGACUCCAGUUUUCAGUCACGUUGCCUCUGUGAUUUCUUCAUCAACGUGUUACUUGUCAUCUCAGGCAGUCAAGAGGAUCUUUUGAUACCUUGAAGGCACUUCCACUUAUUGCUUGCAAUCGUAUUCCAGUUUCUCAUCUUCCUUGACCCUCUUUGCAGAUAAGGAUUGGGCUGGAGAUUCUGAUAUUCCUGCUUCACCUUGGGUUUUGUGUUUCCUUGGGGAAACUCUGGUUGUUUGGACCAAAAAAAGAAACAACCUCGAGUUAGAGAUCUCAGAAAGGAUGCCGAGUGUUCAUUCCUCCCCUUAACAUGUAUGCUAGAAUAGAACUUGUAUUUUAAAUUGUAUUUAUGUUUUGUUGUGUUUUGGACUCUAACUUGUUCAGUUUGUCUAUAAAUACAUGACCAAGUUAAGUAACCUAUUAGCUGGAGAAGGCUUCUUCUAUGUUCCUCAAGUUUUUUGAUAUUAUAUAUAUGUCAAGUCUGUCUUUACAUCCAAGCAUAUCCUUGGAGCCUCUUCUUUUGCUUAAGGACAUAGUUGCAGAGUUAAUAUGUUGAUUUAUGUGGAGAAACUGAUUGGAAACAGUGAAGAAUAUUUCAGUGAAAUCCUUCCCUGAAAAUCUUCUUAUAACAUGUCUCACUUAAGAUCCUGACAUGAGUUACAUUGAUUUCUGAUACUGUUAAUUUUUGGGUGAUUAAAACUGCAGGUUAGAGUUGCGGGAUGAGUGGAGGUUAGAAAAUCGCAAGGCAUUUGCUUAUAUAUUUUCGGACUUUGUCUCUGGGGUCUCAUUAUUCAUUCUUUUGUGCUUCAAUGAGAGUAAAGUAAGUUCUCAAUCGGAGAAAUAUCUUUCUUCCUCCAAAUUUGUCUGUUUGCUGGUAUACUGGUAUCAUCUAUGUUAUUGGGCAAAAGAGGUUGAUGUGAAAUUACAAACUUGGUUGGACUUGGUGUGAUUAAGAUAAAUAAAGGAGGUUUUCUUUGAAUGCCAUCUUUUCUAAUAUCGCUCUUGAUUGUACUUUGCCUAUUGUACUCCUUUCAUCUUUACUACUAUUCUAUUCACCACUAUCACACAAGCAUUGUCACCAACUUUCAUCACACAACCACCACCUACCACUUUUACUGUCAGCCAUGCGACUUCCACUUUCAACCUCCAUUGCUUAUCACUGCCACCAACCAAAGCAGUCUCCAGCCACUACUACCCGCAACCACCACCGAACACCACCACUGGCGACCACCUAAGUUGCGCAAACUCUUCACUUUAUUCUGCACCCAUGUCAGAUUUAACAAAAACACUUUACUUUUGGAGAAUCGAACACGCACAUGUUGACAUUUUUCAAGAGUCCAAGCAACAUAGGUGACCAUUGCACAACCAUCAUUUACGACCGUACCACCGUCAGCCACCAACUCACAACCAUCACUACCGAUCACCACUGCCCAUAAAUGCCUCUAUGGCUAGUUUGUAGAGUUUACUUCAUCUAACUAACAACUUUUACAAGACCAUUUAAUUUAAUAUUCUCUAAUGUUAUGCGGAUAUAAUAUUUAAUUUUUUUAUUUUUUUUUUGAAUUUUAUAUGUAUGAGUUGUUAGAUAAAGAUAAAUUGUGCACAUUGAGAUUUAGAGAAAACAAAGAGUCUUAAUUAUCCGAAUAUGGACAUAUUAAAAAUCAAGCAUUAUUCAGAUUUAGACAUCUUAACUUUAAAAAUGUGGCCCUAGUUGUCAUUUACCUGAGGGGUUGGAUAGGAUUUCUGAAAGUGUACUUCCUAAGUUGUCUUAUUGUUUCUAAGAUACAAAGUUUCUUGUCUUUCUGCAGGUAAAGCUACUCAAAUUUACUGGUUAUAAGAUACUAAACAAUAUCUCCGACGCUGGCAAGGCAUUUCUGAUCAUUCUGAUUAGUGAUACCCUUUUGGGGUAAAAUUUUGUUCCAUUUCAUGUUUAUGGACAAAUUGAAUGUUAUAAAUUAACUUAUCUGUAAAAUAUAGAACCUAUCCAUGUUAGCUAAUUCAUAAAAGUGAAGGCAGCUUGCUCAUUACUUUGCAAUUCACAGAAGUGAAGGGUUUAAAUAACCUAAACCUCUUUUUGGGCUUUCCUCAAGGAUUAAAUUUAAAAUUUCUAUUGUACAAGUACUUAAACUAGAACAAGGUCCAAGGUCUAGACGUAAAAUUAUUCUUCUCAUCUCCUAAAAUUUAGUGGGGCCAAUCCUAGUUUUACUCUCUUAUCUUUUCUUCUAUUCAUUUCUAUCUUUUAUCUCCGUAUUUGUUUCUUUGGAAAUUGUCAGCAUUUCCCUCUUUUCAAAAGUAAUGGAAUCUACCUUAGAAAGCUUUGUCAUGUUGGAUAAUGUGGUGAAUCUGUCCAGGUAUCAUUCUGAAUACGGUUGGAAUACUGCGCUCGAGAUGCUUGUGGAGCAUUAUGGUAUUGAAGUUGAUCGAUCAGCGAUAACCAUAUUUGUCUGCAUUGUUCCAGUUAUAACGGAUACCUUUGUGAAGCUUUGGGUAUGUGCUUCUUUUCAAUAACUUGGAUUCUUUUUUAUUUUAAUCUGGAAAGUGAACAAAGCAUAUGCCUGUAAAAUCCUCCUCGACCUUCAUGGAGAUACCAUUCUGAAUCUGUUUGGGAGACUUUGCUCGAGAUCCUUUUGGAGCAAUAUGGUAUUGAAGUUGAUCAAUCAGUGAUAACCAUAUUUGUCUGCGUUGUUCCAGUUGUAAUUGAUUGAAAGCCCUCCUUGACCUAUUGAAAAAGUAAAUUAGAUUCAUGCCAAGUACAUGAAUUUACCUAGUUCACGUAUUAGGAAAUUAAUGCUAAUAUGCAUGUACUGUUAGCACGUAUCCCUUUAUUCAUGAACUUGGAAUAGGAAAUGUUUAGAACUAAAUCACGAUAAAUGGACUAGAAUAGAUACAUGCCAAGUACCUAUUAUAAAAGUAAACUAGAUUCAUGCCAAGUAUAUGAAUUUACCUAGUUCAUGUAUUAGGAAUUUAAUGCUAAGAUGUAUGUAUGCCUUUAUUCAUGAACUAGGAAUAGGAAAUGUUUAGAACUAAAUCACGCUAAAUGGACUAGAAUAGAUACAUACUUUAAAGGAAUCUACAACUUGCUUCUUGUUAAUAAGAGGGUUCAAAAUUAAUAUAUCUACAUAAAAACAUAAAAUUUACUUUAUAUAUAUUGACAUUUUUUUACCGAGUGGGUUCGGAUGAACACCCUGGAACUCAUGUGGGUCCGUCUAUACUAGAUAACAUUAAUGAUUACCAAAUAAAUGCUAUAUACCAUGAAUACCCAAGGUGACCUUAUAAAUCGGGCUUUAUCAUUUCACCUCCAUAAUGUCAAUGCGCAUGAGUUGAAAUGCCAACACAAAUGAAUUGUACACCAGAUUCAACCCUCGGCACAAACAAUCAUAAUCAACUCUGAAUCAUUUAACAAUAAGAGUAAUGAAGUAAAAGAAUAAUCAAGUAAACAACUCAUAUACGGGAUUUCUGCCAAAAUCAAUUUAUCAAUACCAAGUGAGCAACAUAAGCAUCAAGGCAAGUCAAUAUGCCACAAAUCGUGCUCAUGUAAUCACAUGAUUCAUCAAGCAAGAAGAUAAUUGUUGAAUUAGGUCUUAGGCCUAAAUCUCACCCCAAAAAGCUAGCUCAGAGGAAGAGGAGGAUUGCCAAGCCUUAUAAGGAAUCCACCCAUCUCAUUAACUACCGAUGUAAGACUUUUGUCAUUCUUUAACACCCCACCUCACGCCCAAUGCUUAGCAUGUGGUGCGUGAACAAUUUUGAUUUCGGGGGCCCCAACAUCGGGUGAGAUGGGCCCUGCUCUGAUACCAUGUUGAAUUAGGUCUUAGGCCUAACUCACAUCCCAAAAGCUAGCUUAAAGGGGAGGAUUGCACAACCCUCAUGAGGAGUCCACCCAUCUCAUUAAUCACGGAUGUGAGACUUUUGUCACUCUAACAAUAAUCAUCAUUUUACCCCUAACAUGGCACCAGUACCCGCAUAAAUGCUCAUCAUCUCAUUUAUAUGGGACCCCAUUACCCAUUAUCCCUUAAUCAGCCAAUUAAUGCACUAUCACUUCAUAAAGAAUUAAGAAAGUUUCAACUUGCCAUAAUUGAAGCUUAAACAAGCAAAUGACAGGCUUUUCUUCCGAAAUGCCUCCAGAUGAUCCUAAUAUGGUUAAAUAUGUAAUCUACAUGAGUAUACGAGUUCAUAGAAUUUUUAUAGGAACGUUUGGCUCAAAAAUUGAGUCAAUAAGUCAACCCCGAGCACCGGAGGUCGAAUCUGGAAUUUUAUUUCAGAAUCAGUUUAUCCAUCAGGUAGAAAACUCUGGCACCAAUAAUUGGCUAAAACGGAUCGUUUUAUCAACUUGGGGAAAAUCCCCAAAUCGGUAACAUCAAGCACCGAUUAAAUGAUGAACUUAGCGAUGGAGUAGCAGAAAGUUCGUAAUUAGAAGGUUUUUAUCUUACCCCAUGAAGAAAUUGAGCAAACCCCCUCUGGAACUGCCCAAAACCCCAAACUCUAGAAUUCCAAAUAGCCAGGGAUUUGCAUAGAAGUGGAGAAUUUCCUGCUUCUGCGAGCUUACAAAGGCGGAACUAAAUGAGCUAAAAAGGGCGCCACUUGGCGCUUUCAGCUCCGCAGAAGCGGCUGCCAUCAUAUAGGAGCAGACGAGCUUCACUGGUGCCACAUUGUCGAUGUGGAUGGGAGUUCCCAAGAGCAACCUCUCUUGACCUUGAUGACUUUGCAGAGGCGAUCCAAGGCUCACUGCUGCGCCUUCGUUAUUGCGGAAAGAAAUGCACUGGACUUCACCCAGAAACUUCAUGACACUUUCAAACUAGGACACGACCCUCGAAAUUCAUCUGAAACUUCCCGGAUACAAACCAAAUGUGCAGAUUGACCAUAACCAAUCCAAGGUCAAUUUGACAAAAUGUUGAUCGUGAUCUACUCUAAACUUUCCAAAAUACUAGAAUCAUGUAAUGAUCCAAAUCACUUCUGAGUGCCUGGGGAUCCAUUCAAACCACCAAACUAAGUCAAAAUUCAUCCUUUGGACCUAACAGAUCUGUCAAAACUUGAACCCAACCUCAUUAAUCCAAAAUUUUGACUUUGGUUAAACAUCCCAAAAACCAAACUUCCAAAACUGAAAUCUUCCUCGAAACACAUCCCAUAACUUCGGAAGUCUUGCCACAUAUCCCUGCAAGUCAUAAAUGACAUAUAGAAGCUACAGAAAGGCUCAAAAUGGAGAAAUCACGCAGAAUACUCAAAAAACCAUGAUGGUCAUUACAGUUUUAGAGAGAUGUGAAAGAAGACUUGCUUGCUGGAAGAAAACAGUAUAUAUCACUGGGAGGAAGACUGACCUUGUAAACAGUGUGUUGAACUCAAUGUGUACUUAUAUUAUGUCUUUGUUCCCUCUUAUCUGCGAACAUUGAAGAUAGAUUUGACGAAAUGAGGAGUUCAUUCUUGUGGCAUGGUAACAACGAGAAAAGUUCUUUCAACCUUGUUAAAUGGAAAACAAUGCUUUUAAAUAUAAGGAUAUGGGGGACUAGGGGUUAGAAAUCUAAGAAUGUACAGAAAAAGUUUUCUAAUGAAGUGGUUAUGGAGAUUCAAUCUAAAAGUGGAAGCACUGUGGAAUAGAGUUGUUAGGAUCAAGUAUCGUAUCUAAGGUAGCUGGUGUGCCAAGCUAAUUAAAAAUCCACAUGGGGUGCCAGUCUUGCAGAGCAUUAGAAAUCUGCGGCCUGAAUUUUUAGAGUGGGAAAUGCCAAAUGGAUGCAAUAACUUUUUGCCUGCAUGAUGAUUGGAUUAGCCAUGGUCCCCUAAAAGAUUUUCCCUGAUUUGUUCUGUGGUGGCAUGCACUGAAGGUUCCGUUGCUAAGUUUGUAGCAAAUAGAUCCUGGACAGUCAACUUCAGAAGAAAUAUGAAUGAUUGGGAAUGUUGAAGUGUGUGCCAACUGUAGAAGCUGUUGGAAAAUUUUCAAAGUUACUCCCCAAGUUUAGAUAAAUUGUUUUGGAAAGGGUGCAACAAAGGGGAAUUCUUACUCAAAUCUUGCUGCAGAAUUGUAUCCAAGGAAGAGCAACUCCAACCUAUAAAGCCAUGACCCUGGAAACACAUCUGGAAGUCAAAAGAUUCUUACAAAGUGGUGUUUUUUCAUGGAUUGGGAUUUGGGGCCAAAGAAUCAUGCCUGACAGUAGACAGCCUACAGAAAUCUCUUUAUGUAUGUGGUGGUCAAGCAGAAACUCUUAAUCAUCUCUUUUUACAUUGUCCUUUCACUGAUCAACUAUGUCUGCUAUUUCUGAAUUUUGUGGGUAUCAAAUGGUCCAUGCUUGGGACUACACAUAAUCUUUUGCGAUGUUGGGAUAAGUAUGGACAAGGCAAAGUAUAAAAUAAGUGGUGGAAUGCUGUUCCUUGUUGUAUCUGGUAGGUGGUUUGGGAGAAAGGAACUCCAGGUGUUUUGAAGAGAAGCACAAAUUAUUAUUGAGGAGUAAGCUAGACUGUCUUUUGUGGCUUCAUUCUUGGUUAAAAAUGUAAUAAUCCGAAACAAGAAUUACUAAACAAGCUUUGCAACCAUACAGUUCUAGGAAGAAUUAGGAGAAAGAUCGAAAAACAUGACUCAUGUCAAAGAAGCCGUAAACAUAGAUGAGGUAGAGGAAGAUAUAAGCAAAAACGUUGAGCUCUAGUUUUUGAAGUUACAAGACUGACUUGUGGAUAUCUUCACCAAGAUUUGAUGUCUUUUAGAUCAUCUCUUGGAAUUAUGAAUCAAGUUCAAAGAGAGUGUUAGGCAAAAGUAAAGUAGAUACUAGUGUCAAAAAAAAAAAAGUAAAGUAGAUCCACCCCAAGUACAUGAAUUUAACUAGUUCAUGUAUUAGGAAAAAAUUAAUGUGAAGACAGAUGUAUGCUUUUAUUCAUGAACUAGGGUCUGGGGAAUAGGAAAUGUUUAGAACUAAAUUAUGAUGCACAUACUAGUAUAGGCACAUGGUAGAAAAGUUCCUAUAAAUGCCAAGGCACUACAAUAUUGUGUGUAGGUCAUGAAGUUGGUAGAAGUAUAUUUUCAUCCACUUGUCUUCAAAGAUAAAUCAUCUAUUUCAUGUGUGAGAACUAUAUGGGAAAAAUAUUAGUGAAUUGUGUAUCUAAAUUGUUACAUUGAGACCCUAUUCAUAGACAUUACAUUAGAAUCCUUUUCUAACUAAAAUUCCUAUUCUUAUUCCUAUUCCUAUUUUUAAGUAGGAAAUACUUAUUUCUAUUCUAACAUCAUGAGUAUCUUUUGUACAACAUAGGAUUGAUGAUUAUGAUUUUUAUUGCAAACUACUUAAUAUAAAUUUUCAAUUCUAGGAAGUUGAUCCCUACAAAUUCUUCCGAGCUCAAGAGAAAGAAAUAUGAAGACCCAAUUGAUAAACCCAAGUAGGAAUCUCCCUAGUUCGAUUUUAUUAAUUAAGCACAAGGAUUUACCAAUAUACUCAAUUCCUUGCUGUGCAAUAUCCAAUCCAAUUUCCACUCUUCCAAGCAAUAAAUGGACAUGUGAAGCUUAAUCUACGUUUGCAACCAACAAAUUACCAAAUAAGAAUGUAAGUAAGUAGAUAAUAAAAACCCAAGUAAUAAUAGGCAAGAUAAACUAAUACACAUUCAUAUUUAAUGCCAUAAGAGUCUACAACCCCGGCUAUGGAGUUAAGCUAAUUAAAGAGCAAUUAGGAAAGAAAAUUGGUACUCGAUGGAGAAAUCCUUCAAAACCUCUCAAAAAUAGUUACAGAUGCUAUCUAAGCUUCAAAGGUACAAAGAUGAUAUAAAAAGUGCCGUGAAAAUCUAUUCGCACUCGUGCAAAAAUAUGGCAACAGGGCCCUUAACGUAUGGCUACGUCACGUGGGUGAUUCCAGAAGCUCCCCCUUGACUGGCUUCUCUUCCCUGGCUACGUGGCUCAGAUACUUGGGUGAGGUACUUGGCCCCCACAAUUUCUUUUUUGCUUUUUAGCCACUCCAUGUCCAAUUUCCUCAAGUAUUGAAGUCAUUCCACUCCUUAAGCUUUUCAAAAGCUGUCAAGACCUAACAUUACCAGUUACAAAAAAAAAACUGUCAAAACCUAAAAUUUUAUCAUUCAAAUCAUUGUUAGCCCAUUAAUCUCAAAAAUGGGGCAUGAAUUUAUCAUUACAAAGUAGCAUAAGUUUGGCAAAAAUGCCAACCUAUCAAAAGCAACAUUUCUUCACCUGUCUUCAAGACAAAUGAUUGACUGAGAGUACUCAUCCUCUCCAAAAUUUCCAACAUGGGGCUCAUGCAUUCAAAAGAAAUGACAUUUUAGCAUAAGUCAACUUAUUUUACUAAUAUUUCUAAGAAAAAUUUGUCAAUGUCAAUGUCAAUGUUUAUAUCCAUUUAUCAUGUGUACUUUCUUAUGGUAUUGGAAGAAAUGCAACCCAUAUUACUUUCUCUAACGGAAGACUGUCUUUCCAGAUUUUUAAGUACUUGCCGAGGUUAUCAUCUGAAGUGCCCAAAUAUAUACAAAAAAUGAAGAGGCAUUAGAGAUGCUUUCCCAUAUCUCUGGUUGCAGUUGCAGCAGCAUCUACAGGUAGAACAUACAAUCAGUCCCAUGUAAAAGGAUUGAUACUUUUCGCCUUCCUUUCCACUUUUCCAUAUAUAGAGGCUCCUUAACCUGAAAUUGGAGUAAAUUGUAAAAGGACAUUUUGUAUUUUUCAUGAUGUGAAUAGCUUGUCAUCAAAGUGGCGUAAUUCCUUGAAAUAGUUCAUAAUGGGAAUAUUUGUGAACCGUUUAUUUGUUUGUCAGCAAUAUUCAGAUUCUGAAUAAAAUAGGUUUGUUAGAGGCUUGAAAGAACCUAUUUGUAUCUAUUUAUCGCUUCAUCUUUACAUGAUCUAAACUUGUUAUGUAAACAUCCUUUCAGCUGUUAUUGUACUUUCUUAUUCACAAGGGAGUGUCUACCCAUAUGAAAAAAGAGGUUUACAUAUGUUGGAGAUAGAUCAAAUGGAACCAACAUUUCAUCUGGAGCUACAUGGGUGUGGGGUGAUUACUUAAUUUGGGGUUCUUUCUGCUAUUUCUGUUUUGCUGUUAUUUCGGAAACAUUCAAAAAAAAAUCCUAGGUGCAAAAUGCCAUUCCUUGAUGUUAGUUUUUGAACUAUUGUGUAGUUCGAGCCGUGUUUGUCAAAAUCUCUAAAUAUUUAAUUAUCUUCCAUUCAAAGCUUAACGAUAUGUGCUUCGUAAAAUUGUGUUACUUUAUAUGAUUUCAAAAAAAACUUUGCUUGAUGAAUUACGUACCUGCUGGGUAUUCCUCCUUAGAUUUGCCAAUUUGCCAUAUAAGAGACCUUGAAAUACUAAUGCCUUGUGAUAACAAUAUUUCCUGAAAUUUUCAUUGUUUCACUUGUCGAGAGUUGGGUAAUGAAUGUAAGAUGGUAUAAUGCCAAGAUUCAAUUAAUCAUGUAAUAGUUUACACACAUUAUAAUCAACUGAUUUUAGACAUGACCUUGCUUUUCUGAACAUCUUAGGUGGUGGUGGUUGUUGGAGAGGGGAUGUUGAAUUGAAAUCGUUUCAUUAGUUACAAUAACUAUUAAUCGACUAACACAUACAUUAUAAUCAACUGAUUUUAGACAUGACCUUCUUGCUUUUCUGAAUAUCUUGGGUGGUGGUGGUGGUUGGGGAGGGGGUGUUGAAUUGAAAUCGUUUCAUUAGUUACAAUAACUAUUAAUUGACUAUUGUUAAACCCAAGUCGACUCUCCUGCAAGUUAGACAGAUAAGCAAGUAUAGCAGGGUGUGAACUAACUAAAAGACUGAUUGAUACAAAUGCUUUUAUGCAUGUUUAGAUCAACGAAGUGGUGCCUACUGCCUCAUCCAGUUCCCUUGGGUUUCAAGGGAUGUUUACAGAUUUUGUUGUGAUAAACUCUUAAAAGUUCCUUAUGUCUGGACAAUUCGACAUCCUUUUGUGGUCACAAUCUCUACUUGUAUAGCUUUUUGGUCUCUUUUUCUUUUCACUAGGUAACCAUAAUGUUUACUAUGCUUUUUGUAAGAUAAAAAGAGGGAAUAGUUCUUCUUGCUCAAGUGAAGUUGUGCCCAGGUAGGCAUAUUAAAGAUUUGUAAUCAAGGAAACAUUUACAGACCGUGAAUUUGUUAUCAUUAUUUUAUCACAAGCUGGAUCAACUGGUAGUAGAGGAAACUACAUCACUUAUCUAAAAGGGAUAAAGUGGUUCUAUUUCUUGAUCAUCGCAAAUUGAUCUGUGCCUUGGGAGAUAGUUUUAUCUCACUCUUACGGAAUUGUAGAUAUCUAUGUAUUUCCCUGCUGUAUUAUUCCAGCUAUUGUCAAUACGCAUAACUUUCUGCACGACAGCUUUCCAUUCAUUUGGUUCUGCAUUACAAUUGCAGACAUCAAACAAUUUAAUUUUUAUCUCAAAACAGAUAGUCAGCUUCUGAGAGCCUACAAUCAACUGGAGGUAUCUUUUAAGGAAAUCAGGAGGAUGAGCUACAUGGAUAGAAUGGCUUACUUUCUUGAUAGUAAGAAAAUGCACGGCCUAGUGCACAGUUUAAGGAUCCUUCAUCAAUUCCUUCAAAGACAAACCUACAUGAGAAAUAUGUCAGCACUUCAGAAUCAUAGUUGCAAUACCAGUCAAACCUACAAAUUGGAAAAGCUGCAUGACCAGAUAAUUUUUUAUUUUAAAAAACACACAAAUACUAGCAUCAAUUUUGAAUACAAAAUAAGUAGGAUUUCAAGAAUUUGAUCAGUUACCCAUUAGCAAUCUCAGUGUGAGAUUGAUUAUCCAUGUCAAAAACCGUGUCCGCGAGACCACCCGUCUUCCUAACUAUGGGAACCUGAAACAGAUACAAAAACUCCUUGCUAUUGUUUUCUUUCUUAAGCUGGAAUGAGUAUGUUUCUGGAAGCAAUAAUUGGACAUCCACCAUAUUGUCUUUCUAUUAACACAAACAACCCUAAAUAAAAUCUUUCUGACAAGUUGUUCUACCAUAUAAUUAUGGAAACUCAGAAGCAGAUAAGAAACAAAUAUCUUUCCCAGUUUAUCAACAUAAAAUGUGAAAUAAACUACUAUUUCUUUUUUAUGACAAGGGGAACCCGCAGCCACUACUCUUAAUAAGUAAUCCUAGUACUUACAGCUCCGUAACGCAUUCCAAUCAUCUGUGCUAGCCCGCAUGGCUCAUACAUUGAAGGCACCAAGACCAUGUCUGCAGCAGCAUAUAGCAUAUGCGACAGCUCCUCGCUUCAUGAUUGACGCCAUUUGAGAAACAGUGAGAACUCGGGUUAAAAUUUCCAUCAUGCAUUCAGUGUAUAGAGGUGAUUCAUAUGAAAAAAGGAUUGAUAUCUACAAGUGAUUCAUAUCAUUUGAGGUGCACUUAAUCAGAUAAGAAGGUACAAUUUGCGUUGAAGCUCAAGAUAACUUCAUAAACAUUAACACUAGCAUUUGUUGAAGGUCAGGAAUUUUAGAUAAUCAAUUUGCUUUAAAAAGUAGUUACCUGUACAUCAAAAGGAUACGGAUAUUGGAGCCCUUGUUAUGCUACAAAGAGGACAAGUAACAGAUAUCACCAUUGCAUCAUCAUUCAAAAAGGUUAAUAAACACCACCAGAUUUAUUGGACUCCUUCAAAUAUAACACUAUGUUAUCUCAAAUGAAUGAGUAGCGAUGAUGCUUGUAAGCAGGAUAGAAUUACAUUUGUUAACAUAUGAAAUCACUAACUAGUCUGAAGGAAAAUUUGGAAAUAUGCAUUAAUAAGCAAUUAGUGCAGUAAAUUUAUUUAAACUUAUGAUAUCGCUCUUGUUCUUUCCUGUUUGUUUUUCUUUUUGGUUUAUCAAUUGGCGUUUCUUUCAAGUCAAAAUCCAGCAAUUUGGUCUGGAACCUGACAUCUAAAUCAUUAAAUGAUUCCAUUCUAAAAUCAUUAGAAAAACAAUGAUAAAGAGGAGGAAAAAUGAAAUGAUCAUAAUGAACUGUAUUAUCGCGGUGAAUGCUUCCAUAUUCUAUCUCAUGAUGGAGAAAGAACCGUCUGUACGACCAAUGCAUGCCAGCAGGAAGAAUAGUCAAGUCUAGAAAUUUUGGUUACCAGUUCUGCUAAACCUUCAAAUUCUCUCUCAACUCGAUCAUCUGAAGCCCUCCCCAAAACAACCAUCUGUCCACCCUGAAAAACAUGCCAUCAGCAGACUUCAAUUACAAUGGUCAAAACAACAGCCUAUCAGUUGGCCACAAGUUAGAAAAUAAUCCUACGAAUAGCUGCAAAGUUGUAAAAAAUUGAGAUAAGGUAAGUGUAUUACAAUUAUCGCACCAAGGUGCUGUCAAAAGUAUUUACAAAUUACCAAUAGUGCAUCCCUUGCUAUUGUUAAAGGGACUAUAUAGAUUCUAUCACAGCUUUAGCAUCACUAACGUAAUUCUGUUUGCAUCAAAAAAUAAAGUGAACAACUCAUUUUAUUCUUUUCAAUGGGCUCUCCUUUGUCUUCAAAAGAAUCUAAAAUCUCUCUCCCUCCAAAUUGUCCAACAUAUGCAUGCCGUUUUAAGGCAAGCUCUCUGUAAAUCUGCUUAUGAAGUGUUCAGCCUAACAAUCAACCAGAUUAGCUGUUGGCUGUGGAAGAUGAUAUGGAAAAUCAAAGUUCCAUAUAAUGUGGCUUACUUUACAUGGCUUUGGCAAAAGCGGCAGUCCUGACCAGGUGACAGGACAAUCUUAUUGAAAGGUGAUAUACCAAUUAUGUUCCAGAUGUGACUUGUAUGGAGAGGAGGCAAAAACGAUCAUCUGCACUGCAAGAUAACAGAUCACUCUCCGACUCCCCUUGCUGAGGUGGCCCUAUAUCCCCAGGGUGGAACUGGUGGGCUUUAAUAUCAAAAUCUGAAACUGAAUACACAAAUCGGGAUUCUACACAUCUGUCAUAGCUGAGACAGGGGAAUGUCUUAGGAAGUGCCAAGAGUAGUUCACAAGUUCUGUGCUUAUGAUAUAAAAGUCAAGCUCACAUCAUCUCAAUGACUCUUUCACUCAUAAAAUGAUAAACGGUCAUCCAAUUAAACCUUUCAUUAUGAGAAUGUAUCCUAUGCUAUGUGCUAUUUAUGUAUAAACUUGACUGAUCGAAUGUCUGUUUUCCUGUGUCUAAGUGCACUACUGGUGAAAAGGACAAAACGGGGAUAAACACUUACAAGUUCUUCAACGUGCUUGAUCGCAUGAGUGAUGAGAUGGAGACCUUUUUGAGCAACCAAUCUAGUAAUGCAGACAACCAAAGGUUUUUGAUCAGCCACAGAAAUAGGAAGACCAAGUCCCUUUUGAACAAAUUUUUUGCAUAUCCUCUUCCCUUCAGUUUUGCCGGCUUCAAAAACACAAACACGAAAUAAGAAGGUGAAGAAAUAUCCAUAAAGCUAAAAUUUGUUACACAGCAAAUAAAAAAAGAAGCUAUUCUAUGAAAAAUAGCUAUAAUACACACAUUGGCUCAUCAAAAAGAGAGUAGAUGACCUUGUGUGGACAGAAGUAGCCCAAUAUAAACAUAGUUUUGUUCUUUGGUUAGCUGACUGGGGGAGACUACUUACAAAAGCAAGAUUGAUACAUUUGAACAUAUUCAUCAACAGUGAUAAAUGUUGCUUAUGUCAUGAAAAUUAAAGAAACACCCCUGCAUCUAUUUGCAAAUUGUGCUUGGACCAAACAACUAAAAAAAAUUCAUCAAACUGGCUGAGCAUACAACUUCAAGCUGGUGAAGUGAAAACUGUGUUGGAGAGAAUUAGACUGGCUGAGCAUACAACUUCAAGCUGGUGAAGUGAAAACCAUGUUGGAGAGAAUUAGAGGAAAGCAUUAGAAACAUUUCAAAAAGGAGAUCGUAGCAGCUACUGGGCGAGCAAUUGUCUACUAUACUAGAAAAGCUAGAAACUGGACUACUUUCAAUCAUCAAAGCGUACAGACUGAAACAGUUUUCAUAUUGGUAAAGGAGGACAUUGUAGAAAGACUAGAUCUGUUAAAAAAAAGCUAGUAGGAGAGUUCGUAGUUGUACCAGUUUGAUCAUAAGAUCAUUUGCAACUGGUCUUAUUCUGGAGGCCCAACAUUUCUCAUAAUUCCUUUUCUAGUAGGUGGUUGUGAGAUUAGGUGCUCCGUGCUCCCCUAGCUGUAUUGGAUGCUUUUUCUUGUUGGUUCUGGUAAUAUUCACAUUGGUUACCCAAAAAAAUUACCAAGGAAUGCUCUUAGGCACUUUUUUCUCGAUUUUGUCAGUUUUAGUCUUUUUUGAAUUUUUCUGUCUCCAAGGGAGAAAGUUUCUGGCUGCUCUGGCGGAGUUUUCAACAGAUAUCAGGGAAGACAGGAUUUUUUAUAAUGCAGGGUUUAAACCCUACGAAAUUACUAGGAGAUAUCCGAUUCAGAAGUAUUGUUCGACUGGAUCGAGUGCAACAGAUAUUUAAUGAGACAAGUUACUAUAAGCAUUAAUGUCAUGAAGUGGUUGCUGUGUAUCUUCAAUAAGACAACAAAGAGAUGGAACAUGAAGGACUACUUACCAGAGUUCUUUUAGGUACAUCAGCUUCAUAGUCAUUCAAGGGGGAAGUAAAUCUAUCAUUAUUACACCAGAGAGUCCUCAUAAAGAGGGUUGGGGAAAUAUAGCCCAUAAAUUUACUGACUUUAUCAAUGAUACAAACAGAGUGAAGAACCCUUUUCCUGGCAGAAAUAGACAAAACAAAAACCUCGUACAAGGAAGCUUUCAAAAACAGGAGAUGGAUGACAGAACAACACACAUAACAGCAAGAAACAACAAAAUAUCUGUAAUUGAGGCUCAAGAAGGACAGAAUCCACUCUGUUGAGUCGGUGCCUAGUUGGAAAAUUUCAGUCGUCACCAAAAGAGACACCAACUUUGAGUGAUGUGAGGAAAUGGGCAUGCAACACAUGGAAGUCAACUUUUGGAGUUAAUGUCUUCUGCAUGAAUGACUCCCAGUAUCACUUUGAAUUCCCCACAAGGUAAGCAGAAAUGUCAUGACAGGAGUAUAGACUUGGCAAAAAUAAAUAUUAUCUCCAAUGGUGAAAUCCUACCGCCGGAUGUUGGCCAGAGGAGAUCAACAGGGAUUCGGUCUAGGUUAGAUUGUUGGGUUUACCAUUGAAUCUCUGGUCACAGAAGAUAUUUGAAGAUAUAGAUGACCAUUAUGGUGGAUUCAUUGAAACAGAGGAGGAGACAACUCUAAGAAAUCAUCUUCACUGGGCUUGAAUCAAAGUGAAGGGGGAUGGAAAGGAGAUUCCUUAAGAGGUUAAAGUAGAAACUGAAGGUCUUAUCUAUAUAAUUCCGGUGUGGGUCGAAGCUCCGGUCACUGUAAAAUCAGAUGGAAGAAGAAGUGGGGAGCCUGUGCCAGUUUUUUUUGAUAGAAACAUGAGGACUGACUCCUGGGUGCAAAUGAUAGGGCAUGUGGGCACGUCAGUUGGUGGGAAAGACUAGGUCAAAGGCACAUGGGGUGCCAAGUAACAGUGAGGGGCCUUUUUAAGGUAAUCUUGGACCUUUUUACUCAGCGCAGAACUUGUGUCCAAUUUUAAGCCCAACAAAAGCAGACCCAAUAAUUCAGAGAAUUCCAAUUCCGCUGAGAAUGAAGCCCAAACUAUAGACACAUUCACAAUUGAAACCGAAGCAAACACACUUAGAGAAAGAAGAACAAUAUCGCACAUUCAGUCAUCUGCAAUAACUCAAGUUGUGAAUAGCAUAGUAAUGUACGAGGGUGAGGAAGAACAUGCAGAGACACAAGAAGAUCAGUUCAACAUUUGUAUGACUAAUACAACGGUGCCAGCGAAUUAAUCAACUAAAAGUCGUACAUUCAAAAGAAAGCUUAUCACUGCAAGAAGCUGGACAAGUAGACCAAGAGGAAUCUAAGGCCUUGCAACUGAAGGAACAGGAUGAAGCAGCAAACUGCAUCGAAGAAGAUGUAAUUCCUUUGAAAAUGCAAUUACCAAUUGAGGAGGUUGUUCGAGACACCAACACUUCAGAAUAGAUUCAACAACACAUCAUCAAACUAAGUACUGAACAGGGUGUAUAUCUUAAAGGGUGCGAUGAGAAGGCCAAAAAAAUAUUUAGGAAGAGAGAACAACAAUCGGAUGAACGGGGGGAGCAGUCCAUUGUAAAAAAAAAGGGGGUGAAUAAACUGAACAGAUUAGAGCUUGAUGCCAAAUUUUGUAGUAAUGGGCUAAUGGCUCAAGAAGUAAGGGGGGAUACCUGGCAAUAAAAGAUCAAUGAGGUUGCAAAGAGUACCUUGGAAUGUUAGGGGACUAAACUGUGGCAGAAAGAGGAGGCUAAUCAGGAAGAUUCUACAUACAUGGAAAGCUGGGGGAUAUUACCAAAAUACUGAAGGAAGUUUGGACAGACCAGUUGCGGAAAAUACUCAUUUAUCUGUGGAGAACUAAGUGGGUGAGGCCAGGGAACGUAAAAGGAUUGCUAAAAUGUUGGAACAAGGAUGGAAAUGCAGCCAAAGAGGAGGGAAGAUGGAAGAAUGUCCUUGCAAGCACUUUGUGGAUGAUGUGAAAAGAAAGAAAUAGGAGAUGUUUUGAAGACAAGCACAGCAACUUCCAGAAGUUCAAAAUGAAUUGUUUAGCUCUGUUUUAUUUUUGGUGUAAACAGAAAUUAAUAGCUUAAACAGAAGAUAUUUUUGACGCUUUAGACUAUUCAUAGGAACAACAAAUAGAUGUUCAAGAUGUAAGUUGUAAUACUUUAGAAGGGGGACUACAUAUUUUGAUAUAGCAUACCAGUGGAUUAUAUAGAUUAACUGUUACCAUUCUCAAGAGAAGAAAAAUCAAGAAAGUAUUUACCAAAGGAGAAAAGGACCAAAGCUAGAAGUUCACAAGAGAAAGUAACCAUGAGAAAGACACAUUCUCCUUGUGCCAAAAAGGAGGCAAUUUCGGUUAAUUGUGCAUCCCUUUUCAUGUAGAGGCUAGGGUCAAAGGAACACCAGUCGUAGACUUCUGGACAUAGAGAGGACGACCAGAUGGAUAAAACCUUUUGGCUCAUUAUUGCAUCAAACAUGCUGAGCUCGUUCUUUUGCAUAAUAUCUAUAGAAAGAAUAAAAACCAAACUUCCUAAGCUCUGGUUUGAAAAGAAAGUGUUAGUAUACAUAAUGAAAAAACAAGCAGAUUAAUGAAAGUGGGAACCAUGAGGAAAUCAACUUCUUGACUGUAAAUAGUUUGCACAUGUUAUGUAAAAUGUAUAAGUGAAGCAGUCCAAGUCAAGUCAUGUGAAUCCACUUAUGAAAAUUAACUCCUAAACAACAGAAAAGUCUGAUGUGUGAGACUUCUCUUAGAAUCUGAAGCAAUACACUUAAGAGGAGUAAGAGCUUCCCAAAGCUGGUAGAUAUGAAAGGAGUAUUAUAUUCCUAAGCAGGAAAAAUGUGGAAAGAGAGCAUCCAAAUACUGGAAAUACUGAAUCAUGGGUUUAGUCUACCUGAAAAGAUCAAAGUUGGAUUAGACGUCUACAUGGGGAUCAUUCUAGAAGACUUGGAAGAAAUGUUGGAGUGACUUCUAGACAAAUAUAUUUCUCUUCUGCUGGCGAAUUCACAUCAUGCCAAACUCAAUGAGAUUCAAUAACCAAUGACUAGUACUACCUAUGACACUUAUCAUAUUGAUAUUAACAGAGUGGAUCAUGAGGCUUUUAGGAACACAUAAAGAGUUAUGUAAGCUUUCUCAAAAAAAAAAAAAGAACACAAAGAGUUUGGUAAUUUCCUGUUGACAUGGAAAUCGGAUGAAGAAAGCAGCAAGCUGGUAUAAGCCAAGGACAAGCCUCUGAGCUAUGAUCAAAGAGCUUUGAAAUUCCCAAAGACUUGCUCAGGAUUAAUUCUUAUCCACAUGCCUUUUUUUGGAUUAGAUAAAGAUUGUCCUACUUUUUUCAUCCCAUUUCUGCACUUUGAGAUCUAUACUACAUUUUAUAUGGACUAGAAAAUCACAAAAUUGACAGUUUCAUGUCCAAGUAAACAACUAAAGAAUGAAAACUAAUUGACAGGUUUUCCAUGUUAACUGAUUGAACGGUAAGUCUUUAAGUGCAAACCCCUAGUGUCUCAUAGUUCCAAAAAUAUAAACUUGAAAAAGACAACAAUGAAGGAAAAAUGUACUAGUACCCCUAGACUAUGACCGGAAUCUCAGAGACACACCUUAACUUAACUAAGGACAUAUUACCUCUUGAACCCAUCUUUUUUGUAAUUUUGUGCACCUUUUUGACUUACGUAGCAUCCAAAUAUCUCCCACGUGCCUCAAUUGUGUGGAGUCACGAAGUAUGCCACGUAAGACAAAAGGUGAACAAAAUUAUUAAAAAAAAAAUGUGUGUGCGUGGCGGGGUGGGGGUGGGGGGGUGUUAAUUAGGACCUUAGUUUAGUUAAGGUAUGUCUCUAAGGUUUUGGUCAAAGUGUAGGGGGUACUUGUGCCUUAUCCCCAACAAUGAAAGCAAACACCAGCAUCUUUCAAAGCAAGGCAAUAAUAUCAGUAAAUUUGACCUUCCCUCCCCCCCCCCCCAAUAGGUGAAUGUAGUUGAGAAAUUAUCACAUUCAAUGCCGUAAGUUAAUAAUAAUGUAAUGAUAUUAAACAGUCUCUAAUAAUAUGCAAAGUUAAACUAACAUGUAUUAACAUCCUUUCUUUUAGCGAGAGAACGGAAAUUCCUGCAGUAGCAAUGAUUUGUCAUUAAACAAUUAUAAUUAUCUUACCCUAUGCAUUACCCAAUACCUAGAGAACGAUACGAGACCAAAAAUCAUAUAUCUGCUGAAUGAGCCUUGUGUAGUAGGGUUUUAAUUGAAGUCCUUUCCUGCGCUUGUCUUUGUUGAGAUACAUUGGAUCAAUGAGUAUCACGAUAUAAUGUGAAGUCACCCUAAGCUAUUAUUCCUGGGGUAGUUGAUGGAUAACACUGACUUUGACAGUUUUCUGGUUAAGUCUGCAUGAACCCCGUGACUACAUUGCUCAAACAAAUGACAAGGAAAGAAGGAAGACUCCAUUGUGUUUCCGCAUGUCCAACAUGAAUGAGGUGAACUUUUUUAAUAUUUCCUUAGAUUAAGACGUAAUCCAUUUGAAUCUAUACCAACAGGCAUCCCUCAUACAGGGAAAACAUAUGGAGUGGUAGCUCAAAGCAAGUGACAUCUAAGUACUUUUACAACAUUACAUAAAUAGUUACCAUCAAAUUUAGCAGGCAAAUAAAUAUCUGUUGCUGGAUUCCACAUUUCAGUAUCGAUCCCAUUUAAAAUGCCAGAAUACCUGAAUGAUAGCAUAACUUGUUUAAACAGCUUUAUUAGAAAAACAGAUACAAAAAAAUAAAGCAAAGUAAUAAAAUAAAGAAUCAUAUAUUUAUAUAAAAGAGAACCCUAGGUCUGCCUACGUGGCACAGAAUUUUUUUAAAAUUUAUUAAUUUCCAAAACUAGUCUUCCUCUUACAUGUAAAGAUGUGACUUUUAUGAGAACAUGCGACUUUAAUGAAGAGUUACGACUUUUAUUCAGUUGUGACUUUUAUCAAAAGUUGUGAUUUUUAUGAAAAGUUGCGACUUUAAUGAAGACUUGCGACUUUAUGAAAAGUUACAAUUUUUAUGGAAGGUUGUAAAUUUUCCGAAGGGUUUUAACUUUUCCAAAUAGUUGUAACCUUUAUGAUAAGUCACAAUAAAGAUUUGUUCACACUACCCUUUGUUGCCUAUAGAUAGUGAGAUUUCCUCAUUUUAAAACAAUAAAAAUUCUGAUCUUCUUCUUCUACUUCCGCAAAAUUAAAUAUUCGUUUACUUUGCUCUAAUUGAGUGACUUACUAACACCACUCUUUUGUAUCAACAAGUUGGUGAAGAAAAUCAUUCCAUCCUGAGAGGAUGUAACUCUUUAAACCUCUAGUACUAGAGGGGAAUAGUUUUCUUAAGGGGACAUUGUGCAUUCAGUCGACUCGAUUUUUUCCUUUGUAUUUCAUUUUGUUUUUACAUAUCCUGGUAUGCUUUUUUACACUCAUUAAUUUAUGCUUAUGAUAUUAGUUGUUGUUUUUGAGUACAUGUUUUGAACUCUGUUGUUUAUGUUUCUGCAAAGUUAUUGUCGCCGGUUAUACUGAAUAUAACGUAUAUUCCGUUUUGUGCAGAAAACAAUUAUUGUACUCAGUUCCAUCAUAUUUUGAUAUUCUAUAUUAAAUUCUAUAACUUUAAAGUACUAUAUAUAAGCUUACUUAUUAUCUAUUUUUACAUAGAUAUGAAAUUUCUCACUUAUUAAUUGAAAAAAUUCAUUAUGCAAGUUCAAAAGUUAUAAUUGCUUUCAUGUUCAAGCGUAAUUUCUUUUUUGAAUAUGUUAACAAAUUUUUUAUUUUUCUCCUAAGACAUAUAUCACUAUGCAACUUAAAUGUUUCUUAUCAUUACGAAAGACCUUUGUAUAUAUAUUCCUGUUUACUUCUUUAUUUUCCUUUUAAUGUUGAUCAAAGAACCAAUGAUUUAUUAUUUCGUGAAUAAUUCAUUCAUUAGAGGUUCUUGAGUUAUGUGAUAAUGAAAAAUAAUCAAAUUCAUGUUAGAAUAUUGCUAAUAUUUUUUAAGAACCUAUUUUUCCAUCAUUUUUUAUGUAUGGAUAUUAGAAAAAAAUUAUUUGCAGGUUCAAUAGAAUUAUUAUUUAAGAGCGCGCGAAGCGUGGACGAAUUACCUAGUUUAAUAGUAAUUGGCAUGAUAUUAAACAUGUCACAUGCUAAUUUCUACAGAGUAUCAGAAAGAGAGGCUGAAGCAGGAUUAAUGAAGCAAAACUUAAUGUAACAAGAUUAAUGGUAAGUGCUGAAGACAUUACUUAUCACGGUUUCUCAUCAAAGCACCAGAAAGCCAUCCAGAACAGAGUGUCUCCUUGAGAUAGGUUGGUGAAACUGUACUGAAAUUAAGAAGAGAAAUUAAAGAAAGAAGAUAGUUUUUUUUGUUUUUGAUGACAUAAUGAAUGAAGAUAGUUCAUGUAUCUUGUAUUUAGUUGCAGGAAAAAUGCAAUUCCAAUAGCUGUACAAGCUCAGGAUAGCCUCUAUUAGAUUUAUGAGUGAAAACUUCAGAAUUUUUCCAAAGAAUCAGACUUAAAAGUAGACAUUCAGAAGUUUGUAGCAAAUUGUAGUUAUUAGGUACAGCUCACUUUUUCCUUCAUUUGUAUUUAACUUCAAUGGUUUUUGCACCUGAUUGUCCAUAAAAUCCUGUAUCAGUUAAUAAACUAACCAAAACCCUAAAUUGUUUGAUAAUUUGUUUAGUUAAUUCUGCCAAUCUGCACGACUUUAGCAAGGGCAAAUGAUUAGAAAAGGACAUAAGUCACAAGACUUGUAUAAGUUAUUCAGUCCAAAAAAACUUGAUGUUUUUUACUUUUGGCGCCUCAUUAUAAAUACUUCAUAACCGUCUGAAACAUGCCUAUAUCUCCAACUUACAAAAGAUAGUCCCAAAUCUGUCUAAAAUGUCUUAUUUGGAGUGUGUCAUCUUAGUUUUCUAAACACACAGUGGUCUUCCAAAGCUAAUCCAGAAUAGGCCAACAUAUAUUUGAGUUGUUUACACUAAUUGUGUUAGUUCUAUUUGAUAGCUAUUCCUGUUGCACUUGGUAUCUGUUGUAGAAAUAGAUCAGAAUAUUUUCUAUCUUUCAAGCCUGUUGCAUUUGGUAUCUGUUGUAACCAGUGUGGUUCUUUACAGAAUAUUUAAUAUUUUUUCCACAUCUUUCAUGUCAUUCCAAGGCAUCCUGCAUCUAGCAUGUUCACGUAUUUCUUGUUGUUAAACGAUAAAUACACUUUGAAUAAGACAAGUUGCAAAUAAAUCUUUUGAGUUAAUAUUCCCACUUAUUGUUACAUAGUUAAUUGGAAGACAUCCUCUAUUUUGCAGCACAGAGGAACUCAUUUUAUUCUAUAUUAAGGUCAAACUCAGUUUCAGCUUUCUUGAUCUGUAUUUAGUUGUACAAGCUUUGCAGAAUCUCACCCUUGGACAUGACAAAGGCAAGUCUACGUUUAUUUAGGCAUUCCCGUCUUCAAAAAUCUUAUGAACACUAUGAUCCCACUACAAACAAUACUUUAUCUUAGUCUAUGUAACUUACUUCGGGACUUUUUCCUUAUUUCUUACUCAUUUGAUUCUAUAUCUAGGUCAAACACAUUCAAGUUCUAGAUUUGGAAUAGGAUGACUCACUACUCAUUAGGUGCGUUUUGCAGACAUAUAACUUGAGAACAAACAUCAAUCGAUUUUUUCCAGUUCCUCUUUGCAGAGGUAUCCAGUCCAUUCGCAAUCCUCAUACAAUUUCAAUUCCAUAAGUAAUCACUAUUACUCACCUUCAUAUCAUGUUCUUGUUACAAAUUUAUCCACUUUUCAAAUACCCAAAAUUGUCUCAGAAGCAAUGGCUGAUCUUAGCUGGGAGCCUGCGACUAGGCUAUGGUUGAGAAAAUGUCUCAUUCACAUGGAAAUGGGUACUUGAGGACUUAGUAUGUUUCUUACAGGUAAAAACCGUAGUUGGAUUUCUUUGGACGUUUACCAGAUAAGAAGAUAGUCUUAAAGGUUGACUUUUACCAAAGAAUAUAACCAGAUUUUUGGGUCUUUUCCAGUUGGCCAAAAUCGCACUUGUCUCUAAGGCACCAUUUUUCCAUUGAUUUCUCUAUCAGUUGGGAUAAAAAAAUACCUCCCUUCAUGAAGAAAUUGCUGAAGAAGUCAAUAUGGGCAAAGUUGUAAAAUUUCCUACUCCCGAGCAAACAAAAAUUGUCCUCUUGCUAACUUGAACUAGUCAAACAAUUUGUAACUCGUUUUAAAACAUUUUCUACUGCAUCUACAAGGAUGGCAUCUAGGCAAGACUCUGAUUCAAUUGUUCCGUCAGCUUGUGAUUCAGGUGAUUUGGUGAUGUACCAUUUUAGGAAGUAAGAACAUUAGCAUCUACAUUAAAGUUCUUAUUAGAGGAAAAGGGAGGAGAUGUAACAAUUGGACUGAUUAAUUUAAUUUAUGAAGAAAACAGCUAGAGUAGGGAAAAAUGAGAAGGGAAAUUAGAUGAUUAAACUUACCAUUGAUCGAUGUCAAUUGGGGAAAAAUAUUUUUACACCAAGAACGAGUAAACCUUGUAGGCAAAUAAACUAAGUAGCUACACUAGAUUUAGUUAACUUACACUAUAGCAUUGCUGUAUACUAUACCACCUUUCAACAAACUUAACCUCUCUGGAUUAUGGCCAACUGUGCGAUCAUCUACAGCCUGCCACAUUGGCCAACAGAAGCAUUGGAUUCCUGAUAAGAUCUUUACUGAAAAACCAACAUAGACAACACAAAUUAUGAUAGCUAAAUCUAAAAUAAAUGAGGACACCUUGUCUUCAGUUGCAUAGGCAGAUCCAUCAAGACCAAACUUACUGAGUUGCUCUUGUCUGUCAAAGAGGAAGCUCAUGAGAAGAAUUUGAUAAAUUUAAAAGACCUAUUUGCAUCAGAUGCUGAUACCAACUAUUACCUUAACAUCCUUCUAGUUUUAGCUUACCAGCAGAUUGAAUCAUGGAUUAUUAAGAAAGAAAAAGGAUAAACAAAACUACAAGAAUUUUAAGUCAAUUACAUAGUUUGGUUCUAAAGCGUUAUCCAGCAAUGAACUGGCCUACUGGAGCAGAAAAAGGUUAGAGAAGUAGUAUGUAUAUUUGACAGAUCAAAUCCCUGCAGCAUUUGAAAGAACUAAGAAUCUAUUUAGCCUCUUAUAUUAAGAAAUUGAUGAGAUAGUACUUGGAGUUCAGCUGCAGUUACAGUCAUAAAACAAGACAAAAGGAAAACAAAAAAAAACUUUGCAGUUGAAAGAAACAGAAUUCUUAAGAGAAUAUGACAACAAAAACUACAUGCAAGAGAACCAGCCAAAUUCUGAAGUGGGUGUCAGUAAGAAAGAUACUGAUUCUUACAAAAUGUGACAACAGAAACCACCAUUCAAGCAAACCAAAGAUUCCAAAGUGAGCAAACAAUAGAAAGUAUAUGUUUAUGUGCAUUGCUUGCAUGCAUGCAUCACAUACUCUUUUGUAGAACUGCUUCAAGGUAGGAGGGAUGGAGAGAGUGAAAAAUAGUUGAAGAUUAAGUCAAUAGAGGAGAGACUAUAUUUUCAAUUGUUUGAUUAACACUACAGAAGAACAGCUCCUUCCAUAGAACGUAAGCUAUGAACAAUAUGAUCAGUAGUUAGAAUAUGAAUAUAUAAUUGAGACAUUACGAAUUAAUUCUCCAAGAAUGGUGCAAUCUGAUCUUACAACAAAACUGCACCUAAAAUUGGAACAUAUAUACUAUAGGUUUUCAGGCUUGUGGCAGAUACAUCCAAUCUCUGUCCUCGGAGAACUUUAAUGUAUGUGUAUGCCAACUGAUUGUUUGAACACAAGAACUCAUAGAGGUAUCAAAUUGCAUUUUCUGCCUGAUAAAGUGAUAAUAUAUCUCAUUGUGUUUGGUCCCCCUCAUGGAAUACUAGAUUAUUAUGUUUUGUGUAUCGUCACUCCAUUUUCACAAAUCAAUACUUUGGUAAGGAAAGAGGUGUCACAAAUAAAAAUUUUAAACCUUCGCAGAUCAAUUUCAGUAAUGUUGAUUUUUUAGCCUUAGCUCCUUAUGUAGUCGACCCCAACAUUCUGUCAAAAUCUUCUAAACUGGUUGCUUUGAUUUUAAAAUCGGGUUUUUUUCCUUUUUCUUUCUCUAUUGUCGAUAAUCAACCUCCUUCUUGGUCGUUGAAGAUCCUCUUCAACCUCCUUCUUGAACUUCCUUCUUGGGUUAUUAACAAUUACUUCUUUGGUGGAUUAUCACCCUAUUAUCGAUAAUCUACCUCUUGCUUGGUCGUUUGUCAACCCAUGAUCGCUUAUCAACCCCCUUCUUAGUCAAUGGAGGUUAUUUACAAUCUAAGUUGCACGGAAUCUUCACUUUUGUUGUCACACUCUUGUAAACACGAUGUGGGUAUGGGUUGGAGUUCGUACCAGAUAUGGUUAAUCGAUUUCGGGGUACUUAGACAAAAUUGGAUAGAGAAAUUCGAGACAGAUACAAUGAAUCUGAAAUUAAAACAAAAGCUAUGGUGAAAUCAUAAAGGCUUAUCGUCAAAAGAUAUUUGUAUACAGCCAGCUAUCAUAAGGUUCUUUAAAGAUAUUUAGAGGUCAACAUCACUGCUAUAUGUGUAAUAAACUCAAGAAGUCUAUCAUGGCCUCUAUAUCAUUUGCAAUAUCCAUGUUACACCAAAAAUAUUAAGGAGAAGCAUAUGUAGUUAAUAAAAUUUACAUAUUUAGACUUGUUCUCGAAAAAUUCGUGCUUUCCUUUUCUUGGAUGGUGGAGGUACAUAUCUUGCUUGGUCAAGAUCUUGCUUGCUUUUUAUCAAAUUGAUUGGGUAUAUCACUGGAGAAAAGAUAACACUCGUUGUGACAGACUCUAGCUAUAGUCAAAUCAAUAGAAAAUUGAUAAAAACCAAGCAAGAUGUUGACCAGACAUAAUAUACUGCGCCAUCCAAUUGUACAACAUGAAUUUGAGACAUAGCAUUAUUUUAUAUCUAUUUUUGUAUCACCCGUAGUUUGAACAAGUAAUAAUCCUUAGUAUCAAAAAUUGAAUACAGAUACUAGGAAUACAGAAAUGAACUUUCGGAGAUAUAAUCUUCCUGAUCUCAGAAAAAUUCUUUUCUUUUUUUUUUGAGGAUAAGAUCUCCGAAAAAUUCUACCCAGACAGGAACUGCUAAAACUUGGAUGGGGAAGGGUCGGAAUAGGCCUGCAACCCGAGAUCCCCGAAAAAAAUCGGGAAAAGUUGCCGGAAAGCUAGCUGCCACACCGGAAUCCUAAUUUCAGUGAUCGGAAAUCAAAAACUAGUAGAGAUAGGCUCGGAGUGAACCAGCGACCCCAAUGGAGGAAAAAAUUUCCAAAAGGAACUAACCAGAAGGAGAUUGUGUAGCGAACAGCCAACCAACAUGAGAAAACUCAGCCUCUUUGAUAAAAAUGGAACCCUAGUGCUGCAAGGGAGAUAACUCACCUCAAAAAGGCAGCAAUGGCUCUAAUACCAUGAAGAUUUCAAGAAGAAGAAAGUUCUUUAUAUCUCUUGAUGAAUAUACAACCCAUGAGAAUGGAUACUUAUACUAUGAGUCCUAAGACUAAACUAGAAAAGAAAAUAUCACAUAACUAAUUACAUUCAAUACAAUAACAUUCUACUCCUGUAGUUAAGCUAUCAGUAUCAAUCAACACAGGGAAAAUCUUAACCCACUCUUACCCACCUGCCAUGGCCAUUUCCAUCUCUAGAUUGCAAAAAUGAAUCUCAAGUUGCAAAUGUUCCCUCACUCUUGAAUUAACUUCUACUACUGACCAACUGAGCCUUUCUGGAUAUGCACUAGCCCCCUGAGAAGCUGGGACAAUAGUAAAAUAACUCCUUUUUUCAGCAAGCGGACAUAUCAGUACAGUAUUGUAUUCCGUUACAAUAUCAAUACUGAAAACAUCCCUAGUAGAGAACCAAUAAAAGCAUAGAAGAAGCCAAUUGGAAAUUCCAUACUAUGAGACUUUCCCUUGGUAUGAUUGCAGAAAUGAAUAAAGGUUAUUCAGAAUGCUUGCAUAUCAUCACCCAUUGACAAUGAGAAUUCUAGAACACAGAAUAUUCCAUAAUGUAAACACAUUGUCUUACAUUUCAAGAUGAACCGGGUAUUAUUAACUCACCUUUCUUUAUAUUGGAUACCUUCCAAAGUUAUUCGCCAAGUCAUAAUCAGCCAUUAACAUAUUUCAUCCAUACUAAAGAGAAUACAGAAUAGACACUAAUUCAGACAACUGCAAACUGAGAUUUGAAAAAUCACGAGGACAACAGACCGUCCUAGAUAUGGUCUCCUUUGUUGUUUCUGCAGUUUCUUGAUUGUUGCAUCUGGUUAAAUGUUUUAGGGGAUUAAUUUAUGGUGUGCAUCGUUCUCUUAGGACUAAACUACACCAUCGUUGAAGAGGUUAGAAACAUACAGAGCAUAAAGAUAUUAGAAAAAUGACCCAUAUUUCUUCCUUCAUUUGCAGACUAAAAGUGUACCUGCAUUCUCCAUAAUGCUCCAUGUUGUGAAUAGUCAAUACAAUUCUCGGUUUCUGCACGAGGUGUCAAUGCUAAAAACAAACAGAUAGAUAAAUCUGCACAGAUCAAUUAAAGGAAUGAAAAACAUAAGUCCGCAGAUCAUACCUGGAGUGAGAGAAAAUGGUACAUAUCCCAGUAGAACAGAGGUAAAGCACCUGUCUGCCAUUCAUGUACAUGAAUGAUAUCUGGUUGUGUUCCAUUUACCUGUAAGAGGAUGUUGGUAAGAGGAAGUUGAUCAGGAAAAUCAGUAACACUGUUGUUUGCAUGAAAGCUAGAAGAAGACAUCAAAUCAAAACACAGGAGCAAAUUUGAAACAUUCAGACAUCAAGAACCUACUGAAUUGAGGCUGCAACUAACCAAAUAAACUUAGGACUACAUUUGAUUGAGGGAGAAAACCAUAUUGACAUGCCAUCAUCACAUAAAAAAUUUCCAGACUUUUCCCAAGAUGUGCACAAGUGUACAUAAUUAGUGUGCAAUCAGAUAUAGCUCAAUGAGUCAUGGGUUUGAAGGCAUUAACCCAAAGUGUUUCAGAAGAAUUGUCAAAUUGGAAUAAGUUAAGUUUUAAUCUUUCUAUACAUCUACCAUGAAACAAUUUAUAACUCAUGGCUGUAAUACCUGCAUCCAUUCAAGGCAAGCACGGCUGAAAAAUAAGUAUGCAUCUAAUUCAUUGUAUGACCCUCCAUAUAUGUUUUUUCCCUUGAAGAAGUGGUUGGAUGGUUCAAUAAGUAUCACUGGAACGCCCGAAACUUCUCCUCGAUAUGCAUUACAGGCAACCCAGUUUCCAUCAUGAUAUGAGUUGUAAGUUCUCAUCAAGGCUAGCUCAUUGAUACAAUGCUUUGGAAUACAUUCAUAAAAAGGAAUCAUAACAUCAACUUUAUGGCCACGAUUUAAACAGGCACGUCCAAGUCCUGUUACAACAUCACCUAGACCCCCAACUUUUGCUAUGGGUGCCAUUUCAGCCGUCACAUGAACAAUGUGCAAAAGAUCAGAGUCCUGCUCCACUCCAGAAGAAGCAUCCGAACUGAGGUCCCAAGAUGGAAAGUCUCCUUUCCAGAAUGGAAUUUCAUCACUUGGGGAAGGCCAGCGAAGACCAUCAGAUUCGCAACCAGCCUCUGAGCCUUCUAGUUGGUCAGCUUUCAACUGUUGAAGAAACAAACUGAAAUCCAAGAGAUAAUUGGAAAAAAUAACAGAAAUGCUUGAUGGCAUGCUUCUUAACACAAAAUCAAAAAAAAAAAAUCCUUUUCAACAAUUAUUAACAGAGGGUGUUCGUAAGUCCUACAUUCCCCACCCUCCCACCCACCCAUCCACACGCACACAGGCAUACACACAAACUCUAGUAUUGGAUAAAGGGGAGAGCAACAGACAGGAUGUAUCAUUGUUAAAUCUUUAGCUCCCAAAUACCUUUAAGUUAGCCAUAUCAAACUCUCCUCGUGUUUGCUCUUUUAAUUCAAGCCAUUCUACUUCCCAAACCCAUAAAUUUUCUACAGGUUACUCUCACUAACAACACAGCCAUAAGGAAUUUAACAGUCAUCCACAAAUUUCUCUAGAUGCCAAAGUAAGUGUCUAUUUGUACACGCCAAAGUUAGAAGACAUAUUUAUGGAUUAUAUAAAUAAAAAAAAAAGGUUUUAACACAAGACAAGAAAAGAUGAUGGAAUUUUCUUCACCUGAGCUUCAAUUCGAGGAACAAGUUGAAUGUUGAAAUUUCGCAACUGGUAUUUGCUGAAGACAUAAGAUUGCUUCUUCAACAAAUUGGCCUUACUGCUGAUGUUAUUGUAGCAUGAUCGGUGAUUGAAACUACUGCUACAAUUGUAGCUGCUACUAUGGUUUCCAUUAGGCGCAAUGGAUGAUGGGAACGACAGGCAGGAUGUGAAAUCCAUCAAAUAUUAUCGAAAUAUAUUGCGUUCAGUGCAGCCAAAAACUUGCGAAAUUGUAUAUAUACACUGCAGAUACCCAGGUCGACUUGCCCGGGGUGGGGAAGAAGUGACAAGUAAACAAGGAUCUUGCGGUUAGCGUGGGCCAUAAAUUACUUGAAUAUACCUUUAUUCUACAAUUGCACCUUUUUUUCACAUCAACUUUAUAGAAUUGGACGCACACAAGUAUUAACCCCUAUAUCAUUUUCAGUGUGUACCAAAUUAUGGAGAAUAUGACAUAAAUGAUAUAUGAACUAUAAGAGUAGGUCUAAAAUAAUAAUUACUUUCUCGGUUUUAAUUUCGUUAGUUCAAAAAAUUGAUACAUUUCUAUAUUAAGUAACAAUUUAGUUAUAAAAUAUUUAUUUUACUCUUAAUGAAAUGAUUUAUAGUCACACAAAUUUUUGUUCUUCAUUUUGGACCACAAGUUUUAAAAGUCUUUCUUUCUUAAACUAUGUGUCGAGUUAAACUAUCUCACAUAAGAUGGGACAAAGGGAGUAAUAUUUAUUAGAUUUAGGACAUGUUUGGUUAUGUGAUAUGAAAUUAUGACUUGAAAUUAGGUUAAAGUAUCAGCGGCCCCUUAAAGUUGUUCUUAUUAUUCAUUUAUACACCUCAACUAGACCUAGUACCUAUUGAAUACCUCUACCACCCCAUAUUUAAACCGUCCAAGAAUAUUUUCUAAAUGGCAAAUCGUUUGUGAGUCACGCAAUGGGGCGUAUAAAUCAUUUUUUCUCCCAUUUGUUACCUUUUAUUUAAGACCCCCAACGUUAAUAUUGUAAAGUUAAAAUCCCAAUUCUUCUUCCCCCAAAUCUAUUUUAGAACCCUAAUCUCCAAUGUUUCUCUCUUCUAUAUCAAUUGUCUUUUAUAAAAUGGCGUAAGUUCAGUGAUAUCGAGGAAGUCAAUAUAUUAAGUGUGGUGAUUAUUAUCGAUUGAAAAACUUUGAGGAUUCCAUUGAACUCAAGUCGUCAAUUUUUUGGAUGCAAAGUACAAAGGUUUGUAAUUAUUCGAACAAAAACUAUUGUUAUUGUACUAUUUAAAAAUUAAUAUUUUUGUAUAUUUAUUACUGUUAUGUGGUUUUUAGGAAAAUGAUGGAUGUGCUAUUUUAGAUGGAUUGAUCCGCCGCUUGAAAAUGUUGAUUAAUCAUCCUUAAUGAAUAGAUUCAUAGAUGGGUCAAAAUCCAAUUGAUUGACUAAAGAGAAAAGUGAAAGUGCUUGAAGAAGAAAGAGAUUCUUUAAGUUUUUAAUUGAAUGAAAAUGAAGAGCAGAUGGUAUUGAACAAGAAGCUCAAGGAAGUUAAACUUCAAAGGGAUUGAGAAAAUGUCAAAUUUAACCGAGUAGUGAUUAUUUCUUUGUCUGCUAACUGUAAAAUGGUUCUUUAAUAUUGUGUAGUUCAUAGUAGUUGAAGAUUGUAGUACUUAAUUGUUCAGUUUUGCAAUAGUUAGGAGGCUAUUCUAGAUCAAUUAUUAUUGUACUCAAUUGGUCUGUUAAUUUCAUAUUUUGUAUCAAAUUGAAAGUUUGAAUAUGAAUUGAUUAGUGUCUCUUUUGUAACUUUCAGCGUGAAUUGAUCUAGAAUAGCCUCCUAACUAUAGCAAAACUGAACAAUUACUUUUAGUGUGAAUUGAAUCAGUGUCUCUUUUGUAACUUGCUUUGUUUCCUAACUUGCCCUGUAUUCUGAAAUUAGUUUUGGUAUCGACUAGUCUUAUUGACAAAAACACAAAUGCAUUAAGAGGUAGUCUAAUUGUUGUUCAAAAACUAAGCUAAUAAUACAAAUGUUUGGCUGAAAUACAUAACACAAAGUCAUGGUUAAAAAUAAUAACACAAAUGCAUUGAGAGGUAUUCUAAUUGUUGUUCAAAAACCAUUGUCUUGCAUGGUUCAAAAAUACGUAGUCUUGCUAACACAAAAGCAUGAUUCAAAAAUAUAUUACAUGAGGGUUCAAAAUAAACUAAAGAGUAUCCUGUUGAAGACCCUUUUAACAUGGGUCAAAAUCAUAAAAACUUUCCAAAUGAACUACUUCCAGUUUUUUCUAUUUGCUUUCAUUUGUUGCAACUGUGAGGUGUUGACUUCAUCUAUUUUUCAUUCAUUUUAGGCCACGAAGUUUUAAAUCCAAUUUCUAUAUUGGUUGAUAAAGUACUCUUCAAUUUUGCUGGCCUAUGUAGAAUCUUUUACUUUAUACCAGACUGUAAUAUAAGCAUGAAAGUGUAAGAUAAGGUAAGAUCAUAAUAUGGCUAUCAGAAUAUACACCAAAUCAGAGUAAACAUAUUAAGUGAACAUACAUUAAAUACUAGGGCUCCAAUUGUAGGAUCAAAGUAAACACCAAAAUCAGUUGCAGGCCUUCUAUUUCCUCCAGUAGCAGCGACAAAGAAGGCAGAAUUGUGUGGUCUCUUAUGACCUGAUAAAGAUGGUAGUUGACUAGAAGUAAUAUCUCUUUCAGUAACAAAUGGGGUCCCUCUUGCAUUGGCUUUUUUCUUCCCUAUCUUCUUCUAGUCCCAACUCAAACCCAAUUUAGAAGAGGUCUUGGCACUUGUAUUAGCACAACUAGAACUUCUUUGACUUGAUUGUGUAAUUGUAUAUGUGCUUAUGAAAGUAGAAUGUGAUGGACCUCCCAUUGUAGACUAUAUAGUAUAAAUAAGGAUAUAUGAAUAAUUUGUAGAACAGUCAGAAAAUGCAAAUGAAUUAUUAAAUCUAAUCUUACUGAUGUUUGAGUAGUUCUUGGUACAACAGUGGUAUCAACACAAACAGAACAUUGUUGAAUUGAUUAUGUUUUAACUUGUUGAACAAAAAUAAGAAGAUAUGAAUAACUUAUACAAUAAAAAUUAAUGCAAAUGAAUAAGUAAAUCAAGUCUUACUCCAGUUUGAGGAUAACUUUGUUGGCUUGAAUUUCUCUAACUUUCAGAUUGAAAAGUGUUCCCCCUUCCAUACUAUGUCACCACAAAAUAAAAUAUGUGAUUAUAAUAUAUAAAAACUUUAAGCAAUUUACGAAUGUGAAUAUGAAUUAUUACUUACUUUUGCACACACAACUUUGUUAUAACCAGUUUUCUUGCAUAUUGAACGUGUCAUCUUUACUUUUUUCCUUAAAAGUUGCUCAUAUUUUUCUGUCUUAUCCUUACUCUUUCUUCUCCUCUUGCCAGGUCUGCCUAGCAUUUUUUCUUUGUUUUGGAGGCUCUAUUGAUAGAUUUGUAGUUUCAGACCAUAUUCUCAUGUUCGGAAUAUGUUGGAUGAAAUGGUUGUAAGUCUUGAGAAAUAUUUAUUUCUUAUAUCAAUGCUCUCAUGUUGAUCAGAAUCUUGAUUCGGGUAAUAAUAAGCACAAAUAGCAUGAAGGCAAGUAAUACCUCUCAACAUUCACAACCUACAGUCACAAUAAUUCUUCUCCAAGUUAACAACAAAUUAAUAUUCCUCCUCAUUAAUCUCAAAAUCAUUCACUCCAUUCCAUUGAACAUUACAGUUAUUAGAAUACUCCUUGUUUGUUUCUUUCUAGUAUUGUUGUUGUCAUAGCUGCAAUGUCUGAUAUUCAUGUUUCAGCAAAUAUGAUCAUGUGUAUAUGUUUGUUCAUUAUUUUAUGUCUAAUAUCAUUCAGUAUUAAUUGAUUUAUGUCUAGCAGCUAAGAUCCUUGAUUUGAAAGUCUCACACGUGUUAUUUUCUCAACAUCACACUUGGAGUGAGUUUAGAAAAAAGCCCUAGACCAAUUUCUGGGAUCAUAUAGCAAGUCCUAUUUUAUUUACUUCUUACCUAGCUAAGACAUUGAAUGAGCUUCUUCUCUAAACUUGACUUCAAAGGAUGCCUUUGAACAUCUCCAAAAUUGUUUUCUUCUUUCAUCUUCUUUUCGGUUUACAUGUCAGUUACUCCAUCUAUGUCUAGCACACAUCAUUUUCUCAGCAUUUGUUAACAACUCUACCAAGAUAGAAAUAAGUCCCUUACAAAAAAAAAGUACAUAAUAAGAAAUUGAAGUAGUAAAGAUCAAAUUAAAACGAAAUUGAAGUAGUAAAGAUCAAAAUUAUAUAAUCAAUACCUUUUGCAUAUCUGACAUUACAAUCAGACCUCCAACAGUUUCCAAGUUUAGAUCAGCAAUUAAAUAACUUAUGAAUCACCUCCAACUAUGUUUUGUUUUUGUAUCCACAACUCCCAGGUAAUAUGAUACAUUUGGUUGUUUCCAUUUUUUCCAACAGCAACUAAUAGCUCACUCUUACAAGCUCUAUUGUGAAAACAACCAUCAAAUCCAAUUAUGUUCUUACACCCUUCCAACCAUCCUUGCUUAAGUGCAUGAAAGCACACAUAAAAACACACGAAAAGGUUUUUUCUUGGUUCAGUUUCCUUAUUAAUUUUUAUCCAACAAGAACUUUCAGAAUUGGUUUGUUUGAUCAUAUCUUCAUAGUUACAUAAUCUGAAAAUUCCACGUACCAAUCAACCAUGUCUUCUUUCAUAAUCCUUUGUUUAGCCCUGUAACAAAGAGUCUUACCAACAUAAAGACCCAAUGUCUGUCUAAUCAAAUCUUAAAUUUCUCAAAUCUUUAUGUAUGGUUGAGAUACAAUUUUAUCCUUAAAUUACUAGCAAUUAACUUUGAACUACACAACUUGUUCAUGUUUAAUGGAAUACACUUGCGAACAUUAUGAUAGUUCUUCACAAUGAAAUCACCUGAGUCCUUUUCAAUGGAAGCACACAACAACCAUUUAUAGUUAGGAUUUUUGCACUUCACCUUCACUUUAUGUUUUACAUUAGGUCGUAACCUUAUCUGCCUCUUGUACUCUACAACAUAAUCUGUCACCGCUGAACUGAUUUUGCACCCUCAAAGAUCAUUCCAAGCUCAAAUAUUGACACUUCCUAAUCUUCUUCAUACCUAAUUUUUUUGCUUCUUUUUCUAGCAAGUAUAUCUACUCCCCUAACAACAUCCACAUCUAGUUGUUCAUCACUAUCAUCACUCUAAAAGUCAAAUCUAUCAAUAUAAUCCUCAACUUUACCCAAUUUUUUUUUCAUAUUUGUCAGUUAUAUUUUUUCUAACAUUUUCAAAGCCUCUAUCUAUAUCACCAGCUUUUCCGCUAGUAUUGCUUCUUGUUCAAUAGCUUUUUUUCUCUAUUUUUUGUUUCUUCUUUCUUGUCUAAACGCUCUCAACUCCUCUUCAAUAUUUGAACCAUCUUUUGAAGGUAUAUUUAGAUCUGAAUCACUACUCAAGAAAUCAUAUUCACCUUUUCCACCUAGGUAAACAUCCUCAUUCUGUCCAACUAAGUUAACAACCUCACCCUCUUCACAAAUAUUAACAUCAACACCCUCACAACCAAGGUUAAAAACCUCAUCUCUCCACCAAGGUUAACAAUCUCAUUUUCUCCACCUAGGUCAACAUCCUCACCUUCUCCACCUAGGUUUACAUCCUUAUCCUCUCCACCUAAGUUAACAACCUCACCCUCUUCACCAAGGUCAACAUCAAUACCUUCACCACCAACAUUAGUUAGAUAGCUUCUAAGUCCCUUAGUGUCAAGUAAGGGUUCAUCUAAUACAUGACAGAUAUACUUCAAAAGUGUCCUUAUGUUUUAAGUCUUUUAUUAGGUGUAGAGAUGUUGGUCACUUGUAAUUCGGACCCAUUGUUUAUUCAAUAAGUCCUUGACAUAAAAGCCUCCAACAAUUUCAUAACUCAAUUCUUUAGUAUAAUACAGUAGUUCCAUAAAUAAGAGAGUGGUCCUCAAUAAUAUACCUGAGUGCAUGCACACAAUCUUCAACAAAAAUAGGGACAAAUAUCUUGGAUAAGAUUCCAUCAUGGUAAUUUUUUGUAAAUAUAAUCUCCUUAAUGGUCAAUUGUUAGGUAGACCUACAAAAUAUCAAACAACUAGCUUAAGAUAAUGAAAUAUACUGAUAUAACACAUACAACAACUAAAAAAAUAAAGUUUUAAAGCAUAUUUUUUGGAAAACAUAAAAGAAGGGACAUAAUAUUCCCAAAAAUCACAAACUCUAUAUUUUACAAAAUCUUAGCUUUUUGGAAUUCAUUUAACAAACAUGUAAAAAAACAUUAACAAUCCUAACUUACACAAGGAAAAUCUUCAAGAUCGAAACACGAACAUGACAAAUUCAAUUUCAAUUUGGAGGAAAUCGUGAAGAUAGAAAACUUCAAUUUGGAGGAAAUCGCGAAGAUAGAGAGAGAGAAGUUCUAUCAAAGUUAACAAUUUAGAAAUUUUCCCCAAUUAAGACAUUUACAAAUACACGUCGGAUACAUGUGAUAGUUGUUAAAUGGAUAUUCUAUACAUGUCGAAUACACAUGGGGAGCUCAGAUACACGCGUCACACGAUUUAUGAAAAGUGAAAAAAAAUGCUUAGACUGUUCAAAUCUAGGGUGGUAGAGGUGUUCAAUGGGUAGUAAGUUUAGUUGAGGUGUCUAAAUGAAUAAUGAUGGCAAAUUUAAGGGCCGCAGAUGACUUUGGCCUUGAAAUUACAAUAUGGAAUCAUGAAAUGAAAUCAUAAGAUGAAGUUGAAGUUUUGUUUGGACAUGUAAUUUGAGCUUUUUAUGUUUUCUCAUAAACAUGAAAAUCUCAUAAGUCGUAAAAUAUAUUAAAAUUGACACAAUUAUUUACACAAUUUUAUCAAAUAAGCACAAGCUUAUAAAAUCUUACACAAUCACAAAGAUAUUCUUAAAACAUAUAAUAUUUAUUGAUUAAAUUUUAAUUCAAUAAAUAUUAAAUUAAAUGUAGUUUGUGGUGGACUAGUUUUUAAUAUAAUCCACCUACUUAUUACGGACAAUUAUCUCACGCUGAACUUGCAUUUUCAUUCAUAUGGCUGAGAAACGCAAUCACAAGCACAACAAUUCUCUAGAUCAUAUACUAUUUUUUUUUAGAUAUUGUUAAAUCUGAAAAUGACCUAUCGAAUUACUAAAUUAUUGUUGUGAUUUUUAAAAUUAUUAUGUUAUAUAUUUUUAUCUUGAAUUUAAAUUAUUAUGUCAUGUAAAGUAUUGUUAAACUAAAAUUUUCAUCUUAUCAUUUAAAUUUUGUGCAUUCUUCAUAGUGAAAAUCAAUAAUAAUAUAAAAUUAUCUCUUAAAGUGACGAAAAUUGAAAAAAAAGUAUUUGAAAUAUUAUUAAUUCAAAUAGUAUAUAUUAAAUAAUAAAUUUUUAAAAAUGUUGUAUUACAUUUAAAAAGAAUUAUGAAUAUUAAUAAUUUAAUUAAUCAUAUAAAAAAAUUAUAUGUUAGUUAUAAAUAAUAUAAAUAAUAUUAAAUUAAUAAAAAAGUGAUAUUGAGAGGAUGAAUAACACUACUAUUCACCUCUAUAUAGAUAUAGAAUCGAGAGCUUUUUCAGGGUGAUUACAGUGACGACUAAAUCUUAAUGUACUACAGCAAUGAUAAAUUAAAACCAUAAAAUAAUGUAUUUAUAACUAUUAUUAAUUAAAAUUUUCGUUAUAGUUUGUUGUCAAUCUUUUAUCAAUUAUUAGCCAUAUAUUUAGAAUCUUUUAUUAUUUUUCUAAAAAGACAAUUAAUGUAAUUAUAAUUAAAAGUAGCAUGCAAUCAGAUUUCCUUUCUACUUCUUGGUGUGUCUGGUUCACUUCAAUUUGAAUAAAUAUUUAAUAUUGGCUUUUUAAGUUGUCUUCAAUUCUUGGAGGUGUCUUUUUAGACAUUUUAAGUCCAAUCUAAUUAGAUUACCAAAUAAUUAAAGGGAUAAUUAUAUAAAAUGACAAGUUAAUAAUAUAAAAUAAAUAUAGUAGCUAUCGUUUAAUUUAUUUGUGUUCCAUAUCAAACUAUUUCUCAGUCGCCUUUCUCCCUUAUAUUCUCGCUCGCCACUCUCCCUCUCUCGAUUGCUCCCUGUCGCUCGUCUCUCUCGCUUUAUACAAUAGAAAUGUAUAAAUUUUGUUUUUGUUUGUAUAAAGCGAGAGAAAAUUAUAUAUACACAUGCAAAUACAUAUAUUUUCGUCCUAUACACUUAUAAUUAUACAAUACAAAUAUUUCUCUGCCCAAGUCUCUUUUGUCUUUCUCUCUUUCUCAUUUUAUACAAAUUCAAAUUGUAUAUAAUUUCUCUCUUUCUCGUUUUAUAUAAUUUGAUUCAAUUGUAUAUUCCCAGCCCAAACUUUUUUUGCCUUUCUCUCUUUCUCGUUUUAUACAAAUCCAAAUUAUAUAUAAUCGUCCUAUACACUUGUAAUUAUACAAUACAAAUAUUUCCCUUCCCAAGUCUUUUUUGUCUCUCUCUUUCUCGUUUUAUACAAAUUCGAAUUUAUAUAAUUUCCCUCUUUCUCGUUUUAUACAAUUGGAUUCAAUUAUAUAUCCCCUGCCCAAUUGUAUAGCGAAAUAAACAUAGUUAUUAAUUGUAUAUGUAUAGAAAAUUAUACAUAUAUAUGUUUGUUAUGGAGCACAAUUAUACAAACUUUGCUAUAAUAUAUAAAUUUGAAUUUUGUGUUUGCUAUAUGCGAAAGUUGCCCAUAAUUAAAAUUAGAAAAACAUCGUCUAAGCUUAACUUUGAAUGUAUUCUAAAGCAUAACAAUUACUGCAAUAUUGAUAAUUUAGACCAAUUUUGUAAUCAAGGUGCAUGACAUAUUAGUUCUAAUUUUAAAUACUUCUACAACUUCCAAAAUAAUUGCUCUAUUAGUUUUUUUUUUGCCGAAGUCAUGUGUGGCCCUUUAAAGUUGUCCGCAUAAUUCAUUUAGACACCUUAACAAACCUCAUUUUCUAUUAGACACUUCAAUCUUAAAAAAUAAAUACCUAUUGAACAUUUUUCUGACAUUGGGUAAAAAAAGGAAGUGUGUGUGAUACACAUGCAUAUGAUGUGUCAAUAUAGCAAAUCAAAUAAAGACACGUGGCAUUUUAAUUUAAAAGAAAUAUAAUUAUAAUUUCUUUAUAUAAAUAAGUCAAAAUUAAAAAGAAAAGUUUCCUAACUUAUUUUUUAAAAAAAAAAUUAUACACCUCACCCACCUCCCAUUGCAUCCCAACCCCGAUGUCCCUUUCUUCCUUUUCUUAAUACUCACCCUUCUUCACCAUUGUUGGUCUCCAUUUUUUUAGCGAAAAAGAUGUAGAUUUAUAUCUUCAUUUUUUUCGGUAAAGAACCGAUGAUAUUGAUCUUUAUUUUUUCGGAAAAAAAGAAAAGUUCUUUUUACAUCUACAGAAUUAAUAAUAUAAUGAUAAGAAAAUAAAUUAAACAAAAUUAAGAACAAAAAAAUGAAAAUUCAUAUAAGAAAAAAGUGACAUCAAAUUGUUUUCAAGAAUGGCUGCAGAAAUGACGGGAGUUAUCUACAAAGAUACAAGAUUGUUUUUUUUAAAAAAAAAAAGAGAGAAAAAGAAAAUAUAGAAAAAUAAAAAGGAAAAAAAAGAAAAAAUUGAAAGAUAAAAAAGAAGAUGUUAAAAUUACGAUUUCACGCGCUUACCAAGCGUGCAUCACUUCUUAUGCCACAUCUGCAUAAAGUGUUUAAAUGGUUCAAAUUCUAGAGGGUAAAGGUGUUCAAUAGGUAUAUGUCCUAGUUAAGGUAUCUAAAUGAAUUAUGCAGACAACUUUAAGAGGCUACAGAUGACUUAGGCCUUUUUUUUUUAAUCUCAGAAAGUCUUAAAUAUUGCAAGGCAUAAAAAUACAACAGACUUGUUCUAAUAACAUCCCUCAAAGAUCCAAUAAUCUUAUAUAUCAACGUCACUUAUAAGAAAGUUCUCAAGCAACAGUUUUCUUGAGCUUUGCAAGCUCCUGCCUCACAACUCCAACUCUCUUAAUCUUUGCCAGCAUAAGCUUGAACCUGUCAAAAUGGUUAAGUGCAGCUCUCCUCUUCUGCACUAUCAACUUCCUUUCCCAUGAAUUGUUCACCCACUUGGUCUUCACAUCAGCAGCUUCCAUAGCCUCAACCAGGGUCUUCUUCUUUGGAAUUCUUUUGAUGUCAAUGUUGAUAUCUGUAAGUGAAAGCAUCUUGAAGUUCAUAUGGCUUCUCACCAUGUCUAGAGUAUCAACAAUUGGGCCGACUCAACAAGAUUGAAAGCUUAAAGCCGAACUUCAAAGAGGGGCCCUAAUAUUUUCAAUUUUUUUUUAGAAAAAAUAUUCAUGUUAUAUAUUUUUUUCUUGCCUUUUUAGAUGUGAAGUCAUUGAUCUAAUCAAUUUGUUUUACUAAUUUCUUUUUAAUUGAUAAUACAACUAAUACAUUCAAUCUCACAUCAUUGAUCUUAGAUAAGAUUUUAUCAAUUAGUUUCGAAAAACUUCUUUUGGUCGAGACAAUAGUUACAGGAAUUGUUAACAUUAUUCUAUAAACAAUAAAUGCAUUAGAAAAAGAAUCAAGUCUUUUUAUUUGAUUGAGUGUUUCCAUUAAAUCAUUAUCUUCUACUUGUAUUAUUUCUCUUAAUAAUAACUAAAAGGAGAAUAUAUAUAUACUUACUAACUAAGAAUAUCAACAAUUAAAAAACUUCAAAAAAAAUUAUAAAAUAAAGUUAGAAUAAUAAAACCUCGAUCACGAAUUUGAUAAGUUGAUAUAAUAAUAUUGAAAUAGUUUUGCGGUCCUUUAAUAUAAUGAUUGCUUGUUGCAGUUCUUGAGAUUUUGAAGAAGACACUCAAAAACAAAUUUUGUUCUUUUUUGACUUAUAAGCAAAAGUAAAUCAUUUUUUAAGGAGAGAUUCAAAAUUGAGCAUAAAAAUAAUAAAAUAGAGGGAAAAAAGAUGAGUAUAAGGUAAAUAACAAUAUAUGGUCAAAUUUUUCGGAGAUAAAUAAGAAAGCACAAUUUCUCACUUAAGAAAUUAUUUUCAUAAAAUAUUUCAAUUCCUUAGAAAACUGGGAAAAAUUAACGGCUAUUUUUGUUUUUUUUUAUACUUCUUACAUGUUUUUUUUAAAAAAAAAAAUAAACAUGCAUAUAAUUCUAAGUAAUAUGUAUAAGUAUUUUAUUUUAAAUCCCCCCCCCCCCAUAACAAUAUGGAGCUUCAAUCGAUGACUUUAGUGUCCUAAUGGCUAAGACGACCCUAAUCAACAAGAGCCCUAUGUUGGUUGAUGACGUCAACGAUAACAAAGAGCCUUCCAUAAUCCUUUCCAUAGUUGAUUAGGCUACCCUUCCAAUCUCCACGAACCUCUUGAACGAAAUUUUCGGCGAUCUGAAGGAGUAGAAGCGCUAGCCAAUUGCUCUAUUAGGUAAAGUCUUAGUUAUAUUUUUAAAUACUUCUACGACUUCUACAAUAAUUUUAAUAGUUUGCGUAACAAUUGAUUCAAUUGAAAGGUUUUCAAAAAUUAUAAUCAAAAACCUAAAAAAUAAACAUAUAUAGUAUUAUGUAACAUACAAUGAUUUAUAUAUGUCUAUUUAUGUCUUACGAAUUAUUACAAGAAAUAUUUUAUUGUCAAUUGAAAAAAAUAUUAAUCAUCAAAUUAUAGUUAACUAUCAUAUAUUCGUAUAAAUUCGAUAAACAUAAUACCUCUUUUUUGAAAAUUUUGCUUUUUACAAGGCCCGCUUAAGCGAACCUGUGCCCACCUUUGUGACAUUUGAGAUCCCCUUUGACCUGAAUUUUGAGGUUUAAGCUCCAAUUUCCAUUGUUGAGCUUGAAAAACUCUUGGAGACAAUUUUUGAAGAGAUUUCUUGUGUAAAUCUUUUGGAUAAGCUUUUGUGAUCCUAAAACUUCAUUUCUCUUUGACUAUUUAUGGAUUUUAACAUCAAAAAUUGGAAUUUUGAUUGAAAAAUGACAGUUUUUGAAGAAUCAAGUUUUAAACCAAAAUUGAGAUUGUGAGUUUACUUUGAUUCCUUUUUUGAAAAUGGUUUUCACUAAUGAGUUCCUAUAUCCUUUAAGUAUUAAAUUUAUAAUUCGAACCUUCUUUUAGAAAUUGAGUUUGAGUUGAUUGACCCAAUUCUUUUUUAAAAAAAUUGAUGUGGAUAUUGUUACUUACGGAAAUUUUAUAUGAAUACUUGUUUAUAUAUAGGUUGUGUGGCUUCGAAAGUGAUUUGAAUGGGGAAGAUUCAACUCUUGAAAUAAUUACUUGAUUUCAUUAAGGUAAGUGAUCUCUUAAUUUUUUUGUCUAGUAGAAUUAUCUACUUCUUUUCAUUGUUUUUGUGUUCGGUGUUAUGUGAAUGAGGUAAGGGAUUCAUUGUUCCACUUGAUUAAGCUUUAUGAGAAAAAUGGUUAAUUGAAAUAUUAUGUGUUGAUUGUAAGGUUUGUGAAUUUCCUUUUUAUGCCCCUACUUGCUUGAUUGAUGAAUUUCUUAAAUACAUGAAAGUGGAUUGAAUUGCAUGAAUUUUUCUCUUCUGUGUGGUGUGAUAUUUUUCAUGUGCAUUGAUUGUUGAACACCGUGAUAAGACAUGUUGAGGGUGAUGAUGUCAAAGUCAUUUACAACAAAUGUUAUGAUGUCAUUUCCGGCAACAAAGGCGUAUCUACAGGGGGUUCCACGGGUUCACGUGAACGCGUGUUUUCCUUUCCAGAUCAUAUAUAGUAGUGUUAUAUUUUUCAAAAAAUAUUUAAAUAUAGAAGUGUGAACUCACAUCAAAAGUAGCAUAUAAUAAUACGAUGAUGAUUGGGUGCACCGCUCUAAGCAAAGAUGGUAACUUAAAUCUUAUUUUUGUUGACAUCCUUUGAAUUGGACCAACGUCGCGGCGACUCAAUUAAAAAAGAAUUUAAGUUAAAAGAAUUUUAAAACGGGUAAAAGGGAGUUAAAAGGAAAAAGGGAAUAGCCACCUAAUUAUUAUUUUUUUGGAAAACUAGGAAACUGAUUAAUUAAUUAACUUGAAAGAAAUGUCUAUGAAACCAAUUUGAUUCUACGUAAGGGGUUCAAGUUAUUACGAAUAGAAGGGGUUAGACACCCUUCGAAAUCCACAACUGUGGUUCCCGACUUAGUUUAUUUUUUCAAAUUGAAAAGGAGAACAAAAUAAUGUACAAAUAUAAUAAACAUGCAAUAUACACAAUAAAAUAAAAUAAUAAUAUCGGCCUAAGGUUUGCCUAACAUCGCUAUAUACAAAAUAAUGAAUUGUAAAAUAUAAUUCCAACUCCUUUCGAAUAGCUUCAAGGAAGCAAGUCUUUGGCACAUGUAAACACACUUAGUAAAAGUGUUAGUUUAGUAAUAAAUAAUUAUGAAUAAAAUUGAAUGUAUAAAAUAAUAACUUUUAAAAAACCCGACUUAUUAACAUUUGAGGCCUUGGAAAUCGACGAUAAUUUCUUUAUCGGCCAAUUUAACAAAUAAACAUAUAUAAACUUAAUUUAAAUUUUCAUCUUUUAAAAUAGGGAAGUCUCCAAAAUUGACGGAGAGUUUUCUCAUUGCCAAUUUGACAAUAACAUUGCUUAAAACGAUAAACAAAAUAUUAGUGGUCUGAUGGGUGGCCGACAAAAUCUUCACAAACGACAAUAAAAAUUUUCUCAACAAUGUUAUAACACACGUAUAACGCUUAAAAUGUCCAAAGUAAUAAAUAAUAAAUAAUGUAAAAUAAUAAUAAUAAUAAUAACCAAAAUCAACCUUGAACAGAUUGAAAAAUAAACUAAUAGAAAAUAAUCAUCAUGACAGUCACUCAUAUAUCACAAAAAUAAAUUAAGAAUUAGAAGAAUAGUAACUAAAAAUAUAAAACAAACCAAAGAAAAUCAUAAGAAUAUAACCAUGAUAAUGCAAAGGAAAAAAAUAAAAAUAAAAACUCUGUAAAAUAAGAGCAGUCAUUAAAAUGAAAUAACAAUAAUAAAGUUAAUAUUGCACCAAACCUAUAAUAAUACUACUGUUACUAACAAUAAUAAUAAUAAACUGUAUGGUACAAUGGCAAUAAAAAUUAAUAACUACUCCUCCAAUGAACCAAUAAAAAAUGAAAUAUAAACCAUCAAAGUCAUAAUCUCAAUAAACAAAAAUAACGAACAAAAGAGAAAAAAUAAACAAACCACUCAAUAUGGUUGUUGUCCGGCGAUGCUGGUGUCGUUCUUGUUGAGUAUUCAUUGAAAAUGGAUUUGAGGUGGAAUUUUGUUCACCCAAGUGCAGCUCACCAAUAACCUGCAAAACAAAUAAAAAAUCGAAAGCGAAAAGAAGAAGAAGAAGGGAUUUGGUUCAUUGUUUAGCUCCGGUUCACUGGAGUUUUGAGCUCCUCGUCGGAGUUGCUGCUGGUGUUCGCGAGCUUUGAGCUCGAUGGUGGAGCAUUUGGACUCGGAGUUCCGGUGAUGGACUCGUGAUGUCGUGAGUUGUGAUGGCUGUUUUGGAUCAGUUUCGGCGGCUGAGCGUUUGGGGUUAAUUUAGUGGUCGUUCUAGCGAGGUUUUGCUGGAAACAAUGGAGAAGAGGGAGAGGUCUGGUUGUGCACUGCGAUAUGGGUUUGGUUUGAGGCUGUUUGGGGUCGAUUUUGGCUGAAGAAUGGUGACAUUUUCUGGUUCCUUUUCAGUUAGUUGUGGGAUUUUGUUUGCUGGAAAAAGGGAAGAAGGUGAUUGGUUUCAGUCAGAGCUUGGCCGGAGAAUUGUAGGAAAUUUGAAAGAAAAAAUAAUAUAUUUAGAAAAUGCUCAAGUUUAUUAUAGGCUACUUAAAGCCACUUGAACUUGAAAUGAUUACAGUUAUCAACUACAUCACUAUUUUUACUACUCAAAAUAAAAAAUAAAAAGUUUUGCACAAAUAAUUAAAUACAUGUAUCACAAUUUACUAGAUAUAUGUACUACGAAAUUCUAAAGAGACUUUUUAAAAAACUAAGAGACAAUUUCGGAAGACUAAAUAUUGAUGCAUUAAUUCCAACACUUCCCCUUAAUGGAUUUGCUUGAUAACUCCAAUGCGUUCUCGAAAAUAGCAAAAAUUUUCUCUAGGAAAUGCUUUGGUGAAGAUGUCAGCAAGUUGUUCUCCUGUCUGACAAUAAUGCAACUGAAUUUCGCAUUUCUCUUGUGUUUCUCGGAUAAAAUGAUACUUGAUGAAAAUAUGCUUUGAUCUUUCAUGGCUGACUGCAUUCUUAUCAAUUGCAAUUAUUGAUUUGUUAUCACAAUAUAGAACAAUCCCUUUUUUUUUUGUUUUUCACCAAUGUCUUCAAAUAUUCUCCUAAGCCAAAUAACUUGAGAAGUAGCCUUGGAUGCUGAACAUAUUAUGCUUCGGCAGUAAAUUGAGCAACAACACUUCGCUUUUUGGAUAACCAAGAACAAAUACUUGAUCCAAAUAAGAAAGCAUAACCAAAAGUAUUCUUCAUGUCAUCUAUACUUCCAGCCCAAUCACUAUCAGAAUAACCAAUUAAGUUCAAAUUUCCACCAAAUUUGUACAUUAUCCCAUAAUCCAUUGUUCCUUGCAAGUAGCGUAGAACACGCUUUGCGGCUCCAAAAUGCACUUUGCUUGGUUCUUGCUAGCAGCAAACAUAAUAUCUGACCUUGUUGAAGUAACAUAUAGCAAACUUCCAAUCAAACUCCUAAAAGUGAGCUAUUAACUUUCUUUUCUCCAUCGUCUUUUCUAAACUUCUCAUUUGCUGCUAAUGGUAUGGCCACAGACCUGCAAUCCAUCAUUUUGAAUUUUUGAAGAAUACUUUUAGUAUACUUCUUUUGAGAAAUGAAAAUUCCUUCUUUCACUUGAGAAACUCCGAUGCCCAAGAAAUAAUUAGCAAUCCAAGAUCACUCAUUUCAUAAGCUUGCAUCAUAUCUUGUUUGAAAUUUUGCAUCAUCUUUACAUCAUUUCCUGUAAAGAGCAAAUCAUCCACAUAGAGACUAACAAUGAUAAUGCUGCCAUGUUCUUUCUUCGCAUACAAAGUGGCUUCACUUUUACUUCUCUGAAAAUUAUUUUUCAGAAAGUAUGUAUCAAUUUCAUUUUACCAGGCUCUUGGAGCUUGCUUCAGCCCGUAAAGAGCUUUUUUUAGUCUAUACACCUUUUCUUCUCCCCCUUGAACAAAAAAUCCUGAAGUUGCUCAACAUAAAUCUCUUCAUCAAGUUUUCCAUUCAAAAAUGUUGAUUUAACAUCAAGUUGAAAUAUCUUCCAUUUCUUUUGUGCAGCAACAACAAUUCUAAUUGUCUCAAGACAAACAACUGGAGAGAAAGUUUCAUAAAAAUCAUUACCUAGUUUUUGCGUGAAGCCUCUAGCAACCAACCUUGCUUUGUGCUUUUGAAUAUCUCCUUCCUGAUUGAGUUUGAUUUUGUAAAUCCAUUUUAGACUUACAACUUCUCUUUCUCUAGGAAUAGCCACAAGCUCCCAAGUAUUAUUUUUUUCGAUCAUUCGAAUUUCUUCUUCCAUGGCUUUCUUUCAAACAUCAUGCUUUAUUGCUUCUUCAUAAUUUUCUGGCUCAACACCGGCAAAAUUACAUCUUUGAUAAAUGUCACUCAACAUUUUUGUUCCUCUUGGAGGCGGUUCUUCAUUAUAUGAAUUUGGGAAUUCUCCCCCUUAAGAGACAUCUUCAUCUUUCUCAUCCUCUUCUUGAUUUGAAGAUAUGAUAGCAGUAUUCUCUAUGUUUUUAUCCCCCCAAUUUCAUGUUGUUUUUUCAUCAAAAAUGACAUCUCUACUAACAACAAGUUUGUUAGUUUUGACAUCGAGAAGCCUAUAUCCUUUUGUUACAUCACUGUAACCAAGAAAGACACAUUUUUGACUUUUUUUCAUCCAAUUUUGUUCUUUUCUCAGCAGGUACAUGAGCAUAACAAAUACACCCAAAAUUUUUAAAAUGACUUACAGAAGGUUUAAUUCCACUCCAAGCUUCAACUGGUGUCUUGUCCUUUAGUGACUUUGUUGGACACCUAUUAAGGAUGUGAACUGCUGUAUGCACUGCUUCUGCCCAAAAAUAUUUUGGCAGCCCUUUCUCAUUCGUCAUAGUUAUGGUCAUUUCAACAAUUGUUCUAUUUCUUCUUUCAGAUACAACAUUGUGUUGAGGAGUAUACCCUGUUGUAAGUUGCUUCUGAAUGCCUUCAUUUUUGCAAUAUUCUUCAAAUUCUCGACUUGUGUACUCACCUCCUCGAUCACUGCGAAUGGUUUUGAUGCUGCAGCCUUUUUACUUCUCAACAAGGGCUUUAAAUUUCUUGAAUGUAGCAAAUGCUUCUGACUUUUCUUUCAAGAAAUAAACCCAAGUCAUUCUUGAGAAAUCAUCAAUAAAGAUUAGAAAAUAUCUUUGACCUCCAAGAGAUGGAGUCUUCAUUGGUCCAUAAAUGUCGGUAUGAAUUAGUUUCAAAAAUACACUUGCUCUCCAAGACACCCCUUUUGGAAAAGACUUCCUGUGUUGCUUUCCCAUUAUACAACUUUCACAUGUAUCCACCUCAGUAUGUAUCUCAGGAUGAGCUUGCACCAUGUCCUUUUGCUUGAGAAGCUUUAAACCAUGAAAAUUCAAGUGACAAAUCUUUUGUCCCAAAGCCAUGAAUCAUCUACAAUUUCAUUUUUAAUGCAUUUUAAUGAAAUUGCAAAGGGAAGUUUCUUUUUAUCAUCUUUACUUCAACAAUGACUUGAUUUGGCUCAAUUUUAUCAUAAAUCUUGCAAUAAUUAUCUCUAAACACAAUAGAAUAACCAUUUUCCAUGAGUUGAUCAACACUAAGCAAAUUUUCUUCCAAGUCAGGAACAUAAAGAACAUCAUGAAUUUGCUUACCGCAUCCUUUCAUGUUGAUCGAAAUAGUACCUUUAUCUUUCACAUCAACUAAGGCUUCAUUCCCCAUCUUUACUUUAGUAGUGAUGCUAUUAUUAAUUGAGAGGAAAGUCUUUUCAUCUCCAGUCAUGUGAUUACUACAACCACUAUCAACAUACCAUUCAUUGCUUUUUGUUGAAGCAUCAGAUUUAGAAGCAAAGAAAAGAUUUUCUUCCUCAUGUUUUUCACAAAAAUUUGCUUGCUCCCGUUUCUUGUGCCAACAAUCCUUUUUAACGUGGCCAAACUUUUUACAAAAGUUACAUUAGGCUUGCCUUUGUGCCAACAUUUUUCUACAUUGUGAUUAAUCUUUUUGCAAAUUUUACAAAAAAAACUAGAGUUUUUCUCACCUUUUUCUUCAACCUUUUUGGAAGAACCAUUAUGAUUCUACUUCUUUUUUGGCUUGUGAUUUUUCUUCUGAUGAUUUUUUGAGAAUUUUUGAGAAUUCUCAUUUAUUUUAGAAUGGAAAGUCGUCUCUUAGGGUUGAUCUUCACAAUCUUCACUUCUCGUGUGCACGAAAUGAUCCAACUAGCACUUUGAUGGAAAGCUUAGAAAGAUCUUUCGUUUCCUCAGUGAUAGCAACGAUGUACUCAUACUUUUAUGUGACACUAAUUAGAAUCUUUUCCACAAGUUGUUGAUCAGAAAUUGCAUCACUAUGAUUUCUCAUUUCAUUAACAAUAUUCAUGACUUUUGUGCAAUAUUCAUCAAUUUUUUCAGAUUCUAUCAUCUUUAAAUUUUGAAACUCUCUUCUAAGAGUUUGAAGAUUUAUAGUGCGUACCUUUUCGUCACCAUACAUCUCAGUUUCCAGAAAAUUCCAAGCUUCCUUUGCAGUCUCACAAGUAGCAAUUUUUGCAAAAUAUGCUCUUGAGACUCCCAUUUGGAUUUUGCUCAAGACUUUUGCAUCUUGACGAUACUUAGCCUUAAGAUUUUUCAUCUCUGCUGCUGUAACAUCACCAUCAUUUUCUAACUCUUCAAAUCUAUUUGCAACAAUAGUCCACAAACCUUUAGCUUUCAAAUGUGUUCUCAUUCUUAUCUUCCGGUAUUCAAAAUCAGUUCCAUCAAAAAAUGUAGUAAGAACAAAUGAAGAAUCCGCACCUUCAUUUGUUUUGGAUUCCAUAUUCUUUUCUUCACUUAACCAUAAAUUAAGAACGAAAACCUGCUCUGAUACCAAUUUAUAGGAAAUAUGAAAGAAAAAAUAAUAUCUUUAGAAAAUGCUCAAGUUUAUUAUAGGCUACUUAAGGCCACUUGAGAUGAUUACAGUCAUCAACUACAUCACUAUGUAUACUACUCAAAAUAGAAAAUAAAAAGUCUUGCACAAAUAACAAAAUACAUGUAUUACAAUUUACUAGAUACAUGUACUACGAAAUUCUAAAGAGAUUUCUUGAAAAAUUAAGAGACAAUUUUGGAAGACUAAACAUUGAUGCAUUAAUUCCAACAAGAAUAUAGGUUGGUGGUGGUGGAUCAUAUGAAAAAUAUAAAAAUCUCAAAACAUAAAAUUUUUACCACCCACCAAAACCUAAUGGACCAACUAUUUCAUAUAUAGGGAGUUGAAGAAUAUGGGCCCAAGUUAUAGGCUUGAGGUUGUGACCCAAAAAUUGUCGAUUGAUAAAAUAUCUGUGAAUACAAAUUGUAUUCAAAAUUUGAAUAAAUUUUCAAACUGCGCAGAAUAUUAAAAUGACUAUUAACUGUGUAACAAAGAAAAAAUGAAUAAGAAAAUGUAAUAAACAUAAUCAAUUAUAGGUAAAAAAUGCAAUUUAACAGAAAUAAUGAUUUUAUAAAAAAUGACAAAUAAUUGAACGUCUGGCUAUGACAAAGUAAUAUAAACAUAACAAUCAAUAAGAAUCCCAAUACUUUAAAAAAAAAUGAUGAUUAUCAACAAAUUUUAUUAAAAUAAUAUAAACAUGUAUUUUGAAUUAUUUAAAAUAAAAUACUCAAAAUGUAUUGAUUUUAAAACUAUCAGACCGAAAUUUGGUGUCAACAAUAUCUAUUUUUUUUAGUAACACUGCUCAAGUGGUUAUCUGUAAUAUUUUUGGCGUUCCAAUCAUUUUUUCUAUUAUCUUUUGCUUUAAUCUUUCAAAAUUUUCAAGUGUGCUACAUUGGAAAUUCCUAAAUCAAAUAGCACUGCUAAAUUUUUAUACAAUCAAAUCAUAUGAGUAUAUUAAAAUUUAAAAGUAGGUGUAUUAUAUAUGUUGGACCUAUAAUUUUUAAAAUUUAACGGUUCAUUGUUAAGAACUUAAAAGUCAAAUCAAUCUAAUUUAUAUCUUAGAAGCAUUUUUUUGUAAUAGUGUACUGAUCCUUUUGUUAUCAUGGAUACGCCUCUGUCGGCAAAUUUUGUACAGUAGAUGAAAAAUAAUUCUAGCUAGUGAUUUGAUAUAAAGCCAAUAAGAAAUGAUUCCAGCUAGUGAUUUGAUAUAAAGCCGAUGGAAAAUGGUUUCAGUUGGUGAUUUGACUUAAACCAAUGAGAAAUGUUUCUUGCGAAAGUUGAUUUAUUGUGGUUAGAUGCAUUUUGAUUGAUCUACUUGUUAAUUGUGACUGAUGCAAGUAAUAUUUGUGAAAUAUCUAUGUGGUACUUAAGAUUGACUUACUUGCUUAUUAGGUUAAGAAGUUGUCUUGUUUAUUAGGUUACUUAUUGGGUACCGUGUCAUUGGUACUCACUCCUUACUUCUACACUUGAGUAGGUUCGGAGACCAAACCCUUGUGAUCUCUUCCUCCUUCUUCUAAUUUCGAGGCUUGUCAAAGAUUUUGAGAGAUAGUUGUUUGUCAUCCCGGUGGCCCUCUUGUUCCUUUACCUUAUGUUUUGUUCUACUUGAGAAAUAAAAUAUUCAGACUUGUAUUUAUCUUUUGAAUUCUAUUUUUACAUUAGUGGCUUGCACAUGUGGCAACAAGGUUUUGGAGUGCUUAUAGAAAUGUAACGACCUGUUUAGUCGUUUUGAGCAGCAGACUUCAAUUCUGGAGAAACUGGCAGAAACGACGGACCCCACGAUAGACCGUCAUGGGCACGACGGACCGUCGCAGGGUCUCGUUUCAAAACACUUAGAAAAUCUAAAAUUGGAUACUGAAAAUCGACUCUCUAAACUUCGUGACGGAAUGGCAGGACGGACCGUCACAGGCGUGAUGGACCGUCACAGAGCCUUCAAUGAAAAUCCAUUCUCUGAACCUUGCGACGACCUGCAGGACGGACCGUCGCAGGCACGACGAGCCGUCGCAGGUUGCGUAAUCUCAGUCCGGGUCGAAUUUGUUUACACGUUUUAAGGGACGUUUUUGACUAUUCCGGCCUUAAUUAUGAAGUUAGUGGGUUAAUGUUAAUAAGUCUAAUUACUUGGGGGUUAAAAGAGUUAACCUUAAGUUAAUUAGUGGGUUAUUAUUGCCAUCUUCUAUUCUUAAUUAUAUACUAAUUAGGGUAAAAGAAAGAGGGUUUGAAUAAAGAAAAUAGAAAGAACAAGAAGAGAGAGAGAGAGGGUCGAUCGAGAAGGGGAAACACAAAGCUUUGGAGAAAAUUUGCUUGCUUGAUCACUAAUCUUCGGUGGAGGUAGGUUAUGGUUUUCAUGAUUUCAUAGUAAACUCUUAAUAGAGAAUGAUAUGUAUUGAUAGUAUUGUAAACCCUGCUAUGUGCUUAAUUGUAUGCAUGCAUGAACGUGAUUAUAUAAUUGUGAUUAUAUUAAGCAUGAUGAAGUUAUUGAAUCCCAAAUCUUGAUAAAAACCUAAUCUCUUUGUUAAUAAUGAGGCCUUGGUAUAAAAGAAGGCGUGAUGAACUAAAAUAAUGGGAUUGAUGAUGCCUUGGUAAGAAAGAAGGCUUGAUGAAUUGAUAGAAGGAGAUUAGGGGAUCGGGUGUCACGAACCGACACGUAGAAUUAGGGGAUCGGGUGUCACGAACCGACAUGUAAAAUUAGAGGAUCGGGUGUCACAAACCGACACGUAGAAUUAGGAGAUCGGGUGUCACGAACCGACACGUAGAUUUAGGAGAUCGGGUGUCACGAACCGACACGUAGAUUUAGGGGAUCAGGUGUCACGAACCGACACGUAGAAUUAGGGGAUCGGGUGUCACGAACUGACACGUAGAUUUAGGGGAUCGGGUGUCACGAACCGACACAUAGAAUUAGGGGAUCGGGUGUCACGAACCGACACGUAGAUUUAGGGGAUCGGAUGUCACGAACCGACACGUAGAUUUAGGGGAUCGGAGUGUCACGUACCGACACAAGAGGAUUAAUGAAUAUGAGGGAGCGGAGUGUCACGUACCGACACAAGAGAAAUAAAGAUAAUGAAUCUUGAAAGAUGUUAAUAUACUCAAUCUAAUGAACAUGAUUCCCAAAUGAGUAUGGUAUUGAGGCUUGAGUCCUCAUGUGUGAACUUGACGGUAAUUGUUAAUGAUAUAGUGCUUGUUGUUGCUACAUGUUGAGUAUCAUAGUUGAUUUUAUGAUAUUACUUGAUAUAUAUUGAUUUCUAUUUUGAGUUGGCCGAUGAUAUCUACUCAGUACCCGUGCUUUGUACUGACCCCUACUUUUAUUGUUUUCUUCUUGUUUAAUUGUGGAGUGCAGCAAACGUGCCGUCAUCUUCGACUCAACAGUAACUCUAGCCAGUCUUCGUCACAUCGGAUCUUCAGGGUGAGCUAAUGCUUCUAGCUUGGACUGGAUCUUCUCCUUCAUGUCUUGAUGCCUUGAACUUCCGACAUGGACUAGCUUUUAAUUGUUUUAGCUUUUUAGAAUACUCUUAGUUUAGGUACUUUGAUCAUAGAUGUUCUUGUGGUGAUGACUUCCAGGUUUUGGGGAUAAUAAUAGUUAUUGAUUUUAUUAAUGAGUUUAAGUCUUCCGCAUUACUUUAUGUUGAUAUUACAUUGAAAUGUUAAGGUUUAGAUUGGAUGGUUCGCUCACAUAGGAGGGUAAGUGUGGGUGCCAGUCGCGGCCCGGUUUAGGGUCGUGACAAGAAACAAAUAAGAUUCAGCUUUUAUCUUGUUCUUGUUUAUCUUUCCUUUUUUUCUUUCGUUUCGAUAGGUUGAGACUAACUUGUUUUGGUAGGAAUAGACAAGUAUCAUCACGUCCAGUAUUGAAUCUUAACAAAUGAUAAGCAGACUAUUGUGCUCUCGAUAUGAUAUCGCCGAAUUACGCUAGAGUCUUUUCUGUACUAUUAAUAUUAUGAAGUUUUGGAUUUCGCCAGUGAUUAUUGGUAUUCUUAGCUGCACCAAAAUAACCCUUAAACUUCAGAAGGAUUUUUAGUUGCUAAAUCUAUAAAACCCUUUGUAUCUUAGCAUUCGGAUGAGCUUCUCCCAAUUAUGUCUGGUAAUAGAAUAGGGCGGCUUGCUCUGACCAAGACUCCACUUUUUGCUCCGUCCGCGGAGCGUAUGAAUUUUCUGGAAUGUAGAUAGACCAAAAGAGGGAAUGAUUUGCGAUAUAAAAAGCUUUUACUAAUUCCUCCAUGGCCAUCUAUAAAGAAUGCACCUGGUUUCUUUGAAAAUACUCUUUCCAGCAUUACAUAAUUAUGAGCUCUUCUUUGUGCAAUGUUUAAUUUAUUUUGUAGGAGUAGAUCAUCUUCAAAAAUAAUAAUAGUUCUUACAAAGUAAAUGUCUUUAGCUUCUUUCGCUAGCACAAAUGUUUUUUAUUUCAGAAUUUAGUUUAAAUCAUUAAUAUCACGACCAACUAAAUGAAAAAUAUCAUUAAUAUGCUUUAACACCAUUAACAAAUUUCCAUUGUACUAAUAUUUGGAAUUCUCGCAAAUCUUCUGAUAAGGAUGUUUCACAUUUUCCCCAUAAUUAUUUUGGAUUACUUGGGCUACAAGAGAUCUAACAACAUAGCAAACAAAUGUCUAAGACAUGCUGACAUUUGAUAAUUUACUGCCUCGGACAUGCAUUCUAUUAAAUUAUUGUUUGAAAGUACCAAUCCUCUUUUUUUAGCCGCAUCUCUAAAUGUUGUGCAAGGUUUGUCAUUUAUCGUUAGCAAAUCUUGAAAUGAUUUUGGUCCUUUUAUGUUCAUUAAAGUAAUAUAAAAGGUAAAUAUCUUUCUCCUUCGGUGAGAUGGCAAGUCACGGCACGUCCAAUAACAUAUUCACACAUAUGAAUUGUCCAUAUUUUAUCCAUUGUUGACCACACAAAAUAUUCUAGAAAUUCUCGAUACAGUAAGGUUAAACUUUUAGCAGUGUCAUUUACUAUGUUCAUUAUAAAAAAAAACAGUUAACACUAUUUUUUAGAUCAUUGGAUUUAUUUAUAAUUUUACUAAUAUUAUCAGUACUUUGAAUGAAACAAGUUGUUGUCCAUUGAGAUGUAGUUGAAGAUGGUAUACAUUUGGAGACAUUCCUAUAUACUAAUAGCGUAUAUAGGCCAUGUUGCCUCGGGUACAAAAUCUCAUCUAGCUGAUUGUUAUUCUUUUAACUCAUCAACUUCUAUAUUUAUAUCAUCUUGGAUGCAAUUUUAUCAUGUACUUUACAUACGUACAUAUAAAUGUAUUUAAUAACUUUAAUAUUUGAAGAAAUCUUAACGUUUAUACUACAAUUAUAUUUGGAUAAUAAAAAAGAAUCAUAAGGGACAAUCAACAAAUUGACAAAAAGAUGUUCUCUUAUCUCCACAUAGUUUCCUAUAUUAAGUCUCCUAUAAAUAUGAUAUAAACUUUUUCCUUUUGUUGUUUCAUUAUCAAACUCUUUUGGAUACUUAAACUUACAAUAGCCUUUUCUUAUACAAGGACUUAUUGGGUUUAGUUCACCGCAAGGUCCAUGGAUCAUGUGUUGUGUAACAAGUGAAUAUAAGUGAGUGUUUAUUUUAGAACUUGGUAAUUUUGCACAAACAAAUCGAUCAUAGGCUAGCAUAAGUAUUCAUAACCUUUCAUCAAGUAUAAGUAGAAAAUGAGCAUGAGAAAAUCCUCAUUUUAGAAUUUCUACUGGAUGCAUAUAUGCCAAAACUUUACCGAAUAUGUGUUUCUUUAAUAAAUCCUUUUUAAUUCCUCUAACUUUGCACGAAAUACUCAACAAAUCAAAUUAGGUCUAGUUUGUGCUUCAUCAUUUGCUAGAAUAUUUUCUUCAUCUUUGGCCAAGAGGGGUUACAGGUUAUGAUUAAAAAUAUAUCAGGUCUUCCAAAAUGUUGGACCAAUGCAAUAGCAUUCAUGUGCCGUCUAUGCAUAUUUCUUGACCCUCCUGUAAAUCUAAGUGGAAAAAAUUUGUGCUUACCUACUUAUGAAACAUCUCUUUCACCUCGUCGUAGAACAUAUAUUAGUCAUCUUUAAAUAUCAGUUCUAAAUAAAUUAUGAUUGAAAGAGGCAAAAUCUAAUCGUUGGAUUUCAAUCUUUUUCACCUGAUCCACAGUGUAUUGUUGAAACGCUCUUCCUGAAUGUAGAACUAUGCUUUCAUUGUCUCUUUGGAACUGAUAACAAUAAUAUUCACGACAAGAGACACUAUUUCUCUUACAUUUUCCUUUUUGUACAACUUAUGCUUUUAUAUCAAGAAAUCCAUCAAUUGUAGCAUAUUUGUGUAAAUACCUGAUUUCGUCGUAGGAAAAAGGCCAAUGGGUAAAGAAUUGGGGUCAAAAAACUUUUCUGUAGUAAGUUGAGGUCUCUCAACUUAGUCCAGAUUUGGACAAAAUCAGAGCCAGUAAGGUCUAGGGAAAUCGGGUAAAGAAUGAGAGGCUUAAUUAUGAUUUUAAUUAUAUGAGUAGAUAGCCAAGACGUUAUGGAACCCGUACAACUUUAUAGAAUUGAAUUCGGACGAAUAGAACUCUUGAAAUUGAUUUUAGCGUGAAUGGUAUUUUCUGAGUGUCGUUAGUUGGAAGUGUGUUGUGAAAUGGGGUCUUGGAAUUAUUAAUUUUGCUCACUGGUUCCGUCCAAGCAGCUAGGGUGAAAGUUUUGCCGCCAGGGCAGCGUCGUUGUAGCAGGGUGUGUGCCGCCAUGGCAGGGCAGAUACAACUUAAAGAUGUAAACAAACCCCAAAAGCAUUUUAAUCUGCAUUUUCGACUUUGAGAGCUAAAGAACGAAUUGAGGAGUUUUCAUGGCAGUUUUCCACCAUUCUUGAGGCUAAGGUAAGGUUUUCACUUCCCGAAUCUAUUUUCAAUCCAUAUAACCAUUUUUCUUGGGUUAAUAGCAAUGGCGAAAGGUUUUGAUCUGGAAUUUAUGGUGGAAAACACCUGAGUAUGGAGAUCUAGGGUUAUUGGGUUUAUUAUAAUCCGGAUAAUUAGAACUUUGAUUGUUGAUCCUUUCGUAUAUAAUUGCUUGUAGACCUAGAACAAGCGAAAAGAAUCCAGAAAGGAAAAUUCAAGUGCCUUAUAAUAGUUGUCAUUUCAUGAUUGUGUGAUAUAUGUUUGUUUUUUGCUUCAUUAUGAUGCAUGUAUGUAUACGAAUGUUGCAUUAUUAAUCACAUUAAUUGUAACGAGUAUGAAGAAUAAUUAUAUGUCACGAAUCACUUUUUAAUUGUACGAGGCCGCAUUGGUGGGGGAUGGGUUUCCCCCCCAGAUAGUUCUGGCUCGGAGGUCAGAAAUCUGCAACCUCCUCUUUAACCACCUAUUAUUGUGAAAUAUACAAUGUGAUUGUGAUUGUGGUGUGUUGAUUGGAUUUGUUGCCACUUACCAACAUACUAAAUGUGAUCAAUUGCCACGUUUUGGCAUAACUAAUUGAGAUCGAUUGCCACUUUCGACAUAACUAACUCGGAUCAUUUGCCACAUUUUGGUAUAACUUUUUGGGAUUGGUUGUCACGUUCCAGUAUAAAUAUGGAAUCGGUUGCCAUGUUCCGGCAUAAAUAUUGAAUUAGAUACCAAGAACCAAUGUACUAACAUUUUGAGUUUGGAUUCCGUGAGAGGACUACUGAAUUGAGUUCCAUGAGAGGACCAUUGACAUGUUAUAUAUUGGCUUAUUGUUAUGAACAUGAACUGGACCAUGGCUUAUGACUUCUCAAAUAGUAUUACUUAGUGUGAGUGGGGAUAUGAGACUUCAUUCAUUCAUUGCACAAAUGUACUUUAAGAGUGGUUCUGGUGUGGUUUUCUUAUCGAAGCAUGUGAAAUUGUACAUUGUAUGUUGCACAUAAAUGAUAAUUGAUGUUGUAUAUGAUUGGUGUAUGUAUGUUUAUAAUGUUGUAAUGACUUAUAUAUGUUUCACUUAGUGGAAUAGUCGCGUGAUCCUAGCUGUACACGGUGGCUGUGUACUGAUACUGCACUUGCUCUUAAUUUUGUUGAGUACAGGUUAUCUUCCGGCGACUGUUGACAUAUCUCGCUUAGAAAAUCAGUGAUCGCCGAUUCAAAUUCAAGGGUGAGCUAGUUCUUCUGGAGUUGCUCUUCAUAUUUGCCUUAUAUUUUGAUAUGAUUUUUUAAUUGAUAUUCAAUCUUUUUUUCCCGCUUAGGAGCGCCAAUAAUUUGAAGCUUUAUUUUUUAUUUUAUUCUUUCACCUUUUUUUCGUGGUUUUACCAUAGCGUGUCUUCCCCUUAUUGCACUGACGUUUUAAAAUUAUUGUCAUCUGCAGCGUGAAGUUAAAGAUCUUCAGCUACUUCUACCAGAAUUUUAGCUACAGGUAUUUCUGGUCAUAUAUUCAGAUUCCUCUUUUAAUCGUACAUUAAUUUUCUCUAAUCUUUGUUGAAUUUUAUUGCUAUAUUGGAGAGUAACCGCGAAUAUGUUUUACUUUAUGCAUUGAAUAAGGAAUAAAGAAAUUAAACAUAGAAAGUACAAACCCUCAAUUAUAGUUGCAUCAGUUUCUCUGGUCUUAGAGAUGUCUGUUGAAUAUGUUGAAGUGUCAAAGGUAAAAAUCUUAGAACAAAAUGUCAUUUCUACUCGAGUCUGGCGUCUUAUCCUUAAUGAUCUCCCUGAAGCUGAAAGUUUUGUCUUCGAUUUUAUUUUAGCUAAUUCUAAUCAUCUGAAUAAAAUUUGUGAAAUUUAUCCUAAAAUUUUAGAUGAAGAUGAAAAAAAUGAAAAACAGUAACAUCAACUAGAGUGUCAUGAUUGUGCAAUCAGCACGACUUUAACCUCCAAAACUUGUGGCUAUGUCAUAUUGGGUUCCAGUGGAGUGUCAUAAUUCUGCAGUCACCUUCUGUUCAACAUCCCAGCUCUUGUGGGUAUAGAUCUUUGACAAAGGCUACAAUCAUUUUGAAAGUCUAAUCCAUAGUGUCGAUGGUUCUUGGAAAUUCCUGGUGGACGUCAAGGAUGGAUUCAAUACUUUUAAGAUCAAUGACAACACCUAUUUUAGUUUUUUUGGAUGAACAAAAAAAUCUAGAGAAGAAAGAAAAUAGGAUCUUAAGAUUUCAUAAAUUUACGUGGCUACACACUAAUAUCACACAUUUAAGGUGAACUUUACAUAUGCUAUUUGUAAUAAACCAACUAAAUGUUGUGUGAAACAGAACUUGACACCUGCUGUAGGAGCUGCAUCAGCGGCCAGAAGAUAACCAGUCUUUAAAUUUUGAUUUGAGUUUGCAAAUUUGAAGCCCCUAACACGCUGUAUUUUUAACUCUAACCACCGAAAAGCCCUAUUAAUGAUAAGCUCAAUCAGCAAAAACUACCUUAAAGUGAAAAAUUAAGUUAUCUUUUCAAUACAUCAUUCCUUAUAGAACAUAUUCACUCUAUUAUAUUCUCCUGCAUCCUUUAAAACUUUAACAACUAUUGUAAGUUGUAGCUGAAUAUCUUAUGUUAGCUUAAGAAAUUUUUUGCACUGCACUUUUUAUUUCUUCUCAUAUCUGUUUCCUAUGCCUUCCGAAUUUCUUGAGUAAUGGUUGCUCAUAUUGUGGUUUCUACUUAUCUGUUACUCCUGCCUUUGAAAUUUCUUGGAUUAUUCUUGCCACGUGUAAUGUUAUUGUUGGUUUUGGUUCUAUGUUGAUGUUACUUUUUUAUGGCUGUCCAAAUUUUUGUCACAAUCCGACUUUGUUGAUUUGUUAACUUCACUGCAAUGCUGAAGAUGAGGUUUGUUUGAAGUAUUUUUCUUAGCUCAGUUGCAGCUUAAGUUUUUUGAAAUGGUUUGGAGAAAUUUGUGUGGUGAAUAAUUUUGAAUAGCUUAGUAAGUAUAUACACAUAAAUGAUUGAAAUUUAAGUUUUAAUUUUCUGUUUCUCUCAGCCUCUUAUAUAAAGUGAACAAAUCUAAGGGAAUUUCUAAACAUCUUUAACAAUGAUCAGAGCAAUGAGAUUGCUGCAAAAGUAGGGUGGUGUUUGGACCAGCAUCGCUAGUUUCAUAUUCAUAUGGGAUAGGAUCCGUCAAUAAUGUCCCCCUGAGCUUAUCCGAGCUUUUUAUUAGUGGACACGAAGAAUCAAGAGAUUUUCGUACCCUUAUAUUAAGAUUUCCAUCAGUGAAUUCAUGAGCAACAAUCUCAAGUUUCAUGAUGCCUAUGCAGUAUCGAGGCGUAUCUCAGUGUCCACUUAGCAAAAGAAGCAAAGAGGAUUAGAGCUGAAAUGAUAAAAUGGUAGGAGCAAGUUGUUGCUAAGCAUGGAUGAACAUGAGAGAGUUUCUGACGAGUUUCGAGGAGCAAAAAUACGAUGAAUUUUAGGCUAACUUGUGCAGCGGGAAAGUAAGUACUUGCUAGAACUGGAAAGGAAAUAUUACAAGCUUAUGUUCCAUAAGAAAUACCAUGACAUGGUAACCGAUAUUUAUUUGGAGCAAGUGAUCAAGGUAGGUGUUGGAAUGUAUGCGUCCACAGAUUUUGAUGGGACCAGAUCCUCAGCACAGUUACAAUAACGAACAGUAAAAUAAGGGUUGAAAGUAAAUAUUGAACAAGCAACUUUACAUGAAAACCUCCUUGCUCAAGGGAAGAAAACAACGACCUGUCUCAACAGGACUUUUCGAACUGCGUUUCACUAAUUUUCUCACAAGCAAAAGUAAAACCAGUUUUACACCAAGAGACUAGUCUGCUAAACUCUAUGCUAAGUAAUACUUCCCAUCACUUAGUUGAACUCAGAGUAGAUACAACACUACCCACUAUACUAACCCUCACCGAUUAAUAUAGAUUUUCCUAACCAGAUACCACAACGCCCACUAAACCCCCACCCUUUGGACGAUUUAGAUUUUGACUAAGCAAUAACAAUGUUGCCCACUAAAUCACCUAACUCUAGAUGACUUGGACUUUUAGAAAUCAAAACAAGAUCUAAAUCAAUUAUUGAUUAGGAUCAGAUUUACAAUGUAAGCACAUAAGACACUAAACUCUAAAUACAACAAGACUCUUUAGCACUCCAUCUGGUCCCUUGUUGAUAUGAGUAGUGUUCUUCCUUGAAGAUGGCCUUCACUUUUCAAGCUUUUGAAUUUUCAGAGAAAAUCCAAGUUAUUUUGCCAAAUCUUAAAUUUGUGUUUGUUAGAAAGAGAUAAUAUAAAUCACCACAAAUUUUUGUUAAGACCAUCCCAUUGGCUGAAGGUCUGCUAUUGGAAAGCUGUGCACCUACCGCAUCAGAGGUGGCAGCUUUUUUGAUAACUGUCUUGUCACCUUUUCAUAUCGCAGUCUUGCAGGGACCAGGUCCCUUGCAAACUUCUUUGUGAGUUCUUGAAAAGGCGUGCUGGCUGACUUCUUUUUUUGGAUGAAUGAAUUUAUUUGUUGUUUGUCAUGUUGACUAAGUCAACCAUAAAGAGUAAUUGACGUUGGACAAACACCCUCCUCCAUUCUGAUUGGUGUAGUACGCUUAUGUUUCACCAACCUCUGAUAUGAUAACUUUACAGUUGUAACCCAUUAUGUAUCUGAUGGAGGGAACUCUGCCUGGGACCAGGUCCAUGCACUUGUUAGAUACUGAAACAUACAAUCUCGUCCGCUCUUCCUAUUGGUGUAGGAUAUUGCACUUUUCACCUACCACCUAACAUGACAGCUUUUAUAGUUGUAUCCCAUUUUUAUCUGGACGAGAGCACUCUGCUAGGGACCAGGUUCCCGCAUUUGUGAGAAUCAUAAAAACACCUAGAAUAUAACAGUAUGGAAAGAGAUUCAGGUGAGAAACGUGAAGAGAAAUCUCUACACUAAUAAUGGACACAGCAGGACCACAUGGAGCCAUAUCAUAUUUGAGCAUCCUGCAACAUUUGGUAGCCUGGAAAUGGAAGCAGAGAAGAAGCAAGAGAUUGUGGAUUUCUAUGCGAAGAUUGGAAAGGUGUGGAAGCGUGGUUAUCUACUAUAUGGUCCCCCAGAUACUGGGAAGUCUACUAUGAUAGCUGCAACGGCAAAUUUAUUGGAUUAUGACGUGUAUGAUCUAGAACUGACAUCUGUGAGGGACAACAAAGAAUUGAGAAGGCUCUUGGCUGAAACAUCAAGUAAGUCUAUUAUAGUGAUAGAAGAAAUUGACUGUUCACUUGAUCUAACAGGUCAAAGGAAGAAGAAAGAGAAGAGGGCAAAAACCAAAAAUGAAGUUCCUCGCAAGGACACCGAAGGUGGAAGUAGAGUCACACUCUCUGGGCGUCUGAACUUCAUUGACAGUCUUUAGUCUGCGUGCAGUGGAGAGCGUAUAAUUAUCUUUACUACAAAUUAUGUGGAUAAGUUGGAUCCAGCUCUUAAAAGAAGGGGAAGAAUGGACAAGCAUAUCAAACUCUCCUACAGUAGCUUUGAUGGAUUCAAGGUGCUUGCAAAGAAUUAUCCGAGCUUGGACACACAUCCAUUAUUUGAAUCAAUCAAAAUUCUAAUAGAAUGACGGAGACCAAGAUUAUACCUGCUUAUGCUGCAGAGAAGAUCCCCAGCUCCCUGAAAGAAGACGCAGAGAAACGCCUUCUCAAUCUGGUUGAAGCUCGCAAACAGGCAAAACAACUGGUGAUAAAGAAAGACGAGGAAUCUGCACUGUCUGAAGCUGCAGAUGGGUAGCAGGAUUCUAUAGACAAAAUUUAAAUGGUUAGGUUUCACAAUUAAUUGUAUGACACAAACAGAAAGAGUCAUCCGAGACCAUUUGUGUUUAAUUUAUAGUUGAUCAUCAAACUAUUUAUCUAAAUCAGAUCCUAUUUUCAUGUGACAGCCAGACCGCAAAAUCUAAAUCAACCUAUCCAUGAAAAACAAUAAGAUAUCAGGCCUGGCCUUGCACAACAAAAAUUCUGUUAACAGUUGGGUACAUUACUGCAAUCUCUAAAUCCAGCCAUAGAUCCUUAGCAUUGGACCAUUGGUAAAAGUAUUUAGUUACAGAUCCUUUUUGCCUUUGGCAGCACUAACUUAUAUACCUAAUUAAUUUUGCCCCACAAUAUGAAAUGAGAUAGCUUGCAUGCAACGCGUACCUGCUACCUUCCACCAUCACAAAUCCAUAACCUGAUAGUAAUGAGUCAAUGGAACCUUGACAGUGUUAGGACCAAAAAUAAGCAGGUGUAAACGCGGAAGCUAGCAAAGCAAACCUCAAAAGACCACGAGUAAGAAGACAACGAGAAAUAUACCAAAAGAUACAGAGAUUUAACGUGGUUCGGUCAAUUGACCUACGUCCACAAAGGAGAUGAGCAAUCCAUUAUAAAUAUGAGAAUACAAAAUACAGAGAGAAACAACCUCAACCAAAUUCACUCAGAAUACAUGAGAGAUUCACACAAGUGAUAACGUAUCAAGAAGCUUGUGACUCAUACCUCAACGCAUUAUGUAUGUGCAAAUCACAGGAGGAAUGUACAUUCAUGAUCAGUUAAAAGUUAUAAUAGAACAGGCAGAAUAAAAGCAAAAUAGAACAUGAUAAUAAUUUGUUAGAAACAUUCUUGUACUCAUCCAAAUUAGUUGCAAUGAUUACCUAUUAGUAAUAUGAGUUAGGCAUUAGUCACUUGGAAUUAAGCUAUCAGUAACACUGACCACAAGAAACAAAUCUCCUAUAACACUCAAACCCCAAAUACUUUUUUUAGUUUAGUACUACAAGAAUAUGGGUAUUUUAUAGCAACGAAAAGUUGCUACAGAGUCAAAAAUAUCAUCAUAUGCUUCAAAUGAUCUACUAUGUAUAAGAAAGUAAUAAACUUUAAUAGAUUCUUCACGAGAUUUUGUGAAUACAAGCUUCUCUAAUGUAAUUUCCUUAGCUGAAAUCAUAACAUUUGUAAAUCUUUUUUCUCAAAAUAAUAAACUAAACCUAUUAAUUAACAGAGCCGUCUCGAUCAUAAGGUUACUAAAGGAACCUCAACUACUCCAAGGAACGAAUUAGGCCAAGAGGUUUCAACAAGUUUUCCAAGGAACGAAUUAGGCAAUUUGAAUUGACUUAUAGAACCCACACAAACACUCUUCUCAUCGAAAGCACCAUCAAUAUUGAUCGCGAUCGAUAUUCGAAUAAAUACUCAAGCUUUUAAAUCAUCCAAUCAUAACGAUUUGAGUGCAGUAGAUUGAUAUCACCAAUUUCCUCCCCAUCAUAGUUGAGUAAAUUUCUCUAACUUCACUAGGAUUCCAUGAAGACCUGUGCUAUGCUAAUUUAGACGUAAGGCUAAUUAACUCGCCUCAUUGCUUUUUAUUAAGAUUAAAUGUCAAUAUCCAAAUAAUUAAGAUUAUUUGAUUUAUUUAUAAACAUAAAAAUAUAUGAUUCAAUAUUUUAAAAAAGAAAACUAUAAAAUUAUCAUUCGCUAAAAAAAAAUAAAACAUAUUGUCUAUCUUUUUUUAUUGUUUAUUAAUAAUUCUAUUAUGUAUUUAAUUAUCAUACUUUUACUUCGGUUUGGUAGUUUGUAUAUAAAGGAACGGCAACCCUUUCGAUGUGAUAUAUACAGGAAUACAAAAUUAAAAAAUAUUUUAAAAUACUUUUUUAAAUUUAAAAAUAUAAAAUUCAUUUUUUUUAAUAUUAAGUAUAUAUCAAAUCAAAAUCAUGCUAUAAUAUUUUAAAAGACUACAAUAUAUAGUCCAAAUGCUACCUUUACCUUAGAUUUUAUCGUUUAGAAACGCUAUUUUAACUUUAUUGCAAAUUAGAUUUAUAAAGCAUCAAAGUUAAUAAUAUCAAUGUUUGCCUGGUGCGACUCAUUUAUUUUUUAUUAUGUGACAAGUGUUAUCACGAACAAAUAAUGGGAUCAGAUUGAUAAUUAUUCAUAUUCAUCUAAUUUCAAUAAUAAUAUUAUUUUUAGUUGUCAUACUUUUUUUUUGGACAGUCAAACAUAUUAAUUUUGACUAACAUUUUAAAAUAUAUUUGUAUCUUACAGUACUUUUGAUAUAAUUUUUAAAUAUCUAAUUUUGAAAUAUCGAAUAAAUGUAAUCUAAUUUAACUUUGACAAUAUCACAAUUAAAACUAAACGAAAUAGUUCUAUAUAAAACAUGGGAUAUACUUGUGCUCCACAAGGUGUUGGGGUAGGAAGGAAGAGGAAGCUUAUGUCCUGAAAUUUCCUUCUAUAUGUAAUUUGCUUACUUGACAAUAAUAUUGUGACUUUUGAGGUCUUGAUUCUUUUACGUAAUUAAAUUUUGAACUUGCAUCAAAAAUCAAAAAUGAUAAUGAAGUAAACCGUAAUCACAUACUCACAUUUGUUAGUGACAUGCACAUAUAUUGAUUUGAUGUUCCUGUGUAAUUUAACUUUGAUGUAAUGUUCAAGUUGAUAAUGUUCCAGUUUCAAUACUAAGUAAUAACGUACAUAGAUUAGUAAGGGAAACAGGAACAUUAUCAACUUGAACAUUACAUCAAAGUUAACAUACACAAGAACAUUAAAUCAAUAAAUGUGCAUGUCACUGACAAAUGUGAGUAUGUGAUUACGAUUUACUUCAUCUCCUCUUUGAUUUUUGAUGCAAGUUCAAGGUUUAAUUGCAUAAAAGAAUCAAGACCUCAAAAGUCACAAUAUUAUUAUCAAGUAAGCAAAUUACAUACAGAUGGAAAUUUCAGGACAUAAGCUUCAUGUUCCUUCCUACCACAACACCUUGUGGAGCACAGUACAAAAAUAAACGCAGUAUCUCAUAUAGACAUCAGCUGAACAAUAUAAAUCAUAUAUUACAUUUCUAUUUAUUUUCAUAAUAUUUGCCCAUACUGAAAACAAGUGUUGCAAGAUGCAUUCAGACAUCAUACUAUCAUAAAAAAUGCAAAAACACGUACUCCAUCGGGUUAUAUUAUAACAUUCAAACACAAGAUGCAUCAAAAUUUCAAAUCUAGCUUCGAAUUACAUUUAAUUGAAGGUAAAUUAUUUCAAUGUUGAAAAGACUUACUUUUUAAGUAGAAAAAAGAUUAAGACACACAGAUGUACAUCAAAGUUUAAAAAAAAUAAAAAAAAAUAAGAGAAACAAGAACAUUACCUCUUUUUAAGCAGUGAGCUGAGCUUGAUGACUAACUUGUAGUUUGUCCACUAAAUAAUUCAGACAAGAAGGAAGAAAGUAUAAACUUAGAACCUAAAAAUAUACUCGAAAGAGAGAAACAAAAUACCUUAAUGCUCGACUUUAAUGACUUUUGGGGGUGAAAAAUACUUCAGUUCAUUUUAUUCUUAGAAAUGUUUGUCCUGUUCAAAAACAAAAGAUUUUUCAAUAGAUAAGAACUAUCAUGCAUAUGGAAGAAUCGAAACUCAUCUUUCAUAACAUUAAUUCUUCUUAAACUGAGAAUUUUCAUAUAAUCAUUUUUGCAGAGAUUUCUCAAUCUUCACCAAAAUCGAGAUACACACUCUAAUGCACAGUAAACAUAAACUCUAGCAAAAACAAUUACUUCACAGAAACUCAUUUGUCAAAUACCCUAGCUUCUAAUAAAUUUCCAACUUUGAAGAAGAUAAAAUACAACAUAUCUGUAGCUGCAGAAACCGUACAACUCACGAAGAAGAAGACCCAAAAGUUGCAGAUACCUACAAGGAAAAUCAAAGAAGAAUGAUUAAAGAAAAACCAUAGAUGCGUGCUUUGGUUCUUCGGAGAGAAGAGAGAAAGGAGGCGUCGUUACCUACGAGGGAAUGAUAUGAAAUUUGAAGAAAAAAAUUGACCUAUGUGAUAUUUACCUUUUAUGUUUUUUAUUUUUUUUACCUUGUACUUUUACAAUUAAUUUUAAAAAAAUUGACAGAUGUAGUGAAAUAAGUGGAGGAAAACAAUUGGCGAAACCGUUGCCAUAAAGUACGUAAGGCGACGAUUUGUAAGAACUGUUGCAAUAUAAAGAUACUAUGGGCAACGAUUGUAGUACUAAUGCAACGAUUUAAUUCUUAAAGUGUUUCAUUAGGUCCAGUUAUCUACUGCAAAGGUUAUAACCGUUGCGAAUGAGUAUCUAUUGCAACACAUAUUUAAUUGUUGCUACAAGCAUGUUUUCUAGUAGUGAUAUUUUAGAGAAAUAUCUCUCUUUAAUUUAAAGGUAUAAAAUUCAAUUUUUUUUUAUUUUCCUAUUAAAUGUGUGCCAAAUCAAAAUUAUGAUAUAAUAUUUUAAAGGAAAAAUUACGCGGUCAAGCAAAUUUAUACUAAUUUAUUACUCAUCAUAGUUAUAGUUUGCUGUAAUUACUACUCGCGACUAACAUUAUGCACUAAUUAUGUGGGUUGACUUCGAAUUUGUAUAAUUAGCCACGUUUGUAUAUGUAUAAUUCGCCAGAAUAUAUAAAUACAUAUGUAUAAUAUACAAUUAUUUAACCGAUAUACACAUAAAAUUCACCUCUCUCCCACUCUUUGUCCUCUGUCCUCCCUCCCCCAUCUCGAGUGCUUCUCUCCUCUCUCUCUCUCAAUCUCGCUUGCCAUAUAUACAAGUGCAUAGGUAUUAUAUACAACUAUCUAAUCUAUAUACAUAUACAAUUCACCUCUCUCUCACUCUUUGCCCUCUCUCGCUCGCCUCUCUCCUCUAUCUCUCCCAAUCUCGCUCGCCUCUCUUCUCCCUCUCUCAAUCUCUCUUGUCAUAUAUACAACUACUAUGUAUAAUAUACAAUUAUCUAACUAAUAUACAUAUACAUUUCACCUCUCUCCCAUUCUUUGCCCUCUCCCACUCGUCUCUCUCCUCUCUCUCCCAGUCUCGCUCGCCUCUCUCCUCUCUAUAACAUAGAGCUACGAAUUAUAAUUAUCAAACUAUAGCUAUAGAGAGUAAUAGAUUAUUUUUGAGUGGCUAUAUGUAAAAGUUCCUAUUUUAAAAGACUACCAUAUAUAAUCCAAAUGCUACCUUUACCCGAUGAUUUUAUUGUUUAGAAACAAUAUUUUAACUUUAUCCCAAAUUCGAUUUAUAAAGCAUCAAAGUUGAUAAUAUCAAUGCUUGCCUGAUGUGACUCAUAUAUUUUUUUAUUUUGUGACAAUUGUUAUCACGAACAAAUAAUGGGAUCGGUUUGAUAAAUUUUAUAUUCAUGUAAUUUUAAUAAUAAUAUUCUCUCCGUUUCUUUUUAGUUGUCAUAAUUUUUUUUAUGAGUAAAAUGACAUUAAUUUUUCAUAUAUUUUUGAAUAUCUAAUUAUAUAUAAAAUAUGGAAUGAAUAUAAUUUAAUUUAACUUUAACAAUAUCACAACUUAAACGAAACGAAAUAGUUAUAUAUAAAAACAAAUCCUCCAACCAACCCUUACAUAUAAAAUAAAUCUAAGAUAAGAGGAAUAAUCCGAAAAGAAAGAUGAGACAAAUCAUAGAAUAUCUCUUGCUAUAGUUCUCACAUAAUAAUCUGUCAUAAAGUAUAUAUGUGUGCUUUAACUAUACCCAAAAAUCCUCAAUCACACCAAGAGCAUUUUUUUUCUCUAAAGUCUAAACUAACAUACAAAACUAAUUAGUUAGACAUGGAAUUGUUCUAUGCCUCUCUUGUUUGCCUCUUUGUCCUUUUACUCUCCCUCUCCUUCCUCUUCCUCUUCAACAAGAAGAACAAAUCCAUGAUCUUGUCUUGCCCUCUUCCUCCUGGCAACUCCGGUUGGCCGGUUAUCGGUGAAACCCUCGAGUUUCUCUCUACUGGUUGGAAAGGUCAUCCUGAAAAAUUCAUCUUCGAUAGAAUUUCCAAAUACAAGUCUAGCAUUUUCAAAACUCAUCUUUUAGGUGAAAAAGCGGUUGUUUUUUGUGGUGCAUCUAGUAAUAAGUUUUUGUUUUCGAAUGAAAAUAAACUAGUUCAAACAUGGUGGCCAAGUUCAGUAGACAAAGUCUUUCCAUCUUCAACACAAACUUCUUCAAAAGAAGAAGCUAUCAAAAUGAGGAAAAUGCUUCCUAACUUCCUCAAACCUGAAGCAUUGCAACGUUACAUUCGAAUCAUGGAUCAUAUCGCGCAAAAACAUUUUCAAUCGUGGGAAAAUCAACAAGAAGUUGUUGUUUUCCCUCUAGCUAAACGCUAUACUUUUUGGUUAGCUUGUAGAUUAUUUGUCAGUGUGGAAGAUCCUAACCAUGUUGCUAGACUUGCUGAUCCUUUCGAUGUUUUGGCUUCUGGAUUGAUUUCUAUACCUAUAAAUUUACCUGGCACGCCAUUUAAUCGUGCUAUUAAGGCAUCCAAUUUUAUUAGAAAAGAGCUUGUGGCAAUCAUAAAGCAAAGGAAGAUUGAUUUGACCGAGGGAAAAGCAUCAGACAGUCAAGAUAUAUUGUCACACAUGUUGUUGACAAGUGAUGAAAAUGGGAAGUUUAUGCAUGAGUUGGAUAUUGCUGAUAAGAUAUUAGGGUUGUUGAUUGGUGGCCAUGACACUGCUAGUUCUGCUUGUGCUUUUAUUGUUAAAUACCUUGCUGAGCUUCCUGAAAUUUAUGAUCAAGUUUACAAAGGUAACCCAACUUCUCAUAAUUUUUUUGUCAUAAAAAAAUAUUUAUACAAUCACAUUACGUAAAGCUAUUUGAUAAUAAGAAUUACCAAGUAAUGUGAUAGAAAUGAUAAAUAAUAAGUGAAAUUACACCACAUAAGACUUUUCUAAUAGUCAAUCGAUACGGUAUAUAUAACUAAAAAAAAUAUAUAAAUCAUACCUCAACUUUGACCGAAAUUGUUGUUACGAUACCAAACUUUAUAGAAGAACUUUUAUCCCCUGCACUAUUUAGUAGUGUAUUUUAAAUGUAUGUAUGUGUCCUCCAUGGGCACAUUACUAUUUAUAAUGAUGUCAUAUUUAUGAUAUCCACGUAUAUACCUUUAAAAUACACUUUUACACAAUGUAGAGGGUAAAAAGUCCUUUCCAAAUUUCGAUAUUGUUAUAACAAUUUCGAUCAGAGUUUGAAUAUAUAUUUCAGAUUUUUCCCAUAAAUUAUGAGUUUGAACAUUGAUAAAAAUAGCAAGUCUUAGGAAAACACAAUUCUUAUCUAAAUUUAUUGAUAUUUUUUUUGAAAAAAAAAUCAGUGAUUUGGUUUGACAAGUCAUAUUUGAGGUAAUUGAUUUUCAUAUAGAUAUUAAUGUUUUUUAUUUUUCUUUGUAUUUGAUGAAAAUAGAGCAAAUAGAGAUUGCAAAAUCAAAGGGUCCAGGAGAAUUAUUGAGUUGGGAAGACAUUAAAAAGAUGAAAUAUUCAUGGAAUGUGGCAUGUGAAGUUCUAAGACUUGCUCCACCCCUUCAAGGUGCUUUUAGGGAAGCCCUUGUAGACUUCACCUUCAACGGUUUCUCCAUUCCAAAAGGAUGGAAGGUAUGAAAAAUAAAGAACAAUAAUUAUAUAUAUAUAUAUAUAUAUAUAUAUGCGUAUAUUUUCAUCAUGUUGAUAAACUAGUUAAUCGAACGAUAUCUGUUGGUAAGUUUUUUUAAAAAUAAAUAAGUAAUAUCACCAAAUCAUGAAGAAAAAAAGAUAUAAUAAGGAAAAAGAGAGAGACUAAGGUCUUGUUGGAUACAAAUUUCAAAACUAUUUUUUAAUUUUCUCAUGUUUUUCCUAGGGAAACAAACUCCUAAAAUAAGGAAAAUAAGUUUCCUAAUGAAAGUAGGGGAAAAAAAGGCUCUACCAAUGAACAGGGGCGAAGACACGUAAGGCCGAGGGAUUUAUCCGAACAACCUUUGAUGAAAAAUCACAUUGUUUAUACACUCUUAAAAUUAUUUUUCAUGUAUAUAUAGUAGAUGUUGAACCCAUUUUAAAUAUCUUCAUGUGUUUGAACCCCUUAGUGAAAAUUUUGAUUUUGCGAUUGUUAGUGACAUUUCACAUUGAUUGUGUUCUCCUGUCAUUUCUACAUCUCAACUUCCCCCGCCCCCAUAUCCCUCACCAUCUUACACCCUUAGCUACCUCCCCAUCUCACACCUCCUAUAGUAUUUGUCUAAAUUUUCUGCUUACUUACAAAUCGAACACAAUAAAAUAACACUAUAACAAAAAAUAACUUUUAACAGUAAUAAAUAAACAUAUUAAUAAAGAGUGCUACAACUUUACCAACGUUAGUUAAGUGUCAUUAGAUCUCAUAUCGCUAAAAGGCUUUUGAAACAUAUAUAAAGAAUGUUAAUUACCGCUAAAAUGCAUAUGUAGUGACAAUUGAGCUAUUGACUUUCCCAAAUUCACCCUAACUCUUGUUAGUGCACUGAAAUUGAUUUGCAGAUAUAUUGGAGUGCAAAUUCAACACACAUAAAUCCAGAAGUAUUCGUAGAUCCUUUAAAAUUUGACCCCUCAAGAUUUGAAGGAAAUGGACCUGCUCCAUACACAUUUGUACCUUUUGGUGGUGGACCAAGAAUGUGCCCUGGAAAAGAGUAUGCUCGUUUAGAAAUACUUGUUUUCAUGCACCAUCUUGUUAAAAGGUUCAGCUGGAAGAAAAUUAUCCAUGAUGAGAAAAUCGUCGUUAAUCCCAUGCCAAUUCCGGCUAACGGACUUCCGAUCAGACUCUAUCCUCAUCACGUUAAAACUUAAAUUGUUAGAGAGAGUAUAUCGAAUUGAUGACUAGUACGUAUUAUAUUGUGGUUAUAUGUAUGUUGAUUUUAUGUCUUCGUUAAUUAAGGCAAUCUUCUAUUUAUAAAGCAAGGACAUAGGCCAAAAAUUGAUAACUGUGCUUAUUUUUAAUGUCUUGAACUGUUAUUAUAUAUAUAAAAUUCUUGCGUUUAAAAGUUUUAUGAAACAUCACAUAUAACAAACACAAAAAUCAUAUUUGUAUGCUAUAGUUAUAGUUUGCAUAAUUGCGCUCCAUAGCAAACAUGAUAUGACUAUUUCGCUAUGCAUAUGUACAAAAGAAGCUAAGUUAUUUCGAUAUAUAUAUAUAUAUAAAGAAGCAAUUUUAUAAUUCGUUGCCUCCUCUUUAGAUUUGUAUAAUUUCGCUGGUAGACUAAUUGUAUAAAUUGUUGUUAGUCUCUCGUUUGUAUAAAUCGUUGGCAGCCUCUCGAUUUAAUUUUAUGUGCUUGUAUAUCUGUAUAAAAUUUAGAUUUGUAUACAAUUGAAUCGAAAUAAAACGUUUGUAUAUCAGAUAUACUUUCUCUCUCUCUCUCUCGCUUUAUACAAACAUAAAUUAUACAUUAUAUUUUGUAUAAGCGGUGUUUGUAUAAAACGAGAAAGAGAGAAAGACAAAAGAGAACUAGACAAAGGAAUAUUUGUAUUGUAUAAUUAUAAGUGUAUAAGACGAAGGUAUAUAUAUUUGCAUGUGUAUAUACAAUUUUUUUUUGCUUUAUACAAAACACAAUUUGUACAUUUCUGUUUGUAUAAGGCAAGAGAGGCCGGGGAGAGAGUGGCGAGCGAGAAUUUCAGGGAGAGAGGCGACUGACAACCGUUUGCUAUAGGGUACAAUUAAAUCAAACUAUACUUAUAACAUUCAAUAUGAAUUAAUAGUUUGUCAUUAUAUACAAUUUCCCUAUUUGUAUUGAAGAUGUUGAAUCAUGCACAAGUUUAAAUAGGUGUUGUCAAAAUUAUCUUCAUAAGAAAUUAUUGUAAAGCUUUAAAUUUCAAAGUUUUGAAAAUUAUUUUUUUGUAAAUACGCUGUUUUAAGUGGGUGGGUAUUGUUGCAAAGAAAUCGAUUGCAUAUCGAGGAGUUUAAAUAUGAUUUUUUGGGCAAUUUGUUGUAAUUUUUGAAAUAUUAUUUUUAAAUGAAAUAUUUUUUGGGAAACUUUCACAUAUAGCCACUAAAAAUUGCUUAAUUAUUCUCCAUGGCUACAGUUUGAUAAUUACAAUUCGUAGCUACAUGUUAUAGGGAGGAGAGAGGCGAGCAAGACUUGAAGAGAGAGGAGAAAGGUGAAUUGUAUAUGUAUAUUGAUUAGAUAAUUGUAUAUUAUACAUAUGUUUUUGUUAUAUGGCAAACGAGAUUGUGAGAGAGAGGAGAGAGGCGAGUGAGAUUAGGAGAGGGUGGAGAGAGGCAAGCGAGAGUGGGAGAGAGGUAAUUGUAUAUGUAUAUUGGUUAGAUAAUUGUAUAUUAUACAUAUGCAUUUGUAUAAAAAGCAAGCGAUAUUGGGAAAAAGAGGAGAGAGACGGCAAGAUUUAGAGAGGAAGGAGAGAGGCAAGCGAGAGAGGGCAGAGAGUGAGAGAGAAGUGAAGUAUAUAUGUAUAUUGAUAGAUAAUUGUAUAUUAUACAUAUGUAUUUAUAUAUGCUAGCGAAUUAUACAUAUACAAAUGUGGUUAAAGGCCUGUUUGGAUUGACUUUUGGCUUAUUUUUGUUAUAUUGUCUUUAAAAUAAGUCUUUAUAAACACUUUUUUCAUGACAAGAGAAAUCUGCAACCGCUACCCUUUGGGUGCACACAGGGUAAAAACCCCGCUCCGAUGCAAUAGCUCGUAAAUCACAUAGGAGAGGUAACUCGCACUAGGCAAGCCUGGUGGGACGAGCUCGACCUAGAAGGCAAACCCCUUUCUUUUGCUGGUAAGGGGUUUCUAACUUGAGACCUCCAACAUGGAAGUCCCAAGCUCAAACCAUUGGGUCAAUCCGAAGGGUUAUAAACACUUUUUAAAUUUACCCAAACACUUCAAAACUACUUGAAAGCUAUUUUUGGCUUAAAAACACCUAAAAUAAGUCAAUUCAAGCAGGCAAUAAUUAUACAAACGCGAAGUCAGACUACAUAAUUAAUGUAUAAUAUUAGUCGUGAGUGGUAAUUAUAACAAACUAUGACUAUGAUGAGUAAUUAAAUAGUUUAUAUUUACUUAACCACAUAAUUUUCUCUAUUUUUUUUAAUAAAAGAGUAUAAUAUUGUAUGUAUGCAUAAAUAUCUCUUAUAUUUAUAUAAUGUUGUAUAUUAGGUAAAAAUAAUCGUAUAUUAUUGUAUACGAAUAUAUAGUAGCUUUGAAUUCCACCUCUUCUCAAUUUUGAUGAGCCCAUUUCCAGAUCAUGAGUCACAUAGGAAGGACUAACUCCAUAUUUUACUUAUUUAAUUGAUGUGUCUUAGAGACUUCUUUGACAAUUUUUUUAAAUAUAGAUAUAAUUAGCUGAAAAAAUAUUUUUUAUUUUAUUUGAAAUUUUAUACAAACAAAAUAUAUGUAUAAUUUUUUAAAAAAAAUUAUAUUGUAAAGUAUUGGGCUAAAAGAUAUUUAAAUGAAAUGUAAAUAUCAGUCACAACUUAUUUAAAAUUAAUUAAGCUAUUGUAAUUAAAUUCUCACUUCCAUUACAAUUACACUUAAAUGGGGAGAUAAUUCAGAAAAUAUGAUUCUACAAAAUUAAAUUGGCUCAUAGCUCAUGGCAUGUGUGGCUACAUUUCAAAUAUAUAUUUCUAGUUAUAUAUAAUGUUACAAGACCAAAUAAUUUGUUUUUCAUUUAUGUACAAGUCGCACACUUUUAAUUAAAUCAUUAUGGCCCAAUUUUGUAAUUCAUAAAAUAUUUUGUAUAGUUAAAUUGAAUCGUUCAUAAUCAUAUGAACUUAUAAUAAUUAUUUGAGUUGACCUACAAUGACAAUUUAAUUUGACAAUAAGUUUCUUGAUGAAAUGAAAUAAUAAAAUAUGUAAUUUUAAAGUUUUCUCAUAUACCUACAACUUGUAAGACUUUUAAGGAAGUAGAUAUCACCGACAUGUUCACAAUAAUAUCGAUUUUUAAGUUGCAAUAUAGUCAAAUAUAUAGUCAAAAUACCAUGCUUUGAAUUUGUAGAUGAUGAAUAAUCAAGGAAUGUUAUAACAUUUUAUUUACUUCACUUUGUUUUAUCUAUAUUGAAAUAUUCAAUUAUUUUUAACUCAUUGCUUCUAAAGAAAUAUGAGAGAUCUCAAUAAUACUUUUAUCUUUAAAUAAAUAUGUUCACAUCUAAUUAUUUUUUUUAAAAAAAAAAUUCUUAGUUUCACAUACCAUUUAACACUCUGGGUAUGAUCUAGUAGUCAAUGAAGUGGUUGAAAAUCAUGAUGUCUCAAAUUCAAUUUAUAAUAAAGACAAAAAAUACUAAGAGAUUCUUUCUAUCUGACAUAAUUUUGAUGGACAGAAUAAUCUGAUGGAAGGUGAGCGAAAGUAUAUAUCUAAUCUAGAUAUCAUAGUCAUAAUGAUAAUGAUCAGAAAAUUUGACCGAAAAUUUAUAAAAAAUUUAUUAUAUCUAUUUUAUUUUUAAUUAAAAUGUAACAAAGCUAAAACACUAAAAAUAUUUAAAAAGGAUAAAAUAACAUAAGCAAAUACCAUUUGGUCAAAUCUUGACCAAAUUUUCUGGCCAAUUUUUAUUCUUCAAAUAACAAUAAUAAAUAAGUAUAAAAGAAUAUCCUUAAUUUCGUAAUACGCGUAUCCCUGUUGAUGUCAACCAAAUAGUUUAAUUAUGUCUAUUAUAUUUAAUGUAUUUCACAAUUCCUUUCAACUAAUAUCAAAGUAUUUUAUUAUUUUAGAAAUUUUAGUUCAUCAAUUUUAGUGUAAAUCAUAUAAAUGUAUCAUAUUAAAAAAAUAUUUAUCGUUUAUGUUAAUAUAAUUUUUCUAAUCAAAUAUGAUCAUUUUUAAGAAUUAAAAAAGUGUAAAGUUGAUUUUCCUUCGCCCCUUUUUUUAUCCUUUUUUUCUUCCUCCUCUUCUUUUUAUAUUUUUCUACUUCUUCAUCCAUCUCUUUAUGUGUCAAUCUCUCUUCCUCUUUUUUUUUAUUUUUUUUUAACUUUUUAAAUAAUUACUUUUUUAAAUAAGUUUUUUUUCAUAUUUCACUAUUUUUAUUCAAAAACAUGACAAGAAAAGAAAUAGAAAAAACAAAAAAUUGUAGAAUAUCCUAUUCUCAAAUAGAAAUUUCAAAUUUUUAAAAUUUUAGAAACAAGAUAUCGUAAUUGCAUUAAAACUUUUAAAAAUUUGAAACUCGAAAAAGGUGAAGUCUAUGGAAAGGUAUCGUGAUUGUAUUAAAGUUGUAUUAGAUAUGUUUCAUAAUUGUAUUAAAAUUAUAUUAAAAUCACGGACAAUACAUUUAUCAUACAUAGUACAAACUUCUCUCUUUUUUUAGUGAUAUCAACUAAAUAAAUUAACACCCUUGUAAUACAUAUUGCAAAUAUUACUCAAGUUCUCAGUGAUACAAACUAAAAUAAAUUAUAAGAUACAUAUAAUACAUGUAUUAUUCAUGAAUUAUACAAGUUUAGUUCAAUCUAUAGAUUAUUUUUCUGUCUUUCGUUAGUUACAUUUUUCAAUUAUUAUUAUUUUUCUCUUCUAAUUCAACUUUAAUAUUGUGUAAUACACUUUUAAUGCAAGUUUAAUUCAUUUUGUAGUUUAUUAUUUGUUAUUGUUAGAUUACUUGUUUAAUUCAUUAUUAGUAUAAGUUUAAUUCACUCUAUAAAUCAUUGUAUGGUGUUUCAUUAGUUAUAUUUUUUUUUAUCUAUGCUUAAUUCAAAUUUAAUAUUUGUGUAUGCACUUUUAAUACAAGUUAAUUCAUUUUGCAGUUUAUUGGUUGAUUUGUUAUGAUUGAAUUACGUGUUUAAUUCAUUAGAAAAUUACGUGUUUAAUUCAUUAUUGAUACAAAUUAUUCAAUUUACAAAUUACAUAAUGCUCUUUCGUUUGCUACAUUUUGCAUUCAUAUUUAAUUCGCUUCCAAUUCAACUUUAAUAUGUGUGUACUAUAUUUUUCAUUCAAGUUUAAUUCAUUUGACAAUUUAUUAUGUUUCUUCAUUUGUUACAAUUAGAUUAGUUGUCUAAUUAAUUGAUUAUCUUAGUGAUAAAAACAAAGAUAAUAUAUAUGAUAUAUGAUAUAAGUUUUAUUUAUGGAUAAUAUGAGUUUAAUUCAGUUUAUAGAUCGUUGUCAAUCAUGUCUUUUGUUAGUUACAUUUUGUAUUCAUUCUAAAUUCUCUUCUAAUUCAACUUCAAUAUUUGUAAUACAAUUGUAAAGCAAUUUAAUUUAUUUGCAAUUUUUUGAUUUAUUUAUUACUAUUGGAUUACUUGUUUAAUUCUUUAUUAAUACAAGUUUAAUUUACUCUAUACAUUAUUGCGUGUAAUACAUUCUUAAUUUAAUUUUAAUAUGUGGGUAAUACAUUUUUAAUUCAAGUUCAAUUCAUUUUGCAAUUUAUUAUGUCUCUUUAUUUGUUAUGAUUAAAUUAUUUAUUUAAUUUGAUACAAAUUUUAUUCAUUUUACGAAUCAUUGACUACUCUUCGAAAUAAAAUAAGGAGAUAAACAAAAAAAAAGUAACAAAAAGAUAAAACAGAAAAAAAAGUAAGAAAGAUAGAGCAACAAAAAGAAAAGAGCGAAAAAGAAAGAAGAAUAAAAAAAAAUGGGAGAGAAAAAAGAGAAAGAAGCGAGCGAGCGAGAAAAAUCUAACAAUAAAAUAUAUAAUAUUAUUAUUUAUAUUACUAUAAAUGAUAAUAUUUAAAGAAUAUAUCUAAAAUAGGUAAUUAUUUUUGAAAAAAGACUUGCUCAAGUAAUUAAUCCUUAAUUUUAUGUAGUCAUUCUGUAUACUCUAUUUUGUAUUUUUUACUUUCCAUUGCACUAGUAUAAUGAUUAAUUAAAUUGCUAUUUUUAAAAAUACAAUUGUUUAUAUGAUAAAAAAGAAUCUUUUUAGUCAGAAAGAUAUUUUAUCUAUAUUAUUUUAUUUUUUUAAAAUUAAAAAAUACAAAAGCUUAAUUUAUUUUGAAAUAGAAAAAAAUAAUGUAAAUAUUUAAAUUUUCUGGGUCAAAUUUUUUGUCCAUUAAAUAGAUAUGUGAAGAUAAUACUAACAAUGAUAUAAUAUGCGGAGAAAAAUUAAAAUAUAUUUAGAAGUAAAUAUAUUAUCUAUAUGAAUAUGAUAACAACGUGACAUAUCGACUUAAAAUGUUUAUUUUCAAAUUAAUAUAUUGUUGGACAAAAGUAAAGUUCAAGUCAAACUUAUAUAUGUAAUAAAUAUACUAAGAAAGAAUAUUUAAAUUAUUGUAUAUUUGUUUUCUUUGACCGGGUCAAUUAGAGUUUGCUCAAAUUUUCAAAAAAGAAAAUGCACAUUUGACUUGAAUUUUAUUGUUUCAUUUUUUACUUUAAUAUUAAUCUAAAUUUUCCAAUAUCUGGCAUAACAUCAAUAAUCCUAUUAUACUUUUAACGUAGAGAUUAACUAUUUCAGAAUAAAUUAUUUUAUCAUAAAGGAGAUAAUUUAUUCAAUUAUUAAAGAGUUGUUUGGUGUGAGAUAUAAAGUAUGAGUAAUGUAGAAUUAUUUUGUUUUGUGUUUGAUUUGAAGGUAUUAGGCAGUUCUAACAUCAUUUAUUCCUCCAUUUAUAUAUGUGUGUGAUUCAAUACGUUAUCAGUUAUAUUAUAUACAUUGUGAAAUAACUUAUCUCAAAAUAAGCUUUUUACGGGAUACUUAAUCAAGGGAUAAAUUAUUUUCAACCAAACAAUCCCUAAUAUAUAAAUAAUAAGAUAAAUAAUCUCAUUAUUGUCCAUCAAACAACCCCAAAAUUAAAUUUUUAUACCUUAUCUCAUUUCUCAAUUCUCACUAUACUAUUAUUAUGGGACAAUAGACAAAUAUAUUUCUAAACUAUGGCAAAUGGUAUACAGAUAUCCUCCAUCAUAUUUUUGGAACAUUAAUACCUCUGUCGUUAAAAAACUAGAGCAUAUAUGCCCUUUACUCUAACAGAAGGAUAAAUAGGGACACGUAUAUUAUCCGUCGAUAUAUGUCAGAUCAAUGGAUAAAGUUAUGACACGUGUAUGUGUGUUCUAGUUUUUAAAUAACAGGAACACCAAUAUCUCAAAAGUAUAACAAAGGAAACUUACAUAUAUUUACAAUAAUUCAGGGAUAUAUUUAUUCUUUUUCAAUGCUAUUAUUAAUCAUUUUCAUAGUGUCACAUUAUGUCAUGGUUGAAAUAUGGAUGCAAUAAUUUUUUUUUUUUUUAUGAAAUAAGUAAAAAUUAUUAUGCAUUUAUUUAUGUGAUGAAAGAAACAAGAUGUUUGAGUCCAAAUAAAGGUAGACCCCAGCAAGUGGGCUAUGGAAAACUAAAACAAAACCAGCGACCAAAAAAACACAAGACUGACUGCAAAAGGCCAACAAUACAUUCAUUCAUUCAUUUUCUUCUCCUCUCUGCUUUUAUCUCUUUCUACGACGUCGUUUCUCCACCGCUCCUCCUCCUCCUCAGACUCCCUUUUUCGGUCGAUCGGUUUGUUUUCACACCAUAUAUCAAAGUCAAGUCUACUCGAUCCAGGUAAUUAUACUACUGGAUCACCUAAUUUUGUUGAUUUUUUGGGGUUUUCUUCACUUCAAUUGAGGGAUUUCAGCUGUUUUUUUGGGUUUUUUGUUGUUAAAUUCUUUAGCUAUGUUUUUGCCUGUUUUGUGCUUCAUGUAUCUGACUUUUUUUCUUUCAAGUUUGAGCUACAAAUCGAAAAACGCGUUUUUGUUCUAAUUACGAUUAGAACGUCAACUGGUGGGGGAGAUAAAAUGUAAGAGGGGGAAAUGGAGCUUCUUACCUUUGGGUGGGUCUGUAUAUGCUUUUUUUUUUCUCUGUUCUCAACAAGUUCACUAUUUUACAAUUAAUUUUUAGUUAUAUAUGCUUUUUUUUUCUCUGUUCUCAACAAGUUCACUUUUGUACAAUUAAUUUUUAGUUAUAUAUGUUGUUUCAGGCUUCUCAAGGUUUUUCUGCAUGUAAUUCAACGAAGUUUUUACUCUGUUAUUUCUCAAGAAUCCCCAAACAGCAAAAUAUUGUUCCUUUAAACAACAAAACAUUGGUCCAAAUAUUUCUGGAUUUAGAAAAACGAAUAAGACAUUAAUAGGGCUUCGCGAAUCUAUACAUAGUGUGCUAUAUGACUCAUUGAUUACAUCUAAUGAGACAUUUAGCUAAUUUGAAGGAAUUAAAUGAACUGAAAUCUUAAGUGAAGACUGAAGAGACACUUUUGUAACAAGCCUUUCUUCUGGGGGUUCAUUUUGAAAUUAAUCUUUGUUUAUUUAUUUUCUCCUAUUUUUUUAAUUGUUUUUUGAUGCAUGAAGUUGGAGAGAAGAAUUUUUAACAGACGAGCUUCUAACAUUUCAUGAUUUUUACAGGUUGUGGACUGUUAACGUUUGACUUACAAAUCCUCAUGCAAAAGAACCCAUUAUAGUUUUUUUUGCUGCAGUUACUUUGACGGGAAAAUGUUGGAGGCUCCAAAGUUUGCAGGACUUAUAGACUUAAAUGAAAACCCUGAUCAUUAUGGACUCUCACAAAAUUUCUACCAUAAGCUUGGUGAGGGAUCACACAUGUCAAUCGAUAGUUAUGGGAGCUUGCAGAUGAGCAAUGGUGGAGGUUCAGUUGCAAUGUCGAUGGAUAACAGCAGUGUGGGAUCAAAUGAUUCGCAUACUCGUAUUUUAAACCAUCAGGGUCUCAAGCGUGUUCACAAUAACUAUUCGGUUGCAGCUAGUGUAAAUAAGGGAAAAACUUCUCAUGGGUUGAGUGAUGAUGCCCUAGCUAAAGCAUUGAUGGAUCCUCGAUUUCCUACUAAUGGGCUUGAGAAUUAUGAUGAGUGGACAAUUGAUUUGAGGAAGCUCAACAUGGGGCCAGCUUUUGCUCAAGGGGCUUUUGGGAAACUAUACAAAGGUACUUAUAAUGGUGAGGAUGUUGCUAUCAAGCUUCUAGAGAGGCCAGAUAAUGAUCUUGAGAGGGCUCACUUGAUGGAGCAACAGUUUCAGCAGGAAGUUAUGAUGUUGGCAAGGUUGAGACAUCCAAAUAUUGUUCGGUUUAUCGGUGCAUGCCGUAAACCCAUGGUGUGGUGUAUUGUCACUGAAUAUGCUAAAGGAGGAUCAGUUCGUCAGUUUCUCACUAGGCGACAAAAUCGAUCUGUGCCCUUGAAGUUAGCAGUGAAGCAGGCGUUGGAUGUGGCAAGGGGUAUGGAAUAUGUGCAUGGCCUGAAUCUGAUACAUCGUGACCUGAAAUCUGACAACCUACUAAUUUCUGCUGAUAAAUCAAUCAAGAUUGCGGACUUUGGAGUUGCUCGUAUUGAGGUGCAGACAGAAGGAAUGACACCAGAGACUGGAACAUACCGUUGGAUGGCUCCGUAAGCCUC
RNAcentral lists this long non-coding RNA (205472 nucleotides) under Solanum melongena (eggplant). Its description in RNAcentral is "long non-coding RNA (SMEL_LNC000144)". The record is from RNAcentral. Lineage: Eukaryota; Viridiplantae; Streptophyta; Magnoliopsida; Solanales; Solanaceae.